RNAcentral lists this long non-coding RNA (196048 nucleotides) under Hordeum vulgare. RNAcentral describes it as "long non-coding RNA (HVUL_LNC006253)". Lineage: Eukaryota; Viridiplantae; Streptophyta; Magnoliopsida; Poales; Poaceae. The record is from RNAcentral.
AUUACGAGACGGAGGGAGUACUGUAUAUUGUUACACCACUUACAAAUAGAUUUUCGGUGCCGAUUUUUUCUAACACCUGCACAUUUUAUUUGGAAUACGAUACUCGCUGCAGAUUUUAUUUGAACUAUACGUACGGAUGUGUGAAAAAUGGCUACUUCCGCAGCCUAAUUAAUGAACAGUAUCAUGCUCAUUGCCGUUUGCCCUGGCAAGCCCGCCGAAGAGGCACGGGCGGGUCGGAGAGCGCGCCGUCGACGAUCUGGUCGAAGACGAACCUGUUGGCCGCCUCGGUGAAGUGCACGCCGUCCCAGCUCACGCUCCUCGACGGGUCAUCACACGACUUUCCUGCCAGCACCGACGUCCCGUUCACCUGCACCUUAUCACCACACCGGAUGUUCCGGUCGAAGUUGUCCUCGCCGCCGCCGUACCCGCAGCACACGCGCAGGGGGUCCCCAAAACCGAGCUCCUUGGCCUGGCUUAUCAGCCUGUACUUGGCGGCGUACACGUCGACGUAGGUUAACGCUGCCCCUGGGAGCGUGUCCCUGAGCCUCGCCACGGUCUCCUUGAGCCGCGCGUUGAAGAACCGGGCGCCGGCGUUGAGCGCGACGGAGCAGCCGGCGGCGUCCUUGUCGGCGGCGAGGUCCGGGCGGAACACCAGGGCGUACGGCAGGCACCCGAGCGGCGCCGUGUUGUGCACCCAGAAGUGCCUCCCCCCGAGGUUGUAGACCGUCUGGAUCGCCGACGAGAUCCUCUCCAUGAGAUCGGGGACGUAGGCCUCGACUUGCUCCGUGGUCAUGUUGUCGAAGUAGCCCACGGUGAGGUCGUUCUGGCCCAUGUCCAAGGUGUAAAGCGCCUUGGAGAUCAACUGCUCCGGGUUGGGCAGGAUCUCCCGGUAGACUCCGCCGAUGUCGUUGUCGUAGACGAAGCGGCUCCUGUUGAUGAACUGCUGGAGCUGCCAGACCUGCACGUCCAGGGAAAUGGGGCUGUACCCUGAGGUCCACAAGCUCCCGUUCACUCGCCUGAUGGUUCCGGCGGCGCUCGCGAAAUUGGCUCCCUGCGUGAAGUUGCUCCCCAGAGAAUCCAGAUACGCACUCAGGUAACGGAGGCCCAGGCUUUGAGCUGCAAGCAAUACGUACACGUCGUAAAAAUUCUCCCGUUUUGAGCUGUUUGCGCGGGAAAAGGGUAAAAAAAAAACUGCUUCGGUUAACAUGCCGUAGACAAACGUACUCACGUACAUACCCAUGAAGUCGAUGGUGAGGCGGCCGUCGCUUUGCCGGCCGGCCGGCAUGCCGAAGAAGGUCCGGCCGUAGGGCGGCUGCACCGCCGGGAAGAGGGCAGGGAAUGCACCGGUGUCCGAGUUGGAGUCACCGAGGUUGAAGAUGGCCGGGAAGCCGCACGGGGAAUCAUCAGAGCGCGCUCCCGCAGAGAGCUUUAGCACCACCACCGCCAGCAACAGGACACACACGAGUUUGGUCGCCAUGGAUGGAUGAGCCGAUCGACGCCGUUUAGCUCCUGCCGCUCGUCCGGUGCGAAAAUGAUUUUAUGCCCUGCCGCGAGUGCAGCACCCGUGUUGGACCGACUGCUGCUCCGACGCGGCAGCGAUUUUCUAGCCACCAGAAUACUAAUUACCACAUGCAUUAUUCAUGGACUGGUCAAGGUUUAUUAUUAUUUGUUUAUCUUUUGUGAAGUCAGGAUUCAUACACGCCGGCACCGGCAGGUCCAGCACCCCGUCUUGGACUGGUGCUCCGACGUGAUCCUAAUCAAAGAUGUGCAGAAGAUUCAGCGAGGGAUAGCUGCGUUUUGUUGACAAGUAUCCCCUCCUCUCGUUUGUGCACCACCCGAGUUAUAUCAAGAGAGUGACGGGACUGUCACCCUUUACGUGGCAGGUUUGGACAAGCAACUAAGCGUGCUUGACCCUGAUUACUCUCUUAAAAUAAAUGUCUCAAUUUUAUACUAGAUUUAGUACAAAUUUAUAUUAAAUUUGAGACAGUUAUUUUAAAACAAAGGGAGUAUUUGACGUUUCUGUGGUGAUGUAGCCAAGACCGUUAUUACUUGUCAACCUAAAGCUUCAAGAACACAUGACCCGGGAAUGGGAGUACGGGACCUCCGGCAACGACCACGGUUCCUUACCCCCGAGGGCAUCCCGAUCACCAUUCUGCGCGUGGCGCAACGACUCUGCCACUCCAGUAAACACAUAUAUUUUUUUUAAAUAUGACAAUUAAAAAAAUAAAUAUCAGCACGUGUUCAAAAUAAAUAAAUAUCAGCAGCGAAUAUCUAUAUGUAAGGUGUGUAACCUGAAUUUUUGAUUGAUUUCAUCAAUAAAGUAGCUACAUACAUCGCAUUGAUGAAACGACGGGAGGGAAUCAUCCCUCCUUUUCUAAAAUAGGAAAAUACUAUUUAAGAAGAAUAGAAAUUGGACGAAUACUUAUUUGGAGUAUGAAUACUGUAGAUUUUUAUACAUACAUUUCAAGUAUGGAUGUCUAAAAAAAAUAUUCCAACAUCCGCAUCUUAAUGAAUGAACAUUAAGCUCAUCACCAUUUACCCCGGCAGGCCUGUCAUGGCGGACCGACGGGUCAGAGACCGCUCGUAAACAAUCUGAUUGAAGAUAAAUUUAAAUAUGGUACAUAUAUUUCUUGAUAAAUCGGUUACACUAAAACUCAUGGAAAUACGCAUGGGCUUGGAAAAGGGUUCCCCGAAUAUUGGAUUGCCGUUGUUAAACUAGGUUGUAUACUUUAUAAAAUCGAGGAAGUAUCUUAAACUGUAUGUAAAGCAGCUAUCUCCAUAGCUGUAAACCGUCAUGCUCAAUUGCACGCCAUCAUUCCAGCUCACAUCGUUAGAUUUGUUCUCGAAAGAGUUCUCGAGAUCUAAUGCACCGUUCACCUCCACCUUAACAUCGCAAUGGUCUAUUUAGAGCAGCUAGCUAUCUCCAUAGCUGUAAGCCAUUAUGGUCAACUGCACGCCAUCAUUCCAGCUUACACCGAUAGAUUUGUCCUCGAACGAGUUCUUGAGAACCGACGCACCGUUCACCUCCACCUUAACGUUGCAAUGGUCAUGUAUUCUACUUCACAAGUGAAUUGGGCAACUAGUGCUGUAAUAUUGCCUUCCAACUCACAACACAACCACCGAUAAUGUUGGGGAACGUCGCAUGGGAAACAAAAAAUUUCUACGCGCACGAAGACCUAUCAUGGUGAUGUCCAUCUACGAGAGGGGAUGUGUGAUCUACGUACCCUUGUAGACCGUACAGCAGAAGCGUUAGUGAACGCGGUUGAUGUAGUGGAACGUCCUCACGUCCCUCGAUCCGCCCCGUGAACCGUCCCGCGAUCAGUACCACGAUCUAGUGCCGAACGGACGGCACCUCCGCGUUCAGCACACGUACAGCUCGACGAUGAUCUCGGCCUUCUUGAUCCAGCAAGAGAGACGAAGAGGUAGAAGAGUUCUCCGGCAGCGUGACGGCGCUCCGGAGGUUGGUGAUGACCUUGUCUCAGCAGGGCUCCGCCCCGAGCUCCGCAGAAACGCAAUCUAGAGGAAGAACCGUGGAGGUAUGUGGUCGGGCUGCCGUGGAAAGUCGUCUCAAAUCAGCCCUAAAACCUCCGUAUAUAUAGGUGGGAGAGGGGGGACCUUGCCUUGGGGGUCGGCCGAGCCAAAGGGGGGAAGGACUCCCCCCAAACCAAGUCCUACUUGGUUUGGUGGGUGGAGUCCUUCUUUCCUUUCCCACCUCCUCCUUUUUUUCUCCUUUUCUCUUUGAUUUUUCUUCCAAUGCGCAUAGGGCCCUUUUGGGCUGUCCCACCAGCCCACUAAGGGCUGGUGCGCCACCCUCAAGGCCUAUGGGCUUCCCCGGGGUGGGUCCCCCCCCCCGAUGAACUCCCGGAACCCAUUCGUCAUUCCCGGUACAUUCCCGGUACGGUAAUCCCGUCUUAUCAAUCAUGUUGUUAGACAACAAUGAACCUGCAAGUUAUGAAGAAGCAAUGGUGGGCCCAGAUUCCAACAAAUGGCUAGAAGCCAUGAAAUCCGAGAUAGGAUCCAUGUAUGAGAACAAAGUGUGGACUUUGGAGAUACUACCUGAGGGCCGCAAGGCUAUUCAGAACAAAUGGAUCUUUAAGAAGAAGACGGACGCUGACGGUAAUGUGACCGUUUAUAAAGCUCGACUUGUGGCAAAGGGUUUUUCACAAGUUCCAGGAGUUGACUACGAUGAGACUUUCUCACCCGUAGCGAUGCUUAAGUCCGUCAGAAUCAUGUUAGCAAUGGCUGCAUUUUUCGAUUAUGAAAUCUGGCAGAUGGAUGUCAAAACGGCGUUCCUUAACGGUUUCCUUAAGGAAGAGAUGUAUAUGAUGCAACCCGAAGGUUUUGUCGAUCCUAAAAAUGCUGACAAGGUGUGCAAGCUCCAGCGAUCCAUUUAUGGACUGGUGCAAGCAUCUCGGAGUUGGAACAAACGCUUUGAUGAGGUGAUCAAAGCAUUUGGGUUUAUACAAGUGGUUGGAGAAUCUUGUAUUUACAAGAAAGUGAGUGGGAGCUCUGUGGCGUUUCUAAUAUUAUAUGUGGAUGGCAUAUUACUGAUUGGAAACAACGUAGAGCUUUUGGAAAGCAUAAAAGGUUACUUGAAUAAAAGUUUCUCUAUGAAGGACCUGGGAGAAGCUGCUUACAUUCUAGGCAUUAAGAUCUAUAGGGAUAGAUCAAAACGCCUGAUAGGACUUUCACAAAGCACAUACCUUGAUAAAGUUUUGAAGAGGUUCAAAAUGGAAUAGUCCAAGAAAGGGUUCUUGCCAGUUUUACAAGGUACGAGAUUGAGUAAGACUCAGUGCCCAGCAACUGAUGAAGAUAGAGAGCAUAUGCGCUCCGUCCCCUAUGCUUCAGCCAUAGGCUCUAUCAUGUAUGCGAUGCUGUGCACUAGACCAGAUGUUAGCCUGGCCAUAAGUAUGGCAGGCAGGUUCCAGAGUAAUCCAGGAGUGGAUCACUGGACAGCGGUCAAGAAUAUCCUGAAGUACCUGAAAAGGACUAAGGAGAUGUUUCUCGUGUAUGCAGGUGACGAAGAGCUCGCCGUAAAAGGUUACGUCGAUGCAAGCUUUGACACAGAUCCGGACGACUCUAAGUNNNNNNNNNNNNNNNNNNNNNNNNNNNNNNNNNNNNNNNNNNNNNNNNNNNNNNNNNNNNNNNNNNNNNNNNNNNNNNNNNNNNNNNNNNNNNNNNNNNNGGGGGGGGGGGAGUCCUCCCCCCUUGGCUCGGCCGACCCCUUGGGAGUCCCUUGGACCCCAAGGCAAGGUCCCCCUCCCUCCUCCUAUAUAUAUGGGGCUUUUAGGGUAGAUUUGAGACGACUUUCUCACGGCUGCCCGACCACAUACCUCCAUAGUUUUUCCUCUAGAUCGCGUUUCUGCGGAGCUCGGGCGGAGCCCUGCUGAGACGAGAUCAUCACCAACCUCCGGAGCGCCGUCACGCUGCCGGAGAACUCUUCUACCUCUCCGUCUCUCUUGCUGGAUCAAGAAGGCCGAGAUCAUCGUCGAGCUGUACGUGUGCUGAACGCGGAGGUGCCGUCCGUUCGGCACUAGAUCGUGGGACUGAUCGCGGGAUUGUUCGCGGGGCGGAUCGAGGGACGUGAGGACGUUCCACUACAUCAACCGCGUUCACUAACGCUUCUGCUGUACGAUCUACAAGGGUACGUAGAUCACUCAUCCCCUCUCGUAGAUGGACAUCACCAUGAUAGGUCUUCGUGCGCGUAGGAAAAUUUUUGUUUCCCAUGCGACGUUCCCCAACAGUGGUAUCAGAGCUAGGUUCAUGCGUAGAUGUCUUCUCGAGUAGAACACAAAAGUUUUUGUGGGCGGUNNNNNNNNNNNNNNNNNNNNNNNNNNNNNNNNNNNNNNNNNNNNNNNNNNNNNNNNNNNNNNNNNNNNNNNNNNNNNNNNNNNNNNNNNNNNNNNNNNNNGUGAAGAACAAUAAGAAAUAGGAUAAAUAGUUACUAAGAUAACAUAAAUGUUUUACCUGGGAGAGACGGCGCCUGCGAGAUGACGUACGGCAAGUCAAAGUUGAUGCCCCUUAUAUGCUUGUGGCGCCCCCCCCCCCCCGGGCGGCGCCCGUCCCCCCGCCGACGUCGACGAGGACGCCGACUCCGUCGAAGCCGUCGAAGCGCUCGACCAUCUUGCUGAUGACCUUGACUGACAUGUGGAACAUGGCCUGGUUGAACACCCCGCUUAGCCGUGGGUUCUUCCCCAUGUACUGAAACAGCGGCACCCCGUGCGCCCUCUCGAACGGCGGUGGAACGCCGCCCACCACUGCCGCACCCAGUUGAUUCCUACAUGGAUGCUAAUGCUUAAUUAGCAUGGCAGUCAGCCAUCGGCGAAGUGAUGGAGCGCACACUUACCAGGUCGGCAAGUAGUCCUGGUCGACGGCGAAUAAGGCCAAGGGGGCCAGCGACCCAUCGCUGUGGUUGCUGGUGAGCCACCGGCACACCGGCGCGGGAGUGUACUUCCGGACCGCCUCACCGUCAGGACCCGUCUCCGUCGAGCAACGCACGACGUCGAAGGCGGCGAGGAGCCGGAGAAGCCGGUCCACCGAGGCUGCUGCCUGGGCCUUGUUCGGUGCCGGGAGUUGCGCGGCAAGGUCGUCCACCGUCAUCGCGCGGCCGGCGGCGUUGGUGAGUGCGUCAAUGAGGCCGAGCUCCACUGCCGUUUUCAGGGUCAGGGAGACGGCGAAGCCCGAGAUGAGGCCCCAUGCCCCCCCCCCCCCCCCACGUCGCUUCCUCGUCGUCACCAGCAGUUGGGUUCCUACAAGCCACGAUGUUUUCUCUGUUUUCCAUAACUAAACCACCCUGUGUUUGACUUUGCUUUCUGUGGUUAUGUAGUUUGAAUGGAUAGAAGCUGUAGGAAGGCGGUAUAUAUAUAAGGAGUGUGCCCUGCCGGAUCACCAAACUCCCUACCGGCCGGUGGUUCAUCAUCAUUGUUUGCAACAAUGAUGAUGCCUAAAUUGGUUGUCGAAAACUUGUACUUCUGCACUGAGAAGCAAACUAGUACUCCCUCGGUAAAGAAAUAUAAAAGCAUUUAGAUCAGUAAAUAGGGAUCUAAACACUCUUAUAUAUAUAUUUGUAUUGUUGUUAUCUUGUGGAAGAAUAUGAUUUCUGUUCUCAAGUGGAACAGAGAAGAGAGAGAAAAAUAUCACAUAAUCAGUUCGAAUGGAAGCACAAAGUGAGCCACUGUACUCGAUGUAAAAUUAUACUGAGUUUGAACGUGCCGCUUUCUCUUCCCGACUUCCUCGCCAUCUCUUGUAGACCAGAGGUGACCACCGUACCCUCCCGAUUCGUCUAGCCGACAACCAGAUCCUUGGAGCCCGAACUAGGAUUUGUCAGCCCCGACGUCCCCUGUGCCGCGCGCUCCCAUAUCCUCCACGGCCUCACCCCCUCGUCUCCUUUCCGUCAGAGAUGCAAGAAGUAGCUAAGCAAGGUGGAACCAUUGAAGCAGCUGUCACAUCCUAGAUUCUGUUUAUGGAACAUGAUGUUGCAAAGGCGAGAAAUAUGAAAUUGAUUCUUUGUUUGUUUGAACAGUUGCCCGGUCUGAAGAUAAAUUUUCAUAAAAGUGAACUGUUCUGCUUUGGGAAAGCCAAAGAAGAGCGGGAUACGUAUAAACAACUGUUCGGGUGCGCUUUAGGUAGCUUGCCGUUCAGUUAUCUAGGCAUACCAAUGCAUCAUCGGAAGUUAUCUAACAAGGAAUGGAAAUGUAUUGAGGACCGGUUCGAGAAAAAACUGAGUUGCUGGAAGGACAAGCUGUUGUCUUAUGGAGGUAGGCUGGUCUUGAUUAAUUCAGUACUCACAAGCAUGCCAAAUGUUCCUUGUUUCCUUUUUUGAGAUACCUCUUGGGGUACGAAAAAGGUUGGACUUCUAUAGAUCCCGCUUGUUUUGGCAGAGUGAUGAUGUCAAAAGAAAAUAUAGACUUUCUCGUUGGGAUGUUAUCUAAGACCCAAAGAGCAAGGAGGUCUUCGGAUUGAGAAUUUAGAGGUCAAGAACAAAUGUCUACUAAGCAAAUGGUUGUAUAGACUGUCUCUAGAGUCGGAAGGCAUGUGGAUACAAAUUUUGAGAAAUAAGUACUUGCAUGCUAAAACCUUGCUCGGGUCACUUUGAAACCCAAUGAUUCACCCUUUUGGAAAGGGACUAAUGAGAAUGAAAGCAUCUUUCUUCCAUAGGUCUAAGUUUAUCGUUGGUAAUGGUGAGAAUACGAGGUUUUAGGAAGACGCGUGGUUGGGGGAGACGCUGCUAGCCACACAAUAUCCGGCUCUAUAUAAUAUUGUGCAGCGUAAGGAGGCCUACGUUGCUACUGUCUUACAAUAUGUUCCUCCAAACAUACAGUUAAUAGAAGGAGUCUGUCGGGAGAUCGAUGGUUGGUUUGGCUUAAUCUAGUCAAGAGGCUGAUGGAGGUUAAUAUAUCGGAUGAGUCUGAUACACUUCAUUGGAAACUAUCUAAGAAUGACAUCUUUUCGGUGAAAUCGAUGUACUUGGACCUCAUUGACUCUAGAUCAAUUCCCAAAUAGAUUCAUAUUUGAAAGAUCAAAGUCCCUUGAAGAAUGAAAUUUUUCAUGUGGUUCGUUCAUAAGGAAGUGAUUCUCACUAAGGAUAGUUUGGCAAAGCAUAAUUGGGCGGGAAACACAAGAUGUAGCUUAUGUGAUCAACUUGAGACUGUCAAACACCUCUCUCUCGAGUGCCAUUUAGCAAAAAAUCUUUGAAGAUCCAUUCGUAUAGCCUUUAAUAUCACACCUCCAAAUAACAUUCACACGUUGUUUGGGACGAGGCUAGAUGGAGUAGACAUUUAUACGACAAGACAUAUUUGCAUAGGAGUAUGUGUGUUACUUUGGGCUAUAUGGAAUAGCAGAAAUGACAUGGUCUUUAACAGGCAAAAUCAUGCCAAUUUUUGGCAGAUUUUGUACAGGGCAACUUCUUUGAUCCGUAUAUGGUCGUUACUCACUCCUGCGAAGAACAGGGAGUCUUUGGUUACUGGAUCUACCCGAUGAAAAAUGGUACCUGAGGAUAUCUACAACCGGUUUGGAUGAUGAUACAAUAAUAGAAUAGGUGGAUAGGAUUUUCAUCCUAUUUUACGCCGGUUGUGGCUAUUUAUUUUUUAAUCUAUGUCGGAGCUUCUUCGUAAGCUUGUAUUGGAUUGCAGACUAUUUGUUCAUUGUUUUAAUAAAGAGGCCGUAUGAAUCUCUCUGGUUCAAAAACCGAAGGUGAGACUCCUGUUCUAAAAAAAGCAUCCUAGCUUUUUUUUCCCUAAAUCUACAAUGUUUAAAAUUUCCUAGAGAAUCAUCUUUUUUCUCCAAGAAACUUUUAUGAUUGUUGCUUUUAGUUAGUAUUGAUAAGAGUUGUUUGAAUUGUUCGGAGAAGUGACCAGAUUAAAAUUUUGGAAUUAGACAAAGUAAUGGCGGACAAGUUCCACCUGGCUUCAAGCUCGUUAACAUCAAGUUAUAUGGCAGAUCAACAGAUCCCUUUAUAUGGAUAGAAGACUAUACCCUCGCUAUCAACAUAGCAGAUGGCGACGACUUGCAUGCCAUAAAAUACCUACCGUUAAUAUUUAAAGGCUCAACUUGACACUGCCGCACUCCAUGCCGCUGAAUUCGAGUGGUACGGGGACGAUUUAGAGGCCCAAUUUAUGGCAAAAUUUCAGGACACGCAUGUCAAGCCUCCGGAUGCCAUUGACCUGGCCCUAGUAGUGUAGAAACCAGGCAAGUGCGUGCGCAAGUUCUGGUAUCGAUUUCUUACAAAGAAAAAUUAGAUAGUCGACUGCAGUGAAGUACUCCCUCCGUCCUAUAAUUCUUGUUUUAAGUUUGUCUAGAAAUGGAUGUAUGUAAAUACAAAAACGUGACUAGAUACAUUCAUACGUAGAAAAAUUUAAGACAAGAAUUUUGGGACGAAGGGGGUAGUGAACUUGCAGCAGUCCAGAACAAUAUUAACGACGAGUGGCUGUCGAGAGACUCAGACACCAUAAACUGAGGACCAUGGGUGCCCUCACACAGAUGAUGACNNNNNNNNNNNNNNNNNNNNNNNNNNNNNNNNNNNNNNNNNNNNNNNNNNNNNNNNNNNNNNNNNNNNNNNNNNNNNNNNNNNNNNNNNNNNNNNNNNNNGGGUUGCGUGGGGCGCGAGACGGGACGAGGGUGCAUAGCGAAAUGAGCAAGACGCGGGGGGUGUUAGCAGAAUUUUCCUCAUGCCACAGCCACAUCUCUCGGCGCACGUUUUGCGGGCGACUGGCCCCUGUGGGCCGUCCGAUGGGGGAGGCGGGCGGCUGGGAUCGGGCUGUGGGUCUCCCUGUGCCGUUCCAGAGGUGGUGCUUUCGCCAGCGGGACGGGGUAAUUUCGCUGGAAGCAACGGGGGGUUGCGCAAAUGUCGUCAGGGCCCAGUUAUUUUUUUUAGAAGGUCGUCAGGGCCCAAGUUGGGUUUUGUAUCGGCGUCGAAUGAUUCGGCCUUUGUUCGAAUGGGUCUAUGGGACCAGAAAUGGACGCGAAUUUCAGCCCGGAAGCCGAUUGUAACCCAUGUGAGAACAAAAAAUGCGGCCUGACAACGAUGCUUUCCCUUAGAAAAGCACAGCUAUUAUUAUGGUUUUUUUUUGGUAUGCUUCGGAACUAUUUGUUGGCUGAAAAACUAGACGGCCUCGUACAAUAAAGAUGUCGCUACCCAUCUUAAUAAAUUUGUUGAACUUGGUCACAGGCAAAAAUCUAAAGAUACGGGCAAUGAUACUAUAAGAGUAAGUCUAUUUCCCUUCUCCUUAAGAAAUAGCAUCGAUUCUUGAUCAAAAUGCAAAGACGCUUUUAUUGAAACGUAUUAACCUUCUGUGACAUUAUUUACUUGAGAAAUUUUUAUCNNNNNNNNNNNNNNNNNUAAUAAUAAUAAUAAAGAGGCUAUUGCUUCCGUCAGAAAACCCACCGCUGCCGUUUUUCAAAAAAGCCACUGUCUUUUAGGUAAUUAAACCCGCGGUACCUUUUUAUGUGUUACGAACAGGAAAACGUUUAAUUUUUGCAGAGAGCCCCUAUGGCAUUGGAUAAGAGAAACGCAUCUGGGCUGACAAAAAACACAUGAGAGGGAUAUCGCUUCUGCCCUCAUAAUCCCACAUCGAUACUUCACAGAUAAUUUCAUCACUUUAUAUACAUGCGCCUUGGUGAUUUUACAAGAGGCAACGGAAAUCAACAGAGGAACAAAUUCGAGAAGAAGAAAUUGGAAUGACACGAACAGAGGUGGAGCCGCGAGACAGAGGGGGUUAGGGGCGAAGGAAAGGGGUUGGCACCGGCGAUGCAUAGGUGGAGGUGGGGGCGUCGGGGUUAGAGGAUUCAGGCAACCGGCGGGGUAAGGCUUGCCGGAGACGCAAGAAGCACCAUGGGGGCGGAAGAGAAAAGAGAGGAGACCGGGGGUAGGAGUACCGGCUGGCGCUCGGGCACUGGAGCUGGCCCCGUCACCCCCAGUCUCCAGCAACCCUCCACAAUGGCCCCGUAGGCCGACCUCGCAGAAGCACACCAUGGGAGGCGGUCACGAGGUGCGGAGGUGGGAGGCGGUGGAGGAGCAGAGGAGGGAAGUGUGGGCGCCAUUGGAAGGGGUAGUCAGGGAGAUUGGGGAUCCACUGGGGCUCUCUCCCCUAGCGACACGGGGUGGAGGAGAGGAGGGGGGCUGGGGAUCGGGCUAGGUUAGGGGAUUUAGGAAUGGGUAAGGCUCGGCCUUGGCAGGCCUAAUGGGUUGUGCACUACUACUCUCUCUCUUUCCUUUAAUUUCUUUCUCUAAAUUCUUUAAUUAAAAAUGUGUGGUAUUAUUUUUUCCCGUUGCAACACACGGGUCCUUUUGCUAUAAUAAUAAAGAGGCUAUUGCUUCCGUCAGAAAACCCACCGCUGCCGUUUUUCAAAAAAGCCACUGUCUUUUAGGUAAUUAAACCCGCGGUACCUUUUUAUGUGUUACGAACAGGAAAACGUUUAAUUUUUGCAGAGAGCCCCUAUGGCAUUGGAUAAGAGAAACGCAUCUGGGCUGACAAAAAACACAUGAGAGGGAUAUCGCUUCUGCCCNNNNNNNNNNNNNNNNNNNNNNNNNNNNNNNNNNNNNNNNNNNNNNNNNNNNNNNNNNNNNNNNNNNNNNNNNNNNNNNNNNNNNNNNNNNNNNNNNNNNCCUCUAGGGCAUAAUUCCAACAGUCUCCCACUUGCACUAGAGUCAAUAAUCUAGCCCUCACAUCAUCAUGCGAAUUACAUUGUAAUAAAUCUAACACCCAUACAGUUCUGGUGUUGAUCAUGCUUUUGCCGUGGAAGAGGUUUAGUCAGCGGGUCAGCUACAUUCAGAUCCGUGUGCACUUUGCAUAUAUUUACGUCCUCUACUUCGACGUAGUCGCGGAUGAGGUUGAAGCGUCGUUUGAUGUGUCUGGACUUCUUGUGAAACCGUGGUUCCUUUGCUAAGGCAAUGGCACUUCUGUUGUCACAGAACAAGGUUAUUGGAUUCAGUGCGCUUGGCACCACUCCAAGAUCCGUCAUGAACUACUUCAUCCAGACACCCUCCUUAGCCGCCUCUGAGGCAGCCAUGUACUCCGCUUCACAUGUAGAAUCUGCUACGACGCUUUGCUUAGAAGUGCACCAGCUUACCGCACCCCCAUUAAGAAUAAAUACGUAUCCGGUUUGCGACUUAGAGUCGUCCGGAUCUAUAUCAAAGCUUGCAUCGACGUAACCUUUUACGGCGAGCUCUUCGUCACCUCCAUACACGAGAAACAUCUCCUUAGUCCUUUUCAGGUACUUCAGGAUAUUCUUGACCGUUGUCUAGUGAUCCACUCCUGGAUUACUCUGGAACCUACCUGCCAUACUUAUGGCCAGGCUAACGUCCGGUCUAGUGCACAACAUUGCAUACAUGAUAGAACCUAUGGCUGAAGCAUAGGGGACGGAGCACAUAUGUUCUCUAUCUUCAUCAGUUGCUGGGCACUGAGUCUUACUCAAUCUCGUACCUUGUAAAACUGGCAAGAACCCCUUCUUGGACUGUUCCAUUUUGAACCUCUUCAAAACUUUAUCAAGGUAUGUGCUUUGUGAAAGUCCUAUCAGGCGUUUUGAUCUAUCCCUAUAGAUCUUAAUGCCUAGAAUGUAAGCAGCUUCUCCUAGGUCCUUCAUAUAGAAACUUUUAUUCAAGUAAUCCUUUAUGCUCUCCAAAAACUCUACGUUGUUUCCAAUUAGCAAUAUGUCAUCCAUAUAAUAUUAGAAACGCCACAGAGCUCCCACUCACUUUCUUGUAAAUACAAGAUUCUCCAACCACUUGUAUAAACCCAAAUGCUUUGAUCACCUCAUCAAAGCAUUUGUUCCAACUCCGAGAUGCUUGCACCAGUCCAUAAAUGGAUCGCUGGAGCUUGCACAUCUUGUUAGCAUUCUUAGGAUCGACAAAACCUUCGGGUUGCAUCAUAUACAAUUCUUCCUUAAGGAAACCGUUAAGGAACGCCGUUUUGACAUCCAUCUGCCAGAUUUCAUAAUCGAAAAAUGCAGCUAUUGCUAACAUGAUUCUGACGGACUUAAGCAUCGCUACAGGUGAGAAUGUCUCAUCGUAGUCAACUCCUUAAACUUGUGAAAAACCAUUUACCACAAGUCGAGCUUUAUAAACGGUCACAUUGCCGUCAGCGUCUGUCUUCCUCUUAAAGAUCCGUUUGUUCUGAAUAGCCUUGCGGCCCUCAGGCAGUACCUCCAAAGUCCACACUUUGUUCUCAUACAUGGAUCCUAUCUCGGACUUCAUGGCUUCUAGCCAUUUGUUGGAAUCUGGGCCCACCAUUGCUUCUUCAUAAUUUGCAGGUUCAUUGUUGUCCAACAACAUGAUUGAUAAGACGGGAUUACCGUACCACUCUGGAGCAGCACGUGGUCACGUCGACCUGCGUGGUUCGACAGAAACUUGAACCGGAGUUUCAUGAUCAUCAUCAUUAACUUCCUCCUCAACCGGCGUCGCAAUGACAGAGGUUUCCCCUUGCCCUGCGCCACCAUCCAGAGGGAUGAGAGGUUCGACAACCUCGUCAAGUUCUAUCUUCCUCCCACUCAAUUCUCUCGAGAGAAACUCCUUCUCGAAAAAAGCUCCGUUUUUAGCAACAAACACUUUGCCCUCGGAUUUGAGAUAGAAGGUGUACCCAACUGUCUCUUUUGGGUAACCUAUGAAGAUGCACUUUUCCGCUUUGGGUUCCAGCUUUUCAGGCUGAAGCUUUUUGACAUAAGCAUCACAUCCCCAAACUUUAAGAAACGACAACUUUGGCCUUUUGCCAUUCCACAGUUCGUAUGGUGUCGUCUCAACGGAUUUCGAUGGUGCCCUACUUAAAGUGAAUGCAGCUGUUUCUAAUGCAUAACCCCAAAACGAUAACGGCAAAUCGGUAAGAGACAUCAUAGAUCGCACCAUCUCUAAUAAAGUACGAUUACGAUGUUCGGACACACCAUUACGCUGUGGUGUUCCAGGCGGUGUCAACUGUGAAACAAUUCCACAUUGUCUUAAGUGAGCACCAAACUCGAAACUCAGAUAUUCACCCCCACGAUCAGACCCUAGGAACUUGAUCUUCUUGUUACGAUGAUUUUCAACUUCACUCUAAAAUUGCUUGAACUUUUCAAAUGUUUCAGACUUGUGCUUCAUUAAGUAGACAUAACCAUAUCUACUCAAAUCGUCAGUGAAGGUGAGAAAAUAACGAUAUCCGCCGCGUGCCUCCACGCUCAUCGGACCACACACAUCGGUAUGUAUGAUUUCCAACAAGUCACUUGCACGCUCCAUUGUUCCGGAGAACGGAGUCUUAGUCAUCUUGCCCAUGAGGCAUGGUUCGCACGUGUCAAGUGAAUCAAAGUCAAGUGACUCCAAAAGUCCAUCGGCAUGGAGUUUCUUCAUGCGCUUUACACCAAUAUGACCUAAGCGGCAGUGCCACAAAAAUAUGGCGCUAUCAUUGUUAACUCUAACUCUUUUGGUCUCAAUGUUAUGUAUGUGUGUAUCGCUAUCAAGAUUCAAUAUGAACAAUCCUCUCACAUUGGGUGCAUGACCAUAAAAGAUGUUACUCAUAGAAAUAGAACAACCAUUAUUCUGUGACUUAAAAGAGUAACCGUCUCGCAAUAAACAAGAUCGAGAUAUAAUGUUCAUGCUCAACGCAGGCACUAAAUAACAAUGAUUCAAGUUCAUAACUAAUCCUGAUGGUAACUGAAGUGAAACUGUGCCGAUGGCGAUUGCAUCAACCUUGGAACCAUUUCCUACGCGCAUCGUCACUUCAUCUUUCGCCAGCCUUCGUCUAUUCCGCGGUUCCUGUUUCGAGUUACAAAUAUGAGCAACAGAACCACUAUCGAAUACCCAGGCACUACUACGAGAGCCGGUUAAGUACACAUCAAUAACAUGUAUAUCAAAUAUACCUGAUUUUUUCUUUGGCCGCCUUCUUAUCUGCGAGAUACUUGGGGCAAUUGCGCUUCCAGUGACCCAUACCCUUGCAAUAGUAACACUCUGUUUCAGGCUUAGGUCCAGCUUUGGGUUUCUUCGUUGGAUUGGCAACAGGCUUGCCGCUCUUCUUUGAAUUACCCUUCUUGCCUUUGCUGUUUCUCUUGAAACUAGUGGUCUUAUUCACCAUCAACACUUGAUGCUCUUUACGGAGUUCAGACUCUGCUACUUUCAGCAUCGCAAACAACUCGCCGGGUGACUUGUUCAUCCCUUGCAUGUUGUAGUUCAACACAAAGCCUUUAUAGCUUGGCGGCAGUGAUUGAAGGAUUCUGUCAGUGAUAGCCUCUUGCGGGAGUUCAAUCCCCAGCUCAGCUAGACGGUUUGAGUACCCAGACAUUUUGAGCACAUGUUCACUGACAAACAAGUUCUCCUCCAUCUUGCAGGCAUAGAAUUUAUCGGAGGUCUCAUACCUCUCGAUCCGGGUGUUCUUCUGAAAGAUAAACUUUAACUCCUGGAACAUCUCAAAUGCUCCAUGACGCUCAAAGCGACGUUGAAGUCCCGGUUCUAAGCCAUACAAGACUGCACAUUGAACUACUGAGUAGUCCUCCUUACGUGCUAACAAAGCGUUCUUAACAUCCUGAUCAGCCGUAGCGGGUGGUUCAUCUCCUAGCGCAGCAUUAAGGACAUAAUCCUUCUUCCCAGCUUGUAAGAUUAGCUUAAGAUUACGAGCCCAGUCUACAAAGUUGCUUCCAUCAUCUUUCAACUUAGCUUUCUCUAGGAACGUAUUAAAAUUCAGGGUGACUGUCGCGUGAGCCAUGAUCUACAACACAAAUAUAUUCAAAGUGGACUUAGACUAUGUUCAAGAUAAUUAGAGUUUAACUUAAUCAAAUUAUUCGCUAAACUCCCACUCAAAAAGUACAUCUCUCUUGUCAUUUGAGUGGUUCGUGAUCCACUUACACUAGCUCAAGUCCGAUCAUCACGUGAGUUGAGUAUAGUUUCAGUGGUAAGCAUCCCUAUGCUAAUCAUAUCAUCUAUAUGAUUCAUGAUCGACCUUUCGGUUUCAUGUGUUCCGAGGCCAUGUCUGCACAUGCUAGGCUCGUCAAGCUUAACCCGAGUGUUCCGCGUGCGCAACUGUUUUGCACCCGUUGUAUGUGAAUCUAUCACACCCGAUCAUCACGUGGUGUCUCGAAACGACGAACUGUAGCAACGGUGCACAGUCGGGGAGAACACAAUUUCGUCUUGAAAUUUUAGUGAGAGAUCACCUGAUAAUGCUACCGUCGUUCUAAGCAAAUUAAGGUGCAUAAAAGGAUUAACAUCACAUGCAAUUCAUAAGUGACAUGAUAUGGCCAUCAUCACGUGCUUCUUGAUCUCCAUCACCAAAGCACCGGCACGAUCUUCUUGUCACCGGCGCCACACCAUGAUCUCCAUCAACGUGUGGCCAUCGGGGUUGUCGUGCUACUCAUGCUAUUACUACUAAAGCUACAUCCUAGCAAAAUAGUAAACGCAUCUGCAAGCACAAACAUUAGUAUAAAGACAACCCUAUGGCUCCUGCCGGUUGCCGUACCAUCCCGGUACAUUCCCAAUAACUCCGAAAACCUUCCGGUAAUCAAAUGAGGUCAUCCUAUAUAUCAAUCUUCGUUUCCGGACCAUUCCGGAAACCCUCAUGACGUCCGUGAUCUCAUCCGGGACUCCAAACAACAUUCGGUAACCAACCAUAUAACUCAAAUACGCAUAAAACAACGUCGAACCUUAAGUGUGCAGACCCUGCGGGUUCGAGAACUAUGUAGACAUGACCCGAGAGACUCCUCGGUCAAUAUCCAAUAGCGGGACCUGGAUGCCCAUAUUGGAUCCUACAUAUUCUACGAAGAUCUUAUCGUUUGAACCUCAGUGCCAAGGAUUCAUAUAAUCCCGUAUGUCAUUCCCUUUGUCCUUCGGUAUGUUACUUGCCCGAGAUUCGAUCGUCAGUAUCCGCAUACCUAUUUCAAUCUCGUUUACCGGCAAGUCUCUUUACUCGUUCCGUAAUACAAGAUCCCGCAACUUACACUAAGUUACAUUGCUUGCAAGGCUUGUGUGUGAUGUUGUAUUACCGAGUGGGCCCCGAGAUACCUCUCCGUCACACGGAGUGACAAAUCCCAGUCUUGAUCCAUACUAACUCAACGAACACCUUGGGAGAUACCUGUAGAGCAUCUUUAUAGUCACCCAGUUACGUUGCGACGUUUGAUACACACAAAGUAUUCCUCCGGUGUUAGUGAGUUAUAUGAUCUCAUGGUCAUAGGAACAAAUACUUGACACGCAGAAAAUAGUAGCAACAAAAAGACACGAUCAACAUGCUACGUCUAUUAGUUUGGGUCUAGUCCAUCACGUGAUUCUCCUAAUGACGUGAUCCAGUUAUCAAGCAACAACACCUUGUUCAUAAUCAGAAGACACUGACUAUCUUUGAUCAACUGGCUAGCCAACUAGAGGCUUGCUAGGGACAGUGUUUUGUCUAUGUAUCCACACAUGUAAAUGAGUCUUCAUUCAAUACAAUUAUAGCAUGGAUAAUAAACGAUUAUCUUGAUACAGGAAUUAUAAUAAUAACUAUAUUUAUUAUUGCCUCUAGGGCAUAAUUCCAACACGAUCUUGUGUGAGUCCAUGGUGGUUUCGUGAGCCCCUUGGGAGCUCCUAUUCCAUGUUGAAACCAUGUAUUUGUUGUUAUAACUCUGGCAUCUGGCCCAUGAUACUCCUGCUUAGUGUGGUUAUGUGCUUCGCUCACUCGCUUAGUUUAUUUUUUCAUCGUUCCCUUUGUACCUAAGAAAAAAAAACAUAUUUUUUUAUUUUGAAAAGUUCAUCAAAUCGAGAGAUAUUCAUGAAUUUUAAGAUUGGUGCGAAUUAAAAAAAACAUAAAUGUGAAUAAAUUUCCACAUCUUAAAAAAAUGCUCAUCGCAUUUAAAAAGAUUCACAUAGUUUUUAAUUGUUUUUUAACUUUAAAAAUAUGCAUAAAUUUUAAAAACAUUGAUGAAUUUGUAAAAUAAAAAUUCAUGUCUUUUAAAAAUGUUCAUGAUUCUUUUAAACACUCAUGAAUUAAAAUGUGAAAAAGAAAUAAAAAAGAGAAGGCUUUUUUAUAAAAAAUUAAAAGAGAGGAAAAACAAGAACUAAAAGAGUAUUAAAACAGGUAGAAAAAAGAAGGAAAAAUUAAAGAAAACAGUCAAGGCCUUCUAAAACCUUGCUAAAACCACGAACGCCAACAAAGGCAUUAUGGUUAUAUAAAUGUCCAUUACUCUCAAGCAACAACACACACCUUCCAAAUGAAGCCAUAGCGACCUCGCAGCCAUCGAUGCACGAGAAAGAUCCAAAUCGAAGGACCUUCGUAUCCUACUUGUAGAUAUUAGUUAGAUUUCAGGUUUCCAUGAAAUUUCUGAAAAAAAAGAAACGGGCAAAAGAUUUGUCGCAAGGAGGGGAAAUGAUGUUUAUGUUACAAGCCUCCAAGCUAUAAAUACGUUACUCUCCUGGAACGAUGGUCCCUAACUUUUUGGCGCUUGCGGUGAUCCAAAGCCUAGCUUCGAUCCUGAUGUUGUUGAACGAGAUUGUCGACGGAGAGGACCUGUUGCGGAAGACCUUCGCGUUGCGUCCAUUCCAGAUAACCCAAGCUAUUAGCAUGGUAAGGGAGGCCCGGGCCUUGCGAUAUGGCACUGUGAUGUUGGAGCGGUUGAGCCACCAGUCUUUGACCGAUGGCAUGGCAAAAAUGUGGUCUGCUCGUUAUAUGUAUGUGGGUUACUUGGGGGCAAAGAUGGGUGUGUGCUGAUCCGAAGGCGCAGAAGCAUGUCAUAAGGCUGACAACAAUCUCGCAACGAGAGGCUCAUAUAACAAGCAUUGCUGCAUCGCCGAAUGAAGAUAACAAAUAAAUAANNNNNNNNNNNNNNNNNNNNNNNNNNNNNNNNNNNNNNNNNNNNNNNNNNNNNNNNNNNNNNNNNNNNNNNNNNNNNNNNNCCCGCCGCUCCAGAGCCAGGCCAAGUCUCCCCCCAACCUCCCAGAACCCGAAUUGUUAAACCGUGCAUCCAUCCAUCCAUUCAAUUGUUAAUUUGUUAAUCCUGAAUGGUUAGAAUUUAUAAGGAAACUAAAACGCGAUGCGCUAAAGUAUGCUAAUGCUGGAAUUUCCAAUCACAGAAUUGAUAAUCAACUUCAAUGUCGAGUUAGGCUCUCAAGCCUGAACUCAAAAGCAACCGCUGUGGCCGGCGUUGAUAUUUUAGGAUUACCUUCCAUGGUCCACUCCAAAUGUCAAGUUAACGUCCAAAGAACAGCGAGCAACUCUGACUUGUUUUCAAAUGAUUUACCGAGUGAUGGAUCGUUCGAUCGUUUACCCGUCCAUCGUGUGCAGCGUACGUUGUGCUAGAACUACAAGCAAGCAAGCACGCAUGACCGUCAGACGAUGCUGACAGAGAGAGAGGGAGAUCCAUCGAUCUGCAGAUUGACAGAUCCAGCGACUCGAUCCUCUCCCUGCAGAUUGAAAUCCAACUCAUCAUCAUGUCUUCUUCUUUAUCCUCUUAAUUAAUUACGUAUCACUCUCGAAGGGAGAUGGCCAGAUGCGUCCCCCCUUGCUUGAACCACUCGUAAUCGAACAAGGGAAAAAAGAUAAACCUCUCAACUGUUCGUGGCGUCCGACUCAGCAGAGAGAGAGAGAGAGGUCGUUGCUGCCGGACUCAACUUUCUUAAGGCCGGGCGAGGCCGUCGCCGUCGCCCGACCGUCCACAUACUCUAAGCGGCGCACGCAUCAAGCCCGCCGGCCGGCCGGUCCGGAUGCGUGCGACCUCUAGCUAGCUAGCUAGCUUAGAUCAAACCCUGAUUUGUUUGCUUUGUUUUUCCCAUCUCUUUUGUCCAUGGCGAUGGACGCCAAGCUAGCUGUCUGGCUGCCUCCCGCUGCCACGUCGCCAUUCUUCCAUCNNNNNNNNNNNNNNNNNNNNUAAACUAAACUAAACUAAGCUAAGCUAAGCAUGGUGCUGGCUAGCUGUGGCCACAAGUUGAGCAAGCCUUGCUGAAUGAAUGCUGCUGUCUGUCCUAACCCCUGAGCUGCAGCACACUAAUCAUUUGCUUGUCCUUUUCCAUGCAUCACCCACCAUCAACUUACCACCUCCUCCGAUCAUAUACCCACACCGUCUCCUCUCCAUUGAUCCCACCCCACCCCACCCCCUCUACCCCUCUCUCUCNNNNNNNNNNNNNNNNNNNNNNNNNNNNNNNNNNNNNNNNNNNNNNNNNNNNNNNNNNNNNNNNNNNNNNNNNNNNNNNNNNNNNNNNNNNNNNNNNNNNAUGAUGCCACUGUUGGGGAACGUCGCAUGGCAAACAAAAAAUUUCCUACGCGCACGAAGACCUAUCAUGGUGAUGUCCANNNNNNNNNNUGAACCGUCCCGCGAUCAGUACCACGAUCUAGUGCCGAACGGACGGCACCUCCGCGUUCAGCACACGUACAGCUCGACGAUGNNNNNNNNNNACGCCCCGCGAACAGUCCCGCGAUCAGUCCCACGAUCUAGUGCCGAACGGACGGCACCUCCGCGUUCAACACACGUACAACUCGACGAUGAUAUCGGCCUUCUUGAUCCAGCAAGAGAGACGGAGAGGUAGAAGAGUUCUCCGGCAGCGUGACGGCGCUCCGGAGGUUGGNNNNNNNNNNNNNNNNNNNUCGCGUUCAGCAUACGUACAGCUCGACGAUGAUCUCGGCCUUCUUGAUCCAGCAAGAGAGACGAAGAGGUAGAAGAGUUCUCCGGCAGCGUGACGGCGCUCCGGAGGUUGGUGAUGACCUUGUCUCAGCAGGGCUCCGCCCCGAGCUCCGCAGAAACGCAAUCUAGAGGAAGAACCGUGGAGGUAUGUGGUCGGGCUGCCGUGGAAAGUCGUCUCAAAUCAGCCCUAAAACCUCCGUAUAUAUAGGUGGGAGNNNNNNNNNNNNNNNNNNNNNNNNNNNNNNNNNNNNNNNNNNNNNNNNNNNNNNNNNNNNNNNNNNNNNNNNNNNNNNNNNNNNNNNNNNNNNNNNNNNNGAACAAGGUGUUGUUGCUUGAUAACUGGAUCACGUCAUUAGGAGAAUCACGUGAUGGACUAGACCCAAACUAAUAGACGUAGCAUGUUGAUCGUGUCGUUUUGUUGCUACUGUUUUCUGCGUGUCAAGUAUUUGUUCCUAUGACCANNNNNNNNNNUGUGGAUACAUAGACAAAACACUGUCCCUAGCAAGCCUCUAGUUGGCUAGCCAGUUGAUCAAAGAUAGUCAGUGUCUUCUGAUUAUGAACAAGGUGUUGUUGCUUGAUAACUGGAUCACGUCAUUAGGAGAAUCCCGUGAUGGACUAGACCCAAACUAAUAGACGUAGCAUGUUGAUCGUGUCAUUUUGUUGCUACNNNNNNNNNNUGAGAUCAUAUAACUCACUAACGCCGGAGGAAUACUUUGUGUGUAUCAAACAUCGCAACGUAACUGGGUGACUAUAAAGAUGCUCUACAGGUAUCUCCGAAGGUGUUGUUGAGUUAGUAUGGAUCAAGACUGGGAUUUGUCACUCCGUGUGACGGAGAGGUAUCUCGGGGCCCACUCGGUAAUACAACAUCACACACAAGCCUUGCAAGCAAUGUGACNNNNNNNNNNNNNNNNNNNNNNNNNNNNNNNNNNNNNNNNNNNNNNNNNNNNNNNNNNNNNNNNNNNNNNNNNNNNNNNNNNNNNNNNNNNNNNNNNNNNGUCACAUUGCUUGCAAGGCUUGUGUGUGAUGUUGUAUUACCGAGUGGGUCCCGAGAUACCUCUCCGUCACACGGAGUGACAAAUCCCAGUCUCGAUCCAUACUAACUCAACUAACACCUUCGGAGAUACCUGUAGAGCAUCUUUAUAGUCACCCAGUUACGUUGCGACGUUUGAUACACAUAAAGCAUUCCUCCGGUGUCAGUGAGUUAUAUGAUCUCAUGGUUAUAGGAACAAAUACUUGAUACGCAGAAAACAGUAGCAACAAAAUGACACGAUCAACAUGCUACGUCUNNNNNNNNNNUUAGUCCAUCACAUGAUUCUCCUAAUGAUGUGAUCCCGUUAUCAAGUAACAACACUUGCCUAUGGCCAGGAAACCUUGGCCAUCUUUGAUCAACGAGCUAGUCAACUAGAGGCUUACUAGGGACAGUGUUUUGUCUAUGUAUCCACACAAAUAUUAUGUUUCCAAUCAAUACAAUUAUAGCAUGGAUAAUAAACGAUUAUCAUGAACAAAGAAAUAUAAUAAUAACUAAUUAUUAUUGCCUCUAGGGCAUAUUUCCAACAGAUAAUAAACACAUAAUUGUAUGGUGUCUGCUUUUAUCCAAAUCACUAGAAGCAAAAUCUUAAUCCAUGUACCGAACGAGUCAUCAAAGAUAGAAAGGAACGUUGAACAUCGUAUUUGCAAUAUUUCCAGUAUUAUAGAUGUAGAAACCAGCAUUGUUAAUCAAGGUUUUUCUUUAAAGUGUAUUUCUCCCUUCAAAAUACCAUCCAUCUAAUUUGUUAAAGUAUGGAACUCUCGCCCAGAGCCGCGGAACUCAUGACUCUAUUAGAAAGUAGAAUGACCAACUUUUACAUGAAUUUUCAAGUGGAUGAGAUCAGUCGAAUGGUCUCUGUUCGAGAUGGGAUAGUAUGUGUUUAUGGACUGAACGAGAUUCAAAGCAGGAGAAAUGAUGGAAUUUGCCAGCGGUGCAAAAGGAAUCAUUUUUAAUCUUGAGAAUGAGAGUAGGUAUUGUUAUCUUUGGUAGUAAUACCACUAUUAAAGGACAUAUUGUCAAACACACUAGAUCUAGUGUGGAUGUACCUACGGUUGAGAAACUAGAGAACCAGAAACACAAGCUUUCUAGGAAAGAUACUUCAAAACGAAUAACAUUUCUUCGAAGCAAGAUUGCAGGAUCAGCCUAACUGAGUAAACAUUGAGACGAGUUUCUUGUCUAGAAAUCUGUGCCAUCAAGAAAAAUUCUUGAAGGUUCUUCUACCCUCCACAAAAUGUACCGGGACACCAAAGCUCGUGCGCAAAUUGUCUUCAAAAUCAAACCAAGCCUGAGCGUUGAGGUCCGAAAGUGUCAUGAUUGAAAACCCGAAACACAAUGGGUCGGUAUGGUGCCUAUAGCUGCCGGAGUGUCCGCGAGAGGGAAAGGGGUGGUUGACGCGACCGGGGCGUGGUCAGCACCAGGGGGUCAGUGGUCGCCGCCGGUGAGGGGCUGAUUACGCAGAUGCUAGCAUGGGGCUAGGGGCUAGUACAGCUCGCGCCGAGUGUACUUACAUGUUUGUCAUGUAGUUCAAAUAUCAUAUUGAAGUAAAUUAUAAAUUUUGGCAUUCUACUUACUGUGUAAGUUCAACACACGAUUUUACCAUACAUACAUAGGGAGGUACAUUUCUUAUUCAUUGAUUUUUUUACAAGAGUUAUAAAUAGAUACUCAUUGCAUAUUUUAUUUGGAGUACGGACGUCAGAAAAAAAUCCUACAUCCGCAGUCUAAUUAAUGAACAUCAUGUUCAUUGCCCUUUGCCCUGGCAGGCCCGACGCAAAGGCACCGGAGGGUCGGAGAGAGCGCCGUCCACGAUCUGGUCGAAGAUAAACUUGUAAGCCGCUUCGGUCAAGUGCACCCCAUCCCAGCUCACGCUCUUGGACGGGUCCACGCACGACUUCCCCCCCAGGACCGGAUCGCCACACCGGAUGUUCUUGUCGAAGUUGUAUUGGCCGCCGCCGUACCCGCAGCACACGCGCAGAGGAUCCCCAAAACCGAACUUUUUGGCUUCGCUCAUCAGCUUGUACAUGGCGGCGUACAGGUCGACGUAGGUGAAGGCGGCCUCUGGGAGAGCGACCCUAAGCCUCGCCACGACCUCCUUGAGCCGGGCGUUGAAGAACCGGGGGCCGGCGUUGAGCGCGAUGGAGCAGCCGGCGUCAUCCUUCUCUCCGGCAAGGUCCGGUCGGUAGACCAGGCCGUAGGGGAGGCACCCGAACGUCCCCGUGUUGUGCACCCAGAAGUACCUCCCGCCGAGGUUGUACACCGUCUGGAUCGCCGACUCGAGCCUCUCCAUCAGAUCGGGGACGUAGGCUUCCACUUGCUCCGUGGUCAUGUUGUCUAGGUAGCCCAUGGCGAGGUCGUUGGCGCCGAUUUUGAAGGUGUAAAGCGCCUUGGAGACCAGGUGCUCGGGGUUCGGCAGGAUCUCCCGGUAGACUCCGCCUACGUUGUUGUAGAUGUGCGAUAACUAUGUCACAUCUAAAUGUGUCCUAAACACACCCUUGCUAAAAAUACAUCCAGGAGCUGCAUUUAAGUUUGAUUUUCACCUAUGUUGUUGUAGACGAAGCGGCUCCUGNNNNNNNNNNGCUGCACGUCCAGGGAAAUGGGGCUGUACCCGGAGGUCCACAGGCUCCCGUUCACCCGUCUGAUGGUUCCGGCGGCGCUCGCGAAAUUGGCUCCCUGCGUGAAGUUGCUCCCUAGUGAAUCCAGGUACGCAUUCAGGUAACGUAGCCCCAGGUUUUGAGCUGCGAUACGUCGUACGUGUUAGGAAAAAUAAAAAAUCUCUAGUUUUGAGUUGUUUGUGCAGGAAAGAAAAAACUCUAAAUCCAUCCUAGUUUUGAGUUGUAGAUAAAUGUCAUGAGUACCCAUGAAGUCGAUGACGAGGCGGCCGUCGCUCUGCCGCCCGGCCGGCAUGCCGAAGAAGGUCUGGCCGUAGGGCGGCUGCACCGCCGGGAAGNNNNNNNNNNGAGGAGUCGCCGAAGUUGAAGAUGGCCGGGAAGCCGCACGGGGAAUCUUCGGAGCGCACCAUUUCUAGUACCACCAGCAACACCACGAACGUGAUCAGUUUGUUGGUGGCCAUGGUGGUGCGACGGCGAGCUGAAAUCAUUUCCGACCUCUCGACCGUGUGCCGUGACGGUGAAGCUGCUUGAAGUGGAUUUAUACACGCCGGCACCGAGGUCGUCACAGUCGAGCACCCGUGUUGGACUGGCGGUCUCCGACGUGAUCCUAAAGAGAUGGAAUAGCUACGUUUUGUUGACAACUAGUAUUAAGCGGCUGAUUUCCAUGCACCACCCUCCAUAGACCAACGGGUCAUCACCGUUUGCGUGGCACCUUAGGACAAGCAACAAGGCGUGCUUGACCCUUGAUUACUCUCUAGCACUACAGUAUCUUGACGUUUAGUUCCAUGGUGACGUGGCCAAGAUGCAUUCAUUUCUGCGAGAAAUAAUUAUGGACUGAUGAAAUAUCUUCUGUACAAUAUUUGAGUAGCGACACGUGUCGGAGUGGGAACAAGUGAAGGCGAUGGAUUCGGGGGCGGCGAUCAACUCGAUGCUGCAGACUGAAGAACGAUCAGGAUGCAUGAAGUCCUUUUGCGUUUGUCUUUCAAACUAUGCUCUCGUUUCGCAUGCGGAUUAUGCUUUAUUGUUUAAAUUCGAACUCAUUUGCCGAAAUCGCUGUCAAAUUCCAACUAUGUUCUAUUGCGUGGUUUUUCGGUUUGCGGGUCGCCGCGGUGGCACCCGAGCACACACCACAUUGACAACCCGUAUAAUAGCAUUUUUUUGCGAAUAUGCUUUAUACGGCUCCGUUUUGGGGGGUCCACCUCUGUCCGCACCCGCGCCGCCCGCAAGAUCCAUUUUUCACGAACUGUAAACGAUUUUUGCGGGUCGAAAUUAUACGGGGUCUGCUAGAAAUGCCCUUAUGAUCAUGUUGGAGCACCAGCCCAAAACGGAUGAUGGACUCCGACGACUUGACGGUGCCGGCGUGUAUGAAUCCUGACGGCCAGUGCCAUUCUCAAAAGGACAAAAGAAGAAAAAAAGGACCAGUCCAGUAGUAAUGCAUGUGGUACUUCAUGUUCUGGAUGGAUGCUGGACUUGACUUGCCGGCCGGCCUGUAUAAACCACAAAUCAUUUUCCCUGCAGCUUCACCGUCACGGGCACCGGACGAGCGGCGGGAAAUGGCUUGAGCUCAUGGUUGAACUACCAUGGCGACCAAUCUCAUGUCCGUCGUGUUGCUAAUGGUGAUAAAGCUCUCUGCUGGGGCGCGCUCUGACGAAUCCCCGUGCAGCUUCCCGGCAAUCUUCAAUCUCGGUGACUCCAACUCGGACAACGGAGCUUUCCCGACCCUCUUUCCGGCUGUGCAGCCGCCCUACGGCCAGACCUUCUUGGGCAAUGGGCAUGCCGGCCGGGCGGCAAAGCGACGGCUGCCUCACCAUCGACUUCCUGGGUACACAUCUAUCUACAACAUCUCAUAGGGAUCGUAUGCAUCGUGCUGCUGCAGAGGUGAUAACCGAUGAUUUUAUUUCCUAACACACGUAACGUACGUAUUGCAGCUCAAGCAUGUUACCUGAGUGCAAUUUACUCAAUAUAACAUGUUUGUCAUGUAGUUCACCAUAGAUAUAUUUCUUAUUCAUAGAUUUUCUACACGAUAUUAUCUCAUUGCAGAUUUUAUUUGGAUUACGGAUACUAGUGCAGAUUUUAUUUGGAGUACGGAUGUCUGGAAAAAUAAUCCUACAUUCAGAAUCUAAUUAAUGAACAUCAUGCGCAUUGCCCUUUGCCCUGGCAGGCCCCACGCAAAGGCACCGGAGGGUCGGAGAGAGCGCCGUCCACGAUCUGGUCGAAGAUGAAUUUGUAAGCCGCCUCUGUCAAGUGCACCCCAUCCCAGCUCACGCUCUUCGAUGGGUCCUCGCAAGACUUCCCCUCUAGGACCGGAUCACCGCACCGGAUGUUCUUGUCGAAGUUGUACUGGCCGCCGCCGUACCCGCAACACACACGCAGAGGAUCCCCAAAACCGAACUUUUUGGCUUCGCUCAUCAACUUGUACGUGGCGGCGUACACGUCGACGUAGGUGAAGGCGGCCUCGGGGAGAGCCACCCUGAGCCUCGCCACGGUCUCCUUGAGCCGCGCAUUGAAGAACUGGGGGCCGGCGUUGAGCGCGACAGAGCAGCCGGCGUCGUCCUUCUCCGCGGCGAGGUCAGGGCGGUAGACCAGGGCGUAGGGGAGGCACCCGAGCGUCCCCGUGUUGUGCACCCAGAAGUACCUCCCGCCAUGGUUGUACACCGUCUGGAUCGCCGACGCGAGCCUCUCCAUUAGAUCGGGGACGUAGGCCUCCACUUGGGCCGUGGUCAUGUUUUCUAGGUAGCCCAUGGCGAGGUCGUUGGCGCCGAUGUCGAAGGUGUAAAGCGCCUUGGAGACCAGGUGAUCUGGUUUGGGCAAGAUCGCUCGGUAGAUUCCACCUGCGUCGAUAUCGAGGAACCUCCGGUAAGAAAUUGCUAAAAGACAUCUAGAUGUGAGAUAACUAUUGCACAUCUAAGUCCUAUGUGAUUGACCUUACGUCGAGAUUCGUGUGAGUAUCUUUUUUACUUUUUACUUUUUUUUAUGCUUGAUUUAGCAUUUUAGAUGUGCGAUAAUUAUGUCACAUCUAGAUGUGUCCUAGACACACCCUUGCUACAAAAUAUAUAUCGAGGAGCUGGAUUUAAGUUUGAUUUUCACCUAUGUUGUUGUAGACGAAGCGGCUCCUGUUGAUGAACUGCUGGAAUUGCCAGAUCUGCACGUCCAAGGAAAUGGGGCUGUAUCCGGAGGUCCACAAGCUCCCGUUCACUCGUCUGAUAGUUCCAGCGGCGCUCGCGAAAUUGGCUCCCUGCGUGAAGUUGCUCCCUAGCGAAUCCAGAUACGCAUUCAGGUAACGCAGCCCCAGGCUUUGAGCUGCGGCACAUACGUGUCAGGGAAACAAUAUAGAAAAUCUCCAGUUUUGAGAUGUUGUAGGUAGAUGUGUGUACCCAUGAAGUCGAUGGUGAGGCGGCCGUCGCUCUGCCUCCCGGCUGGCAUGCCGAAGAAGGUCUGGCCGUAGGGCGGCUGCACCGCCGGGAAGNNNNNNNNNNUAGGAGUCGCCGAAGUUGAAGAUCGCCGGGAAGUCGCACGGAGAUUCAUCGGAGCGCACCCUCUCUAGUACCACCAGCAACACGACGAACGUGAUGAGUUUGCUGGUCGCCAUGGUGGUGCGGCGGCGAGCUCUCGGCCGGUGUCCCUGACGGUGAAGCGGCUGGGAGAGGAUUUAUAAUACACGCCGGCACCAGCAGGUCGUCAGAGUCCAGCACCCGUGUUGGACUGGCGGUUGGAAUAGCUACGUUUUGUUGAUAAGUAUCCUCCCCGUGUGAUGUUGAUGCACCACCCUCUAGAGAAUGACGGGUGAUCACCGUUUGCGUGGCACCUUAGGACAAGCAACUACGAGGCGUGCUUGACCCUUGAUCACUCUCUAGUGCUACAGUAUCUUGACGUUCGGUUCCAUGGUGAUGUGGCCAAUAUGCAUCCAUUUUUACGACAAAUAAUUCUGAACGGAUGAAAUAUCAUGUACAGUAUUUGACGUUAUCAUGAUGAUGAUGUGGCCAAAACCGUUAUUACUUCUGUCAGAGAACUUGCGCAGAACAAGGAAAAACGUGUGUGGGAGGGUCAGAGACACGUAUCUGAACGGUGACGUGGCCCGCCUAGUGUCCGUCAGCAGCAACGCGGUGUUUCGAGUGGAGCAUGUCGUCGGUGGUCUAGCUCGUGAGCGACCCGAUCAAGUAGGAGGAUUUCAAGUUCAAGAUCCGUGUGUUUACUGUUAGAGACUCACUACUCGCCCCGAUCUCUCGUUUGAUUUACUCAUGGAUACAGGUUAAAAUGUUGUUGUGUCACUAGUGGCUGGUGGCCCUUGUUUUAUGGUUGGCCCGCACAGUGGACGGUGGCUAAGAGCAUCCCUAAGAAACUCCGUAUAAUGCUCCGAUCUGUAAAAUAACUAUCGAAAUAUGGAUCGGGGAAGAAAUUGCUAUCAGACCAGACCCCGCAAACGCGUCCGAUCUGUAAAUUUUUUUGUCGGGGCGACAAAAAUUCGUCCUCAACCUUCAGAUUCACGGGGUGGGAGGCCGAUCCAAGCUCGUUCCUUAUCCGCAACGAGAUUUGGCACGAGAGAAAUUUCCGCACGGCCGUUCCCCGCUCCCCCUCCUCGACAACCAUUUCCCCGCCCACCGCGCGUUCUGGACCUUCUUCCCCGCCAUUCUUAGCCGGCGUGGAAGCCUCCCACCCGACGGAUCUCGUAAACGUGGAGGUCGCGCACGUGCAAUCAUGUCCGGCGGAUCUCGUUGCCGGCCAUGUCGCCCCCGACGUUGCCUAAGCCACCAAUGCGCCUGCCCACAAGUGGCAAGGCAACGUUGUCAUGCAGGGCGGCAUUCCGGUUGGCCCCGCCGGAAGGGAAGGCGCGCUGGGCGCCACCGCUGCUGCGUGAACUGCUUGGCCGCCUGCGCGGAAGAUGGGCAAGGUUUCGGGCGUGAAGCGAAAGAAUGUUCAUACGAAAAAACCGUCGUACACUCACUCCGUCCUGGUGAGACGUUCCCCGACGGUGCCUUUCUACGGCGCUGCUUCCACCGCAGGCGAGGUGUUCGAUGAAAGGACCGGAAGGUAUGCAUCUUCGCUCGCUUAUUUUUGCUUUGAUUUUUCGCCAUUGUGGUAGGUCAUGAUGUGCUGUCACUCAAUGUAGAGGAGGAUGCUUGCGUAUUAUGACGGCGAUGGUUUCUCGUUUGAAGUCGAAACCAAUAUCGCCGAUGAUUUCGGUGCUGGAGUAGGGACAAAUGCAAGCGAUGGAUUCAAGGGAGUCGAUGGAUUCAGAGGCGGCGAUGACCUCGAUGGUGCGGAGUGAAGAGCGACCCGGAUGCAUGAGGUCCUUUUGCGUUUGUCUUUUAAACUAUGCUUUCAUUUCACGCGCGAACUAUGUUUUAUUGUUAAAAUUUGAACUCAUUUGCCGGAACCGCUGUCAAAUUUGAACUAUGGUUUAUUGGAAGGUUUUCCGGUUUGCGGGUCGACGCGGCGGCGUCCGAGCAGAUCCCGCAUUGACGAUCCGUAUAAUAGCAUCUUCUGCGAAUAUCCUUUUUUAUGACCGUUUUGGGGAAUCUGCCUCUGUCUGCGUCUGUGCAGGUCCGUAAAAGCCGUUUUUCGCGAAGUGUGAACGACUUUUGCGGGUUCGGCUUUAUACGCGUUUUGCUAGAGAUGCUCUACCACCUCCCCCUUUUUAACCCGACUUAUUCCCCAGCCGUUGCCACAUAGAGCUUUCCAAGAUCCCGAGUUGCUUGAACAUUCCUUAUCGUGUCGAAAUCGCCAUGGCAGUUGUUGUAGUAGUAACUAUUUUUUUUUAGAAAAGGAGGAUUACCUCCGGCCUGUGCAUCAGCACGAUGCAUACAACCCCUUUAUUUAGCAAGCAAACAAAUAUCGGUCCAACAUUGCAGUGGUAGCUAUGGUCGAGGUCGACUUGAACAAGAUCAAAGGAGAAGCCGUCCUCGAUGUAGUAGUCACAGCCGUUGGGAACUUGCUCGAGGAUGCUGUCUAAAUAAAUAGGAAGGGGGGUACAAAGUAUAAGCACAAACUUUAGUGUGGUACCAAGUAUAACACAUACUACACUUUAUAAGGAGAAGGAAGAAUCAAAAUAUAUUAUACUUCCAGCAUGUUUUUCAUCUGUGCGCAAUUACAAAUUAAGAAUAAACUUAUAGCCUCACAACUUGGCUACGCGGAAAUACGCAUAGUUACUUAGUCAAACCAUAAACUAAGGAUGAGAACUAGGGUUGGAUCGUGGGAUUCUGAGAAAGAAAGUGAGAAGGGUGUGGUCGAGGGGUGGUUUUGGACUUCCAGGCCUGUUGAGCUGUGAUUUUCUUAUUUUUGCAUCAUGUGCAUGUUACAACGCUACACGUUACAACAUUAUAGCAAGGCAUAGCGUCCUAAUUAUGUGAUUAGCAUCGUAGCGGAUGAAUUUGUUAAAAUGUAGCAUCUUCUUUUCUAAUACGCUUUAACCAAAAUUGCGCGCUAUUUUUUUUCGUUCGACGUGUCAUAAUUUUUAUUAGCAUUCUUUCAAACCCUUAGGAAACAAUUCUUUGAUUUUGCUGUGAUGGAGUCAAGCAAACAAAUAUCUCGCGAAUUGCGGCGCUGAUGGAGGUGCAAGUGGCAGCCGCGGAGCUCGCCGCUGGCCGUUGGGGCGAGCGGCGGCGGUGGCGGCCAGAUGUUUAGGGUUUGCAUUCGAAGCGAUUUUGCAGAUGGUAUUGCGAGAAUGCCUGGUUGCCAUGAUCUGAUCAAAGAUUAUCUUGUUUUUUCUAACGGAACAUUUUGGUGCCCUGUAUCAAAUUUUCGAUCUGAAACUGAAAGAUCGACCGUACAUGCUUUUCUGCUUCAUUCGCUGUCAUAUAUGGCCAUCUCUAUUAUUGCUCGGUAACUUUGCAUUUCGCUGGAAGCAAUCUGCAGAAGGCUGGUGGGGAAAGGACCGUGGCGGCGGAGAGCUGCGACCGAGUCCGAGGCCAAGGCCGCGGCAUCGAAGAUCACGGUCAACUUAGAACCCAAGUUGCUGGAGUGCUCCGGCUGCUGCAGCCCAUUGGCUCCACCCAUUUUCCAGGUACCCAACAGGAGUACAGGACCUUGUAUUCCUUUGCUGAAUGCUUUCUGCAUUUUACUAGAUUCAGUUAUACCCUGCAGUUUAGGUAUGCUGGAUUAUUGACCAUUUGUAUAGUUUCUGAUACCAUCUGCAUGUUGAUGUAUAGUUUCUCCUACUUCACUUUCAGCAAAUCUUGCGACCGUCAAUUAGUAUGCUGCUUCUAGACUUCUGAUUCCUUUUCUUCUGAAUUCAGUACAACUGGUUCGAAUCUUACUAGUGAAGACAAUAAACUUAAAAUGUGGACAGAUUGUUCACAACUCAUUUAGUUAUGUCUCUGACAAGAGCAAUAUUGUUAUGACCGACACUACUUAUAGCCGGAGGAGGCCUAAUUGGCCCGUUUAGUUAGGGGCUUAGCCCAAGUUAUCUUAUUUUUAUUAGUAGUACUAGCAAAAGCGUCCGUGCGUUGCAACGGGAGAAAAAAAAUCACCAUCUUCAAUAACGAUGACCACAUUAUGUUCAUAUCUCAUCGCAUAAUUUCAAAAAUUUGUUCACAAAUGCAAGAAAAUAUUUCUUCUUUUAAUUUUAUUCACAAUUCAAAAGUUGAAAAAUGUUCAUAUAUUUUUUUUUAAAAUCAUGGUUGUCAAAAAACUUGGUAACUCAAAGAAUUAUUCUGAAUUUCAAUUUUUUUAAAUAUACUAUAAUAUUUCGAUUCACCCCGACAACUAAUUCUUCAAAAUUUACUCAGGUAUAUAAUCAAAAAGACUCAGAAGCAUUACCAUUUAACUGCAUACAUUCAAUCAUUCGUGAACAUUUUUAAAAUCGAGAUUUUUUUACUAUGUAUAAACAUUUCUUUAAAAUUCCAAACAAUAUUUUAAAUUACGAACUGUUUUCAAGUAUUUUCUUGUGAAUUGGCGAAUAAUUUAUUUAUUAAAAAUUAGCCAGCUUUUAUGUUGACCAGUGGGCAGUUCUACAACCAUUUGAAUUAAAACUAAAACUGAGCCAUCCACAUAGUUUUAGAACACAGAUGAAAACACACUCUUAAUUUCACAGAACGUUUUUUUGCAUAAACACCAAAAAUAAGAAUAACAGGAGGAUCACUCCCGGCUCCAUUUUCAUCACGAAGCCCAUGACCAUAGGCACCAACAGCAUCUCUUGAGAAGCAGUACUGAAAAUAUUACAAAACAGAAUCAUGGAUUCAUGAUGCAUCAAAGGCAAACAUCAGAGAUAGUAAAUCUUAUAGGAUCUGAACAGCAGCACCUCUUUAGAUGGAGACAGUUGGACGCUUCCCCCCUUGGUGGUAAAGAAGGCCAGAGGUAGCUGUCCAAGAUUGAUAUAUUGGUGCAGAGGAGCUAUGCUAAAUUUGUGGACAGGCGGUAACACGAAAUAGAAACAGAACGAAUGGGGCUGGAAUCCCCUACCUAUUUCAAUCUCUGCACACUGCACGGUAUGAAGAUCCAAACGAAAAUUACAGGAAUUAACUUUCUUUGCUGAGAAAUAUUAAAAUGCCAUAAGAAGCUGGUGGUGACCAGGUUCAGAUGGAGAGAACCAAGAAUCCCAUUGCAUUCAUAUUCAACCAAGAAGUGACCUUAAUGAUGAUAUGGUUUGCAGUAGAGAAUACAGAAUUCACACUUUGAGAGCAAAAAUUAGUGACUCAAAUACUGCAUCGUUGAAGCUCUUCAGAAAAUUGGUGAGCAGAUGAACCCACCGUUCUUGCCCCUUCUCCUCAUUUGUUGCUGGAUGCUAUAAGAAGAACACCACCUUGGCUGAAAUCUGCAUCAGGUCAAUUGCCAUGAAACUAUCUCCAUCGGGUCAAUUGUCCACAAAACAUCCAAGGUCGCCACCGAGUUCGCGGAAAAAGAAGCUCCGACUUCGUCGGAGGUAGAAGAUCAUCCGUUGAGCACUCCAAUGUCGCCUGCUGCGGCUACACGAGAGGUAUGUAUCACACCGACCACUGUAUUUUACACAAUGUUUCCUUGUUGAGUGUGAACGAAGAACAACACCAGGGCUGAUAUGCCUCCUGCAGCCAGUGAUUUCUGGCUUCAGUUCUUCAUGUAACUCAUUACUCCACCAGCUGCAAAAGGUAGUAGCACAAUGAUCAGUUGUUGGUAAAUGUUGCAACUUCCCGAGAUAAGUCAAUACUUUCAGCAUGCUUUCAGUUAUAACACUGUAAAAGGUUGCGGAACCUCAUAGUUCUAUAAGAUGGUUGAUGGAGCUAAAAUAAUGUCAGUGGUAUUUAGGGGGGCAGUAAUUGAGCUUGUAUUACUUACCUUUAUCCUACGGGGCUUCUUCUCUCUUAAGUAAUCCGGCUCAAUCAUGUUGGAAGUCUGCCCCAUCUUAGAGAAAAAGGGGUCUGAAUAUCGUUUCAAGGAGGCCCCAGCACCAGCAACAUCGAACCUGCAGAAUAAUCCUUGUGUGUAAUUACUGAUAACACAUCCAUGGUAUAUAUCCACACACAAAAAUAGAAAGCAUCCACAUAUAGUGUAGUUUUUAAGGAGGUAUGAGUUUUUGACACUCCCAUUUCUGCAAAUACCAUCUUAGCAUACUGCUUCAUCUUUCCUUGCUAGAGCUCAUUAUCCCUAAUCUCCCAGGUAACAUUGGAGGCGCCUGCAACUGAACUCUUGUUGAGCUCUCCUCUGACCAUAGGAAGCUGGUGACAUCUGAUUAUGUGUACUAAGUUGUGCUGCGGUAGACAUGCAUCAGUGGCUGAUCUUAUCCAAACUGAUACAGUACAAGCUAAUUGUGUUUGCUAUCGGCACUACACAGACCGGCAGGACAACCAACAUACGCACUCUGACGAACUGAAUGCAUUCAGAUCCUCUAUCCGCGCAAGGGGCGAGGGCGGCGAGGCUCCGGUGGCAGGUUGAUGGCGGAGAUGGUCUCCCCCGGACCGGAUCGGGGCGGCGGCGACGGAGAUCGAGGCAGAGGGCGGCGCGGUACAGGCGGCGCUUGGGGCCGGCGAGUGGAGUUGGCUGCAGGCCGGUGGCCGACGCGGGGUGGCUCGACUACGGAUGGUGGUUCCCCGGCGAGAUGCAUGCGAGGGACCGGCGGCGUGCUGCGAGGUCUCGAGCAUGGAGCGGCUCGUCGCCAUGAAGGAGCUCGGGAGGAUUGCGGGUUGAUUAUCAAAAACUAUGAGGACUUUUUUGCAAAAUGGCAGAAAACGAUUCGUUGUUACUUAAAACUGGACUGCGGGUUGAUUACCUAAAACUGCAAGGGCUUUUCUGCAAAACGACCGACGACGGACGACAGAAGCGCUGCGCGCUUUAUUAUUAGGAGAGAAAGUUAUAUAAACAGUUGUAAGACACCCUUUUGGAAUUAAGCAAUAAGACAUACUCCCUCCGUUCGGAAAUACUUGUCAUAGGAAUGGAUGUAUCUAGAUGUAUUUUAGUUCCAAAUACAUCCAUUUUUAUACAUUUGUGCGACAAGUAAUUCUGGACGGAGGGAGUAUUCUAUUGCUCGGCUUUCGGAGGAGCCGGAAUCCCUAACCCUAGUCGCCGCGUCUUCCAUCGCCGUUGCCUCUCCACCACGCGAGACGGCGCCCUCGCCCUUGCCAGCUUCCCUCCUACCCCUACAGCCUCCGGCCAAAACCCGGUAGGAUCCUAGCUCCUACCAGUUUGGUAUCAGGAAGCUUCGGUUCGAUCAUGUCUUCGCCGUCGCGCUCCACAUCCCUUCUGCUGCCGACCUCCACCACCGCCCCGCUCGCCACCACCUCCGCCGCCGCACCGCUUCCCGCUGUCCUCACCCCGGAGGAGCUUACAGGAGCGAUCCACUGUCGUGCAGGGGAUCCGACUCUACCUAGCCGGUCCCUACGGGCCACCGCGCCACCACCCACCGCCAACGGGCUGCUGCUGCUUUCGUGGCAGCCGCCGCACUCGCUGGGCCGUUGGAGCCGGCGCUUCAGCUUUCGCGGCCACCAGCCACCUCCUCCGGGCCGGGCCCCACCUCGACGCCGGGGGUCCCUCUUCAUCAACUCCACUUCCCGCCCUUGCCGUCGCCGCUAUCGUCCUGGGUAACCGGGACGCAGUCGGUCUACACGACGGCCUCGGCGCCGCCGUACAUCCAGUCGCCAUCGGCGCCACCCCCUAGUAAGGUGGACCCUCCAGCUUCGCUGAUCCUCAAACUGGCCCCGACGGGUACCCGGGGACGACCCCGCACUUCUCCGCGCCGACGAGCCCUACCAUCACGGCGCCCAUACCCAUACGCCACCGCGGUUCGCCAAAUUGGACUUUGCCACCUACGACGACACCGAGGACCCCCUGAACUGGCUCAACCAAUGUGACCAGUUCUUCCGAGGGCAACGGACGCUCGCUUUGGAACACACCUGUACUGAAUUCUUCUACCAGAUCGACAUCCUCCACAGAUUCUACUGUCACCUGGAAGAUUGUGCUGGUCUCUUGGUUCUACUUAANNNNNNNNNNGUAGUUCUACUGUAUAAUAUGACCAUCUAUUAUACACGAGACCAAACAGUUGAGCACAUGCCUUGUUGUUUCAGACCUUUGUUUGUUGGUUUCUAGUGGCCUCUAAGCGCAAAAUCACAUUUCAGGCUACGCAGUAGUGAUAAUUAUACCAUACCAGUAUGAUGCUACAUAGAUUAUUGAGUUAUUACUUUGGUUGAUUACAUCUAAUUCUUCAUAUAUAAUAUCAUCUAUUAUGGCCCACUUAGUAGUGAAAUUUACAGUUGGGUAAGACCAAGUGCAGUGUAUUAUGACUCAGUGUCUACUUUCUGUGUUACUAGGCUACUUCAUUCAUCUUAAUUAAGUUUUUUUGUUGUUUUCAUUUUUCAUGAAUCAUUAGGCUCUGCUUCAGCAGGCAAACAAGUUAGGCAUAUUGGACUUAUUUAUGGUAUCUAGCAUCCUUAAUGAAUCACUAUGUGUUGAAGUAGCCUAGUGAAUGUAAGGGUCUAGGUUUAACCCAUAACUUCUCUAAACAGUGUGCUGUAUUGUGUUAUCUAUACUGCUUUUGCUUUAGUUCUACAACUCUGCAAAGCACUACAUUCACCGGAUACAAAAUUCCAAUUUGUUUCGACUAUGAAAAACUUGUUUUGAUUAUAUUUUCUAUUUGGCCACGUGCAAUUUCUUAAAGGGCCAAAUGGCUAGUGAGGAAGAAAGGUUGCAUAUGGCUAGUGAGGAUACGGCUAGUGAGGAGGAACCAGAUAGGGCUAAUGAGGCUGCGGAUGAAGCGCCAAAAAGGGUUACGGAGGCCAAAGGACCGGAAACCCGGUGGAAUCCCGGUGUUGCAACACAAUUAAUUUCGAAGUUUCCAACCAAAAUGUUGAAAAUGCUUGAGCAGUUAAAGCUUAGUAAGAUGGCGGACAUGAAGGUAACAUUCCUUCAAUACAGAAAAACCUGNNNNNNNNNNUAUUUUGGACAGAUGUGUUGUUCAUCAAGACUCAAAUCAAACUGAACUUAAAAUAAGGAUGAUAAAUCAGCGUGGUUCAAUCCAAAAGUUGUUCAACAUAUUCUUGAGCUGACGCAAGACACUGAUAAGGAGUUAAAAGCUAUGUAGUUAGGCUCGUAGUUGCAAAGUACCCAAAAAAGACAAAGAAAAAGGCAAACACAAAUGUAAAAGAGGAGACAUCAGGCCACUGCCAGAGGAGAAGAAUAAUGGCAGAGCGAUCAUGAUGUCGGAGAACAUUGGUUUGUUGUUUGCACACUCUGAUGAGGAAGAUAUCAGAUCACAUGCUGAAAUAGAUAUGCUCGUCAGGCUUUACUUUGUGGCAGUGCAUGAUAGAAUGUUACUGCCAGAUACAGCAUCUUAUGUAACCAAAAGCGCAGUUGAAAAUAUAUAUCAUCUAGAAAAACUUUGUGAGCUUGACUGGGUACAUAUGGUCUUCAAUGCCUUGAAAAAAGCUUAUCUGACGAAGGACAAAGCUUAUAUGAGGUGAUGUGUGGAUGUCCUUUUGGUAAGUAGUACUAGCUACUGCAAGUAAUAAUUGUUCUCAUUUUGUGUCUAAAUUUAGAGUUAUUGGUUCACAAAUAGUUUUUUGCGGACUGCAUUGUGGAGAAUCCUGUGAGAAGGGAAUUAUCAGGGAGAAUCAAACACUAUACUGAUGACAUCCUCAGGAAACUUCUCGAAUAUCAGGAUAGGAAAAGUAAGUCUGGGGGUAAGAAAUUGUAGCAACUUCUUAUAAUUAUCGAAUAUCUUGAUGCAACUUAUAUUUCUCAAUGUCAUUUUGAGGAGAAGAACUUGAAGUCGCUAGAGGUAAUUAAUGUAAGUACAAACAAGUUUACAAAUUAUCUGUUACCAUUUUUAAUUAUUUAUUUAUGUUAUUUUCAGUUUAUUAGGUGGGAGGAUAGCACGUAGAGCGAACUGUAGAGGUGUUUGAGAAUGACAUGGUACAUAGUGCUUACGAAAAGCGUGUUUUAAAAAGAAGGCACGAUGGAAUUGUAGUAGAGUAUGUACCCGAGAAGAUAGUUGAGUCCGAGUUUAUAGACUGCUUCAAACUAGAAGGUCGUAGAGAUACUGCAUUUAAUAUGCGACUUGUGGUCAGAACAAUGGCGUGAUACAAUUGUCCUUCAGUAUUCUUCUGAUACAAUUGUGGACGCCGAGCCUGAUCUACGUUUUUGGAUAAGUACUUACAAUAAAAGAAUACUUAAGGAUAAUUGUAUCACGCCAUUUUUCUCACCACAAGUCGCAUAGUAGAUGCAGUAUUUGUGAGGUCAUACGACCUUCUGGUUUGAAGCAGUCCACAAACUCAGACUCAAUUAUCUUCUUGGGUCCAUACUCCAAUACAAUUCCGUCGCUCCUUCUUUUCAAAACACGCUCCUCGUAAGCACUAUCUACCAUGUCAUCCUCAGAUACCUUUACAGUUUCGCUGUAGGUGCUAUCCUCCCACCUAAUAAACUGAAAAGAACAGAAAGAAAUAAUUAAAAAAUGGUAACAGAUAAUUUGUAAACUUGUUUGAACUUACAUUAAUUAUCUCUAGCGGCUUCAAGUUUUCUCCUCAAAAUGACAUCGAGAAAUAUAAAAAGUUGCAUCAAGAUAUUCGAGAAAUAUAAUAAGUUGCUAUAGUUUCUUACCCCCAGACUUCCUUUUCCUAUCCUGAUAUUCGAGAAUCUUACUCAGGAUGUCAUCAGUAUGGAGUUUGAUUCUCCCUGAUAAUUUCCUUCUCACAUGAUUCUCCACAAUGUAAUCCGCAAAAAGUAUUUGCAAAUCAAUAACUUUAAAUUUAGACACAAAAUGAGAACAGUUAUUAUUUGCAGCAGCUAGUAGUACUUAUCAAAAGGACUGCCAUAGAACACCUCGUAUAAGCUUUGUCCUUCGNNNNNNNNNNNNNNNNNNNNNNNNNNNNNNNNNNNNNNNNNNNNNNNNNNNNNNNNNNNNNNNNNNNNNNNNNNNNNNNNNNNNNNNNNNNNNNNNNNNNNNNNNNNNNNCGCCUUUUUCUCUAUCUUUUUCUGGGUACUUUGCAACUACGAGUGUAAGUGCAUAGACCAUCUUGUCGUGUUCUUAUGUUACAUCAUGUGCAGCUUUGAACUCCUUAUCAGUGCCUUGCGGCAGGUCAAGAACAUGAUGAACAACUUUUGAAUUGAACCACGUUGAUUUAUCAUCCUUGAUUUUAAGUUCAAUUUGAUUCGAGUCUUGAUGAACAACACAUCUGUCCAAAAGCUCUCCACAGGUUUUUCUGUAUUGAAGGAAUGUUACCUUCAUGUCCGCCAUCUUAUUGAGCUUUAACUGCUGAAACAUUUUCAACAUUCUAGUUGUAAACUUCGAAAUUAAUUGUGUUGAAACGCUCGGGUUGCACUGGGUUUCCGGCCCUAGGGCCUCCGUAACCCUUUUUGGCGCUUCAUCCGCAGCCUCACUAGCCCUACCUGGUUCUUCCUCACUAGCCAUAUGCAGCCUUUCUUCCUCACUAGCCAUUUGGNNNNNNNNNNNNNNNNNNNNNNNNNNNNNNNNNNNNNNNNNNNNNNNNNNNNNNNNNNNNNNNNNNNNNNNNNNNNNNNNNNNNNNNNNNNNNNNNNNNNNNNNNNNNNNNNNNNNNNNNNNNNNNNNNNNNNNNNNNNNNNNNNNNNNNNNNNNNNNNUAGAGAUACAUUAAGGAUGAUACAUACCAUAAAUAAGUCCAGCAUGCCUAACUUGUUUGACUACUGAAGCAGAGCCUAAUGAUUCAUGAAAAAUGAAAACAACAAAAGAAACCUAAUUAAGAUGAAUGAAGUAGUCUAGUAUCACAGAAAGUAGGCAUUGAGUCAUAAUAAACUGCACUUGGUCUUACGCAAGUGUAAAUUUCACUAUUAAGUGAGCCAUAAUACACGAUAUUAUAUAUGAAGAAAUUAGAUGUAACCAACCAAAGUAAUAACUCACUAGUUUAUGUAGCAUCAUUCUGGUAUGAUAUACUUAUCACUACUGCGUAGCAUGAAAUGUGAUUUUGCGCUUAGAGGCCACUAGAAGCCAACAUACAUAGGUCUGAAACAACAAGGCAUGUGCACAACUGUUUGGUCUCGUGUAUAAUAGAUGGUCAUAUUGUACAAUGGAACUACUAGUUACCUAAACAAUUUAAGUUAACCAUGUUAAGUAGAACCAAGAGACCAGCACAAUCUUCNNNNNNNNNNAAGCAGAACAUCAUACAUAUGCUACAUAACAACAACAACGACCGCUUUCAAAGACUUCAACCGAUGCAAAAGGAUCACCAUUACAAAAACUCGGCUUAAUGGUUCCAUCACAAGGUAAAUAUGUCAUAGUACUUGUUCUAUGAAUGCGAGAGUGAAAUAAAGUAGGAAAAUUUCAUCGGGUUGAAAUUCAGACUUAAGCAUUGUGUCUCUUAGAAAACUAAAAAAAAGAGUAGUGUUGGCUAGUAAGAACAUUAAGCAAAUUUACAUAGAGUUCCGCGUGAAGGAAUCAUGGAAAUACAAAAGCUCAAGAAGCCAACAAUGUAAAACAAGGCAUGAAAUAACAAAGAUUGUGCAAGAUAAAAAUUUGAGUACCUAACGAAGACUGUGCAACAUGAAAGUUGGAGUGCCUGAUGGUCUACUCUAGUCUCUAAAACCGCGCUAAAUUAUGUCUGUAAAGAAGUUAUCCGAGUGAAUGUAAGGCUUGAGGUUUAAGCCAUAGUGAUUGAUUAAGAAUGCUACAUAUUGUGGAUAGGUCCAGCAUGCCUAACGGAAAGUUGGACGACGCCAUGCUUAUCUGAACAGUGCUAUCACCUUCCCACCGUUCCUCCACAUCCGAGGGGCCUACUGUCUAUAUGUUAAACCCAAACCCAAUGAGCACCUGCCAACGAGGAUCUGUUCCACGCAGAAUUUGGUACGAUUGCUCAAUUAUUCACAAACCAACAAAGUACAUGUAGUUUGGGUAGUUCCUUCAGUUUAAGAAGUUCCUUUGGUUUGAGAAUUCAUCGAUUGGUGAGGUGAGAUUGAUAGAUUUGUUAAAUCAAUGAAUCUGUUCAAUUGGUAUACAUAUUGGUGUUGAACCACACACACUUCCAGGACCAGGAGCAGCAAGAAUUUUUCAAAAAGGAUGACACCAUGAGCAAGAAUUUUUCAAAAAGGAUGACACCAUGAGCAGCAAGAACGAUCCUUAGUGUUAGUAACCAAACAAUUUGCAGAUCAAGGGAAGACAAGGAGGGCACCUUUUGGGCAAUUUGUCGAGCACCUUCGUGUUGCCUACACUGCGUCGAGCCGCUGCUCACUGCGAGACUCAGCCUGUGCCGAUCCUCCGCCCCGCCGAGCCGCUACUCACCAUGAGGCCAGUGCCGAUCCUCCGCCCCGCCGAGCCGUUGCUCACCACGAGGCCCGUGCCGAUCCUCCGCCCCGCCUGGCCGUUGCUCACCAUGAAGCCUCAGCCCGCUUCAGCCUUCGUUGACGCCGACUCGCGAGGCCGUGCGAAGAAUACGAAGAGAGGCAGGAGGGCGAAGAAUACAAAGAGGGGCGAGGAACAUUUAGUUAUGUCUCAAUACUGGAGAAGCAUUGUUCACAACUCAUUUAUUUAUGCAAACAUAUAUUUUCUCCCGCUUAAAUCUUUUAAGUAACUAGCAAAAUGGCCCAUGCGUUGUCACGGAAGAAAAAAAACAUAAUCUCCAAUGAUGGUGACUACAUUAUAUUCACAUAUCAUCGCUUGAUUUAGAAAUUUUGUGCACAAAUGUAAGAAAAUGUUUCUUCUUUUAAAUUUAUUCACAAGUUGAUGCAAUCUUUACAUUUUCAAAAAAUAUAUAUCAUGGUUGUCAAAAAUCUUGGUAACUCAAAGAUUUAUUCUGAAUUUCAAGAAUUUUGUUUAGAAAACAUAUAAUAAUAAUCCGAUCCAUCCAACAGUUAAUUUUUUAAAAUCCACACAGGUAUAUUGUCACAAAGACUUAGAAGCAUUAAUGUUUAAUUACAUACAUUAGAUAUUUCGUGAACAAUUUUACAAAUAUGGAAAGAAUUUUAAAAUCGAGAAGAUUUUUUACAAUUUACAAACAUUUACUAAAAAUUGUGAAUAUUUUUUAUAUUUCGAACGAGUUUAAAUAUUUUCUUUUAAUUGGCGACCAAUUCAAGAAAAGACGAACAUAAUUUUUGAUGUUGGAGGAUUUUAUUUCAAAUUCACAAACAUUUUUUGAAACGCAUGAACUUUUCUGAAUAAAGAAACAUUUUUAUAAAUCAGUAAUAUAUUUAUUAAAUUUAUGGACAUUGUUUAGGAAUUUGAAAAAAAUAUAUGGAAAUCCAGCGCUUUUUUGAAUCCUAUUUUUAAUUCAAAAUAAAAUUUCGUCAGCAUUUUAAUUCAAAAUUCCUAUUUUUUAAUAUGCAAAAGUUUUUGUAGUUCUAAAUUAUUUAAAUUCUAAAUAAACAAAAAUGGAACGAAAAAUUUUAAAUUAAAAAAAGAAACUAUCAAAACAGGCAUUAGCUAUUUUUAAAAUUUUGUGACAUUUUUUAAAUGCAUUAACAUAUUUUAAAUUAGAAAACAUUUUUUUUAAAUGCCUUUAAUAAUUUUUAAUACAUGGAAUUGUAUUUGAGAUCAUGGACUUUUCUUAUUGUACAAACAUUUUUCUAAAAUUGCAAACAGUUUUUGAAGUCACACACAUUUUAAUUUUUUAAAUAUGUUGAUUUAUAAUUUUCAGUUUAUUAAAAUUUUAAAGAUUAUUUGAAGUUCUAAAUUAUUGAAAAUAAAAAAAGUAAAAUGGAACUGAAAAUAAAUAAAUAAAUGGAACUAAAAGCAGGCGCCUGUCCAUGGGCCGGCCCAUACGGUGUUCUGGAUAUUCUCCCAGCGUGCAGAGCGUAAUAUAGGAGAUUUUUACAUGGGCCGGCCCAGUCCAAGAUUUUUUUGCUUUGUGAAACGUUUUCUAUUACUUACCGGUGGCAUGGUGGGUAAUUUAUGCAAACUUUAGGGGUAAUUUCCAAAACGGACGACCAGAAACCGUAUUUGCUUUAUUAUUAUUAUUUGGGAGAGAUAAAACGUCCCUUUUAAAAAAAAAAAAAAUUCUUCCGUGGCUUUCUGAUUGCCAUGACCAAGAAUAUGUGAUGCAUUACUAGUAUGUUUGUGCACUUGUCAUGUUUUUGACAGUUUCUGUAAAUACCGUAUGUUUCUGUUUCUCUCUUUUUGUCUGCAGUGUACAAAUGGCCACAUCACAUGCUCAGAGUGUCGCACCAAUGCGGAGUACACUUGCAGCUUGUGUGUGGAGCCUGCCAAACGCCCGCUGCGGCAUCAUGGAGCGCGUACUUGGCAGCAUGACCACGCCGUGCUCGUUCCGGGAGUUUGACUGCUCCGCUACGAACCCGUUUACGGAGAAGCUGACCCAUGAAGAAUCCUGCCUCCACGCUCACAUACCCUACUGUCCCAUCCCCUACUGCCGCCUCUACGCCAACCAUGGCUGGUCCCUGCACGAACACAUCGAGACGGAACACUACUUGAUCCCAUACGGCGAGGUCACAGCCGGCAGCCUUUCCCCGGUGAUGGUGUCCGACAAUGAGCCGGUGUGCCUGGUGCUUCUUGACUCCACGACGGUGUUCCUGCUGGUGGUCGAGCGGACAAUGCCAUCGGGGUGCGCCGUGUCGGUGGUCCAGCUCGUCAGUGAGCCGGUCAAGAAGAUGGAGGAGAAGGAUUUCAAGUACAAGAUCCAUUUCAAGUACAAGAUCCAGGUGCGUAUGCGAGCAGGCGUCCUCUCUCUGUCCGGCGAGACGCAGAGCAUUGGGCGGCUGAUGAGGCCUUACCAGGCCACCGCGUCGCUGUUCGUCUCCGACGCAGUGUGGUGUCCCCGGUAUUCCGUUGAGUUGGCAAUGAGUGUAGACAAGCUGCAUGCCAUUGAGUUGGCAAACCUAUCCCAUCUUGUAGAAGAAUUCAGUACCGCUGGCACCUGGAAGAUGUCGAUCUGACACCUGGAGAAUUUAGUCCUGCGCCUCUGCCAUCUGGAGGAUGUCGAUUAGCUCUGAAUACCUCGUGUAGUUUCUCUGGCGAUAGUUUGGUGAGGACUUGACCGUGUCGGAGUGGAAUGUGGAUAGGGUUUUCUCAAUCUUCUAACUGUCGGUAACCUCAGUACCGCACAUCUGAAGAGAUGUACGAAUCCGGUGCAUUGUACUCCCCAACCGUCUUAAAGUCUGCGAACCUCAGACGGAUCCACUCCGCCUCUGCAUGUGGCUUGACGGUGUACUUCAGCCUCUCAAACCGCUGCUUAAGAGCGGUCCAAAGGCCAGAAGCACUCCGCUCAAUCAUAUACUUGUCUUCCAGAGUAGGGCAAAGGUGAUGACGGAGGAAAUGGAGAGCCUGGGCAUUUUCUGGCGUGAACCUGGGUGAGUUGGGGGGGGGGGGGGGNNNNNNNNNNNNNNNNNNNNNNNNNNNNNNNNNNNNNNNNNNNNNNNNNNNNNNNNNNNNNNNNNNNNNNNNNNNNNNNNNNNNNNNNNNNNNNNNNNNNNNNNNNNNNNNNNNNNNNNNNNNNNNNNNNNNNNNNNNNNNNNNNNNNNNNNNNNNNNNNNNNNNNNNNNNNNNNNNNNNNNNNGGAAACUCCCUGUUGACGAUUCCGGUCAUCUGCAAUUGAUGCAAAAAAAUAAUGAGAUUACAGCACAUAAUCUUUUGCAUAAAUGCGAUGUAGAAAAACUUAUUCAAUAAAAAAUGACGUUUCAUUAUUUAAUACAUUUUUAUUAUAUGAUUUACUUAAUGAUUAAAGUGCUAAACAAUUGAUCUACAGCAGUAAAAUCAUAUAAUGAAGUCAUGUUAAAUGAGAUAGUAUGUUACGCGUAGCUAAUACGAAAAAAAUAGUUCGAAAAACAAAUUUCCGGGCUUUUUUUUAAAGCCAGGAUAUACGUUUUUACGAAAAAAAAAAUGGGCAACCAGCCCAAUCAGUCUACUGCCAGCCGGCCCGACCCCCUUUUUUUAACUAGCCCGACACCCACCCCUUUAUUUUUAUUAGCCCCUCACGCCGGUCUGGCCAGCCAAACAGCAGCCCAUGGGGGCGGCGGCCGAGCCCACCAAGGCCCGGGGGCGAGCCGACCCAUCAUGUAGGGCGACGCUAGGGUUUCCCUUCGCGAUGUUUGUGUGAACGAGGUUGGCUAGGGCGGCGGCUGUGGCAAGCCAGCGAGCCGGCAGCGCACCACGAGGCCACCGGGGCGCGGUACGGCCACCAGGGCACAAUGUGCAUGCGAGGCAGGAGCGGCGGAAGCCGAGGCUAGCAUGGCGCGGCGCGGCCAAGGGGCCAGACGGCGGCCGAGGCCAGCAGGGCGCGGCACGGCCAAGGGGCCAGAUUACGGUCGCGGCCAGGCAGCAUCGNNNNNNNNNNNNNNNNNNNNNNNNNNNNNNNNNNNNNNNNNNNNNNNNNNNNNNNNNNNNNNNNNNNNNNNNNNNNNNNNNNNNNNNNNNNNNNNNNNNNGGCAGAUGGAUGUCAAAACGGCGUUCCUUAACGGUUUCCUUAAGGAAGAGAUGUAUAUGAUGCAACCCGAAGGUUUUGUCGAUCCUAAAAAUGCUGACAAGGUGUGCAAGCUCCAGCGAUCCAUUUAUGGACUGGUGCAAGCAUCUCGGAGUUGGAACAAACGCUUUGAUGAGGUGAUCAAAGCAUUUGGGUUUAUACAAGUGGUUGGAGAAUCUUGUAUUUACAAGAAAGUGAGUGGGAGCUCUGUGGCGUUUCUAAUAUUAUAUGUGGAUGGCAUAUUACUGAUUGGAAACAACGUAGAGCUUUUGGAAAGCAUAAAAGGUUACUUGAAUAAAAGUUUCUCUAUGAAGGACCUGGGAGAAGCUGCUUACAUUCUAGGCAUUAAGAUCUAUAGGGAUAGAUCAAAACGCCUGAUAGGAAUUUCACAAAGCACAUACCUUGAUAAAGUUUUGAAGAGGUUCAAAAUGGAACAGUCCAAGAAAGGGUUCUUGUCAGUUUUACAAGGUACGACAUUGAGUAAGACUCAGUGCCGAGCAACUGAUGAGGAUAGAGAGCAUAUGCGCUCCGUCCCCUAUGCUUCAGCCAUAGGCUCUAUCAUGUAUGCGAUGCUGUGCACUAGACCAGAUGUUAGCCUGGCCAUAAGUAUGGCAGGCAGGUUCCAGAGUAAUCCAGGAGUGGAUCACUGGACAGCGGUCAAGAAUAUCCUGAAGUACCUGAAAAGGACUAAGGAGAUGUUUNNNNNNNNNNNNNNNNNNNNNNNNNNNNNNNNNNNNNNNNNNNNNNNNNNNNNNNNNNNNNNNNNNNNNNNNNNNNNNNNNNNNNNNNNNNNNNNNNNNNUCCCCCCUUGGACUCGGCCGACCCCCUUGGGGCUCCUUGAGCCCCAAGGCAAGGUCCCCUCCCUCCCACCUAUAUAUACGGAGGUUUUGGGGCUGAUUUGAGACGACUUUUCCACGGCAGCCCGACCAAAUACCUCCACGGUUUUUCCUCUAGAUCGCGUUUCUGCGGAGCUCGGGCGGAGCCCUGCUGAGACAAGGUCAUCACCAACCUCCGGAGCGCCGUCACGCUGCCGGAGAAUUCUUCUACCUCUCCGUCUCUCUUGCUGGAUCAAGAAGGCCGAGAUCAUCGUCGAGCUGUACGUGUGCUGAACGCGGAGGUGCCGUCCGUUCGGUACUAGAUCGUGGGACUGAUCGCGGGAUUGUUCGCGGGGCGGAUCGAGGGACGUGAGGACGUUCCACUACAUCAACCGCGUUCACUAACGCUUCUGCUGUACGAUCUACAAGGGUACGUAGAUCACUCAUCCCCUCUCGUAGAUGGACAUCACCAUGAUAGGUCUUCGUGCGCGUAGGAAAUUUUUUGUUUCCCAUGCGAUGUUCCCCAACACAUUCCUCAAUGCAAUUUCUCAGAAGGUAAUCGAUCAAGAAAGUCUAUCAGGGUUACAGAUUGAUGUGGUCCAAUGUUUGGUCAGCUUUGAGUUGUUGUUCCCGCCAUCCUUCUUCAAUAUAAUGACACACCUCCUAGUUCACCUAGUCGAAGAGAUUAGAAUUCUCGGUCCUGUGUUUCUACACAAUAUGUUCCCCUUCGAGAGGUUCAUGGGAGUCUUAAAGAAAUAUGUUUGUAACCGUGCUAGGCCAGAAGGAAGCAUCUCCAAGGGCUAUGGAACAGAGGAGGUCAUUGAGUUUUGUGUGGACUUUCUUCCUGACCUUAAGCCGAUUGGUGUUCCUGAAUCUCGGUAUGAGGGUAGGCUGACAGGAAAAGGCACACUAGGAAGGAAAGCAAAAGUAUGUAUGGACAGAAAUUCUUUCUCUCAAGCACACUACACAGUUCUACACAAUUCCACCGUGGUGGCUCCGUAUAUCGUGAGACACAAGAAUAUUCUACGCUCCGAAAACCCGGGGAAGGCUGACCCUUGGAUUAAAGGGGAACACGAGAAGACUUUCGGCAGUUGGUUGCAGACACAUCUCAUGAAUGACGACACCGUUGGAGAUCAGCUGUACUGUUUGGCCAGGCCACCAUCUUCGACUAUAUGUACUUUCCAAGGGUAUGAGAUAAAUGGGAAUACAUUUUACACGGUUGCCCAAGAUAAAAAGAGCACCACCCAAAAUAGUGGUGUCCGCUUUGAUGCAACAGACGAGAAUGGGCACUGUUUGGAAACAUAUUACGGGUACAUAGAGGAGAUAUGGGAACUUGACUAUGGACCUACUUUUAAGAUCCCUUCAUUUCGGUGCAAAUGGGUGAAGCUGACAGGAGGCGGGGUAGUUGUAGACCAAAAGUGCGGCAUGACAACAGUGGAUCUCAAUAAUCUUGCGUACAUGGACGAACCAUUUGUCCUAGCCAAUGAUGUCGCUCAGGUUUUCUAUGUGAAGGACAUGUCUACAAAAACGAGACAAAGAAAUCAGCAAAAGAAGAUAUCGUCCGAUGAGCCAAAACGCCACAUAGUUCUUUCAGGGAAAAUAAACAUCGUGGGAGUAGAUGACAAGACAAACAUGUGAGUAGAUUAUAAUAAGUUUCAUGAAAUUCCGACCUUCAAAGUGAAAACUGACCCAAACAUCCUAGUGAAUGAUGAAGAUUCUCCAUGGCUACGACCCAGAAGAAAGCAGAAAUAAUAGAUAGGAAUAUUGGUGCAAUAAUGUAAUAAUGCAUUAAACCUUUUAUGUAAUACAUGUAUGGAAUGUACUAAACCUUUUAGUUUUGAAUUAUUUAUUCAAUUUCAAACACUUUUCAUUAUCAUAAUUUUGUCAAAUUCUCAAAUAUGCAAAAAGAAUUUUAAUAAACAUAGUUUUUAAUUGAAAAUAACAAAAUAGUUAAUAGUUUGGAUAGUCAAAAUAAUUAAUUUUGAAAAUAGAAAAUAGUUUUGAAUUAUUUAUUCAAUUUCAAAAACUUUUCAUUUUCAUAGUUUUGUCAAAUUCUCAAAUAUGCAAACAGAUAACUAUUUAUAUUCUCAAAUAUGCAAAAACAAAUAAAAUAAGAAAAAAAAAUGAAAUCCCUUUGUAAUAGAUGAGUUCUCGUUCGAAACCCUCAUACUUCGAGCGAGAUCGUCUGUUUUGUACACGAAGUGCAUCCAGUUUUUGUCGUAACCCUCUCCACUUUUUAGCACAUGCUAUGUGGCUGAAAUGAUGAUACCAUGCCAACUUUCAACAUUUUCACAGUUUAUUUGUAGUGCUUUCCAAUUUUAGGGUCAACUAGCUCAAAAAAAAAGUAAAUGCACGAAAAAUACCAAAUGAAGUCAUAAAUUGUUGAAAUUAUGUGAUGUGCCUUUGAAUGGUGCAUUUUGAACACACAAAAAGUAUGGAGUUCAAAUAAGUUCAAAAAAAUGAAAUCCCUUUGUAAGAGACGAGUUCUCGUUUGAAACGCUAAUACUUCGAGAGAGAUUGUCCGUUUUGUACACGAAGUGCAUCCAGUUUUUGUCGUAGCCCUCUCAACUUUUUAACACAUGCUAUGUGGGUGCAAUGAUGAUAUCAUGCCAACUUUCAACAUUUUCAGAGUUCAUUUGUAGUGCUUUUCAAUUUUAGGGUCAACUAGACCAAAAAAACAAAAGUAAAUGCACGAAAAAUACCAAAUUAAGUCAGAAAUUAUUGAAAAUUUGUGAUGUGCCUUUGAAUGGUGCAUUUUAAACACACAAAAAGUAUGGAGUUCAAAUAAGUACAAAAAAUGAAAUCCCUUUGUAACAGAUGAGUUCUCGUUCGAAACCCUGAUACUUCGAGAGAGAUUGUCCGUUUUGUACACGAAGUGCAUCCAGUUUUGGCCGUAACCCUCUCAACUUUCUAGCACAUGCUAUGUGGGCGAAAAUGAUGAUACCAUGCAAACUUUCAACAUUUUUAGAGUUCAUUUGUAGUGCUUUUCAAUUUCAGGGUCAACUAGCUCAAAACAAAUAAGUAAAUUCACGAAAACUAUCAAAUGAAGUCAGAAAUUUCAUAAAGUUUUUUUUGUUAAAAUACUUAAUAGAAAACAAAAAAAAAGUCAACUAAAAAGAAUCAACUAAAAUAUUAACUAAAAUGAAUGAGUUAAGAAUAAUUUACUAAAAUUUUCAAAGUGCUUAUUUGUUGGAAAGAAUCAAGUAAAACAUUAAUAAAAAGAAACAAAAAAAGAUCAACUCAAUAGAAAACUAAAAUAGAAGAGAAAAAAAUAUUGAAUAGCAAAGAAUUAAAAUAUAAACUAGGACUAAAAAUUAUUAAAGUAAAAAAAAAUGCCGCCUAUUGGGCCAUCACGGCGUGCAUACGACUAGAAAACCCUACCCGACAGGUGGGCCAGGAUGAAGGCCCGCGGGCCCAAUAGGCCCAACAGGCAGCGAGAGGAGAGUUAGGCUCAUAGCCUGCAAUAGAGAGAAGCUCAAUUGAGCAAGGCGCGGCAGUGCUUAUAAAGCACUGACAGCGUCCCUCGCUAGGCGAGGUGGGACUAAAGGUUGCCCUGCGUCGCACCGGAGCCACCCCAGGUCUUUAGUCCCGGUUCGGGGCUCGAACCGGGACUAAAGACCACCUUUAGUUCCGGGUGGAGCCACGACCCGGGACUAAAGCCNNNNNNNNNNNNNNNNNNNNNNNNNNNNNNNNNNNNNNNNNNNNNNNNNNNNNNNNNNNNNNNNNNNNNNNNNNNNNNNNNNNNNNNNNNNNNNNNNNNNGUCAUCAUCUGUGUGAGGGCACCCAUGGUCCUCAGUUUAUGGUGUCUGAGUCUCUCGACAGCCACUCGUCGUUAAUAUUGUUCUGGACUGCUGCAAGUUCACUACCCCCUUCGUCCCAAAAUUCUUGUCUUAAAUUUUUCUACGUAUGAAUGUAUCUAGUCACGUUUUUGUAUUUACAUACAUCCAUUUCUAGACAAACUUAAAACAAGAAUUAUAGGACGGAGGGAGUACUUCACUGCAGUCGACUAUCUAAUUUUUCUUUGUAAGAAAUCGAUACCAGAACUUGCGCACGCACUUGCCUGGUUUCUACACUACUAGGGCCAGGUCAAUGGCAUCCGGAGGCUUGACAUGCGUGUCCUGAAAUUUUGCCAUAAAUUGGGCCUCUAAAUCGUCCCCGUACCACUCGAAUUCAGCGGCAUGGAGUGCGGCAGUGUCAAGUUGAGCCUUUAAAUAUUAACGGUAGGUAUUUUAUGGCAUGCAAGUCGUCGCCAUCUGCUAUGUUGAUAGCGAGGGUAUAGUCUUCUAUCCAUAUAAAGGGAUCUGUUGAUCUGCCAUAUAACUUGAUGUUAACGAGCUUGAAGCCAGGUGGAACUUGUCCGCCAUUACUUUGUCUAAUUCCAAAAUUUUAAUCUGGUCACUUCUCCGAACAAUUCAAACAACUCUUAUCAAUACUAACUAAAAGCAACAAUCAUAAAAGUUUCUUGGAGAAAAAAGAUGAUUCUCUAGGAAAUUUUAAACAUUGUAGAUUUAGGGAAAAAAAAGCUAGGAUGCUUUUUUUAGAACAGGAGUCUCACCUUCGGUUUUUGAACCAGAGAGAUUCAUACGGCCUCUUUAUUAAAACAAUGAACAAAUAGUCUGCAAUCCAAUACAAGCUUACGAAGAAGCUCCGACAUAAAUUAAAAAAUAAAUAGCCACAACCGGCGUAAAAUAGGAUGAAAAUCCUAUCCACCUAUUCUAUUAUUGUAUCAUCAUCCAAACCGGUUGUAGAUAUCCUCAGGUACCAUUUUUCAUCGGGUAGAUCCAGUAACCAAAGACUCCCUGUUCUUCGCAGGAGUGAGUAACGACCAUAUACGGAUCAAAGAAGUUGCCCUGUACAAAAUCUGCCAAAAAUUGGCAUGAUUUUGCCUGUUAAAGACCAUGUCAUUUCUGCUAUUCCAUAUAGCCCAAAGUAACACACAUACUCCUAUGCAAAUAUGUCUUGUCGUAUAAAUGUCUACUCCAUCUAGCCUCGUCCCAAACAACGUGUGAAUGUUAUUUGGAGGUGUGAUAUUAAAGGCUAUACGAAUGGAUCUUCAAAGAUUUUUUGCUAAAUGGCACUCGAGAGAGAGGUGUUUGACAGUCUCAAGUUGAUCACAUAAGCUACAUCUUGUGUUUCCCGCCCAAUUAUGCUUUGCCAAACUAUCCUUAGUGAGAAUCACUUCCUUAUGAACGAACCACAUGAAAAAUUUCAUUCUUCAAGGGACUUUGAUCUUUCAAAUAUGAAUCUAUUUGGGAAUUGAUCUAGAGUCAAUGAGGUCCAAGUACAUCGAUUUCACCGAAAAGAUGUCAUUCUUAGAUAGUUUCCAAUGAAGUGUAUCAGACUCAUCCGAUAUAUUAACCUCCAUCAGCCUCUUGACUAGAUUAAGCCAAACCAACCAUCGAUCUCCCGACAGACUCCUUCUAUUAACUGUAUGUUUGGAGGAACAUAUUGUAAGACAGUAGCAACGUAGGCCUCCUUACGCUGCACAAUAUUAUAUAGAGCCGGAUAUUGUGUGGCUAGCAGCGUCUCCCCCAACCACGCGUCUUCCUAAAACCUCGUAUUCUCACCAUUACCAACGAUAAACUUAGACCUAUGGAAGAAAGAUGCUUUCAUUCUCAUUAGUCCCUUUCCAAAAGGGUGAAUCAUUGGGUUUCAAAGUGACCCGAGCAAGGUUUUAGCAUGCAAGUACUUAUUUCUCAAAAUUUGUAUCCACAUGCCUUCCGACUCUAGAGACAGUCUAUACAACCAUUUGCUUAGUAGACAUUUGUUCUUGACCUCUAAAUUCUCAAUCCGAAGACCUCCUUGCUCUUUGGGUCUUAGAUAACAUCCCAACGAGAAAGUCUAUAUUUUCUUUUGACAUCAUCACUCUGCCAAAACAAGCGGGAUCUAUAGAAGUCCAACCUUUUUCGUACCCCAAGAGGUAUCUCAAAAAAGGAAACAAGGAACAUUUGGCAUGCUUGUGAGUACUGAAUUAAUCAAGACCAGCCUACCUCCAUAAGACAACAGCUUGUCCUUCCAGCAACUCAGUUUUUUCUCGAACCGGUCCUCAAUACAUUUCCAUUCCUUGUUAGAUAACUUCCGAUGAUGCAUUGGUAUGCCUAGAUAACUGAACGGCAAGCUACCUAAAGCGCACCCGAACAGUUGUUUAUACGUAUCCCGCUCUUCUUUGGCUUUCCCAAAGCAGAACAGUUCACUUUUAUGAAAAUUUAUCUUCAGACCGGGCAACUGUUCAAACAAACAAAGAAUCAAUUUCAUAUUUCUCGCCUUUGCAACAUCAUGUUCCAUAAACAGAAUCUAGGAUGUGACAGCUGCUUCAAUGGUUCCACCUUGCUUAGCUACUUCUUGCAUCUCUGACGGAAAGGAGACGAGGGGGUGAGGCCGUGGAGGAUAUGGGAGCGCGCGGCACAGGGGACGUCGGGGCUGACAAAUCCUAGUUCGGGCUCCAAGGAUCUGGUUGUCGGCUAGACGAAUCGGGAGGGUACGGUGGUCACCUCUGGUCUACAAGAGAUGGCGAGGAAGUCGGGAAGAGAAAGCGGCACGUUCAAACUCAGUAUAAUUUUACAUCGAGUACAGUGGCUCACUUUGUGCUUCCAUUCGAACUGAUUAUGUGAUAUUUUUCUCUCUCUUCUCUAUUUCCACUUGAGAACAGAAAUCAUAUUCUUCCACAAGAUAACAACAAUACAAAUAUAUAUAUAAGAGUGUUUAGAUCCCUAUUUACUGAUCUAAAUGCUUUUAUAUUUCUUUACCGAGGGAGUACUAGUUUGCUUCUCAGUGCAGAAGUACAAGUUUUCGACAACCAAUUUAGGCAUCAUCAUUGUUGCAAACAAUGAUGAUGAACCACCGGCCGGUAGGGAGUUUGGUGAUCCGGCAGGGCACACUCCUUAUAUAUAUACCGCCUUCCUACAGCUUCUAUCCAUUCAAACUACAUAACCACAGAAAGCAAAGUCAAACACAGGGUGGUUUAGUUAUGGAAAACAGAGAAAACAUCGUGGCUUGUAGGAACCCAACUGCUGGUGACGACGAGGAAGCGACGUGGUCUCAUGCAUGGGGCCUCAUCUCGGGCUUCGCCGUCUCCCUGACCCUGAAAACGGCAGUGGAGCUCGGCCUCAUUGACGCACUCACCAACGCCGCCGGCCGCGCGAUGACGGUGGACGACCUUGCCGCGCAACUCCCGGCACCGAACAAGGCCCAGGCAGCAGCCUCGGUGGACCGGCUUCUCCGGCUCCUCGCCGCCUUCGACGUCGUGCGUUGCUCGACGGAGACGGGUCCUGACGGUGAGGCGGUCCGGAAGUACACUCCCGCGCCGGUGUGCCGGUGGCUCACCAGCAACCACAGCGAUGGGUCGCUGGCCCCCUUGGCCUUAUUCGCCGUCGACCAGGACUACUUGCCGACCUGGUAAGUGUGCGCUCCAUCACUUCGCCGAUGGCUGACUGCCAUGCUAAUUAAGCAUUAGCAUCCAUGUAGGAAUCAACUGGGUGCGGCAGUGGUGGGCGGCGUUCCACCGCCGUUCGAGAGGGCGCACGGGGUGCCGCUGUUUCAGUACAUGGGGAAGAACCCACGGCUAAGCGGGGUGUUCAACCAGGCCAUGUUCCACAUGUCAGUCAAGGUCAUCAGCAAGAUGGUCGAGCGCUUCGACGGCUUCGACGGAGUCGGCGUCCUCGUCGACGUCGGCGGGGGGACGGGCGCCGCCCUGGAGAUGAUCACCUCCCGCCACAAGCAUAUAAGGGGCAUCAACUUUGACUUGCCGUACGUCAUCUCGCAGGCGCCGUCUCUCCCAGGUAAAACAUUUAUGUUAUCUUAGUAACUAUUUAUCCUAUUUCUUAUUGUUCUUCACUUCUUGUGUUCCAAACAGAUUUAGCUUAGCACUUCUUUGAAUUUUGGCCGCAGGUGUGGAAAAUAUAGGUGGUAAUAUGUUUGAGAGUAUACCCACUGGAGAUGCAAUUUUUUUGAAGGUAUAUAUGCUGACUUAUACUCAUUUAAAAAAGUAUUAGUUUUUUUAGAUGUUACAAUUUUAUUCACUCAAUCUCCGUAUUGUUAAAAAAACAAUUGGCAUACACUGUAUUGUAAAGUGUGUUUAAGUCCGACAGACAAGUAGGCAGAACUAUGUAAAAUAAUUUGAACGAAUAAUUAAUACUAGUAAUAAAGCUCAUUCUAUGGACUGAACACUUUUAUGUGCAGUGGAUACUCCAUCUACAGAAUGAUGAUGCUUGCAUCAAGAUCCUCAAGAACUGCCACCGUGCUCUUCCAGCCAGCGGUAAGGUGAUCGUCGUGGAAAUCGUCCUGCCGGCCACCACGGAGGCGACUCGUGAGGCGCAGGAUAUGUUCCUUCUAGACGUCAUCAUGUUCAACAACCUUGAGGGUGGAAAGGAGAGGACUGAGCAGGAUUUUGUAAACAUGGCUAGGCUCUCUGGGUUCGAUGGUGCCUUCCGUUCCACCUACAUCUUCGGUAACUUCUGGGCCCUCGAGUUCAACAAGUAGCUGCCAUGGUCAUGCAGACUGCAGCAACUCCGAUAUGGAUAUAUCUACGCCAUGCCUGAAUCGUUGUUUCUAUUAAUCUCUUCUCCUGUAUGUAUUACUUCGACUGUAUCCUUGUUUACAUUAAUGUUGUAUAAGCUGGGCAACAGUACCUAUUUGUAUUCGCGCAAUAUGAUGUGAACUUAUUUGUAUUCUCCUCGGCGUGAGGAAGGACGUUAUAAUAUUUAUGCUUCCUCCUACAAUAAUCAGCUCAUGGAAACGAUCCAUUUGUUCUGACCAUUGCUGCAUUACUUGUACUACUUGGCGGAGCCAGGUAGAAGCUGUUGGGGGACCAAAGGGUAAAACACAAGCGUUUAAGGGUGUAAAAUGCUAAAAAAAUCUCACCUAAGCUCUUCUUAAAAAAAMYUUGUAGUUGUAUAACGUUGAGGGGGUCAUAGAGGAUUGAGUAGUUAAACAAUUAAGUAGUUAUGUGAGGACUCUCUCUGAANUUCUUGUGUUCCAAACAGAUUUAGCUUAGCACUUCUUUGAAUUUUGGCCGCAGGUGUGGAAAAUAUAGGUGGUAAUAUGUUUGAGAGUAUACCCACUGGAGAUGCAAUUUUUUUGAAGGUAUAUAUGCUGACUUAUACUCAUUUAAAAAGUAUUAGUUUUUUUUAGAUGUUACAAUUUUAUUCACUCAAUCUCCGUAUGUUAAAAAAACAAUUGGCAUACACUGUAUUGUAAAGUGUGUUUAAGUCCGACAGACAAGUAGGCAGAACUAUGUAAAAUAAUUUGAACGAAUAAUUAAUACUAGUAAUAAAGCUCAUUCUAUGGACUGAACACUUUUAUGUGCAGUGGAUACUCCAUCUACAGAAUGAUGAUGCUUGCAUCAAGAUCCUCAAGAACUGCCACCGUGCUCUUCCAGCCAGCGGUAAGGUGAUCGUCGUGGAAAUCGUCCUGCCGGCCACCACGGAGGCGACUCGUGAGGCGCAGGAUAUGUUCCUUCUAGACGUCAUCAUGUUCAACAACCUUGAGGGUGGAAAGGAGAGGACUGAGCAGGAUUUUGUAAACAUGGCUAGGCUCUCUGGGUUCGAUGGUGCCUUCCGUUCCACCUACAUCUUCGGUAACUUCUGGGCCCUCGAGUUCAACAAGUAGCUGCCAUGGUCAUGCAGACUGCAGCAACUCCGAUAUGGAUAUAUCUACGCCAUGCCUGAAUCGUUGUUUCUAUUAAUCUCUUCUCCUGUAUGUAUUACUUCGACUGUAUCCUUGUUUACAUUAAUGUUGUAUAAGCUGGGCAACAGUACCUAUUUGUAUUCGCGCAAUAUGAUGUGAACUUAUUUGUAUUCUCCUCGGCGUGAGGAAGGACGUUAUAAUAUUUAUGCUUCCUCCUACAAUAAUCAGCUCAUGGAAACGAUCCAUUUGUUCUGACCAUUGCUGCAUUACUUGUACUACUUGGCGGAGCCAGGUAGAAGCUGUUGGGGGACCAAAGGGUAAAACACAAGCGUUUAAGGGUGUAAAAUGCUAAAAAAUCUCACCUAAGCUCUUCUUAAAAAAACUUUGUAGUUUGGUAUAACGUUGAGGGGGGUCAUAGAGGAUUGAGUAGUUAAACAAUUAAGUAGUUAUGUGAGGACUCUCUCUGAAUAAAGAUUUUUAGAACUGAUAUUUAUUUAAAAACAACAAAGAAAACAAAAGACACUCCAUGAAUACCACAUAUUUUGUGAACAAAUAAAAAUUUAUGCUCAACAUAGUCUAACCGAUAUUUGUUUGCUGAAGAGAGGUGAGAUGCGUAGCAUUCCCAACUUUAGAUGCUUGAGACUUCUUGAAUUAUUUAUUUUGGGUGCCUUGGACAUCCCCAAUCUUGAGAUUUUGUAUCUCCUUCAAGUCUUUCAUAUCCCGGCUUCACCUAUGUCUCAAAAACUUCAUCCACAAAAAAACUCAAAAAGAACUCGUAAGUUAGGUUAGUACAUAUAAGAAUAAAUCAACACUUCAUGUACUGUAAAGACAUGUUACAUAAUAAUUUUAAACAUUAGUUAUUGUAUACUUUUAUUUCCAUAAUUUAUAUCUACUAAUAUAAGUCAUGAAAACUCUAGGAUAAGUGGAUAAUAAAAUUAUGACAACAAUAUGUCCAAACAAAACCGUAUAUAACAAUUAAUUCUAAAAAUGUAUUUAUGCAUCUUCAAAAAUUAUAAAAAUUUAGGACAUGAUAACGAAUUUAUAUCAGGGUACUGCAUAAACAUUUCAUAAAGUUUGAGCGUGCGAGUAAAAUCUGAUAAUUCAAAUACUACAACAAACGGUUAUAUUUUUGUACAACACAUAUUACGCAUGCAAUUCAUGCAUUCUAAAGGCCAUUCUUGGUACUUUUUAUUAAAAACUAAGAUAAUAAAUAGAAGCAAACAAAUAUUAACAAAAUCAAAUGACGCUCAAAACAAAACACAUAUCAUGUGACGAAUAAAAAAAUAGUUCAAAUAAGAUAUACCAAUAAUAUUGGAGAAGAAAGAGGUGAUGUCCUUUUCAGGAAUCCUCAAGCUUAGACACUUGAGUCUUCCUUUAAUAUUACCUUGGGGGUGCCUUGGACAUCCCUAAGCUUAGGUUAUUGUUGUUCUUUAGGGGGCUCGUGACCGUUUUGGAUUGGCCAAUGUAGCCGUUCGGCUUACAACUCAGAUGUUCAUUGUUCGGGAACUGGGCCUGGCCCAAAGGCCACGCACGAGGCGGUAAAGCCAGUUAGCGUGGGAGGCACGCGGGUAGCCUCUUUCGUUUCCUAAACUUACAUUAAAUGGGUACUUAUCCCUUCAUCCAACAUCCCAAUAUAAACAGAGUAGAGGUUAUUAUUGAAACAAACUUCCUGGUGUUCUUUGACUCUGUGUGUUCGACUACUUCGUCUACGACGCCCGCUCUCGCUCCGCAACCUUGGACCGGACUCGCCGACAGGAGUUGCGGAACACGUUAUGAGCACGCUUUGCUCCACCAACUCUCCAUCGAGCCUACAUCAAGCCUGCAUCAAGCAUGCUCUCGUCGAUCGCAAAGAGGUAUAAAUCCAAUCCCCCUCUUUGCAAAAAUGGAUUCCCCUCGUUAUCACGGUUUCGAUUUUGCGAUUAGUUUACUUUUUCGGAUUUAAUCUACCUAUGGUGUGGAUUUCUCUCACAUGAACUCGCUGACGAACACGUCGCCGAUCAAUGUCGAUGUUCAUGGAUUACGAGAGAUUUGUUGAAUACACCUAGGGAGACGGUGAUGAGAAGUACUCCAGAUGAGCACGACACCGCCGCGACGUACCGGAUGUACACUCGCCGUGACGUCCGUCAGCAUGUUUAGUUUUUUUGGAAUGCUACAGUAGCCGUCGUCGCCGUACACCCGCAGUUGCACCGACCACGCCCGCUAGCCGUCGUCGCCGGACACCGCCCUCGGCCGCACCGACCGACACACCAGCCACUGGCCCUGCUGGCCAGCUCGUGAUGCGCUAUGCUCAGGUGGCUGGCCGACUCGAGCUCGUGCUGCAUGCUGCACCAUGGCUGGCUCGCUGGCUCGCCGCGCCGUGCCAUGGUGGCUGGCUCCGGCUCGGGCUGCGUCGUGUGCUGUCGGCUGGCCAGCCCUCGCCGCGCCCUGCUGGCUGGCUCAGGCUCGGGCUGCGCCGUGNNNNNNNNNNNNNNNNNNNNNNNNNNNNNNNNNNNNNNNNNNNNNNNNNNNNNNNNNNNNNNNNNNNNNNNNNNNNNNNNNNNNNNNNNNNNNNNNNNNNAUGUUGGACAAAAGCAGGCUGCGCUGCAGGCGCUGCAUGAUCUCAUUACAUCAAAGAGAUACAGAUCAUGGCAAAAGCCUCUUGAGAAGAUCAUGAUGAAGUAUGUGGAGCUGUGUGUUGAUCUAAGGAAGGGCAGAUUUGCCAAAGAUGGCCUUAUUCAGUACAGAAUUGUCUGCCAGCAAGUCAACGUGUCAUCUCUGGAGGAGGUCAUAAAACACUUUAUGCAGCUGUCCAAUGAGAAAGCUGAGGAAGCCAGGAAUCAGGCACAAGCACUGGAAGAUGCUCUGGAUGUCGAAGAUCUUGAAGCUGACAAGCGUCCGGAGGACUUGAUGCUCAGUUAUGUUAGCGGAGAGAAAGGCAAGGACCGAUCAGACAGGGAGUUUGUUACUCCAUGGUUUAAGUUUCUGUGGGAGACAUACAGGACAGUGCUCGAGAUACUGAGAAAUAAUUCAAAGCUUGAAGCACUAUAUGCUGUAAGCUAUUUUACUGCUUUGCCAUUACCUUAGUGCUCACUUCAUAUGUAGGUAUGUUUUUUAGAUCUGUCCUUUUGAAUGGAGUUCUUGUGAAAUAGACUAUUUGAUUCCUUCUGCACAUACUUGACCAAUUCACUCUAUCGGUACCCUUUUCUUUCCUUUGAUGAAAAGAAACCUGUAGUAUGGACUUUGUUCCAUGAACAUAGUGUUCUUUUACAUGAUAAUUUGUCUGGUUCUUUUGCUACCCUACCUAACUUUGUAAGAACUAAUAACGAUUUGUUUCCUUUUGUUACWAAGCUUACCAAUGCAUUAUGUAACUACUGUCAUUUACCUUCUGUUUUUAUUGUCUUACUAAAUGCUUUUCACCAGCUGAUCUAACAUUGACUUUUCAAUAUGCAGAUGACUGCGCACAAGGCUUUUCAAUUUUGUAAGUCAGUAUAAAAGAUACCACCGAGUUCCGUAGGUUGUGUGAGAUCAUUAGAAACCAUCUUGCAAAUUUGAACWAAUAUACGCGACCAGCGUGAUCGUCCUGAUCUGACUGCCCCCGAAAGCCAUCCUUAACAAUUGGACCUUGUUGCACCUGGUAACAAACAUUCACUAAACCAUUUACUCAAGGUACAUGUCCAGAUAGCUCAAAAUGUGGAUAAUUAGCUCUAGGUAUGUACUGGCUUAUGUGUCUUGGACUAUAUUAGACGGCUUACACAGUGUAAGCCAAGAUCCUAUUCACGUGCACUUGGCUUACUUAUAAGCUGAGAUCAAAACAAUGUCUCUUGGCGAAAUAAAGCAGCACGAUGGUCGUGUGAGCUAACGGUGGUGUCAAAUGGCACCUUUGUAAGCCGAGUGUACCACUUGGCUUAAGUUUCUCUCUAAGCCGAGUAUCGUAGGCCCCACAUGACGUAUACAUAUCCCGAGAGUCGUAAAUAAUUCAAUCUUAAAAUAGACGUACUUAAUUGCGUUAUCUAUUUUGAAAUGUUUCAGUACCCACGAGAGAGAAGUUAAUUUGCUAGAUUUAUUUAUGAAAAUUUACAAUGUUGAACUAAAAUGAUCAUUUUUUGAGUAAGAGACAUAAUAUCAUGGAUUUAGAGUCAUGAAAUUUCCAGCAUCAAAAUCAUACAUAUUCACUUCCACUUAAAAUUUGAAAUUUGGGAAAUCAUGCUUUCCUAUAAAUAAUUCUAAGUUUUUUAUCACAGAAUUGUAAAAAUUUCCUAUGAGAGACAUAAUUUUCCAAAGCUAGUAACAUACAAUUUAAGUCAAAUUCUUAAAAGUAAUGACUUAGUAUCACUGAAUGUUUUUCUAACAUUAAGUACUUAAAUUAGUACGAGUAAUAUAUUUUCAAAAAUGAUUCACAGAAUUAGUAUAAUAAAUUUAUCUGCUUCUUAUAAGAAAUAUAAUUCCUUGGAUUUAGUAUAUUGCCAUUUCACCAGCUUUGUAUCAUGGAAUCCCACAAUAAUUCAAAUUACAAAAUAUUCUAAACUUUCAUGAAUUUCAAUGAGAAAUUUUCUUACUGUUCUCUUAGAAAUAGUACCAUGAAAUUCUCAGCUUCCAUUGAAGAGACACCGUUUCCUAGCUAGAUAUAAUAUCACGAAACACGAAAAACUACUCUGUGUUUAUUUUAAAAUGGUGGAGCUGGACCGAAGCCAACAUCCUGGAAAGGAUGCUAAACUCUGACGUUGCGACGAUUGCUAGAUAAGAUCGAAGGGUUGGCGUUUCCACUCCAUGUGACCAAGAUCUCCAUGACCGACGUAAUGAUAUUGACUACCACCUACACAACUUACUGUCUAUUCCUAGCAAAUUAGGAACUUAGACAUGUGUAACAUAAGUCAACUACUCAACUACAAGUAUUCAUCACCGUCUGUUGUUCAUCGUAAUUCACAUGCAUGCAAUCUGGACGAGCCAACUGAAUCAUAUUCAGCCAACAAUUCCAUGUAAUUAUUGUGUGAAAAGCAAGGUGUGACAAUUUAAGUGCACAAUGAAGUACCUAUACAGCAGGAUAAAAGCUAUCCCAAAUUUAGGAGUAUCAUAUGUGCAAACAUAACAUUUUGAUCGGUAGAUGGCAUUUUAAUAUGGAAAAUAACAAGUGCAGCCUAUGAUCCCCAUUUAACGCGAUUAAUGCCCAAUGAUUUUGUAAUUAGGCAUAGCGGGGAGUUAGUUAGACUAGUGUCAUACAUAUGACACUAGUCUAGGUUACUACCUUCAUAAUGCAAAGUAUCAUAUAUGGUUUCAUUUAUUAGGUUAUAGACCUUGCUUUGUGUUGCGUUAUGUGACGAUAACAUAUUAUCUUAGCACACACACUUAUAUCCUCAUUAUGCACAACUCAGCCCAAUCCAUGGUGCAACAUCCUCUUUUAGUCCACAUUUUAAAGAGGUUAAUUUCUUUAAUUAUUACACAAUCCAUGGUGCAAUAYUCUCCUUUUUAAGGAUGCAUGGCAGCAGCACAAUCCCUCCCUCCUUUUCUUUAAUCAUGCAUGCAUGCCCAAUUCAUGGUGCAAUGUUCUUCUAUUUUAACCACAUGCAUGAGACGCCCCAUAAUUAAUUCCUCUUUUGACCAUGCAUGCCCAAUCAAUGGCAACGUUCUGCUUUAACUAUGCAGGACAGCCCCAUAAUUCCUCUUUUAAUCGAAUGAUGAAAUUUCCUGCACUAAUCAUGCAUACWWUUUUUGAUUUCUUGUUGGUCUCCGUUCUCAAUUGAGAUUUCUGUCGGAAGGACUAUUAAUCGUUGCCGCGGACGAUGAACAAAAGUAGGCUGGUUGAACCCUUUACUUCUUAUAAUUAUCGGGUGGGCGAAAGAAAAAUUCAGAGAAAUGCACUGUCCUUUAUUAUUAGGUAUAGAUAUGCAAUUGUACAAAUAAGUCGAAAGGGUGCUAGCUUUAAUAAUAAUAUAUUUGAGGUUUUGCCAAAAAAUGUUACAAGUUUGCACAGUUUAAUAUGUAUUUUCAUUCAUAAAUAGAUAAACUUUGGAUGGKAUAAUUUUUUCCCUUUUUUUCGCCAGAUAUUAUAAUUAUUCUAUUUCAAAACAGAUGACAUCUUUAGUUUUCAUUUUCCCCAGUAUGAAAUUUUGGCAGUUAUAUAUAGGCACACAAUUACAAAAAUACUGUGAAUAUAUUUUCGUGGCAAAUCAAAAGAUAUAAUUUCAGCUUCCAUUACAGUAGGUUUAAUAUAUUUUUAUCACGAGGGCUUGGUUAUUUUUUGGUAGAAAAACAAAUGAAAAGGUCCUUUCUCCAAAGACAAUAAAAUACGUACAUAUGCGCCUGAACUUGUCCUUGAGGUGUUGCUUGUGAUCACUGUUGGUGACACGGAAGUAGAAAUCURGRAACGUGCUCUGCUCCAACACGKUGCUAGGGUUGGCCGUUCCUAUGGCCAAGAUGGAGGCCGUGCCCAUGGCCUUCUUCUGCCCAUGCACCCUAGGCACCUCACCCUGGCUACCCAUGCCUACGUCUACACUGGCUUCCUGAGCGUAAUGCUAGCUUCAAGAUGGAGGUUGUGCUUGGCUUCUCAACUCAUGGAGCUUAGCAUGCCUAUUUAUAAGGGGCUGCAUGUAUUGAUGGUAGGUGUGNNNNNNNNNNNNNNNNNNNNNNNNNNNNNNNNNNNNNNNNNNNNNNNNNNNNNNNNNNNNNNNNNNNNNNNNNNNNNNNNNNNNNNNNNNNNNNNNNNNNCUUUUCUUCUUUUCCCUUUUUGCUUCAGACAUUUUGUACUCGGUGGAGACUUUUUUGGCUAAUAAUAUAUGGCCGUAUGCAUCACUCGAUGCAGAGGCCAGGGCUCGACCUCCUUUUCUAAAAAAAAGGCGUAUUUAAAGCAAGCAGAAAAGUUAUAAAGUUUUAGGAAUACAGUAAUUGCUCUGUCGACUACCAAGCAUAUAGAGGACAUCUUGGAGCAGAAUUUCUCCCUCGGCCAACAACAGUCUAUUAUUYCCUUCCAUGAAAUUCAGCCAAGCAAAUAGACAGCGAGGUAGUAUUUUGGUACCAACAUGCCAAGCUAGCGGAAUUCUUCACAGGAAAACAACAACUUAUACGUAGAGCUCACUGCACUAUGUACCAACAUUCCGAUAGCAGGUUUAUUUAAUCAUUUAUACGUAUGUGCAGCUCGAUCCAAUCCAAUCUAAAGGGGGAUAGGGUCGAGGAAGAGCGCCUUGACGAGGUCCUUGGCGUGGCUGCCAAAGGUGAAGCCGUCCCUGCCGUGUAGAUAGAUAACCUCAGACAUUCCGGCUAUGUUCACCACCAGCUGCGCUGCCGGCAGCAGCGCACGGUCGAUCUCCAUACAAGUUCGGUUCAUCACCCUCCACAUGUGCUCGGUCAUGGCGGCGAUCGCCGCCACGGCCUCCUCCCCCGUGCAGCCCUUCUCCAGCAUGUAGCACUCCACGGUGCUAACCACAUCUUUCUUGUUCUUCCCCAACCUGCAUAUAGUAGGGUCAACGCAUGGGUUGUCAAAUGUCAUGAAUGAAUUUUCUUCCUUUUUUGUGGUUUGAAAAUUCUUUCUUUUUAUUUUUUCUKKAAAUUUAUAAAAUAAAAAUGAAGAAUUUGUAUGGAAUUUUUUGGAUGAACAUAUGUAUACAUGUACCUUAUAUGAAGAGAUGUCGUUGAGGAAGCGGACGAUGAGUGCACCCGCUCGAACCACGUCGGGACGGCACGCUCACCCAMUCAAAUACCUCUUGGGUUGCGACUUUGCUAUCAUAACCCAUCAGGGCCAUGACGACAAACAUAGGUAUGCCAGAGGACAUGCCAGAUAUCCCUAUGUGUUCCUCAAAGGUAGGACGGUGCUUGUUAUUUGUCCAUUCUGCCUCCUGCAUAUAGUAUUCCGACUGCAGUUGGAACUGCACUCACAAUAAUUUAAGACAUGCCCUUAGUUUGGAACUCUUGCCAAAAUAAAUGAUGUUUAGCUACUUUUAAGGAGGAAUUUUGAGUACUACACUUUACUACUAUAGUAUAUGCACAUAACGCAUAAAUUAUACAGACUUAGUUUUUAAGUACCAGUCCAGAUACUUGAAACAAGUAACUUCAAAUAUUAUAAAGUUUGACUGUACAUGUUGUAUACUCAGAAUGUCACUUCUUUAUGAACGGAGGUAGUACAAUCUUAUUAAUCAUUUAUAUGUUAAAAAUAAUAAAGGAAAAUACCAUGAUGUAUGGAACCUGGAAGAAAUUGGACAACCUGAAUGUGGGUAGAAGGUUAUGCGAGAAAGAAAAUGAUUAAGGAGAAAAUUAAUAGUAUAGGUGUGUGGAAGGGAUAAACUUUUCAUCAAGUACAAAAAAAUCAGCAUAUGUGCAUACGGCUUUCUUAGCAUAAGACAUGCGGUACUUCUCAUGUGGUUCUAGAAGAUCCCCAAAUUCUUUGAAAUUGCUUAGGGUUUUGAGGUAUAGCGUGUGUAGGUAUUCGGGUAGAAUAGAAACUGCGCUUUCAUCCAACCUGCAGAUAAAAACAAUACGUGUAAAUAAAAGCUUGAAUUUAGGUAGUCAAAUUAUAUCCUGCAUUUUUUGGAGGAGGUGCUAUAGAGGUCUACUAAAUGCCAAUUAUAAGGUCCCUUCAAUUACGUCAAAAUAAGCGAGUUACUUCUACAUAUGUACCUUUGCAUUGCUUGGUUGAGACUAUGACACUCAUCUAUGGUGGCAUGGACAUCAAAAGUAUCGUCCAGAAAUGAGGCAAUUCCAAAAAUCUUCGCGAAAAAACAAGCGUGCACGAGAGUGCUCCUCUUCAGGAAGCAUUCCACAGCUCCAAGAGUAUAUCUCCACCAUACGGUCCCGAGUGUACGUCAGAUUUACAGUAUCGUAAAGCUCCCUCCACCACCUGCAUGUUAGAAAAUUUAACAUCGCCAAUUUACCUCGAAUAAGUCUUUACUUCCCAGUGGUGAUUUCUUCUCCCAAUUAUCUUUGGAGGAUUAUCGCUGCAUGCAUCAUUGCAAUGCAGAGUCGGGGGCAGCUAGCCCUCCUUUUCAAAAAAAUAUCUUUGCAGGAUAGUAAUAGAUUUCUUCUUUUAAUUAAUAUUAGCAGGUUCUAUCUGCAUAACUUGUGUAAAUGUAUUUGAUCUAGAAAAAAACUCCCAAUUUCUAAGCCUCAAGAGGUCUAUGUGGGACUCGUUUUAAAUUUAUAAUUCUCAACUUCACCCCAUCGAUCAACAAACAUGCAACUCAUUAUUUAUGUUACUAGAAUUGGCAGCUAUGUUUUUAGGUAUGAAACAAUAUGGAUUGGAUUCAAAGUUGGUACACCGGUUAGCAUUUUCUUAAAUUUAGAAAAAACUAUGAAAUCAAUCACACACCAUGGUAUUGGUAAGAAACUUGCAUGUGUAAAUUUCAUAAAAUAGAAAAAACAUGUGUGGCUUGAAAAUGAGAAAUUGAGAGUGGUUUGGUUUCAGUUUCAAAACUAAGACUNNNNNNNNNNNNNNNNNNNNNNNNNNNNNNNNNNNNNNNNNNNNNNNNNNNNNNNNNNNNNNNNNNNNNNNNNNNNNNNNNNNNNNNNNNNNNNNNNNNNCUAUCGGUCUCUUUCGAUGAUUUUCUGAUAUAUCAAUUAAUGAAAAACUUAGCAAAUCAUUUUCCUGUCGGGCAGGGUUUGGAAGCGGUUCAAGUGCGUGACUCCCGAUAUCGAGCAUGAGAAGCUGACCUUUAGAGCGGCUCAGGUAAGUAGUAGUAUGAUAUACUUCUAUUUUUCAAUACAUUUAUGAUGCUAGAUUAUUAUUUUGAUUAUAUAUAUUCUAUUCUCGUAAAGUGCGACCAGCAGCCACGGGGGACACAUCUAUGCGGAUACUAUGUUUGCGAGACCAUUCACAUGUUUACCUCUGAGCACAAGGAUUACAGAUACGACGUAAGCAAUGAACAUUCACACCUCUAUUUUUACCCGUCAUUCUUUGUUAUCAUGAUUGAUAUUCAUAUUCAUCUCCUCUUCUUAUAUAGUACACGGCCAUGAGGUAGAAGUACCUACCAGAGCAACGCGCGAUUGCUGUUGCAGAGGAGCUUGCGACCUUUCUGAGGACGGAAGCUAUAGAUGACAAAGGACGAUUUAGUGUAGCUAGGGGCCAUUACUGAUGUUGGUCCAUGUAAUCGAAUAGACGGGCUCUAGUCUCGAUAAUUCAGAUCUCCAUAUAAUUGUAUAUAUAUGCUCGCUUGUAAGAUGAGUUAAUCUUAUAUAUAUAUAUAUGCAUAAACAUGUAUAUUUAGAAUUAUAUGAAAACUAAUUCCCGAACACCAAACGAGGCAUCACGUUAAUCUCCCGAACACCUAAACCCUAAAACCCUAAAAUAAACAAAAUCUGCAGAAACUCUUUAGUCCCGGUCCAUGUUAAGACCCGGGACUAAAGGGCCUGCCCCUGAGGGCGCUCCGAGGCGUCCACAUGGAGCACCUUUGGUCCCGGCUUGGAACAGGGCCGGGACUAAAGGUUAGGCCUUUAGUCCCGCCUCUUUGGUCCCGGUUGGUGAACCGGGACUAAAGCCCCUUACGGGCCGAGACUAUAGGCCCUGUCCCCACUAGUGAUACACAGGGAAACCUAUUUUUUUUUCAAAGGAAGGCCACAAAGCGCCAAAUUUUCAUUCAGCUCAAUAGCAUUGAUUUAUUUGUGUAAUAAUACUAAUAUGGUGCAGGUUCACUAACUAGAGUCAGAAAUUGUUUUUCAAAACAUUUUUACACAUGAAUUUCAUAUAUUGAUCUCUAUGUUUCAGCCAAGUGAAAGUUGCUGUAUAUUCAAGUGGCUUUCAUCACUUAUUCAACAUGUUUAUAAUUUAUUUAACUUACUCAUAUUAUUAAUGUUUGUGACGGGGGAUAAUUGAUGUGGAAUUUCACUCGAGAAAGUGAACUCUAAUGGAAUACAAUAGAGAAAUUAAUAGGGGUCAACUCUAUUGAACACCCACAUAUUUUUUCUGAGACACCAGAAGAUGAAAGAAUUUGGUUCGUUUUGUAGCAUCGGCUCUGCACACUGUUGACCCACAUGAUUAAGGUCGUAAGUUGAUCUCGGACAUACAAUCUAAUCAUGACACAUGACUCACACAUGUGUGCUAGGGACUAGUAUAUUUAGACUAAAAAAAACGCAAUGUUUUAUCGUGGUUGGUAACAUUGCUUAGGAGUCAUAUAAAUGUUUCCGAAAAACCGGUGAAAUAAUAAAACACUUACGCACCAUAGAAAAGAAGACGAAUUAGACGGUAGACCGGAUAACCUAUAAUCCUCGUGGGGAGAGGCGCGGACGCGGCGAGGUCUUGCGCUCGUUGGAGGCACCCCGUCACAUCGAUGGCAUGGAUCUACGAGAUGGAGAUCCUGGUCGGGUGCCGGGGGUGGUCUGGUGGAUGCGCGGGGUGGCCAAGGAGGAGCACGUGCACGAGGCCUAUGACAAGGAUGGCGUAGAAUUAGAUCGGCUCGUCGACGAGGCGCACACCGACGAAGACAAGCAUCUCAUCAAGGGUGUGCCUGCAAGGUGCUCGAGAGAAUGUCUAAAAGAGAUGGGUGACUCACCUGGGCGUUUGGGUACCCGAACCCGCUACCCGAACCCGAACAGAACCGAAUUACCCGGGUAUCGGGUAAGGKUCGGUUCUCAUUUCUUGACUAUUCGGUUUUCGGGUUAGGGUUCGGGUUCUAGUGUGGAAAACCCGAAAUACCCAUACUAUUCAAAUUAUUCAUACUGUCCAAAAUUUUCAUGAUAUUAUUACACUAACUUGUUACCCAUACUAACUGAAAUACCCAUAUUACCAAAAAUACCCAUACUAUCCGAGUUAUUCAUAUCAAAAGUUGAUGUAUGCUCCGAAUAUUUGGNNNNNNNNNNNNNNNNNNNNNNNNNNNNNNNNNNNNNNNNNNNNNNNNNNNNNNNNNNNNNNNNNNNNNNNNNNNNNNNNNNNNNNNNNNNNNNNNNNNNCGCAAUUAAGUACGUCUAUUUUUUUAAGAUUGAAUUAUUUACGACUCUCGGGGAUAUGUAUACGUCAUGUGGGGCCUACGAUACUCGGCUUAGAGAGAAACUUAAGCCAAGUGGUACACUCGGCUUACAAAGGUGCCAUUUGACACCACCGUUAGCUCACACGACCAUCGUGCUGCUUUAUUUCGCCAAGAGACAUUGUUUUGAUCUCAGCUUAUAAGUAAGCCAAGUGCACGUGAAUAGGAUCUUGGCUUACACUGUGUAAGCCGUCUAAUAUAGUCCAAGACACAUAAGCCAGUACAUACCUAGAGCUAAUUAUCCACAUUUUGAGCUAUCUGGACAUGUACCUUGAGAAAUGGUUUGUGAAUGUUUGUUACCAGGUGCAACAAGGUCCAAUUGUUAAGGAUAAAAUACCCUUUCAUAUUUGUAUGGAAUUUUGGAAAUGGUAAUUAUAGAGAACCCCUCUUCACUAUUCUGUAUAAAUAGACUAUUCUAUUUGUAUAGAUACGGUAGAGGGAUGUAUCCAACCCUCUUUAUCUGCUAGUUAUCCCUCUUUAGUUUAAGAGGAUGGAUUAGUUUGGUACCUCGCAUAAGGCUCAUAACUUUUGGGGGUUGCGGGUUUGAUUCUCACUACCAGCUCCUGGUGGGACCAAAAAAAUUUCAUGUGUUAAAACGCUUGGCCUGAUUUCAAAAUUGUCAAGAAUUUUAUAGGUUGUUUUUAUUGCAAAAUGAUGAGUCUCCUUUCAUAGCUUUCCAAUUACGAGUAUGAGAAUUUAAAAUCAUGAAAAUUCUCGACACCCGUCUUACAAUAAGCCAAGGUUGAUCUCGCAUUAGCCGAGUAUGUCUCAUACUACUCUGCUUUAUUAAAUUUUACAUGUAGUUUAUGUAAGCAAAACUUAGCUACCGUAGUCAACUUUYCYAUAAAGUACCGAAAUAUUAGAGCGUUUAGGCUAAGUCAUGUUGGAAGCAACUUAGCUAGUAACGUAACAGAUUUUAAAAAAAACUUAAUGUGUCAUGUAAUGAGAAGAGAGGUGUUUAAAGUAACAUACUACGAGUAUGUUAUUGUAACAUAGCGACUUCGAUAAAAGAUAAGUCUACAAGCUAAUAAAUAAAUCCAUCUAUGACAUUAGUACAAUGUUCUUUUGCACUAUGAAUGGAGUAACUUAGACUAGUGUCAUAUGUAUACUCUUGACUAUGAUCAGUCUUGAUAACUAGUACUCAGUGGCGGAGGUAGCAAUCUGGCAAGGUUUGGCCUCCGCCACACCUUAAAAAUCCCAGCUUCAAGCUAUAUGCACGAUCAUAUAAAGGAAAGCUUCAAUCUCAUGAUGAUGUGUGACUGGCCGCUUGCAUCUGCCGUACCUAAAUAAAAGUUCUGCCUCCGCUACUGCUAGUACUAGUACAAAAAAGGAACUGCUAGUCUUAAAUCUGUGCCGCCAAUAAGAUCUUAUAUCUGUAUGUAUUCACCUACACUCAACGGUAAAAACUGCAGGUGAGAAAUCGACCAUCAAGAAGCGGCACCUCUACAUCAACGAGGCACUGCUGGCUGCUAAUCCUGAGAUGGCCACGUACAUGGCGCCUAGCCUGGACAUGCGGCAGGCCAUCAUCUCCGAGAAGGUCCCAGAGCUCGGCGCCGCUGCGGCCACCGCUGCGCUCAAGGNNNNNNNNNNNNNNNNNNNNNNNNNNNNNNNNNNNNNNNNNNNNNNNNNNNNNNNNNNNNNNNNNNNNNNNNNNNNNNNNNNNNNNNNNNNNNNNNNNNNGAGGUAGUUCUUAUAACUACGUCAAGGAUCGCGAUAUUCAUCACAUGUGCGGUAUAUUGGACACCCGAUCACACGAUCCUAUGUGACAUAUUCAGAAGAGGCAGCACAUAGGAUUCUGUGUGGACGAACAUUAGAAUUGCCCACAUGUCCGGACGUAGCUACUUCGUGUCACGCGUACGACAACAACUACUCAUCACGAACUCGCACGUGUGGCACGAAGCAAUUUUACGCUGAUAUUUUAUGGCAACUUUAUUUAUCCUGGGGAUGUCAACUUCUCUAUUUUCGUUAACUACCGUUGCCAUGUUUAAUUAACGAUAGUUGCCACGUAUGAUCAAAUCAUAGUUGUCAUGCAUGGUCAAUCGUAGUUGUUAUGUGUGAUUAACUAGUUGUCACAUGUGGUCAAAUCAUAAUUGUCAUAUAUAAUCAAUCAUAGUUGUCAUGUGUGAUUAACUAGUUGCCACAUAUGGUCCACCAUAGUUGUCGUGCGUGAUUAACUAGUUGUCUGACAUGCACAAACUGUAGUUGUCAUCUGUCAUUGUACGAGUGUCAUGCGGGUGAGCAGUUCACCCACACGGCGUGGACUGGAUGGUGUCCGUGUGAACGAGGACCGGUUCACCCACACAACGUGGACUUGACUGUGUCCGUGUGGAUAAAGAUCGGUUCAUCCACACGACGAAGCUGACAACCGCUUGUUGCACGUCGUGCAAGGCUGUGUGGGCAAGCGUGCGAACCCCCCACACAACACACUACGCCUAUGGAACACUCCAAUUUCGUCAGAAAUCGUCAAGAUUCGUGCAAACCAGAACGUACGAAGAUUAAGAUGUGUAAACAAAGUGUAGAAAUGCCACACAUGUGGGCGCUAUCAUUUGGGUUCGCCAAUUAGGUUGUUUUGUUGGACGAUUUGUCCAUGUGUUUAAUCUUUUUUUCUCGAUAAUGGAAAGAUUGCAGUGUGUUCUAAAUACUGUUGUUUACAUUGUGGUACUAUUUCUGGUGUACCAACUCAAGAAAGGAGAAGUGAUCCCCAGUGAACUUUUUGACCCAAUGAGCUUCUGCAAGUGGUGAAACCAUGAGACAGAAACAAUGGAAGUUGUGUUACUACAAAACAAGACCAGUGAGGGAGGAUCCCUGCGGCAGUUCGAUACGGAAGAAGGUGUGGACACUGAACUCAAUCCACAACAUAAUAAUACCUCUAUCCGGGAUUGUAAGGCAGGCACGGGUUUUAGUGUUCAAGUUGCCUAAUGAAAUGUAUAAUAUGCCACCAUAAGUACAUGUUUAGAAACUUCGUUCGACGGUGAAUCCAAUGAUGCACAUUGGUGACAUAUAACACACAUGUAACGGCAACAAGUCCACGAACAUUGUAAAAGAGGAAACUCUACAUGGAUCUUCUCAAUGCCACGGGAAAGACGCGGCUGGUCGGGCAUUUUUAGGAAAUUAAAAGAGAUUAUAAUGCCACUGAAAGUUUCAUGUGUUUCAUCAANNNNNNNNNNNNNNNNNNNNNNNNNNNNNNNNNNNNNNNNNNNNNNNNNNNNNNNNNNNNNNNNNNNNNNNNNNNNNNNNNNNNNNNNNNNNNNNNNNNNUAACCCCCUCUGUCUCGCGGCUCCACCUCUGUUCGUGUCAUUCCAAUUUUCUCUUCUCGAAUUUGUUCCUCUGUUGAUUUCCGUUGCCUCUUGUAAAAUCACCAAGGCGCAUGUAUAUAAAGUGAUGAAAUUAUCUGUGAAGUAUCGAUGUGGGAUUAUGAGGGCAGAAGCGAUAUCCCUCUCAUGUGUUUUUUUUGUCAGCCCAGAUGCGUUUCUCUUAUCCAAUGCCAUAGGGGCUCUCUGCAAAAAUUAAACGUUUUCCUGUUCGUAACACAUAAAAAGGUACCGCGGGUUUAAUUACCUAAAAGACAGUGGCUUUUUUGAAAAACGGCAGCGGUGGGUUUUCUGACGGAAGCAAUAGCCUCUUUAUUAUUAUUAUUAUUAUUAUUAUUAGGUAAAGAUAAAAAAUUUCUCAAGUAAAUAAUGUCACAGAAGGUUAAUACGUUUCAAUAAAAGCGUCUUUGCAUUUUGAUCAAGAAUCGAUGCUAUUUCUUAAGGAGAAGGGAAAUAGACUUACUCUUAUAGUAUCAUUGCCCGUAUCUUUAGAUUUUUGCCUGUGACCAAGUUCAACAAAUUUAUUAAGAUGGGUAGCGACAUCUUUAUUGUACGAGGCCGUCUAGUUUUUCAGCCAACAAAUAGUUCCGAAGCAUACCAAAAAAAACCAUAAUAAUAGCUGUGCUUUUCUAAGGGAAAGCAUCGUUGUCAGGCCGCAUUUUUUGUUCUCACAUGGGUUACAAUCGGCUUCCGGGCUGAAAUUCGCGUCCAUUUCUGGUCCCAUAGACCCAUUCGAACAAAGGCCGAAUCAUUCGACGCCGAUACAAAACCCAACUUGGGCCCUGACGACCUUCUAAAAAAAAUAACUGGGCCCUGACGACAUUUGCGCAACCCCCCGUUGCUUCCAGCGAAAUUACCCCGUCCCGCUGGCGAAAGCACCACCUCUGGAACGGCACAGGGAGACCCACAGCCCGAUCCCAGCCGCCCGCCUCCCCCAUCGGACGGCCCACAGGGGCCAGUCGCCCGCAAAACGUGCGCCGAGAGAUGUGGCUGUGGCAUGAGGAAAAUUCUGCUAACACCCCCCGCGUCUUGCUCAUUUCGCUAUGCACCCUCGUCCCGUCUCGCGCCCCACGCAACCCUAAUAAACCCUCCUCCUCCCGGCCGCCGCCACAUCCACUCCCCCCNNNNNNNNNNNNNNNNNNNNNNNNNNNNNNNNNNNNNNNNNNNNNNNNNNNNNNNNNNNNNNNNNNNNNNNNNNNNNNNNNNNNNNNNNNNNNNNNNNNNCAUGGUUGUCAAAAAACUUGGUAACUCAAAGAAUUAUUCUGAAUUUCAAUUUUUUUAAAUAUACUAUAAUAUUUCGAUUCACCCCGACAACUAAUUCUUCAAAAUUUACUCAGGUAUAUAAUCAAAAAGACUCAGAAGCAUUACCAUUUAACUGCAUACAUUCAAUCAUUCGUGAACAUUUUUAAAAUCGAGAUUUUUUUACUAUGUAUAAACAUUUCUUUAAAAUUCCAAACAAUAUUUUAAAUUACGAACUGUUUUCAAGUAUUUUCUUGUGAAUUGGCGAAUAAUUUAUUUAUUAAAAAUUAGCCAGCUUUUAUGUUGACCAGUGGGCAGUUCUACAACCAUUUGAAUUAAAACUAAAACUGAGCCAUCCACAUAGUUUUAGAACACAGAUAGAAAACACACUCUUAAUUUCACAGAACGUUUUUUUGCAUAAACACCAAAAAUAAGAAUAACAGGAGGAUCACUCCCGGCUCCAUUUUCAUCACGAAGCCCAUGACCAUAGGCACCAACAGCAUCUCUUGAGAAGCAGUACUGAAAAUAUUACAAAACAGAAUCAUGGAUUCAUGAUGCAUCAAAGGCAAACAUCAGAGAUAGUAAAUCUUAUAGGAUCUGAACAGCAGCACCUCUUUAGAUGGAGACAGUUGGACGCUUCCCCCCUUGGUGGUAAAGAAGGCCAGAGGUAGCUGUCCAAGAUUGAUAUAUUGGUGCAGAGGAGCUAUGCUAAAUUUGUGGACAGGCGGUAACACGAAAUAGAAACAGAACGAAUGGGGCUGGAAUCCCCUACCUAUUUCAAUCUCUGCACACUGCACGGUAUGAAGAUCCAAACGAAAAUUACAGGAAUUAACUUUCUUUGCUGAGAAAUAUUAAAAUGCCAUAAGAAGCUGGUGGUGACCAGGUUCAGAUGGAGAGAACCAAGAAUCCCAUUGCAUUCAUAUUCAACCAAGAAGUGACCUUAAUGAUGAUAUGGUUUGCAGUAGAGAAUACAGAAUUCACACUUUGAGAGCAAAAAUUAGUGACUCAAAUACUGCAUCGUUGAAGCUCUUCAGAAAAUUGGUGAGCAGAUGAACCCACGUUCUUGCCCCUUCUCCUCAUUUGUUGCUGGAUGCUAUAAGAACACCACCUUGGCUGAAMUCUGCAUCAGGUCAAUUGCCAUGAAACUAUCUCCAUNNNNNNNNNNNNNNNNNNNNNNNNNNNNNNNNNNNNNNNNNNNNNNNNNNNNNNNNNNNNNNNNNNNNNNNNNNNNNNNNNNNNNNNNNNNNNNNNNNNNCACAAAGGCAAUACUGCUGAAAACAGCGUCAUUCCAGGUUAGUUCCAUUCAAAUCAUGCAAAUUAGAGUCCAAAACAAGGGCAAAAGAGUUUGGAAAAGUAGAUACGAUGGAGACGUAUCAGUAACACUAGUGAAGAAAGGGCAUUUAGUCCCGGUUGGUAAUGGCCUUUAGUCUCGGUUCGUCAACCGGAAUAAAAGGUCCGACCCUUUAGUCCCGGUUGACCACACCUCGGGACUAUAGGUCUCUCAUGAAGCGGGACUAAUCUUCGCCAUGCCCCCGGCCGUUCCUAACCGCUGGAACCGGGACAAAUAGUCACAUUAGUUUCAGUCUCAAACCCGACCGAGAGUUCGGGACUAAUGCUCCGGAUGAAAGGUAUGUUUUCUACUAGUGCAAGUGUGCGUGUGUGCAUGCUGCCCAUCCACGUUCACGUCUCAGGCUCCGUGGAUGAUGAGGUUGCUUCUUCUACGAAAAUAUGCUGCCAAGGACUAGUUUUGGUCGUCCUGUUGUUGGUGAGGGCUACUUUCCAGGAUGGUCAACUUAGGUGUGUAUUUUUCUGUUUGGGUUGAGCAUCUCAUGCCUCUAUGCUUUGGACGCCAUGUUCACGCCCUUGCUUCCGUGUAAUGUGUUAUACCUCAUCUCUAUUUAUUCUAACUCUCUUUAUCAAUGAAAUGAUAUGCAAGCUCUUUGCGUAUUCACGAAAAAAUAAUAUUUUUGUUGUUCUAUAUAGUGUCACUUUAAAACUCCCCCGCCACAAGGACCCUGUAUUUUUAGUACUCCGGCUACAUCGGGAUUGUUAAAACGGCUAGCAAUACUUUUAUUUUCACUUUAGGCCCUGUUUGAAACCACAAUAGAUUAUAAUAAUCUAGAUUAUGAAGGCAGAUUAUAUAAUCUGGUUCAUAAAAAUAAUCUAGGUGGGCAUGUUUGGAAUCCAGAUUAUAUAAACUAUAAUCCAGGUUUUACAUUGCGUAAUGACAUGUCUACCCUUUGUUUUUUUAAGAAAGAGGAGGGUGGCGGUGGGGAAUGUAAUUACUUCAACUUUACAAGGUAAUAGGGUCAUUAGCAAUCCAUAAUCUGAUUUUAGCUUAGAGUAGAGUAGAUUAUGAGUUUUAANNNNNNNNNNNNNNNNNNNNNNNNNNNNNNNNNNNNNNNNNNNNNNNNNNNNNNNNNNNNNNNNNNNNNNNNNNNNNNNNNNNNNNNNNNNNNNNNNNNNCCCCCCUCUCCCACCUAUAUAUACGGAGGUUUUAGGGCUGAUUUGAGACGACUUUUCCACGGCAGCCCGACCACAUACCUCCACGGUUUUUCCUCUAAAUCGCAUUUCUGCGGAGCUCGGGCGGAGCCCUGCUGAGACAAGAUCAUCACCAACCUCCGGAGCGCCGUCACGCUGCCGGAGAACUCUUCUACCUCUCGGUCUCUCUUGCUGGAUCAAGAAGGCCGAAAUCAUCGUCGAGGUGUACGUUUGGUGAACGCGUAGGUGCCGUCCGUUCGGCACUAGAUCGUGGGACUGAUCGCGGGACUGUUCGCGGGGCGUAUCGAGGGACGUGAGGACGUUCCACUACAUCAACCGCGUUCACUAACGCUUCUCCUGUACGGUCUACAAGGGUACGUAGAUCACUCAUCCCCUCUCGUAGAUGGACAUCACCAUGAUAGGUCUUCGUGCGCGUAGGAAAAUUUUUGUUUCCCGUGCGACGUUCCCCAACAGUGGCAUCAGAGCUAGGUUCAUGCGUAGAUGUCUUCUCGAGUAGAACACAAAAGUUUUUGUGGGCGGUGAUGUGCAUUUUGCGGACCUCCUUAGUUUUUUCUUGAUUCCGCGGUAUUGUUGGAUUGAAGCGGCUUGGACCGACAUUACUCGUACGCUUACGAGAGACUGGUUUCAUCGCUACGAGUAACCCUGUUGCUCAAACAUGACUGGCAAGUGUCAGUUUCUCCAACUUUAGUUGAAACGGAUUUGACGGAGGAGGUCCUUGGAUCAGGUUAAAUAGCAACUCAUAUAUCUCCGUUGUGGUGUUUGCGUAAGUAAGAUGCGAUCCUACUAGAUACCCAUGGUCACCACGUAGAACAUGCAACAACAAAAUUAGAGGACGUCUAACUUGUUUUUGCAGGGUAUGCUUGUGAUGUGAUAUGGCCAACGAUGUGAUGUGAUAUAUUGGAUGUAUGAGAUGAUCAUGUUGUAAUAGAUAAUAUCAACUUGCACGUCGAUGGUACGGCGACCGACAGGAGCCAUAGGGUUGUCUUUAUACUAACGUUUGUGCUUGCAGAUGCGUUUACUAUUUUGAUAGGAUGUAGCUUUAGUAGUAAUAGCAUGAGCGUUCUACCCCGAUGGCGACACGUUGAUGGAGAUCAUGGUGUGGCGCCGGUGACAAGAAGAUCGUGCCGGUGCUUUGGUGAUGGAGAUCAAGGAGCACGUGAUGAUGGCCAUAUCAUGUCACUUAUGAAUUUCAUGUGAUGUUAAUCCUUUUAUGCAUCUUAUUUUGCUUAGAACGACGAUAGCAUUAUGAGGUGAUCUCUCACUAAAAUUUCAAGACGAAAUUGUGUUCUCCCCGACUGUGCACCGUUGCUACAGUUCAUCGUUUCGAGACACCACGUGAUGAUCGGGUGUGAUAGACUCAACAUUCACAUACAACGGGUGCAAAACAGUUGCGCACGCGGAACAGUCGGGUUAAGCUUGACGAGCCUAGCAUGUGCAGACAUGGCCUCGGAACACAUGAGACCGAAAGGUCGAUCAUGAAUCAUAUAGAUGAUAUGAUUAGCAUAAGGAUGCUUACCACUGAAACUAUACUCAACUCACAUGAUGAUCGGACUUGAGCUAGUGUAAGUGGAUCAUGAACCACUCAAAUGACUAGAGAGAUGUACUUUUUGAGUGGGAGUUUAGCGAAUAAUUUGAUUAAGUUAAACUCUAAUUAUCUUGAACAUAGUAUAAGUUCACUUUGAAUAUAUUUGUGUUGUAGAUCAUGGCUCACGCAACAGUCACCCUGAAUUUUAAUACGUUCCUAGAGAAAGCUAAGUUGAAAGAUGAUGGAAGCAACUUUGUAGACUGGGCUCGUAAUCUUAAGCUAAUCUUACAAGCUGGGACGAAGGAUUAUGUCCUUAAUGCUGCGCUAGGAGAUGAACCACCCGCUACGGCUGAUCAGGAUGUUAAGAACGCUUGGUUAGCACGUAAGGAGGACUACUCAGUAGUUCAAUGUGCAGUCUUGUAUGGCUUAGAACCGGGACUUGAACGUCGCUAUGAGCGUCAUGGAGCAUUUGAGAUGUUCCAAGAGUUGAAGUUUAUCUUUCAUAAGAACGCCCGGAUCGAGAGGUAUGAGACCUCCGAUAAAUUCUAUGCUUGCAAGAUGGAGGAGAACUCGUCUGUCAGUGAACAUGUGCUCAAAAUGUCUGGGUACUCAACCCGUCUAGCUGAGCUGGGGAUUGAACUCCCGCAAGAGGCUAUCACUGACGGAAUCCUUCAAUCACUGCCGCUGAGCUAUAAAGGCUUUGUGUUGAACUACAACAUGCAAGGGAUGAACAAGUCUCCCGGCGAGUUGUUUGCGAUGCUGAAAGUCGCAGAGUCUGAACUCCGUAAAGAGCAUCAAGUGUUGAUGGUGAAUAAGACCACUAGUUUCAAGAGAAAUGACAAAGGCAAGAAGGGUAAUUCAAAGAAGAGCGGCAAGCCUGUUGCCAAUCCGACGAAGAAACCCAAAGCUGGACCUAAGCCUGAAACAGAGUGUUACUAUUGCAAGGGUAUGGGUCACUGGAAGCGCAAUUGCCCCAAAUAUCUGGCAGAUAAGAAGGUGGCCAAAGAAAAAUCAGGUAUAUUUGAUAUACAUGUUAUUGAUGUGUACUUAACCGGCUCUCGUAGUAGUGCCUGGGUAUUCGAUACCGGUUCUGUUGCUCAUUUUUGCAACUCGAAACAGGAACUGCGGAAUAGACGAAGGCUGGCAAAAGAUGAAGUGACGAUGCGCGUAGGAAAUGGUUCCAAGGUUGAUGCAAUCGCCGUCGGCACAGUUUCACUUCAGUUACCAUCGGGAUUAGUUAUGAACUUGAAUCAUUGUUAUUUAGUGCCUGCGUUGAGCAUGAACAUUAUAUCUGGAUCUUGUUUAUUGUGAGACGGUAACUCUUUUAAGUCAGAGAAUAAUGGUUGUUCUAUUUCUAUGAGUAACAUCUUUUAUGGUCAUGCACCCAAUGUGAGAGGAUUGUUCAUAUUGAAUCUUGAUAGCGAUACACACAUACAUAACAUUGAGACCAAAAGAGUUAGAGUUAACAAUGAUAGCGCCAUAUUUUUGUGGCACUGCCGCUUAGGUCAUAUUGGUGUAAAGCGCAUGAAGAAACUCCAUGCCGAUGGACUUUUGGAGUCACUUGACUUUGAUUCACUUGACACGUGCGAACCAUGCCUCAUGGGCAAGAUGACUAAAACUCCGUUCUCCGGAACAAUGGAGCGUGCAAGUGACUUGUUGGAAAUCAUACAUACCGAUGUGUGUGGUCCGAUGAGCGUAGAGGCACGCGGCGGAUAUCGUUAUUUUCUCACCUUCACUGACGAUUUGAGUAGAUAUGGUUAUGUCUACUUAAUGAAGCACAAGUCUGAAACAUUUGAAAAGUUCAAGCAAUUUCAGAGUGAAGUUGAAAAUCAUCGUAACAAGAAGAUCAAGUUCCUACGGUCUGAUCGUGGGGGUGAAUAUCUGAGUUUCGAGUUNNNNNNNNNNNNNNNNNNNNNNNNNNNNNNNNNNNNNNNNNNNNNNNNNNNNNNNNNNNNNNNNNNNNNNNNNNNNNNNNNNNNNNNNNNNNNNNNNNNNUUCAACAAUUUCUGACUUCAUUUGGUAUAUUUCGUGCAUUUACUUAUUUUUUUUGAGCUAGUUGACCCUGAAAUUGAAAAGCACUACAAAUGAACUCUGAAAAUGUUGAAAGUUGGCAUGCUAUCAUCAUUUCACCCACAUAGCAUGUGUUAAAAAGUUGAGAGGGCUACGACAAAAACUGGAUGCAGUUCGUGUACAAAACUGACAAUCUCUCUCAAAGUAGCACGGUUUCGAACCAGAACUCAUCUCUUACAAAGGGAUUUCAUUUUUUUGAACUUAUUUGAACUCCAUACUUUUUGUGUGUUCAAAAUGCACCAUUCAAAGGCACAUCACAAAAUUUCAACAAUUUCUGACUUCAUUUGGUAUAUUUCGUGCAUUUACAUUUGUUUUUUGAGCUAGUUGACCCUGAAAUUGAAAAGCACUACAAAUGAACUCUGAAAAUGUUGAAAGUUGGCAUGCUAUCAUCAUUUCACCCACAUAGAAUGUGUUAAAAAGUUGAGAGGGCUACGACAAAAACUGGAUGCAGUUCGUGUACAAAACUGACAAUCUCUCUCGAAGUAGCAGGGUUUUGAACGAGAACUCAUCUCUUACAAAUGGAUUUCAUUUUUUUGAACUUAUUUGAACUCCAUACUUUUUGUGUGUUCAAAAUGCACCAUUCAAAGGCACAUCACAAAAUUUCAACAAUUUCUGACUUCAUUUGGUAUAUUUCGUGCAUUUACAUUUGUUUUUUGAGCUAGUUGACCCUGAAAUUGAAAAGCACUACAAAUGAACUCUGAAAAUGUUGAAAGUUGGCAUGCUAUCAUCAUUUCACCCACAUAGUAUGUGUUAAAAAGUUGAGAGGGCUACGACAAAAACUGGAUGCAGUUCGUGUACAAAACUGACAAUCUCUCUCGAAGUAGUAGGGUUUCGAACUAGAACUCAUCUCUUACAAAGGGAUUUCAUUUUUUUGAACUUAUUUGAACUCCAUACUUUUUGUGUGUUCAAAAUGCACCAUUCAAAGGCACAUCACAAAAUGGACAAUCUCUCUCGAAGUAGAAGCGGCCCCCACAAUAAGAGACGACAUUCUUCUUCUCUCAUAUAUGGUGGACACUAGCUCACCUGAUUUUUCAACCGUCGAUGAUGGUCGCUACUCCUACUUCCCCUAGUGCAUAACCAAUAUCUAGCACAAGGUGAAGAAGGAGAAGCGACCCCCACAACAAAAGUGGUUCCGCGGCACGCCACGUGGUUCCGCUGCACGCCACGUGGUUCCGCUGCACGCCACGUGGGACUAAUGGUCUUUCAUUUUUAAAUGAUUGUUUUAAUCAAAAACAGAUCUGUUACAAAAGGGAUUUCAUUUUUGAACUUAUUUGAACUGAAGAAUUUUUGUAUAUAUAUGUGGUCGAAAUAAAUGAUACCAUGAAGUUAGAAAGGGCUAAACCAUUCAAAAGUAGCAAAUGAAGUUAGAAAGGGCUAAACCAUUCAAAUUUGGAAACUAUAAUGGCACAAAUAGAAACUAGACAUAUAUAAAUUGGUCCAAGAAGUACAUGAUACUAGUCCAAACAGUACAUAAUAAUAGCUACCAUAGAUAUAUAUACAAGUGUUCGACGUUAAGAACAUUACUCGUCUGAAUCAUCUAAAUCAGAAUGUCCACGUUCCUCGAAGUGACGCUGGCCAUAAUUGACGACUCGAAUCCUGCGGUACAACUCGUAUGAAACGUAUGCAUCUUUUGCUGCAUACUCAAUGUUGAUAUCAUCAAGUGGGCCCUUCUCCCAAAGUCUGUGCUGAGACUUUGGGAAACUGGUCUUCAUAUCACCAUAUGACUCGUCGAUCAAGGCAACUGCCAUAUGAUCCAUGGAAGUCCUGUCAUGUCGAAGCCUGAAUAUCGUUUGGAGAUCAACGAGGCAACCAGCUGGUAUCUCAAUACCGAAGUUGUGCCUCAUCUUCAGCUUGUCGUUCCUUAUGUCAACGGAAGCAAAAGUGAUGCCGCUGCAAAGGAACUCCAUGAGUUCUGGACAAUGCUUGUCACUCCUGCAACAGAAACAAAUUAAAAUGGAACAAAUGUUACAUACUGCCGCAAUAAGGAAACAUGUUUCACUACAACUAAAGAGAAACUUAUCUUUAGGAUUCAAAUAGAACAUAUGCAAUGGAACCUAGAGAGAUCACUAUAGCUAUCCAAUGGAACCUAGAGAGAUCACUAGCUAUAUGCAAUUUUCAUGACUAUGACAUAUCAUAUUGCUAUUCAAUGGAACCUAGAGAGAUCACUAGCUGUAUUCAUUUUUCAUAACCUUGGAUCAAAGAACACCGCAUAAAAUUGUAUCACUACAACUAUGAUUUCAAUGGAACAUAUUGAACCAAUCAGAUUUUUCAGAUUAUGGAACACUAUUCCAAUCAGAUUGUGUUUCCUUCAACUAAUCAAAAUUGUUUCACUACAACUAUUUGAAGCGAACCAACUAUGAUUCCAAUGGAACAUAUUAAACACUAGUUGAUUCUAAUACGAUUUUUCAGAUUAUGAAACACUAUUCCAAUGAGAUUGUGCUCCCCUUCAACUAAUCAAAAUUGUUUCACUACAACUAUUUGAAGGGAACCAACUAUGAUUCCAAUGAAACAUAUUAAACACUAGUUGAUUCUAAUACGAUUUUCAGAUUAUGGAACACUAUUCCAAUUAGAUUGUGCUCCCCUUCAACUAAUCAAAAUUGUUUCACUACAACUAUUUGAAGGGAACCAACUAUGAUUGAAACAAAUAAACUUACAAUGUCAUUACCUUGGAUCAAAGAAAGCCUCAAAACUUACCUCGCCCAUUGGAAGAUCAAGACAUGGCGUGCGAAGCAUAGUUGGAUGACGGCAACACCGUGUUGAUCGGCCGUGUACUCCAGAUCAAGCCCCAAGGACUUCUCAUGAUCCGCUGCGUGGUCAAACCAUUUUUCCUUCAACUGUUGAAGAAAAAACGGCACCUCGUUGCUCAGGUUCGUGUACAUGACAUCGAGCAUCGUCGUGCCAUGUGCGAGCACCUUACGGAAGCUAGUUGGCAUGGUGGAAGAAGAGAAGGGAAGAAGAGAGGAGAAGAACAGAGAGGGUGACGCGAGAGAGAAGAAGAACAGAGAAAUGGCGACUGUACGCUUCGGUUCGUGCUUUUCAUCGCCCGAAACGACGCGGGAUGCAAACCGUUUGGGCCUUUAGUCCCGGAUUGAGCCACCAACCGGGACUAAAGGGGGAUACCAACCGUCGCCACCACUACGGCAGGCCACGUAUUAGUCCUUUAGUCCCGGAUUGAGCCACCAACCGGGACUAAAGGGGGAUACGAACGGUUGCCACCACCACUGCCCACCACGUAGCCCUUUAGUCCCGGUUUGGGACACGAACCGGGACUAAAGGCUCCUUACGGGCCGGGACUAAAGCCUCGAGGGAGGCAUUGAGAAUUGGGGCGACGUGGUCGGGCCUUUAGUCCCGGACCAGAGACAGGCCGGGACUAAAGGGUCCAGGCCAAAGGCCCGUUUUCCACUAGUGGCCGCGAGUCAUAUCUAUAAUAAGAAGGUGUUUUAAAAAUAUUCUUAGACUUGAACCUCAAAGUUACACGCACACUAAAUCUUACUUUUUAGAGAUACUAUCUCGUUAUCAACUUGUACAAUCUAGUUUGGAAAGAGUAUAAUANGGGCUCGGAGAUGUGUAUAAGAGACAGAACUAAAAAUACAUCAAAGUAAAAUACAUGACGUAUACGGUUCUGUGUACCGGCGCAGAACAUCAUUACAUAGUUUAGCAAAGGUUAUUCAAACAGAUAUGGUGAAAAAUUUCAGUAUCACAAAUUUAGUUAUUUUGGCCAUUUAUGCGCAAAUAACUCAGCCAAAAGAUGUUAAAACAACCUUAUUUUUUAUUACAUGGAAAAUAUUAUCGAUCCAUUAAUUUAAUUCUAUACAAACAUUAAUUUAAUGAUUAGCGCAACAGUUAAUAUGACUUGAAGUAAAAUGUUACUAACAGAGCUGAGGUGUCCAACAAAAUAUUGUAAGAAUACAUAAAUUAUAGUUAGAAUAAUAACUUUUAUUGAGGAAGAUGUAUGUUGCGCUAAGAAUAGCCGUACAUGCAAACUGGUUUUUCAGUCCAGCUAUUUCAUCGGCCUGAAAACAAAAUGACAUAAAUUUGCCAAACAAACCAUAGCACUUUAAACACCAAUGAAUGGUCGAUCUGACAUCGUACUCUGGUUCAAUGCAUUGUAACAUCAUCAAUACCUUGCAAAACUGGAAAACGAAAUUCUCGUAAUGGGUGUGCUCUUAUACCCAAGUAGCAAACUAUUAGCAAAAUAUAUAGAUUGUUGCAAACUAUUGUUGUGAGGUAUUACUGAGGUUCUACAACCUUCCGUCCAGAACCUCACUAAUACCUCGCAAAACCUAAGGAGACAAAAUCGUAAAGACGAUGAUCUCACAUUCCUUAGUAAUGGAGUAUUGACAAAAUAAAGGCACAUAAAAGAAAAACUAAGGCACACAUAUCAUUCUUGCUAUAUAUGAUGAACAAAAGAAUGUAUCUUGCAAACCUAAUAAACCUGUGUGGUCCAUGAUAAUCAAAAUAGCUAACCACAACAUACAUGACGACCUACUUAACAACAUAAUAUAAUGUUAGUGAUAAGGUUUAGAAAUAUCCGACUCACAUAAAUAUAAGAAAGCAACAAUCAUAUCUAGAUCUAUUUUAUGUGGUUUAUACUUGGCUAUAACUCCCAUGUUCAAAUCCCAUGUAGCAAAGCAAAAUCAUAUCAGUCUUGUUCUUACACACAACAUCACAUCCGGUAGCCCAUGCAAAUAUUGCAAGAAGAGAAUGAAGUACACAAAAGGAAGUAGAGUAGAUGCAGGGAACGGCAGCGAACCAGUGGAUAUAUGUAAUGCACCUUUGAUUUUCCGGUUGGAGUCGAAGAAAACAUGGGUGGCCGCCAUUGGCGUACCAGACAAUCUGCACGACACAGAAAGAUCAUGGAGAAGAAGACAUGGUUUCUGUGGACAAUGGGAUGGUGAUCAGCUGCGAUGAGACUUGAAUGAUCACCUUGUGCGUUUUUAGGAGAUAAGCAAGGCAUGUCAGUUUAAAAUAAAAGAGACACUUACAGUUAGUUUCUUUUCGUUUUCAAUCUGUACAUUCAUGCAGAUUUUUUUGGGAAAAAUACAUGGACGCGGAUGUUUUUUGUACGUUCACAAAUCUUGUAUGCGCUCUCAGUUUUUCUAAGACCUACAUAGCAAGUACAUUCUUGUUGUGUUAUCCAGAGUUUUAUAUAAUUCUAAGAUGUAAUACUUGGGCCAAUCAAAUCAAUGGCUAGAGAGACACACGUGAGAUACAUGAGAUAUUUUAUUUUAUGGAGAUACGUGCGAUUUUGGGAGGAGUGUGCCAUGGAAAAAAAAUAGAAGGGAGAGACAUAGUAUAUACUUCCUCCGUCCCAAAAUUCUUGUCUUAGAUUUGUUUAAAUAUAAAUGUAUCUAGUCAAGUUUUAGUAUUUAAAUACAUCCAUUUUUAAACAAAGUUAAGACAAUAAUUUUAAGACAGAGGGAGUACAAAGGUUGAGCCAGGAAAUAAAAGGAUAUGUGAGACGUGAGAGUUUGGGUCAUGUCUUGGACGCGAGAUUGAGCGAGUAAAAAAUAGGGAUGCCUGAGAGAUUGGGUCAGAUUUAGGUGCGGUUUUAGUUGGUUGAUUCUUUUUUUUUNNNNNNNNNNNNNNNNNNNNNNNNNNNNNNNNNNNNNNNNNNNNNNNNNNNNNNNNNNNNNNNNNNNNNNNNNNNNNNNNNNNNNNNNNNNNNNNNNNNNAAAAAAAAGUCAAGAGGGAGAAUUAUACUCACCCAAAAUAGAAAUUGAUAUAUUUUUUUUCUUGGGAAAAUGUUUCCAUCUGAUUGUGCGGUGCACAACACACUUCACGCCGCACACGUGUUUCGCAACAUUGGUCGUGUUGUAAGAUCGCAACAGAAUACGUGUUACGGAUCUAUAAGUCGUGUGUCGAUCAUUUAUGUAGCCUUGUCUUCUCAAGAUGUCUGUUUUUCUUUUGACGCCCCCCCCCCCCCCUUCCAUGUCCGCUCGUGAUAAAUGACCAUAGCCGCUCGAGCGCGCACGCCGGAGCUACGUUUCAUCCCAAUGCUACAUCACUUUAUGCUUUGUUGUGAGCCAUUGUCGUUGGUCAAGCUCCAUGGCCCUUCCAUUGCCAGUCAUGAUCAUCUCGUAGGCAACACCGCACGUCCCUUCCCCAACCAGAACGAGCUCCUACUCAAGGUCAUGAUGUGAGGGGCACAUCGUCGUGGAUAUGAUCGACAAUCGAUGCCUCCAUCGAGCUUUUGUGAUCACGUAGGGGGAUCUGUAUGGACCACCAAUAUGGGUGCUAAAACCGGCGGGUCUUGGAUAGGAGGUCCCGAGCUGGUGAUCUUAGCUAGAUGGUUACCUCCGCCUCAGAUCUGCUUGAAAAUCAAUGUAGAUGGAGCAGUUGCUAGACAGGAAAAAAAAAGAACAGUUGCAGCAGUCUGUCGAGACAAUCAGGGUUCUUUUCUUGGGUCGUCUGUGGUGGUGGUCCAGGGAGUAACGGAUUCGGUGGUGCUUGAGACACUGGCUUGGAGAGAGGCUCUAGCUCUUGUAAAAGACCUUAACAUACAAAGUUUUUUAGUCGCUUCGACUGUUAAGAAGUCGUCAAUGAUAUUACCAAGGGAACGGGAGGACCCCAUGGGACCAUUAUUCAUGAAAUAGUAGGGCGUAGUAGUAUUUUUCAGACGUGUUUUUUUACUCAUGAAUGUAGAAAUUUUAAGCAUGAGGUUCAUAAACUUGCUAAGUUCUCUUGUAAUGUAGGCUAGGUCGACACUUAUGGUUGGAUAAUCCCCAUGACCGAACUUUCUCUGGAAUAAAGCUUGGCGAGUUUUUCUAAAAAAAACUACUAGAUAUAGAAAGUUUGUCUAGGUCUCAGUCGACUGAGACUUUGGUCAAGUAGUGUAAUAUGCAAGAAGAAAAAAACUGAAAAAAUAAUAUCUACACGAAUCUCAAUGCAAAAUCAACGGAUUAAAGUAUCGAUUAAGACUUGACGACAGUCGACUGAUUUUUAACAAAGCCGAUAGAAAUAUAGAUUGCCCUUUCCCCUCCCUCGUCCCAGCCGCCAUCAGCAGACGGACCUUCCUCGAUGGAGCAUUGUUAGAUCCGCCCCCUUGCCCUGCACAAUCCGUACGUCAACCAAGGCCGGCCACCCUGCGUGGUUCCUCGCUGCCGCGGAAGGCUUCGCCGGCGACCGGUCCAACGAGAGGUCCUGAGCAUCAAGGCGUCCUUUGCCCCCCAACCACCAGCCUCAACCAUCCAAGCUGUGGGUGCACUGCCCGGAGGCCGUGCACGUCGGCACCCCCUGUCUCCUCUGCAUCGCCGGCGACCUGAUCCUCUUCCGGGUCGACAAUCUCCGAUCGUGUCCCAGACAGCCGUUUCUCGACGCGGCCGGAUGGAUUGCGACUAUCUCAUCUACCAUGCUGACCCCCGGUUUGCGAGUGCUCAGCUUCGAAGACACUGAGGUUGGUCUUCUUCCCCGUGGUCUCCACCACUACACCAUCGCUGCGCUGGUUCCUUGUCCUCUCUGCAGCUUCCACAAGUUCGAGCUCUCCGAGACAUCCAGCUGGACCUCCAUGGUGCUUCGAUUGCGUCAUCCCCACUAACACGGAUCUUUUCUACUGUACUACCAUAGUACUUCCAGCGUCAUCGAAAUCGGUGGUAAAUAAGGCACCAUGGGCUGGGUCGAUCUCUGGCGAGGCAUCCUGCUCUGCGAUGUGCUGCGUGAGAAGCCAACUCUCAGAGGAAUAACCGUUGCCGCUGCCGAUGGAACAGAUCAUCCGCGGUGAUCGUUUAGGCCGUGCAAUGGAUUGCCGAGGCAUUGCCUUCAUCAAUGGCUGUCUCAAGUUUGUUCAACUGGACAUCAGCGCAAGUUACCACAUGGACAUCAUGGACCCGGAAACAGGGCAUCCAACUUUGCUGCUAUGGAUUUUAUGGUGAGUUCGGCACAUCAAGCCCUCUAUCGAGCCCCUAUCAUACAUUGGCUCAAGCCAUUGUGGAAGGCCCCUCUUCCUCUCAAGAUCAAAAUCUUUGUGUGGCAGUUACUCCGCAAUUGCCUUCCCUCGGGGAUAGAGGUGCGCAUAUGUCGGGUGAUGACAUGGGCCUCUUAUGCGUGAUCCCGGAGUCAACGACCCACAUUAUUUUUUACUUGCAUGGCGGCAAGGGCCAUGUGGGAAUUCUUACGCCAGGCCCUGGGACCCGACUGGGAGGCCCAGGACCUCACAGAGUUCCUACAAACCAAAGACCAUCACACUAGGUAGCGCCGACACCUGUUCUAGCUCAUCUUUGCUGCUAGGGGUGGACACGGUCCGGUCCGGUCCGGUCCCGGUCCGAACCGACGUUUGGACCGGCCGCCGGCGGUCCGGUCCGGAUCGGACUGAGCAGGUUGGCGGUCCUCUUUUCAGGGACCGCACCGGCGAGGCAAAAGCCCGGGCCGGACCGGCCAGCAGCGACGGCGAGGUGGUGACCAUGNNNNNNNNNNNNNNNNNNNNNNNNNNNNNNNNNNNNNNNNNNNNNNNNNNNNNNNNNNNNNNNNNNNNNNNNNNNNNNNNNNNNNNNNNNNNNNNNNNNNGGGGGGGGGGAGGGGGGGUAGACCUAAAAAUGUUGUACGAGAUGACCAUGUGUGACCAUCUAACAAUGUCCGUCAACGCAUGCCAUGUCAGCCUGAUAGGUGGGUCCUACUUGCCGGUUUGGUUGUUUUCGCGACCAAAUUAGAACACCAGUGCUUCGUCUUACAGGUUAGGCGCAAUUUCAAUGGUUUUUUUGUGUCCUGACACAAUUUGAUACAAAAUCAUUAUCCUACCACCAGCUGUGAUGGUUUGCAUAAAUAACCUGAUAACCAGGCAGAUGUAGUGGCGGAAAUAUAGUUCCAAUCCGAGCAGGGUGUAGAGCAGUACUGGACUAUGCUAGAUUGGGUACCACAUUACCCAGGAGGCCGAUUUCACUGUUUUUCUUUUUGACAUAGUUUAGCCCGAUCUGACCUCAUUCAUGAUUUUUUUUUUGGAUCUGGUCCUUUUUUUUCUACCGCUAUCCGCUGUGGCGGNGGGUCGGGUCAAUGCAGACGGUGCCGUUUGACCGCGCUGACCCGAUGACACUANNNNNNNNNNNNNNNNNNNNNNNNNNNNNNNNNNNNNNNNNNNNNNNNNNNNNNNNNNNNNNNNNNNNNNNNNNNNNNNNNNNNNNNNNNNNNNNNNNNNUGUUGGAAAUAUGCCCUAGAGGCAAUAAUAAUAUGGUUAUUAUCAUAUUUCCUUGUUCAUGAUAAUCGUCUAUUGUUCAUGCUAUAAUUGUAUUAACAGGAAACAGUAAUACAUGUGUGAAUAAAUAGAUCAUAAUGUGUCCCUAGCAAGCCUCUAGUUGGCUAGCUCGUUAGUCAAUAGAUGAUCAUGGUUUCCUGAUCAUGGGCAUUAGAUGUCAUUGAUAACGGGAUCACAUCAUUGGAAGAAUGAUGUGAUGGACAAGACCCAAUCCUAAGCCUAGCACUAGAUCGUAUUGUUCGUAUGCUAAUGCUUUUCUAAUGUCAAGUAUCUUUUCCUUCGACCGUGAGAUUGUGCAACUCCCGGAUACCGUAGGAGUGCUUUGGGUCUAUCAAACGUCACAACGUAACUGGGUGACUAUAAAGGUGCACUACGGGUACCUCCGAAAGUGUCUGUUGGGUUGGUAUGAAUCGAGAUCGGGAUUUGUCACUNNNNNNNNNNNNNNNNNNNNNNNNNNNNNNNNNNNNNNNNNNNNNNNNNNNNNNNNNNNNNNNNNNNNNNNNNNNNNNNNNNNNNNNNNNNNNNNNNNNNNNNNNNNNNNNNNNNNNNNNNNNNNNNNNNNNNNNNNNNNNNNNNNNNNNNNNNNNNNNNNNNNNNNNNNNNNNNNNNNNNNNNNNNNNNNNNNNNNNNNNNNNNNNNNNNNNNNNNNNNNNNNNNNNNNNNNNNNNNNNNNNNNNNNNNNNNNNNNNNNNNNNNNNNNNNNNNNNNNNNNNNNNNNNNNNNNNNNNNNNNNNNNNNNNNNNNNNNNNNNNNNNNNNNNNNNNNNNNNNNNNNNNNNNNNNNNNNNNNNNNNNNNNNNNNNGGCAAGUUCUAUACCGACAAACAAAGGGAAUCGUAUACGGGAUUGAUUGAAUCCUUGACAUCGUGGUUCAUCCGAUGAGAUCAUCGUGGAGCAAGUGGGAGCCACAAUGGGUAUCCAGACCCCGCUGAUGGUUAUUGGCCAGAGAGGUGUCUCGGUCAUGUCUGCCUGUCUCCCGAACCCGUAGGGUCUACACACUUAAGGUUCGANNNNNNNNNNNNNNNNNNNNNNNNNNNNNNNNNNNNNNNNNNNNNNNNNNNNNNNNNNNNNNNNNNNNNNNNNNNNNNNNNNNNNNNNNNNNNNNNNNNNGUCAGUGAUAGCCUCUUGCGGGAGUUCAAUCCCCAGCUCAGCUAGACGGGUUGAGUACCCAGACAUUUUGAGCACAUGUUCACUGACAGACGAGUUCUCCUCCAUCUUGCAAGCAUAGAAUUUAUCGGAGGUCUCAUACCUCUCGAUCCGGGCGUUCUUAUGAAAGAUAAACUUCAACUCCUGGAACAUCUCAAAUGCUCCAUGACGCUCAAAGCGACCUUGAAGUCCCGGUUCUAAGCCAUACAAGACUGCACAUUGAACUACUGAGUAGUCCUCCUUACGUGCUAACCAAGCGUUCUUAACAUCCUGAUCAGCCGUAGCGGGUGGUUCAUCUCCUAGCGCAGCAUUAAGGACAUAAUCCUUCGUCCCAGCUUGUAAGAUUAGCUUAAGAUUACGAGCCCAGUCUACAAAGUUGCUUCCAUCAUCUUUCAACUUAGCUUUCUCUAGGAACGUAUUAAAAUUCAGGGUGACUGUUGCGUGAGCCAUGAUCUACAACACAAAUAUAUUCAAAGUGGACUUAGACUAUGUUCAAGAUAAUUAGAGUUUAACUUAAUCAAAUUAUUCGCUAAACUCCCACUCAAAAAGUACAUCUCUCUAGUCAUUUGAGUGGUUCAUGAUCCACUUACACUAGCUCAAGUCCGAUCAUCAUGUGAGUUGAGUAUAGUUUCAGUGGUAAGCAUCCCUAUGCUAAUCAUAUCAUCUAUAUGAUUCAUGAUCGACCUUUCGGUCUCAUGUGUUCCGAGGCCAUGUCUGCACAUGCUAGGCUCGUCAAGCUUAACCCGANNNNNNNNNNNNNNNNNNNNNNNNNNNNNNNNNNNNNNNNNNNNNNNNNNNNNNNNNNNNNNNNNNNNNNNNNNNNNNNNNNNNNNNNNNNNNNNNNNNNNNNNNNNNNNNNNNNNNNNNNNNNNNNNNNNNNNNNNNNNNNNNNNNNNNNNNNNNNNNNNNNNNNNNNNNNNNNNNNNNNNNNNNNNNNNNNNNNNNNNNNNNNNNNNNNNNNNNNNNNNNNNNNNNNNNNNNNNNNNNNNNNNNNNNNNNNNNNNNNNNNNNNNNNNNNNNNNNNNNNNNNNNNNNNNNNNNNNNNNNNNNNNNNNNNNNNNNNNNNNNNNNNNNNNNNNNNNNNNNNNNNNNNNNNNNNNNNNNNNNNNNNNNNNNNNNNNNNNNNNNNNNNNNNNNNNNNNNNNNNNNNNNNNNAAUUCAUAAGUGACAUGAUAUGGCCAUCAUCACGUGCUCCUUGAUCUCCAUCACCAAAGCACCGGCACGAUCUUCUUGUCACCGGCGCCACACCAUGAUCUCCAUCAACGUGUCGCCAUCGGGGUUGUCGUUCUACUCAUGCUAUUACUACUAAAGCUACAUCCUAUCAAAAUAGUAAACGCAUCUGCAAGCACAAACGUUAGUAUAAAGACAACCCUAUGGCUCCUGUCGGUCGCCGUACCAUCGACGUGCAAGUUGAUAUUAUCUAUUACAACAUGAUCAUCUCAUACAUCCAAUAUAUCACAUCACAUCGUUGGCCAUAUCACAUCACAAGCAUACCCUGCAAAAACAAGUUAGACGUCCUCUAAUUUUGUUGUUGCAUGUUNNNNNNNNNNNNNNNNNNNNNNNNNNNNNNNNNNNNNNNNNNNNNNNNNNNNNNNNNNNNNNNNNNNNNNNNNNNNNNNNNNNNNNNNNNNNNNNNNNNNCAUACUGCACCGGGAGAUCCAUUGCAUCAGCUACAUGAUCGACGACGCCAGGGUUUACGACACCGUCGUGCUGGCCCUGGCCUCGGCCACGCUCGUCAACCCCACCUCGGCGGUGCUUACCAAGAGGCUGCUGAAUCUGGGGUACGAGGACGACGAGAUGAGCACCUGGGACUCCACCAUGGAGCUCAAGCUGGCGCACCAUACCAUACCACCACAGGGUACGGUUUCUCAGGAUCGGCCUCGGCGGGGAGGUCACCAUCGCGGCAGCCGAGUUCUUCGGGGCGUACGACACUACGACUGGGGCUAGGCCAUGGCGAAGAACGAGAGGCGUGAGGUCGUGUACGAGGCCGUGGCGCCGCCCUGGACUAAGGUCACCAUCAGACCAUCGCGACGAGGAGCGGCAUCGAUGUCCCCUUCACCUAUAGGCAGCGGAGGAGGGUUUCCAAGGGGGGUGGCCUCUACACCGGCAUCAACAUUUACAACUUCAACUUGAAGACCGUCGAGGAGAAGCUGCCGGCCCUUAAUUCUCUUUUAUCUUAUAUAUCGUCAAUUGCACUAUCUUAAUUAUACUAGCAUAUCUGUGCAGUGAAGGAAUAAGACGAUCGACAGCUUUGUGUUCCUGCUCCACACCCAUAUACAUGUCUGUGUUGUACUAGAAUGCAUGAACAAAAUGAUCGAUCAUGCAUGCUCAUGAAACAUCCAAACCUAAGUACCAUGCAUUUUACCAGUCGACGCCAUUGCAGCAUUAUAUAUACUAGUCGCCGACCCGUGCAUUCGCACGAGCUAGUUUAGUUAAUGUAAGAUAAAAUGCUUAAUAGGUUCACUACUUGUAACGUGUUUUAGACAGCCGGAACUAAUUUGAAUUUCCAGUUCUUGUUGAUCGUUUGAAGUCCACGCAUUGAACGAAUAACAGUUUCUUGGUUAAUUGAAUUUUAGCAAUCAAUUCAUAUAUUUACCUAUUCCGAGCGGAGGAACUGUCCGGUCUCGAAGUUUCAUGAAUUAGUACUUUGUUGUUCUAUAUAGUGAUCUAUCGAUCAUCCAUAACUAACAAUAUAUGUUGAGAGCUACAUUCUCGAGUGUCUAUUGUCGGUAUUUUGACACAUAUCUUAGUUAUUACUUCUUGUAAAUUUCCUAUAUCACGAAAUCAGUCGGACUACAUAACGAGAGGCACAUGACUUUUGAUAUUUGGUUUUAACCAAUAAAAUGUGGCUCCAUCUCCCAAAAAUUAUAUAACAAAAUUCACAACAAAAGGGAUUUUUAUAUCUAUUAAAAGCCAAGUGAGUACCUAACAAAUGCACCUGACUUUACUUGCGUGAACUAAAAUAGAUGACAAAAUGCUAAAGAACAAAUAAUAGUUUUUGUGAACUAAAAUUAUUCAAAGUAGCAUAGGUGAAUUUUAUAAAGAAUAAGAUUUUAUGGUAAAGCAUUCUCAUGACACCGCCUACUCCUCUAGAGCCCACUAGUGGGGACAGGGCCUAUAGCCCCGGCCCGUAAGGGGCUUUAGUCCCGUGGCUGUUGGUCGCACUUUACGAGAAUAGAAUAUAUAUAAUCAAAAUAAUAAUCUAGCAUCAUAAAUGUAUUGAAAAUUAAUAGAARUAUAUCAUACUACUACUUACCUGAGCCGCUCUAAAGGUCAGCUUCUCAUGACUCGAUACCGGGAKUCACGCACUUGAACCGCUUCCAAACCCUGCCCGACAAGGAUAAUGAUUUGCUAAGUUUUUCAUUAAUUGAUAUAUCAGAAAAUCAUCGAAAGAGACCGAUAGAGCGCAAGAAUGAUUAAAAUUACCCUUGGAGCAUGUCCUGCAGGCUUUGGAACUGUUCCAAGGGUCUCGAUAAUGGGUCGAAGGCAUCAACUCUUCCCUUAUCAAUUUGAAUGUCCAACAGAAUCCAAUGAAAGCUGCACAUGUAUAUAUAUAUAUAUAUGUGUGUGUGUGUGUGUGUGUGUGUGUGUGUGUGUGUGUGUGUGUSUUAUWCUAAUUAUACUUAUAAGUGAAUGGACACAACAGAGUAAAGAACCCUCACUUGAAGUUGUAUGGAAACAGUAUGUGGUCACAGAAAUUUUGAUCUAUUAGAAACCUUAGAAGGUUUUCCUCCGUCUCCUUGGGUUUAUCAGUUAGCGUCGCUAUAUGUAUUUUAUCUGGGUCAAUAAACCCAAUAUUUAGGAUGUUCCUACUUUUACAUUCCAGAAUCUUCAUUCUGCAUAAUAGAGUACAAGUUAUAUGUAGACAAUGAAUUGAAAUAACUAAACAAGUUAUAUGUAGAUAACGAAUUGAAAAACUUACAAACAAUAGCAACUCAUAAGCGAUUUGUCGAGGGCGUCGGCAUUGUACAUCUGGAAGAGUUCAUCAAAGUCGAUAUGGAUUUCUUCGGGGCGGCCGUAGUACUCCCGUGGGACACUCGCCACGAUCAUCGUUCUCCCAUUCUUUGAUUCACUUAAGUACCAUGUAUGCAAGUAACGCAUAUUUGUUGGGAGAUCAUCUUUGCUGACCAAAGGCGCUUCCAUGACAAACUGUGGCUUAGGGGCUACCACAGCCUUGGGUAACCUGUCGUCUUGGGAAGCCAGGACGUCUUCAACCGGGAUACCCCAUUCAUCCGCCCACUUCUUUGCUAAUUCCAAAUCUUGCCCCUGCACCAGAGAGGGAACAUUCUCGGGUAACACCCUGAGGGGUGGGAUCGACUGUUUGGCCUGUUGUCCAAGCUGAGGAACGUCUGAUCUUUUUUUCCUUGUAGUUGAACUUGAUUUGCUCCCACUUGCACUUGCACGUGAUCUGCUCUUUUUCCCUUCCUUCUGCAAUGUGCGUGUAUAGUCAUCGGGCUUAUGGUGUAAGUCAUAUUGUGAUGGAAGGGUCGUGAAGUAUUUUGCAUAUGCUAUUUGCUUCUCGGUGUAUUCCGGGCGGGGCUCGGGUUCCUUCUUUUUCAUCUGCGCAUCAUAAUGUCCCUUUGCUAUCCUGGCGUUUUCCUCGUCGGUACGAUCAUAAGGUCUGAUAGGAAGAUUAGCAUGAGGUACCUUUGGGAGGGGCGACAGUUUGCGCUUUGGGGAGCUCCGUUGCUUAGAACUCAUCGACGGAGCGUUCUUGCUGGCACGCUUCCGCUUAGUAUCCUUAGCGGGCGGCGGCGGAGACGGACGACCCAAGUCCGGCGGCGGUGAUCGAGAUGGACUCGUGUUGUGCUGGCCGUCGUCAUGUGGAGGGCUUGGAGGUGAUGGAGGUGUAGGUGACCUGCGACGACUCGAAGGCGGUGUUGUCCUUGGGGCCGAGCCUGGAAGCUUGAUGUAGUUCUUGUCCCAUAGGAUGACUCCACCGAGUACUUCUCCGAGUGUCCUCUCAUCUUCGGGUCCAGCUAUGUCGAGCUCCAUAUCAUGAAACCCCGCCAUGAUUUCAUCCACCCCGACUUUAGCAAAGCCAGCUGGAAUCUCACGGCCAUGCCAGCGUGCAUCAGGGCCAGAAGGUAAAGCUUGUCCGACGGCCACCUUCAUGGAUAUGUUCUUGAAUUUCUGAUGGAGUUCACAUGAUGUUCACUCCUUGAUUCCAUCCACGAGGUAGCCGGGACCGCCCUCUAUCAUUCUUCGUGNNNNNNNNNNNNNNNNNNNNNNNNNNNNNNNNNNNNNNNNNNNNNNNNNNNNNNNNNNNNNNNNNNNNNNNNNNNNNNNNNNNNNNNNNNNNNNNNNNNNAAUUUAUUUCAUCGGCAUACAUUAUACACAUGUAGAAUACAUCUGUAUGAACGUAUAGAGUUAUUUUCAGAAUUUUAUGAAACUUGAAAUGUGAAUUUUGUAAUUUUUUUUUAAAGAAGGAGCUUCAUGGAGCUCGUCCUCCAAAAGGCCUUACUCUAUAUGAGACCAAAGUGCCAAUGAAGUCCUAAAUUUGGAAAUUCAAGCUUUUCAAUUAAAAAAAUCGCAGAAAAAUAUGUAUAUACAUAUUAUAUAGACAUAAUGUAUAUAUGUGUAAAUUUUCAGAUCAAAAUACGUUUAAAUGAGAGAUAUCGAUGACCUUUUAGCACAUGUAUUGUCCAUUCUCAAAGUCCAUGAUUUUGUUUACAGUUUGCAGAUCUAGAUAUUUCAUCCUAAAAUAUUAAGCACGUACACAUUACAUUCUUGUAUACAUUUGUAUUUUUACUGAAGUUCCUGAAACUAAAAAGUUUGGAUUUACUUUUUUUUUAAAUGUCGUACUCUCUCAUAUAACUGUAUAAUAACUAGUUAAACAGCUAUUUGGUUGGCUUCCGUCAAGAUAAAUAGUGGUUUCCACCAAAGCUACUACUCUCCCCGUUCUUAAAUAUAAGGUUUUUUAGAAGUUUCACUACAAGAUCACAUGUAAAAAUAUUUAUACGUAUUUUAAAGUAGAUUCAUUUAUUUUACUUUGUAUAUUUUCCUCUUGUGAAAUAUCUGUAGAAAGACUAAUAUUUAGGAACGGAAAAAGUAGUCCAUAUUAAUAUUUUUGCGAAAGCUACUCGUCCAUAUUUACAUCUUUCCCUCAAAUACAUGCAUGCUAACGGUCACAUGCUAAACACAUUUCCCCCAAAUACAUGCGCUAAUCCUUCUUCUUCCCGCCAAACAGUAGCCCUACCAUAAAAUUUAUAUGAUGGCUUUUGACUUGUCAUSUGGAUAUUCGGACUUCUGCGAAGCUCUAGCAKAUUUUCUUCCAGUUUGCGGAAUUGCACUGAAUAUAGAUAAGAGAUGCGUCCGCGGACAAAAACAAGUCCGCGUUGGAUGGCAAAGUGCGUUCAGACAGCUCAGUCCGGACGUUCCUUGCUAUUUAAGGGUCUGCAUUGGACAUGCCCUCACAUAUCACAAACUAUUUUUUGGACACCGUAUAUAGCAUCAACUAGUAAUGAGUUCUGAUUCUAAAUCAACAUGCAGGUGUGUUCGACAAGUUCAGAGAUGACACAGGCAGUUUCAGUGCAAGCCUAAGCAACGACCCGAGGGCUCUGCUGAGCUUGUACCACGCGGCUCACAUGGCGGUACCAGGCGACGCUGCUCUAGACGACGCCAUCACUUUCGCACGUCUUCACCUCGAGUCCAUGAAAGGAGAGCUCGGGUCACCAAUGGCGCAGCAGAUCGCCCGCGCCCUCGACCGCCCUCUCACGCGGUUCUCUAGACUGCUGGAGACCAUGCAUUACGUUUCGGAGUAUGUGCAGGAGGAGGCGCACGACGACACACUGUUAGAGCUUGCUAGGCUCAACUCUAACCUCAUGAGAUCCCUUCACCUCAGGGAGCUCAAGGCCCUGUCCUUGUAAGUCCAUUACUACAUUUCCAGUUUGGUCAGUUCUCUUCAAGAGAAAGGUGUGACAGCUCCCGGUUGUCUAGGCAUCCUUUAUAAACAGUAAAAUAAAAAAAAUAGUAAAUAAAAUCUAAAAAUACUGAAACUUUGUCAUUAUCAAAGAUGAUCAGACUUUGUAGGUUCCUACUAGUUUUCUAUGUCAAAAUAUCAUGAGAAAGACAUACAAACAAUUUUCAGAUUAAAGUGCUAAAAGGGUUCAAAACUUUAAGCACUUAAAUAUUUUCCAUGUGUAGAGCUCCUUGAAUAGUUUUUUGGCAUGAAAACUUGCAAAUANNNNNNNNNNNNNNNNNNNNNNNNNNNNNNNNNNNNNNNNNNNNNNNNNNNNNNNNNNNNNNNNNNNNNNNNNNNNNNNNNNNNNNNNNNNNNNNNNNNNACGUUCGGGUGCCUCCCCUACGGCCUGGUCUACCGACCGGACCUUGCCGGAGAGAAGGAUGACGCCGGCUGCUCCAUCGCGCUCAACGCCGGCCCCCGGUUCUUCAACGCSCGGCUCAAGGAGACCGUGGCGAGGCUCAGGGUGGCUCUCCCCGAGGCCGCCUUCACCUACGUCGACCUGUACGCCGCCAUGUACAAGCUGAUGAGCGAAGCCAAAAAGUUCGGUUUUGGGGAUCCUCUGCGCGUGUGCUGCGGGUACGGCGGCGGCCAAUACAACUUCGACAAGAACAUCCGGUGUGGCGAUCCGGUCCUGGGGGGGAAGUCGUGCGUGGACCCGUCCAAGAGCGUGAGCUGGGAUGGGGUGCACUUGACCGAAGCGGCUUACAAGUUUAUCUUCGACCAGAUCGUGGACGGCGCUCUCUCCGACCCUCCGGUGCCUUUGCGUCGGGCCUGCCAGGGCAAAGGGCAAUGAACAUGAUGUUCAUUAAUUAGACUGCGGAUGUAGGAUUUUUUCUGACGUCCGUACUCCAAAUAAAAUAUGCAAUGAGUAUCUAUUUAUAACUCUUGUAAAAAAAUCAAUGAAUAAGAAAUGUACCUCCCUAUGUAUGUAUGGUAAAAUCGUGUGUUGAACUUACACAGUAAGUAGAAUGCCAAAAUUUAUAAUUUACUUCAAUAUGAUAUUUGAACUACAUGACAAACAUGUAAGUACACUCGGCGCGAGCUGUACUAGCCCCUAGCCCCAUGCUAGCAUCUGCGUAAUCAGCCCCUCACCGGCGGCGACCACUGACCCCCUGGUGCUGACCACGCCCCGGUCGCGUCAACCACCCCUUUCCCUCUCGCGGACACUCCGGCAGCUAUAGGCACCAUACCGACCCAUUGUGUUUCGGGUUUUCAAUCAUGACACUUUCGGACCUCAACGCUCAGGCUUGGUUUGAUUUUGAAGACAAUUUGCGCACGAGCUUUGGUGUCCCGGUACAUUUUGUGGAGGGUAGAAGAACCUUCAAGAAUUUUUCUUGAUGGCACAGAUUUCUAGACAAGAAACUCGUCUCAAUGUUUACUCAGUUAGGCUGAUCCUGCAAUCUUGCUUCGAAGAAAUGUUAUUCGUUUUGAAGUAUCUUUCCUAGAAAGCUUGUGUUUCUGGUUCUCUAGUUUCUCAACCGUAGGUACAUCCACACUAGAUCUAGUGUGUUUGACAAUAUGUCCUUUAAUAGUGGUAUUACUACCAAAGAUAACAAUACCUACUCUCAUUCUCAAGAUUAAAAAAUGAUUCCUUUUGCACCGCUGGCAAAUUCCAUCAUUUCUCCUGCUUUGAAUCUCGUUCAGUCCAUAAACACAUACUAUCCCAUCUCGAACAGAGACCAUUCGACUGAUCUCAUCCACUUGAAAAUUCAUGUAAAAGUUGGUCAUUCUACUUUCUAAUAGAGUCAUGAGUUCCGCGGCUCUGNNNNNNNNNNNNNNNNNNNNNNNNNNNNNNNNNNNNNNNNNNNNNNNNNNNNNNNNNNNNNNNNNNNNNNNNNNNNNNNNNNNNNNNNNNNNNNNNNNNNGAUGUUGCUUGUCAUAAAUAAUUUACUCCAGAACUACUCUGGUGUUUCUGCCUAUACUGGUCUGGUCUGUGAAGAAGACAUAGUAAUAAUUGUGUAAUUUAGGUUACAAAAAAAUUGUAUGCACAGUGAACAUGAGGACAAUUGGGCCACUUAGCUGUCAAUUGUUAUUUGAAAAUUAACUGCAAGAGGUUGUCUUGGUGCUGCAUAGAGAAAAUGCAUGUUUGAUCCGUUUCUAAUUGGGAAUGGUAUUGCAUGGCAGUCAUGUGCUGAAUUGCAGUGUAUCAUUAUUCAUUAACCUGCAAGUUGGAAGCGUUUUUCUUUUCUUUUCAUUCACUUUGAGAAGUCCAUGUUGAUUACGCAGUAGCAGCAACCUCUUACUGGUUCAUAUGCCAACAAGGUCCAGAUCAAAUUGUUCAAACACAUGAAACUAUCAGUGAACAAUUUAACCAAAAACUACCACUUGGUCUUAGAAAACUACCACAUUUAAUUUUGUGUCUAAACCCACUUCGGUUCUAAAAAAUUCCUUCAAAACCGUUUGGAAUUUUGUGCCUAAAGCCCACUUCUGUUCUAAAAUUUUCCUUAAAAACGGUUCGGGCAAAAUUAAACGUGAUUAUGACAUACUUGGCCCACAUGUCAGGGUUAACUGUUAUGAUAGGUGGGCCCACCUGUCAGCACUCUCUCUCCUCCAUCCACUCACCCAUCAGCCUGGGCAUUCGGGUAUUUUGAUUAUUUCGGUUCGGAUAGUUCGGUUUAUGGGUAAUUCGGGUAUUUGAAAAUGAGAACCAAAAUUGUUUCUGUCAAAAUAAUACCCGAACCCAAAUUACCCAAAAUUUCGGUUCGGGUAAUUCGGGUACCCAAAAUAUUCGGAGCAUACAUCAACUUUUGAUAUGAAUAACUCGGAUAGUAUGGGUAUUUUUGGUAAUAUGGGUAUUUCAGUUAGUAUGGGUAACAAGUUAGUGUAAUAAUAUCAUGAAAAUUUUGGACAGUAUGAAUAAUUUGAAUAGUAUGGGUAUUCGGGUUUUCCACACUAGAACCGAACCUACCCGAAAACCGAAUAGUCAGAAAUGAGAACGAACCUUACCCGAUACCCGGGUAAUUCGGUUCUGUUCGGGUUCGGGUAGCGGUUCGGGUACCCAAACGCCCAGGUGAGUCACCCAUCUCUUUUAGACAUUCUCUCGAGCACCUUGCAGGCACACCCUUGAUGAGAUGCUUGUCUUCGUCGGUGUGCGCCUCGUCGACGAGCCGAUCUAAUUCUACGCCAUCCUUGUCAUANNNNNNNNNNNNNNNNNNNNNNNNNNNNNNNNNNNNNNNNNNNNNNNNNNNNNNNNNNNNNNNNNNNNNNNNNNNNNNNNNNNNNNNNNNNNNNNNNNNNGAGCCUAACUCUCCUCUCGCUGCCUGUUGGGCCUAUUGGGCCCGCGGGCCUUCAUCCUGGCCCACCUGUCGGGUAGGUUUCUAGUCGUAUGCACGCCGUGAUGGCCCAAUAGGCGGCAUUUUUUUUUACUUUAAUAAUUUUUAGUCCUAGUUUAUAUUUUAAUUCUUUGCUAUUCAAUAUUUUUUUCUCUUCUAUUUUAGUUUUCUAUUGAGUUGAUCUUUUUUUGUUUCUUUUUAUUAAUGUUUUACUUGAUUCUUUCCAACAAAUAAGCACUUUGAAAAUUUUAGUAAAUUAUUCUUAACUCAUUCAUUUUAGUUAAUAUUUUAGUUGAUUCUUUUUAGUUGACUUUUUUUUUUGUUUUCUAUUAAGUAUUUUAAACAAAAAAAACUUUAUGAAAUUUCUGACUUCAUUUGAUAGUUUUCGUGAAUUUACUUAUUUGUUUUGAGCUAGUUGACCCUGAAAUUGAAAAGCACUACAAAUGAACUCUAAAAAUGUUGAAAGUUUGCAUGGUAUCAUCAUUUUCGCCCACAUAGCAUGUGCUAGAAAGUUGAGAGGGUUACGGCCAAAACUGGAUGCACUUCGUGUACGAAACGGACAAUCUCGUCUACGAAGUAUCAGGGUUUCGAACNNNNNNNNNNNNNNNNNNNNNNNNNNNNNNNNNNNNNNNNNNNNNNNNNNNNNNNNNNNNNNNNNNNNNNNNNNNNNNNNNNNNNNNNNNNNNNNNNNNNCCCCCGAGGUUGUAGACCGUCUGGAUCGCCGACGAGAUCCUCUCCAUGAGAUCGGGGACGUAGGCCUCGACUUGCUCCGUGGUCAUGUUGUCGAAGUAGCCCACGGUGAGGUCGUUCUGGCCCAUGUCCAAGGUGUAAAGCGCCUUGGAGAUCAACUGCUCCGGGUUGGGCAGGAUCUCCCGGUAGACUCCGCCGAUGUCGUUGUCGUAGACGAAGCGGCUCCUGUUGAUGAACUGCUGGAGCUGCCAGACCUGCACGUCCAGGGAAAUGGGGCUGUACCCUGAGGUCCACAAGCUCCCGUUCACUCGCCUGAUGGUUCCGGCGGCGCUCGCGAAAUUGGCUCCCUGCGUGAAGUUGCUCCCCAGAGAAUCCAGAUACGCACUCAGGUAACGGAGGCCCAGGCUUUGAGCUGCAAGCAAUACGUACACGUCGUAAAAAUUCUCCCGUUUUGAGCUGUUUGCGCGGGAAAAGGGUAAAAAAAAAACUAGCUUCGGUUAACAUGCCGUAGACAAACGUACUCACGUACAUACCCAUGAAGUCGAUGGUGAGGCGGCCGUCGCUUUGCCGGCCGGCCGGCAUGCCGAAGAAGGUCCGGCCGUAGGGCGGCUGCACCGCCGGGAAGAGGGCAGGGAAUGCACCGGUGUCCGAGUAGGAGUCGCCGAAGUUGAAGAUCGCCGGGAAGUCGCACGGAGAUUCAUCGGAGCGCACCCUCUCUAGUACCACCAGCAACACGACGAACGUGAUGAGUUUGCUGGUCGCCAUGGUGGUGCGGCGGCGAGCUCUCGGCCGGUGUCCCUGACGGUGAAGCGGCUGGGAGAGGAUUUAUAAUACACGCCGGCACCAGCAGGUCGUCAGAGUCCAGCACCCGUGUUGGACUGGCGGUUGGAAUAGCUACGUUUUGUUGAUAAGUAUCCUCCCCGUGUGAUGUUGAUGCACCACCCUCUAGAGAAUGACGGGUGAUCACCGUUUGCGUGGCACCUUAGGACAAGCAACUACGAGGCGUGCUUGACCCUUGAUCACUCUCUAGUGCUACAGUAUCUUGACGUUCGGUUCCAUGGUGAUGUGGCCAAUAUGCAUCCAUUUUUACGACAAAUAAUUCUGAACGGAUGAAAUAUCAUGUACAGUAUUUGACGUUAUCAUGAUGAUGAUGUGGCCAAAACCGUUAUUACUUCUGUCAGAGAACUUGCGCAGAACAAGGAAAAACGUGUGUGGGAGGGUCAGAGACACGUAUCUGAACGGUGACGUGGCCCGCCUAGUGUCCGUCAGCAGCAACGCGGUGUUUCGAGUGGAGCAUGUCGUCGGUGGUCUAGCUCGUGAGCGACCCGAUCAAGUAGGAGGAUUUCAAGUUCAAGAUCCGUGUGUUUACUGUUAGAGACUCACUACUCGCCCCGAUCUCUCGUUUGAUUUACUCAUGGAUACAGGUUAAAAUGUUGUUGUGUCACUAGUGGCUGGUGGCCCUUGUUUUAUGGUUGGCCCGCACAGUGGACGGUGGCUAAGAGCAUCCCUAAGAAACUCCGUAUAAUGCUCCGAUCUGUAAAAUAACUAUCGAAAUAUGGAUCGGGRARGAAAUUGCUAUCAGACCAGACCCCGCAAACGCGUCCGAUCUGUAAAUUUUUUUGUCGGGGCGACAAAAAUUCGUCCUCAACCUUCAGAUUCACGGGGUGGGAGGCCGAUCCAAGCUCGUUCCUUAUCCGCAACGAGAUUUGGCACGAGAGAAAUUUCCGCACGGCCGUUCCCCGCUCCCCCUCCUCGACAACCCAUUUCCCCCGCCCACCGCGCGUUCUGGACCUUCUUCCCSSCAUUCUUAGCCGGCGUGGAAGCCUCCCACCCGACGGAUCUCGUAAACGUGGAGGUCGCGCACGUGCAAUCAUGUCCGGCGGAUCUCGUUGCCGGCCAUGUNNNNNNNNNNNNNNNNNNNNNNNNNNNNNNNNNNNNNNNNNNNNNNNNNNNNNNNNNNNNNNNNNNNNNNNNNNNNNNNNNNNNNNNNNNNNNNNNNNNNGAAUUAUCGAGACUAGAGCCCGUCUAUUCAAUUACAUGGACGAACAUCAGUAAUGGCCCCUAGCUACACUAAAUUGUCCUUUGUCAUCUAUAGCUUCCGUCCUCAGAAAGGUCGCAAGCUCCUCUGCAACAGCAAUCGUACGUUGCUCUGGUAGGUACUUCUACCUCAUGGCCGUGUACUAUAUAAGAAGAGGAGAUGAAUAUGAAUAUCAAUCAUGAUAACAAAGAAUGACGGGUAAAAAUAGAGGUGUGAAUGUUCAUUGCUUACGUCGUAUCUGUAAUCCUUGUGCUCAGAGGUAAACAUGUGAAUGGUCUCGCAAACAUAGUAUCCGCAUAGAUGUGUCCCCCGUGGCUGCUGGUCGCACUUUACGAGAAUAGAAUAUAUAUAAUCAAAAUAAUAAUCUAGCAUCAUAAAUGUAUUGAAAAUAGAAGUAUAUCAUACUACUACUUACCUGAGCCGCUCUAAAGGUCAGCUUCUCAUGCUCGAUACCGGGAUUCACGCACUUGAACCGCUUCCAAACCCUGCCCGACAAGGAWAAUGAUUUGCUAAGUUUUUCAUUAAUUGAUAUAUCAGAAAAUCAUCGAAAGAGACCGAUAGAGCGCAAGAAUGAUUGAAAUUACCCUUGGAGCAUGUCCUGCAGGCUUUGGAACUGUUCCAAGGGUCUCGAUAAUGGGUCGAAGGCAUCAACUCUUACCUUAUCAAUUUGAAUGUCCAACAGAAUCCAAUGAAAGCUGCACAUGUAUAUAUAUAUAUAUGUGUGUCAGUAACUUAUCAAUUACACUUAUAAGUGAAUGGACACAACAGAGUAAAGACCCUCACCUGAAGUUGUAUGGAAACAGUAUGUGGUCACAUAAAUUUUGAUCUGUUAGAAACCUUAGAAGGUUUUCCUCCGUCUCCUUGGGUUUAUUAGUUAGCGUCGCUAUAUGUAUUUUAUCUGGGUCAAUAAACCCAAUAUUUAGGACGUUCUUUCUUUUACAAUCCAGAAUCUUCAUUCUGCAUAAUAGAGUACAAGUUAUAUAUAGACAAUGAAUUGAAAUAACUAAACAAGUUAUAUGUAGACAACGAAUUGAAAAACUUACAGACAAUAGCAACUCAUAAGCGAUUUGUCGAGGGCGUCGGCGUCGUACAUCUGGAAGAGUUCAUCAAAGUCGAUAUGGAUUUCUUCGGGGCGGCCGUAGUACUCCCGUGGGACACUCACCACGAUCAUCGUUCUCCCAUUCUUUGAUUCACUUAAGUACCAUGUAUGCAAGUAACUCUGAAAAUAGUUGAAAGUUGACAUGCCAUCAUCAUUUCAACCACAUAGCAUGUGUUAAAAAGUUAGAGAGGGCUACGACAAAAACUGGAUGCACUUCGUGUACAAAACGGACAAUCUCUCUCGAAGUAUCAGCGUCGAUGAUGGUCGCUACUCCUACUUCCCCUAGUGCAUAACCAAUAUCUAGCACAAGGAGAAGAAGGAGAAACGACCCCCCACAGCAACAGUCGACAUUCUUCUUCUCUCAUGUAUGGUGGAUACUCCCUCACCUGAUUUUUAAACCGUCGAUGAUGGUCGCUACUCCUUCUUCCCCUAGUGCAUAACAAAUAUCUAGCACAAAGAGAAGAAGGAGAAGCAACCCCACGCCACGUGGGACUAAUGGUCUUUCAUUUUUAAAUGACUAUUUUAAUCAAAAAUAGAUCUGUUACAAAAGACAUUUCAUUUUUUGAACUUAUUUGAACUGAAGACUUUUUGUAUAUAUAUGUGGUCGAAAUGUGUGAUACCAUGAAGUUAGAAAUGGCUAAACCAUUCAAAAGUAGCAAAUGAAGUUAGAAAGGGCUAAACCAUUCAAAUUUGGAAACUAUAAUGGCACAAACAGAAACUAGACAUAUAUAAAUUGGUCCAAGCAGUACAUGAUACUAGUCCAAACAGUACAUAAUAAUAGCUACCGUAGAUAUAUAUAUUGAAGGUGACGCUGGCCAUAGUUGACGACUCGAAUCAGAAUGUCCACCUUAUUCGAGGUGACGUUGGCCAUAGUUGACGACUCGAAUCUUGCGGUACAACUCGUAUGAAACGUAUGCAUCUUUUGCUGCAUACUCAAUGUUGAUACGAUCAAGUGGGGCCUUCUCCCAAAGUUUGUGCUGAGACUUUGGGAAAUUGGUCUUCAUAUUACCAUAUUCCUCGUCGAUCAAGGCAACUGCCAUAUGAGCCAUCGAAGUCCUGACAUGUCGAAGCCUGAAUACCGUUUGGAGCUCAAUGAGGCAACCAGUUGGUAUCUCAAUACCGAAGCUGUACCUCAUCUUCAGCUUGUCGUUCGUUAUGUCAACGGUAGCAAAAGUGAUGCCGCUGCGAAGGAAGUCCAUGAGUUCUGGACAAUGCUUGUCACUACUGCAACAGAAACAAAUUAAANNNNNNNNNNNNNNNNNNNNNNNNNNNNNNNNNNNNNNNNNNNNNNNNNNNNNNNNNNNNNNNNNNNNNNNNNNNNNNNNNNNNNNNNNNNNNNNNNNNNAACAACUAUGUUGCCAUUACAGUGCUAUCUGCAGAUAUCAAAUACAACUAUGUUGUCAUUACAGUGCUAUCUGCAGAUAUCAAGUAGGAAAAUUUUAAGAUGUUCUUAUUUGACGAUUAACUACUUGAUGAUACAAAAGUAUUAUUUAUUUUGUUUUGGUCAUUUGUAUAUGUUUUCAGCUGCUCAAUGUGUACCAGUACCGCCGCACCUACCAGUAUACGCCUGCAGCCACGGCCUCGCCUGCCGCCCAGCGCCUCGCCGACCCCGCCGCCUCCAGGAGCUCCGGCAGCCGCCGGCGACCUCCAGCAGGUCGGUGCCCCGCUGCCCUUUCCCUCUCCUUCCCUUGCUCUCUCUCCCUCUCCUCCUCCUCACCGCCCCAUCUCUCUUUCUCUUUUCUUCAGGAGCUGCCCCAUGGAGCCAUGGCCGCGCCCCGCGAGCUCCAGCUCGACGGACCUCAAGCUGCCGCCGGAUUCGGCCGGGAAACGGAGGGAACCGUCCAUCCUCGACCUACGGUUGUCUCUGCCUCGCCGGAACGCCGCCGCCUCACGCCUUGCAAGAGCCAGCAACACUACCUCGACGACGCCNNNNNNNNNNNNNNNNNNNNNNNNNNNNNNNNNNNNNNNNNNNNNNNNNNNNNNNNNNNNNNNNNNNNNNNNNNNNNNNNNNNNNNNNNNNNNNNNNNNNGAAUUAUCGAGACUAGAGCCCGUCUAUUCAAUUACAUGACGACAUCAGUAAUGGCCCCUAGCUACACUAAAUUGCCUUUUGUUCAUCUAUAGCUUCCGUCCUCNGAAAAGGUCGCAAGCUCCUCUGCAACAGCAAUCGUACGUUGCUCUGGUAGGACCUUCGUCCUCAUGGCCGUGUACUAUAUAAGAAGAGGAGAUGAAUAUGAAUAGCAAUCAUGAUAACAAAAAAUGACCGGUAAAAAUAGAGGUGUGAAUGUUCAUUGCUUACGUCGAAUCUGUGAUCCUUAUGCUCAGAGGUAAACGUGCGAAUGGUCUCGCAAACAUAGUAUCCGCAUAGAUGCGUUCUCCAUGGCUGCUGGUCGCACUUUACGAGAAUAGAAUAUAUAUAAUCAAAAUAAUAAUCUAGCAUCAUAAAUGUAUUAAAAAUAGAAAUAUAUCAUAUUACUACUUACCUGAGCCGCUCUAAAGGUCAGCUUCUCAUGCUCGAUACCGGGAUUCACGCACUUGAACCGCUUCCAAACCCUGCCCGACNNNNNNNNNNNNNNNNNNNNNNNNNNNNNNNNNNNNNNNNNNNNNNNNNNNNNNNNNNNNNNNNNNNNNNNNNNNNNNNNNNNNNNNNNNNNNNNNNNNNGGUGGUAGAGCAUCUCUAGCAAAACGCGUAUAAAGACCGAACCCGCCAAAAAGUACGUUCACACUUACGCGUAAAAACGGACUUUUACGGUACCUGCACAGACGCAGACAGAGGCAGAUUCCCCAAAACGGUCAUAAAAAAGGAUAUUCGCAGAAGAUGCUAUUAUACGGAUCGUCAAUGCGGGAUCUGCUCGGACGCCGCCGCGUCGACCCGCAAACCGGAAAACCUUCCAAUAAACCAUAGUUCAAAUUUGACAGCGGUUCCGGCAAAUGAGUUCAAAUUUUAACAAUAAAACAUAGUUCGCGCGUGAAAUGAAAGCAUAGUUUAAAAGACAAACGCAAAAGGACCUCAUGCAUCCGGGUCGCUCUUCACUCCGCACCAUCGAGGUCAUCGCCGCCUCUGAAUCCAUCGACUCCCUUGAAUCCAUCGCUUGCAUUUGUCCCUACUCCAGCACCGAAAUCAUCGGCGAUAUUGGUUUCGACUUCAAACGAGAAACCAUCGCCGUCAUANNNNNNNNNNNNNNNNNNNNNNNNNNNNNNNNNNNNNNNNNNNNNNNNNNNNNNNNNNNNNNNNNNNNNNNNNNNNNNNNNNNNNNNNNNNNNNNNNNNNAUUUAUUUGUGUAAUAAUACUAAUAUGGUGCAGGUUCACUAACUAGAGUCAGAAAUUGUUUUUCWAAAACAUUUUUACUACAUGAAUUUCAUAUAUUGAUCUCUAUGUUUCAGCCAAGUGAAAGUUGCUGUAUAUUCAAGUGGCUUUCAUCACUUAUUCAACAUGUUUAUAAUUUAUUUAACUUACUCAUAUUAUUAAUGUUUGUGACGGGGGAUAAUUGAUGUGGAAUUUCACUCGAGAAAGUGAACUCUAAUGGAAUACAAUAGAGAAAUUAAUAAGGGGUCGAACUCUAUUGAACACCCCACAUAUUUUUUUCUGAGACACCAGAAGAUGAAAGAAUUUGGUUCGUUUUGUUAGCAUCGGCUCUGCACACUGUUGACCCACAUGAUUAAGGUCGUAAGUUGAUCUCGGACAUACAAUCUAAUCAUGACACAUGACUCACACAUGUGUGCUAGGGACUAGUAUAUUUAGACUAAAAAACGACAUGUUUUAUCGUGGUUGGUAACAUUGCUUAGGAGUCAUAUAAAUGUUUCCGAAAACCGGUGAAAUAAUAAAACACUUCGCACCAUAGAAAAGAGACGAAUUAGACGGUAGACCGGAUAACCUAUAAUCCUCGUGGGGAGAGCGCGGACGCGGCGNNNNNNNNNNNNNNNNNNNNNNNNNNNNNNNNNNNNNNNNNNNNNNNNNNNNNNNNNNNNNNNNNNNNNNNNNNNNNNNNNNNNNNNNNNNNNNNNNNNNAAAUGAACCCGUAGAAAAAAAAAGAUGAGGACAUAUACCAACUACAUUUUUUUGGAACAGAGGAAAAAGAUUGUCUCGUCUAUUAAUUAAGCAAAAGUGAAUUGCUCAGCUAAUUAAUGAAAAACUAAGCUAAAACUGAAAUAAUCAAUUGAGCGGCACAAAUAGGGUACUCCAUGGACCCAUCUACAAAGAGAUAGCACACAAGAUCGUCAUCAUUUCUCCCCAAGUAGACAUGAUCGCCAUCCGUAAUCACUAAGCAAGCAAGUCUGACUUUGCAGCGAGUGAUCAUCGACCCAACUACCACCGUAGAUCCUUUGCCGAGACACGUGGAGACAUGUGUCAGAACUCAGCCAGCCGCGACGAGGAUAUUGUAGCUUCGACUCAAAGGGAGAUCUACGAAGGAAAAAUAUGCGACUCUAGCUCCGGGAAAGACCACCAAAUAGACCACCCCGCACUAUAGUGAUGACUUCCCCAUAACAAACAAGCGGAGGCAGUCCCACGGAAAUAGUGGAGAAGRGUCUACUACUGAAACCAAUAUCACGCUUCCAUCACCACUCACCCUGCCAUCGUUACCAUAGAAGNNNNNNNNNNNNNNNNNNNNNNNNNNNNNNNNNNNNNNNNNNNNNNNNNNNNNNNNNNNNNNNNNNNNNNNNNNNNNNNNNNNNNNNNNNNNNNNNNNNNGAUUGUCAGUUUUGUACACGAACUGCAUCUAGUUUUUGUCGUAGCCCUCUCAACUUUUUUAACACAUGCUAUGUGGGUGAAAUGAUGAUAGCAUGCCAACUUUCAACAUUUUCAGAGUUCAUUUGUAGUGCUUUUCAAUUUCAGGGUCAACUAGCUACAAAAAAAAUAAGUAAAUGCACGAAGAAUACCAAAUGAAGUCAGAGAUUGUUGAAAUUUUGUGAUGUGCCUUUGAAUGGUGCAUUUUGAACACACAAAAAGUAUGGAGUUCAAAUAAGUUCAAAAAAUGAAAUCCCUUUGUAAGAGAUGAGUUCUGGUUCGAAACCGUGCUACUUUGAGAGAGAUUGUCAGUUUUGUACACGAACUGCAUCCAGUUUUUGUCGUAGCCCUCUCAACUUUUUAACACAUGCUAUGUGGGUGAAAUGAUGAUAGCAUGCCAACUUUCAACAUUUUCAGAGUUCAUUUGUAGUGCUUUUCAAUUUCAGGGUCAACUAGCUCAAAAAAAUAAGUAAAUGCACGAAAUAUACCAAAUAAAGUCAGAAAUUGUUGAANNNNNNNNNNNNNNNNNNNNNNNNNNNNNNNNNNNNNNNNNNNNNNNNNNNNNNNNNNNNNNNNNNNNNNNNNNNNNNNNNNNNNNNNNNNNNNNNNNNNUCUCCCACUUGCACUAGAGUCAAUAAUCUAGCCCUCACAUCAUCAUGUGAAUUACAUUGUAAUAAAUCUAACACCCAUACAGUUUUGGUGUUGAUCAUGCUUUGCCCGUGGAAGAGGUUUAGUCAGGGGUCUGCUACAUUCAGAUCCGUGUGCACUUUGCAUAUAUUUACGUCCUCCCCUUCGACGUAGUCGCGGAUGAGGUUGAAGCGUCGUUUGAUGUGUCUGGACUUCUUGUGAAACCGUGGUUCCUUUGCUAAGGCAAUGGCACCCGUGUUGUCACAGAACAAGGUUAUUGGAUUCAGUGCACUUGGCACCACUCCAAGAUCCGUCAUCAAUUGCUUCAUCCAUACACCCUCCUUAGCCGCCUCCGAGGCAGCCAUGUACUCCGCUUCACAUGUAGAAUCUGCUACGACGCUUUGCUUGGAACUGCACCAGCUUACCGCACCCCCAUUAAGAAUAAAUACGUAUCCGGUUUGCGACUUAGAGUCGUCCGGAUCUGUGUCAAAGCUUGCAUCGACGUAACCUUUUACGGCGAGCUCUUCGUCACCUCCAUACACGAGAAACAUCUCCUUAGUCCUUUUCAGGUACUUCAGGAUAUUCUUGACCGCCGUCCAGUGAUCCACUCCUGGAUUACUCUGGAACCUACCUGCCAUACUUAUGGCCAGGCUAACGUCCGGUCUAGUGCACAACAACGCAUACAUGAUAGAACCUAUGGCUGAAGCAUAGGGGACGGAGCGCAUAUGCUCUCUAUCCUCAUCAGUUGCUCGGCACUGAGUCUUACUCAAUGUCGUACCUUGUAAAACUGACAAGAACCCUUUCUUGGACUGUUCCAUUUUGAACCUCUUCAAAACUUUAUCAAGGUAUGUGCUUUGUGAAAUUCCUAUCAGGCGUUUUGAUCUAUCCCUAUAGAUCUUAAUGCCUAGAAUGUAAGCAGCUUCUCCUAGGUCCUUCAUAGAGAAACUUUUAUUCAAGUAAUCCUUUAUGCUCUCCAAAAUCUCUAUGUUGUUUCCAAUCAGCAAUAUGUCAUCCACAUAUAAUAUUAGAAACGCCACAGAGCUCCCACUCACUUUCUUGUAAAUACAAGAUUCUCCAACCACUUGUAUAAACCCAAAAUCUUUGAUCACCUCAUCAAAGCGUUUGUUCCAACUCCGAGAUGCUUGAACGAGUCCAUAAAUGGAUCGCUGGAGUUGCACACCUUGUUAGCAUUCUUAGGAUCGACAAAACCUUCGGGUUGCAUCAUAUACAAUUCUUCCUUAAGGAAACCGUUAAGGAACGCCGUUUUGACAUCCAUCUGCGAGAUUUCAUAAUCGAAAAAUGCAGCUAUUGCUAACAUGAUUCUGACGGACUUAAGCAUCGCUAUGGGUGAGAAUGUCUCAUCGUAAUCAACUCCUUGAACUUGUGAAAAACCCUUUGCCACAAGUCGAGCUUUAUAAACGGUCACAUUACCGUUAGCGUCCGUCUUCCUCUUAAAGAUCCAUUUGUUCUGAAUAGCCUUGCGGCCCUCAGGCAGUACCUCCAAAGUCCACACUUUGUUCUCAUACAUGGAUCCUAUCUCGGAUUUCAUGGCUUCUAGCCAUUUGUUGGAAUCUGGGCCCACCAUUGCUUCUUCAUAAUUUGCAGGUUCAUUGUUGUCCAACAACAUGAUUGAUAAGACGGGAUUACCGUACCACUCUGGAGCAGCACGUGGUCUCGUCGACCUGCGUGGUUCGACAGAAACUUGAACCGGAGUUUCAUGAUCAUCAUCAUUAACUUCCUCCUCAACCGGCGUCGCAACAACAGAGGUUUCCCCUUGCCCUGCGCCACCAUCCAGAGGGAUGAGAGGUUCGACAACCUCGUCAAGUUCUAUCUUCCUCCCACUCAAUUCUCUCGAGAGAAACUCCUUCUCGAGAAAAGCUCCGUUUUUAGCAACAAACACUUUGCCCUCGGAUUUGAGAUAGAAGGUGUACCCAACUGUCUCUUUUGGGUAACCUAUGAAGACACACUUUUCCGCUUUGGGUUCCAGCUUUUCAGGCUGAAGCUUUUUGACAUAAGCAUCACAUCCCCAAACUUUAAGAAACGACAACUUUGGCCUUUUGCCAUACCACAGUUCGUAUGGUGUCGCCUCAACGGAUUUUGAUGGUGCCCUAUUUAAAGUGAAUGCAGUUGUUUCUAAUGCAUAACCCCAAAACGAUAACGGCAAAUAGGUAAGAGACAUCAUAGAUCGCACCAUCUCUAAUAAAGUACGAUUACGACGUUCGGACACACCAUUACGCUGUGGUGUUUCAGGCGGUGUCAACUGUGAAACAAUUCCACAUUGUCUUAAGUGAGCACCAAACUCGAAACUCAGAUAUUCACCCCCACGAUCAGACCGUAGGAACUUGAUCUUCUUGUUACGAUGAUUUUCAACUUCACUCUGAAAUUGCUUGAACUUUUCAAAUGUUUCAGACUUGUGCUUCAUUAAGUAGACAUAACCAUAUCUACUCAAAUCGUCAGUGAAGGUGAGAAAAUAACGAUAUCCGCCGCGUGCCUCUACGCUCAUCGGACCACACACAUCGGUAUGUAUGAUUUCCAACAAGUCACUUGCACGCUCCAUUGUUCCGGAGAACGGAGUUUUAGUCAUCUUGCCCAUGAGGCAUGGUUCGCACGUGUCAAGUGAAUCAAAGUCAAGUGACUCCAAAAGUCCAUCGGCAUGGAGUUUCUUCAUGCGCUUUACACCAAUAUGACCUAAGCGGCAGUGCCACAAAAAUAUGGCGCUAUCAUUGUUAACUCUAACUCUUUUGGUCUCAAUGUUAUGUAUGUGUGUAUCGCUAUCAAGAUUCAAUAUGAACAAUCCUCUCACAUUGGGUGCAUGACCAUAAAAGAUGUUACUCAUAGAAAUAGAACAACCAUUAUUCUCUGACUUAAAAGAGUUACCGUCUCACAAUAAACAAGAUCCAGAUAUAAUGUUCAUGCUCAACGCAGGCACUAAAUAACAAUGAUUCAAGUUCAUAACUAAUCCCGAUGGUAACUGAAGUGAAACUGUGCCGACGGCGAUUGCAUCAACCUUGGAACCAUUUCCUACGCGCAUCGUCACUUCAUCUUUUGCCAGCCUUCGUCUAUUCCGCAGUUCCUGUUUCGAGUUGCAAAAAUGAGCAACAGAACCGGUAUCGAAUACCCAGGCACUACUACGAGAGCCGGUUAAGUACACAUCAAUAACAUGUAUAUCAAAUAUACCUGAUUUUUCUUUGGCCACCUUCUUAUCUGCCAGAUAUUUGGGGCAAUUGCGCUUCCAGUGACCCAUACCCUUGCAAUAGUAACACUCUGUUUCAGGCUUAGGUCCAGCUUUGGGUUUCUUCGUCGGAUUGGCAACAGGCUUGCCGCUCUUCUUUGAAUUACCCUUCUUGCCUUUGUCAUUUCUCUUGAAACUAGUGGUCUUAUUCACCAUCAACACUUGAUGCUCUUUACGGAGUUCAGACUCUGCGACUUUCAGCAUCGCAAACAACUCGCCGGGAGACUUGUUCAUCCCUUGCAUGUUGUAGUUCAACACAAAGCCUUUAUAGCUCAGCGGCAGUGAUUGAAGGAUUCCGUCAGUGAUAGCCUCUUGCGGGAGUUCAAUCCCCAGCUCAGCUAGACGGGUUGAGUACCCAGACAUUUUGAGCACAUGUUCACUGACAGACGAGUUCUCCUCCAUCUUGCAAGCAUAGAAUUUAUCGGAGGUCUCAUACCUCUCGAUCCGGGCGUUCUUAUGAAAGAUAAACUUCAACUCUUGGAACAUCUCAAAUGCUCCAUGACGCUCAUAGCGACGUUCAAGUCCCGGUUCUAAGCCAUACAAGACUGCACAUUGAACUACUGAGUAGUCCUCCUUACGUGCUAACCAAGCGUUCUUAACAUCCUGAUCAGCCGUAGCGGGUGGUUCAUCUCCUAGCGCAGCAUUAAGGACAUAAUCCUUCGUCCCAGCUUGUAAGAUUAGCUUAAGAUUACGAGCCCAGUCUACAAAGUUGCUUCCAUCAUCUUUCAACUUAGCUUUCUCUAGGAACGUAUUAAAAUUCAGGGUGACUGUUGCGUGAGCCAUGAUCUACAACACAAAUAUAUUCAAAGUGAACUUAUACUAUGUUCAAGAUAAUUAGAGUUUAACUUAAUCAAAUUAUUCGCUAAACUCCCACUCAAAAAGUACAUCUCUCUAGUCAUUUGAGUGGUUCAUGAUCCACUUACACUAGCUCAAGUCCGAUCAUCAUGUGAGUUGAGUAUAGUUUCAGUGGUAAGCAUCCCUAUGCUAAUCAUAUCAUCUAUAUGAUUCAUGAUCGACCUUUCGGUCUCAUGUGUUCCGAGGCCAUGUCUGCACAUGCUAGGCUCGUCAAGCUUAACCCGAGUGUUCCGCGUGCGCAACUGUUUUGCACCCGUUGUAUGUGAACGUUGAGUCUAUCACACCCGAUCAUCACGUGGUGUCCCGAAACGACGAACUGUAGCAACGGUGCACAGUCGGGGAGAACACAGUUUCGUCUUGAAAUUUUAGUGAGAGAUCACCUCAUAAUGCUACCGUCGUUCUAAGAAAAAUAAGGUGCAUAAAAGGAUUAACAUCACAUGAAAUUCAUAAGUGACAUGAUAUGGCCAUCAUCACGUGCUCCUUGAUCUCCAUCACCAAAGCACCGGCACGAUCUUCUUGUCACCGGCGCCACACCAUGAUCUCCAUCAACGUGUCGCCAUCGGGGUAGAACGCUCAUGCUAUUACUACUAAAGCUACAUCCUAUCAAAAUAGUAAACGCAUCUGCAAGCACAAACGUUAGUAUAAAGACAACCCUAUGGCUCCUGUCGGUCGCCGUACCAUCGACGUGCAAGUUGAUAUUAUCUAUUACAACAUGAUCAUCUCAUACAUCCAAUAUAUCACAUCACAUCGUUGGCCAUAUCACAUCACAAGCAUACCCUGCAAAAACAAGUUAGACGUCCUCUAAUUUUGUUGUUGCAUGUUCUACGUGGUGACCAUGGGUAUCUAGUAGGAUCGCAUCUUACUUACGCAAACACCACAACGGAGAUAUAUGAGUUGCUAUUUAACCUGAUCCAAGGACCUCCUCCGUCAAAUCCGUUUCAACUAAAGUUGGAGAAACUGACACUUGCCAGUCAUGUUUGAGCAACAGGGUUACUCGUAGCGAUGAAACCAGUCUCUCGUAAGCGUACGAGUAAUGUCGGUCCAAGCCGCUUCAAUCCAACAAUACCGCGGAAUCAAGAAAAACUAAGGAGGUCCGCAAAAUGCACAUCACCGCCCACAAAAACUUUUGUGUUCUACUCGAGAAGACAUCUACGCAUGAACCUAGCUCUGAUGCCACUGUUGGGGAACGUCGCACGGGAAACAAAAAUUUUCCUACGCGCACGAAGACCUAUCAUGGUGAUGUCCAUCUACGAGAGGGGAUGAGUGAUCUACGUACCCUUGUAGACCGUACAGGAGAAGCGUUAGUGAACGCGGUUGAUGUAGUGGAACGUCCUCACGUCCCUCGAUACGCCCCGCGAACAGUCCCGCGAUCAGUCCCACGAUCUAGUGCCGAACGGACGGCACCUCCGCGUUCAACACACGUACAACUCGACGAUGAUAUCGGCCUUCUUGAUCCAGCAAGAGAGACGGAGAGGUAGAAGAGUUCUCCGGCAGCGUGACGGCGCUCCGGAGGUUGGUGAUGAUCUUGUCUCAGCAGGGCUCCGCCCGAGCUCCGCAGAAAUGCGAUUUAGAGGAAAAACCGUGGAGGUAUGUGGUCGGGCUGCCGUGGAAAAGUCGUCUCAAAUCAGCCCUAAAACCUCCGUAUAUAUAGGUGGGAGAGGGGGGNNNNNNNNNNNNNNNNNNNNNNNNNNNNNNNNNNNNNNNNNNNNNNNNNNNNNNNNNNNNNNNNNNNNNNNNNNNNNNNNNNNNNNNNNNNNNNNNNNNNCAUACAUUAACAAAUUAUUAGAUGGAUGGUAUUUUGAAGGGGAAAAUCCGCUUUACAGAAAAACCUCGAUUAACAAUGCAGGUUUCUCCAUCUAUAAUGGUGGAAAUAUUGUAAAUGCCAUGUUCAACGUUCAUUUCUAUUUUUGAUGACUCUUUGGGUACGUGGAUUCAGAUUUUGCUUCUAUUGAUUUGGAUAAAAGGGGUCCCAUACAAUUAUAUGUUCACUAUUGGUGAUUAUGGUGUGAGCUGAAAGGCAAUGUUGCAGCACUAGUUACCCAAUUCACUAGUGAAGUAGAAUACAUGACCAUUGCGGCCUUAAGGUGGAGGUGAAUGGCACGUCGGUCCUCAAGGGAAACUCGUUCAAGGACAAAUCUAACACUGUGAGCUGGGAUGAUGGUGUGCACAGUUGACCAUGACGGCUUACAGCUGUGGAGAUAGCUGCUCUAGCUACAGUUUGAGAUACUUCAUAAAGUAUGCGACCUAGCUUAACAACGGCUAUUCAAUAUUCGAGGAAUCCCUUUUCCGACCACAUACAUGUUUCCGUGAGUAUUAGUGUAACCAAUUUAUCGAAAAAUAUAUAUACCCAUAUUUAAAUUCAUCUACAGUCAUAUUGUUGACUAGCGCUCUCUGACCAGCCGGUCCGCCACGACACGCCUGCCAGGCACUACUGAAAAACGGGCCUUUGGCCGGGAUCCUUUAGUCCCGGCCUGCCUCUGGGCCGGGACUAAAGGCCCGGCCACGUCGCCUCAAUUCUCAAUGCCUUCCUCGAGGCUUUAGUCCUGGCCCGUAAGCAGGGGCGGAGCCCAAUGGGUCAACCCUGUGGCACAAGCUACACGGUCCAAGAAAUGUUUUAGUGCUAAUUAACAGUCAUUUGGCCCAAGGCAACAGGGUGGCCCAGCAAGUGUGCCACAGGUCCUAUGUUGAAACCAAACCGUGCGAUCGCGUGGUGGCUUCGCUUCCAACAGCCCACUACCCAUGUCACGUUCAUAUACCCGUAUACGCUCGAUCCCUUCACGUAAAACUUUAGUUGUUAGCCCGUGUGUGUAGAAUUAUUCGUACACCUGCACGUAAGAAUGUAACAAACUAUCGAUCCAUCUUUCCAAUCCAUGAUUUUUCUACACUUGAAAAAAGAGAUCUCGAUCCGUCUCCUCAUCUCAUGUAUUAUGCCCCGAGCAGGCGAGGCGAGCAAAUCGGUGCGCAACCUCGGUAAUCGAUCGAAUCAAUCCGUUCGCGAUGGAUGGCGGGCCGGCAAACGCAUACGAUCUAGAAGCAACCGGCAGGCCGCAGACAACGGAUCGACGACUCACGCAGCAGUCCGUAGCGCCGAUGCGACCACGCCUCCCGCACAAGUUGUAGCCACGUCGCACGCCGGUAUUGCUCUUCCCCUCUCUUAGCUAAUUAGUAUUAUGUUUUUGAAUUUUUCAUUCAGAUUACAGUCAUUAAUUGAUUCAAAUUCUGCUCAAUAUCCUUUUCUUUUGUGUUGUUUUUUCUAUAUAUUUUUACAAGUCACAGCAAUUGUAUGUACAAAAUUGUGGCUAGUAAGUUACAUCUUACUGAAAUAUAUUUAAAUCUAUGUGUUUUGGCAAAACAUGGGGCAUCAGCUAUUGUUUUAAGUUGUAAUUAGGUAUACUUCAUUGGCUUCACAAUUUUGAUUUCUCAUUUGUAAUUUUAGUUGUUACAUGCCUAUAAUAUGGACAAGUUUCUUGUCAAAAGAAAGGCACCAUCACAUUCACAAUUAGGUAUCCAUGAUAUCCUUUUCAAGUAACUGUGUCACACUAUAUUAAGCAGUUUGACUAUUGCCUUUUGUUUUUAAAGAAUCAAUUCCUAUUAUAUUUGGUAAUUCAUGUUACAAGUUGUGAAACAAAUCUUUAUUAGUGCAUUGUUGCUCGAAAAUUUAUGUCAAGGUUAAGUAGUGCAUCAGGGUAACAUUAGCUUCAGAUCCGCCCCUGCCCGUAAGGAGCCUUUAGUCCCGGUUCGUGUCCCAAACCGGGACUAAAGGGACACAUGUCCUGCCGUAGUGGUGGCAACCGUUGGUAUCCCUCUUUAGUCCCGGUUGGUGGCUCAACCCGGGACUAAAGGCCUAACACGUGGCCUGCCGUAGUGGUGGCAACCGUUGGUAUCCCUCUUUAGUCCCGGUUGGUGGCUCAACCCGGGACUAAAGUCCCAAACGGUUUGCAUCCCGCUUCACAAAACCACAACCGAAGCAGAGUCUCUGUCGCGCCGCCCUUUCUCUGUUCUCCUUCCUCUCUCGUUUCUUCCCUUCUCUGUUCUUCCCCUCUCUUCUUCCCUUCUCUUCUUCCACCAUGCCAACUCGCUUUGGAGAGGUGCUCGCACAUGGCAAGACCAAGCUCGAUGUCGUGUACACGAACGAGAGCACGGAGGUGCCGCAUUUUCUUAGACAGUUGAAGGAACGAUGGCUUGACGCCGCAGUGGAUCAUGAGAAGUUCUUGGGGCUUCAUCUGGAGUACACGGUCGAUCAACGCGGUGUUGCCGUCAUCCAACUAUGUUUCAAACACCAUGUCUUGAUCUUCCAAUGGGCGAGGUAAGUUUUGAGGCUUCCUUUGAUCCAAGGUAAUGACAUUGUAAGUUUAUUUGUUUCAAUCAUAGUUGGUUCCCUUCAAAUAGUUGUAGUGAAACAAUUUUGAUUAGUUGAAGGGAACACAAUCUGAUUGGAAUAGUGUUCCAUAAUCUGAAAAAUUGUAUUAGAAUCAACUAGUGUUUAAUAUGUUCCAUUGGAAUCAUAGUUGGUUCGCUUCAAAUAGUUGUAGUGAAACAAUUUUGAUUAGUUGAAGGGAACACAAUCUGAUUGGAAUAGUGUUCCACAAUGUGAAAAAUCUGAUUGGUUCAAUAUGUUCCAUUGAAAUCAUAGUUGUAGUGAUACGAUUUUAUGCGGUGUUCUUUGAUCCAAGGUUAUGAAAAUUGCAUAUAGCUAGUGAUCUCUCUAGGUUCCAUUGGAUAGCAAUAUGAUAUGUCAUAGUCAUGAAAAUUGCAUAUAGCUAGUGAUCUCUCUAGGUUCCAUUGGAUAGCUAUAGUGAUCUCUCUAGGUUCCAUUGGAUAGCAAUAUGCAAUAUGUCUAGCUUGUUGAAUAUUUCCAAAACCGUGGGAGAAUAUAUAUAUAUAUAUAUACAUGUCAUAGUUAAUUUACGGUUUCUUGAUCAAUUCGUAGGAUAUGAAAAUUGCAUAGGAUAGCAAUAUGUUCUAUUUGAAUCCUAAAGAUAAUUUUCUCUUUAGUUGUAGUGAAACAUGUUUCCUUAUUGCAGCAGUAUGUAAUAUUUCUUCCAUUUUAAUUUGUUUCUGUUGCAGUAGUGACAAGCAUUGUCCAGAACUCAUGGACUUCCUUCGCAGCGGCAUCACUUUUGCUACCGUUGACAUAACGAACGACAAGCUGAAGAUGAGGUACAGCUUCGGUAUUGAGAUACCAACUGGUUGCCUCAUUGAGCUCCAAACGGUAUUCAGGCUUCGACAUGUCAGGACUUCGAUGGCUCAUAUGGCAGUUGCCUUGAUCGACGAGGAAUAUGGUAAUAUGAAGACCAAUUUCCCAAAGUCUCAGCACAAACUUUGGGAGAAGGCCCCACUUGAUCGUAUCAACAUUGAGUAUGCAGCAAAAGAUGCAUACGUUUCAUACGAGUUGUACCGCAAGAUUCGAGUCGUCAACUAUGGCCAACGUCACCUCGAAUAAGGUGGACAUUCUGAUUCGAGUCGUCAACUAUGGCCAGCGUCACCUUCAAUAUAUAUAUCUACGGUAGCUAUUAUUAUGUACUGUUUGGACUAGUAUCAUGUACUGCUUGGACCAAUUUAUAUAUGUCUAGUUUCUGUUUGUGCCAUUAUAGUUUCCAAAUUUGAAUGGUUUAGCCCUUUCUAACUUCAUUUGCUACUUUUGAAUGGUUUAGCCAUUUCUAACUUCAUGGUAUCACACAUUUCGACCACAUAUAUAUACAAAAAGUCUUCAGUUCAAAUAAGUUCAAAAAAUGAAAUGUCUUUUGUAACAGAUCUAUUUUUGAUUAAAAUAGUCAUUUAAAAAUGAAAGACCAUUAGUCCCACGUGGCGUGGGGUUGCUUCUCCUUCUUCUCUUUGUGCUAGAUAUUUGUUAUGCACUAGGGGAAGAAGGAGUAGCGACCAUCAUCGACGGUUUAAAAAUCAGGUGAGGGAGUAUCCACCAUACAUGAGAGAAGAAGAAUGUCGACUGUUGCUGUGGGGGGUCGUUUCUCCUUCUUCUCCUUGUGCUAGAUAUUGGUUAUGCACUAGGGGAAGUAGGAGUAGCGACCAUCAUCGACGCUGAUACUUCGAGAGAGAUUGUCCGUUUUGUACACGAAGUGCAUCCAGUUUUUGUCGUAGCCCUCUCAACUUUUUAACACAUGCUAUGUGGUUGAAAUGAUGAUGGCAUGUCAACUUUCAACAUUUUCAGAGUUACUUGCAUACAUGGUACUUAAGUGAAUCAAAGAAUGGGAGAACGAUGAUCGUGGUGAGUGUCCCACGGGAGUACUACGGCCGCCCCGAAGAAAUCCAUAUCGACUUUGAUGAACUCUUCCAGAUGUACGACGCCGACGCCCUCGACAAAUCGCUUAUGAGUUGCUAUUGUCUGUAAGUUUUUCAAUUCGUUGUCUACAUAUAACUUGUUUAGUUAUUUCAAUUCAUUGUCUAUAUAUAACUUGUACUCUAUUAUGCAGAAUGAAGAUUCUGGAUUGUAAAAGAAAGAACGUCCUAAAUAUUGGGUUUAUUGACCCAGAUAAAAUACAUAUAGCGACGCUAACUAAUAAACCCAAGGAGACGGAGGAAAACCUUCUAAGGUUUCUAACAAAUCAAAAUUUCUGUGACCACAUAUUAUUUCCAUACAACUUCAGGUGAGGGUCUUUACUCUGUUGUGUCCAUUCACUUAUAAGUGUAAUUGAUAAGUUACUGACACACAUAUAUAUAUAUAUACAUGUGCAGCUUUCAUUGGAUUCUGUUGGACAUUCAAAUUGAUAAGGUAAGAGUUGAUGCCUUCGACCCAUUAUCGAGACCCUUGGAACAGUUCCAAAGCCUGCAGGACAUGCUCCAAGGGUAAUUUCAAUCAUUCUUGCGCUCUAUCGGUCUCUUUCGAUGAUUUUCUGAUAUAUCAAUUAAUGAAAAACUUAGCAAAUCAUUAUCCUUGUCGGGCAGGGUUUGGAAGCGGUUCAAGUGCGUGAAUCCCGGUAUCGAGCAUGAGAAGCUGACCUUUAGAGCGGCUCAGGUAAGUAGUAAUAUGAUAUAUUUCUAUUUUUAAUACAUUUAUGAUGCUAGAUUAUUAUUUUGAUUAUAUAUAUUCUAUUCUCGUAAAGUGCGACCAGCAGCCAUGGAGAACGCAUCUAUGCGGAUACUAUGUUUGCGAGACCAUUCGCACGUUUACCUCUGAGCAUAAGGAUCACAGAUUCGACGUAAGCAAUGAACAUUCACACCUCUAUUUUUACCGGUCAUUUUUUGUUAUCAUGAUUGCUAUUCAUAUUCAUCUCCUCUUCUUAUAUAGUACACGGCCAUGAGGACGAAGGUCCUACCAGAGCAACGUACGAUUGCUGUUGCAGAGGAGCUUGCGACCUUUCUGAGGACGGAAGCUAUAGAUGACAAAGGACAAUUUAGUGUAGCUAGGGGCCAUUACUGAUGUUCGUCCAUGUAAUUGAAUAGACGGGCUCUAGUCUCGAUAAUUCAGAUCUUCAUAUAAUUGUAUAUAUAUGCUCGCUUGUAAGAUAAGUUAAUCUUAUAUAUAUUUGCAUAAUUAAUUUUAUUUAAAUUAUAUGAAAACUAAUUCCCGAACACCAAACGAGGCAUCACGUUAAUCUCCCGAACACCUAAACCCGAAAUCCCUAAAGCCCAAAAAUAAUUUCAUUCAAAAAAACCCAAAAUAAACAAAAUUUGAAACUCUUUAGUACCGAUCCGUGUAACGAACCAGGACUAAAGGGCCUGCCCAUGGGGCGCUACGAGGCGCCCACGUGGAGCACCUUUAGUCCCGGCGUGGAACAGGGCCGGUACUAAAUGUUAGGCCUUUAGUUCCGGUUGGUGAACCGGGACUAAAGCCCCUUACGGGCCGGGACUAUAGGCCCUGUCCCCACUAGUGAGGGUAAAUGACGAUGAGCACGAUGUUCAUUAAUUAAGCUGCGGAUGUAGGAUAUUUUUCUAAAUACAUACUUGAAAUAUUUGUAUAAAAAUCUGCAGUAUUCAUACUCCAAAUAAAAUAUGCACUGAGUAUCCGAACAAUUUUGAUUCUUCAUAUAUAGUACUCGCUCCGUCCCGAAAUUAUUGUCGCAAUGGCAUUUUUUCACAAAACCCCUCCCCAAACUCCCGACACAACCCGCGCUCCUCGUCUUCUCCAAUCGACAAGCGACCGCUACGACAGAGGCACAUCGACGCCGGAGCUCCCUUGUUCAGCUUCGCCGCGCUCCUCCCCUGCUCUCCCGCGCAUCCUUCUCCACCGUCGCAACUGCCUUCUCCGCCGCUCCCUUCUGCCUCGCGCAGCUCCGAUGCCCCCUUGCCUAUCACUUGAAUCUCCCCUUUUGCAACCAAAAAAUGGUUCUUCUUCCCCCCCGUUUGUGUCUCCUGCUCGCGCACGGAGACGACACAUCCUCCUCGUUGACCCUGCCGCCGGAGGAGACGCGGGGCAGGCAACAAUGGCUCGCAUUGCGCUUGCACGACCUCGGGUGCGCGUGGGCCCCCGAAUUGCGGGCAUACGUACCGGUCGCCGCCUCGGUCGUGCGCCCAUCCGCAGAGGAGGAUGCGGGGAUUUCGCUCGCUGCCAAGGCGUCCUUGGUGAGAUUUCUCGCCCGCGGCAAAGGAGGGGUGUCACCAUGGAUUUGAUUGUCAAACAACUACAGACUACAUGUACUCCGAGCAGGGCAGGUUCUGAAACUCCAUCGGAAUUGUGUCAGUCAGGUUGUUGAUGGACAAGUCUAUUCUACUUACCCAGCUUGCCCAACUCGCGUGGGAUGCUUGUUAGAAGUAAACCUGACGUCCGCUUAUGAGUGUCCGAGAAUACACGUAUAUGUUGCCGAGUUGGUUUGCAGUAGGCCUAACUUAGCAAUAUAUAUACAUAUACUCCUGUGUAGUCUUUGUACCAGAAAAACGAAAAACAAUACAGAGUAUUCCAGGCUCGACAUGGGCCUUCAGCAAUACAUCGACUCGGCGUCUUUCGUCUAGAGUUUUACCGAGCCGUUCGAGUUCAAUCGCCGCGUUAAGCUAGCUCCAGUUCACGUGUAUGUACACGGCCAGAAUCCAUUAAGCUGCCUGCUAGCUUGCUGCCUAGCUAGCUUGCACUUGGUGUUUUGGCUUCCCGGAGGAUACAAACUAUCACUCUAAAACCAAUAAUUGAUAUCUAGAGCCUCGACGAUCUACGAUCUACGAUGGCGGACAGCGACGUUGAGUCGGUCAAGUCCGGCAAGGGCGGUACCAAGGCGAACAAGAAGGGCGUCAAGUCAGUAACCAGUGGUGGAGGAACGAGCGGCGCCAACGUCUAGGCGCAUCGCAACAUCCCCAUCCAGUACCCGAUGCUCACCGACGCCAACUACGGCAUGUGGGCGGUGAAGAUGAAAAUUAUUCUCCGAACCCUUCGAGUGUGGCAGGCAAUCACGGACGACGACGUCGAUGACGAGUCCGACGAAGGUGCCAUGGCCGCCAUAGCCCAGUCCGUGCCGGAUUCCGUGCUAAUGACAUUGGCGGAGUUCGAGACGGCAAGAGAGGCGUGGAACGCACUCAAGGAGAUGAGGAUCGGAGAAGAUCACGUCACCAAGGCUCGGGCACAAGUGUUGAAGCGCCAAUUUCACAAGUUGCAGAUGGAGGAAACUGAAUCGGUGAAUGACUAUGCCAUGCGUCUUACUACUUUGGUGGGAGAGAUCCGCGCGCUUGGUGCAAAGCUCGAUGAGACCGAGAUUGUGAAGAAAUUUUUCAGUUCGGUGACUGAUAAAUUCACGUACAUCAUCGGCACGCUCGAGCAGCUUUACGACAUCGACGACAUGACCAUAACGGAGGCAAUCGGACGCUUGCGGACAUGGGAAGAGAAUGUUCGUGGCUGUCGGAAAGGCAAAGGAGGAGGUAGCGACCAACUCAUGUACUCGCGCGCAGAUUGGGAGGCCCCAAGUAGCAAAGGAAGGCGUGAUGGUGGCGAAGGCUCAAGCAACGUGAAGCGCGACGGACAAACCGGAAAAGACAAAGGAAAAGGCAAGCCACAAGGUCGUGGUAAGGCGGACCAAUCUAAAGGGCGGAAGCAACGGAACUUGGAUUUAUCCAAGGUUCAGUGCUAUAACUGCAACGAGAUGGGUCACUUUGCAAAGGAUUGUCCGAAUCCUAACAAGAGGGAGAUCAAGGCAAAUUUGGCAAAGCAGGAAGACGAAGGUCCAGGUCUUCUGAUGGCCGAAGUUUGUGAUCUCGCGGAAACGGUGGUUGUGAAACCAACCCGGAAGGUGCUACUUCAUGAGAAGAAUGUGACACCUAAGUUAUCCGGGGAUCACAAUGUGUCGUGGUAUCUCGACACGGGUGCCAGUAACCACAUGACGGGAUGCAAGGAGAAAUUUCUCGAGCUGGAAUAUGAUGUUCAAGGCUCGGUCAAGUUCGGUGAUGCUUCAACUAUGGAGAUUUGCGGGCAAGGAUCUGUCCUCUUCGAGGGUCUCAUAGGCGAACAUCGCAUACUCACCGGAGUGUACUACAUCCCACGGCUUCGCAACAACAUUAUCUCUAUUGGGAAGCUUGACGAGAAUGGAUGCAAGGUGAAUAUCGAGAACGGAGUGAUGACGAUCUUCGACAACCUCCGAAACGUGCUAGCUCGUGUUAAUCGCACACGGAAUAGGCUCUAUAUCCUCAACCUUGAUCGAUCUCAACCGGAGUGUUGGCUCGCCAAGAGUGAUGAUGAUUCAUGGUUAUGGCAUGCUAGAUUUGAACACGUUAACUUCUACGCCUUGAAGAAGAUGUCAAAGAUGGAGAUGGUAUCCGGGAUGCCAUUUAUCGACCAUGUUGAUCGAGUAUGUGACGGGUGCUUGGUUGGAAAACAACACCGCAGGCCGUUCCCUGCUCAGUCUACCUAUCGUGCAAGUGAUGCACUCGAGCUGCUCCAUGGUGAUCUAUGUGGCCCUAUCACCCCAGCAACUCACGCGGGAAAGAAGUAUUUCUUCCUCGUGGUAGACGACUACUCGAGAUAUAUGUGGGUCGUUCUCCUACGAUCUAAAGAUGAGGCGUUUGAAGCGUUCAAGAAGCUGAAGGCUGCAACGGAGAUGGAACACAAAUUGAAGAUUCACGCUCUAUGGACAGAUCGCGGCGGAGAGUUUACGUCGAACGAAUUCAACGAUUACUGCGAGAAGAUUGGCAUAAAAAGGUUCCUCACGGCACCUUACACGCCGCAGAAGAACGGGGUCGUUGAAAAGCGCAAUCGAACUGUCGUUGACAUGGCAAGGAGUUUACUCAAGAGCAAGAACCUGUCGGGGACUUUUUGGGGAGAAGCUGUCUCGACGACGGUCUAUCUUCUCAACCGGGCUCCAACGAAGGCAGUUCUCGGCAAGACUCCGUAUGAAGCAAUUUACGGACGUAAGCCGAAUGUGUCUCAUCUACGGACGUUCGGGUGAGUGGCACAUGUGAAGACGGCGGAGACGCAUCUCUCAAAGCUUGUCGAUCGUAGCACCAAGAUGGUGUUCAUCGGAUACGAGAGGAGUUCCGACACCAAGGCAUAUCGCUUCUACGAUCCACAAACCAAGCGUCUACGGAUUUCACGCGACGUCGUGUUUGAAGAAAACCAAGCGUGGAAUCGGAGCGCCGCAGCCGACGAUGCUCCAAACAGUAACAUAUUCACGAUUGAAUUUCCAACUGAUGAUGAUGCAGGGGAGGAUGUCCAGGUGGUUGGCAAGACGCCCAACCAAGGUGACCACAAUGGUAGUGAUCAUCAUGGUGCCGACACCGACGACGACGCGCAUAGGUCGCAAGGAGAUAGCGACAACGCCGCGCAUGACACAGGCGGAGAUCUCGACGACAACAUCGACAACGAGGCGCAUAGUGACGACGACAAUCAAGAUGAUGGUCACGGUCACGACGACUACGCCGAUGACGCGGAUGUCGAUGACACGCCCGAGACUCAGCCAUCUUCCUCAAGUGCAUCAACAUCGACACAAUUUGUGUCACCUCCUUCGCAAGCCACAACGGAUUCCUCAGGGCCUCGUCGCUACAAGACCCUCAAGAAAGUCUACAAGUACACAAAGUCAGUUACGCUCGAAUACUCCGGACUAUGUGUUUUCGGAGUUGAGGAGCCGGCGAACUUCGUAGAGGCGAGCAAAAGUCCUAGCUGGACGCACGCCAUGGAUGAGGAGAUGAAGGCAAUUGAGAGCAAUGACAUGUGGACCUUGGUAACCCGUCCUCCAAACCAAAAGGCGAUAGGUUUGAAGUGGGUUUACAAGUUAAAGAAGGACACACAAGGUGCCAUUGUGAAGUACAAGGCAAGACUCGUUGCAAAGGGCUACGUACAACGUCAAGGAGUUGACUAUAAUGAGGUGUUUGCACCGGUUGCUCGACUCGAGACGGUGAGAGUGCUCCUAGCUUUGGCAGCACAAGAGGAUUGGAAGGUUCAUCAUAUGGAUGUUAAAUCCGCUUUCCUCAACGGUGAUCUCACAAAGGAAGUGUACGUGGAACAACCCCUCGGCUACGAGAAGAAAGACGAACAAGUGAAAGUUUACAAGCUCAAGAAGGCACUUUACGGACUGAAGCAAGCGCCAAUUGCUUGGAAUUUAAAGUUAGACCAAAGUAUGGCCAUGCUCGGGUUCAAAAGAUGUGCCCUUGAUGGUUCAAAAGUUAGUCUACUAAGCACCGACGAACAUGUGAAGGUUGAAGACACGACCAACGAGAAUUGUUGCUGUCAAGCUACGAAUGAGUCGACGACAGCAAAGUCGGUGAAUGGUACGCUACAAGGAACGAUGAAGGCAACGCCAAGGAGGAAGCAUGCGAGUAGUCGCAUUUGGGAUCCAGGUCGCAUCGAGGAUGUCAUGUUUAGGGGGUGAAUGUUAGAAGUAAACCUGACGUCCGCUUAUGAGUGUCCGAGAAGUACACAUAUAUGUUGCCGAGUCGGUUUGCAGUAGGCCUAGCUUAGCAAUAUAUAUACGUAUACCCCUGUGUAGUCUUUGUACCAGAAAUCAGAAAAGUAAUACAAAGCAAAAGCAAGGCUCGACACGAGCCUAUUUGCAAUCCAUUGAUUCGGUGCCUUCGUUCUCGCCUUGUUCUCGUCGGAUAGUUCGACCAGUCAAGAGCUCGUAUAGUAUACGUGCACGUCCAGCAGGAAUUGCUCUCAUACGUCCGUCGGCUAGCUAGCCUAAGGAAUCCAUCCACCAGAGAGCUAGCUUGCUUGGUACGUGUGACCUGCAGAACCAGUACGAUACGUGUGUAUACAUCCUUGACGGAAAGUACUCGUACGAGGUGCGUCAUACGGACCAAAGCCAACAAUGCUAUCUUGCAGGCGGUUCUUGAAGAGGUGGAGCAGCCAGGGAGUCUGUAUCUUGCUGAGCCCGCAGCUUGUUCUCUGAGAGGUCGAUCUCCAUGGCACUAUGCAGGCUCCCGGGCUCCUUCGGGAUGGUGUCAUCCAGCUGGUUCCGGUAAAUGCAGAGCUUUACGAGCAUGGGAAGCGCCCUGAGCUCGAAUCACAUUUCUCUUGGCGUCGUGCUCAUUGUCAUACUGAAGCUGAAUCACCUUUCUUCUGGUGUUUUGUUCUUUUUCAUAAUGAACCUGAAACACAUUUCUUGUGUUGAUGUGUUCUUUUUCAUACUGACCCUGAAUCACAUUUCUUUUGUUGAUGUGUUCUUUAUCAUACAGAACCUGAAUCAAAUUUCUCUUGUUCAGUCUUUGCUAAAGACCGAACUAGUAAAUCUUGUCAUUACAAAUGUUUAUUCAGAAAUCUUCAUUUUUUCUCAUGAAAUGCUCAGUUUUUUGCUCUCUAAAUUGUGUCUUUAUUUCCUUUGCUCCUCUCUAGAAUUACUAAAUGUUCAGAAUUGUACUGUAUUGGCAUGUCAUAACAAAGCUCGAUUCUUCCAUAUGCCAGUCUUAUGUGUAACAUUUUACACUGAGUUUUUAGCAAACUUGUGUGGUGUUAAAAUUGAAGAUUGUCAAGGCAAACUUGUGUUGUGUUAAACUUGACUAAAUCAUGCACACAUAAAACUGAAGAGAGUGGAUUUUUAGCUCCCGGAUGCCUAGGCACCCUCUAUGAACAGUAAAAUAAAAAAAAUCAAAAUCAAAAUCAAAAAUUUUUGAAACUUUGCAGCAUCAAUGAUGAUGAAACUUUGUAGGUGUUUGCAAAUUUUUAUGCCAAAAAACUAUUCGUGGAGCUCUACACACGAUGUAUUCGUGGAGCUCUACACACGAUGAAAUUCAUAUGUUGAGGUUGACGAUUUAGUUCAGUAACAGUUGAGUGAAUUUCAGUUACGUAAAAGAUGUCAUUAAGUUUAGUCAUGUUGUAUUCCACCCCAUUUUUACUGUCAAAACUGCAUUGCUGGUACUGCCAAAAAGGUUCAGCCUCAAUGCUGCAUUGCUGAAAACAGUAAAUUUUAACAGUUUGGAGUACAGAUUAACUCAAACCUGAAUUUUUAACUGAAUUUUACUCUUUUCUUCUUCCUGAGGAGCAGCAACACUGUCACGUGCAUGGGCAGUGCUCCACCGCGACAGGGGAGCUGCUACUGGAGCUCCGCUGAUGAUCAAAACGAUCACAGCAAGGGAGCUACGGAUUAAUUUCCCUUUAUAUCAGUUGUAGGUGAGAGGCAGAGUACCAGAGGCCUCGCAGAUCGGGGGAGCCGAUUGGAGGGUGUCGGCGUCGCCCACGAGCAGCAGCGUCGGCAGCAGAGGCGUCGCCCACCACAACCACCCGGCGGCUGAAGUAGACUAGCACGGUGACCAGCCCGACGGCCGUGAGCAGCGGAGUCAGGGGCGAAGCGGACCAGCGGGGCGGCGGUGGGUGGCGGAGGAUCCGUUUGUCGAUGGGCGGCGGAGGCCCUGUUCGCGGGUGGACUCGUCCACGGCACAUGACCUUCUCUUGGAGACGGUUGGUUGCAGAGGCUGGCCGUGGCAACGCGGGCGACGGGAGGAGGAAGGAAGGAAGGAAGGAGACGGGGGCUUUAUUUCUGGAGCUUUGCAAGUAGAAGGACUAGAAUGCAAAAAAAAAUGUACUACGCUCGCGUCAUGAAUUACGGGACGAGUAAUGCUACACAUACGGGCGUUCUACGGAAGAUUUACAGGCUCGUUAAGAAUGAUUGGUUGGAAUUUACUUAAAAAGGACGGUCCCACCGGUGAAAUCAGGGGGAGAGCAGUUAGAUUAGGCCACGUCGUCUUCCCGUAAAAGCCUGUUAGAAGCUGUCCGUAUCUUUAGCAUUAUCGAUUACGAGACGGAGGGAGUACUGUAUAUUGUUACACCACUUACAAAUAGAUUUUCGGUGCCGAUUUUUUCUAACACCUGCACAUUUUAUUUGGAAUACGAUACUCGCUGCAGAUUUUAUUUGAACUAUACGUACGGAUGUGUGAAAAAUGGCUACUUCCGCAGCCUAAUUAAUGAACAGUAUCAUGCUCAUUGCCGUUUGCCCUGGCAAGCCCGCCGAAGAGGCACGGGCGGGUCGGAGAGCGCGCCGUCGACGAUCUGGUCGAAGACGAACCUGUUGGCCGCCUCGGUGAAGUGCACGCCGUCCCAGCUCACGCUCCUCGACGGGUCAUCACACGACUUUCCUGCCAGCACCGACGUCCCGUUCACCUGCACCUUAUCACCACACCGGAUGUUCCGGUCGAAGUUGUACUCGCCGCCGCCGUACCCGCAGCACACGCGCAGGGGGUCCCCAAAACCGAGCUCCUUGGCCUGGCUUAUCAGCCUGUACUUGGCGGCGUACACGUCGACGUAGGUUAACGCUGCCCCUGGGAGCGUGUCCCUGAGCCUCGCCACGGUCUCCUUGAGCCGCGCGUUGAAGAACCGGGCGCCGGCGUUGAGCGCGACGGAGCAGCCGGCGGCGUCCUUGUCGGCGGCGAGGUCCGGGCGGAACACCAGGGCGUACGGCAGGCACCCGAGCGGCGCCGUGUUGUGCACCCAGAAGUGCCUCCCCCCGAGGUUGUAGACCGUCUGGAUCGCCGACGAGAUCCUCUCCAUGAGAUCGGGGACGUAGGCCUCGACUUGCUCCGUGGUCAUGUUGUCGAAGUAGCCCACGGUGAGGUCGUUCUGGCCCAUGUCCAAGGUGUAAAGCGCCUUGGAGAUCAACUGCUCCGGGUUGGGCAGGAUCUCCCGGUAGACUCCGCCGAUGUCGUUGUCGUAGACGAAGCGGCUCCUGUUGAUGAACUGCUGGAGCUGCCAGACCUGCACGUCCAGGGAAAUGGGGCUGUACCCUGAGGUCCACAAGCUCCCGUUCACUCGCCUGAUGGUUCCGGCGGCGCUCGCGAAAUUGGCUCCCUGCGUGAAGUUGCUCCCCAGAGAAUCCAGAUACGCACUCAGGUAACGGAGGCCCAGGCUUUGAGCUGCAAGCAAUACGUACACGUCGUAAAAAUUCUCCCGUUUUGAGCUGUUUGCGCGGGAAAAGGGUAAAAAAAACUGCUUCGGUUAACAUGCCGUAGACAAACGUACUCACGUACAUACCCAUGAAGUCGAUGGUGAGGCGGCCGUCGCUUUGCCGGCCGGCCGGCAUGCCGAAGAAGGUCCGGCCGUAGGGCGGCUGCACCGCCGGGAAGAGGGCAGGGAAUGCACCGGUGUCCGAGUUGGAGUCACCGAGGUUGAAGAUGGCCGGGAAGCCGCACGGGGAAUCAUCAGAGCGCGCUCCCGCAGAGAGCUUUAGCACCACCACCGCCAGCAACAGGACACACACGAGUUUGGUCGCCAUGGAUGGAUGAGCCGAUCGACGCCGUUUAGCUCCUGCCGCUCGUCCGGUGCGAAAAUGAUUUUAUGCCCUGCCGCGAGUGCAGCACCCGUGUUGGACCGACUGCUGCUCCGACGCGGCAGCGAUUUUCUAGCCACCAGAAUACUAAUUACCACAUGCAUUAUUCAUGGACUGGUCAAGGUUUAUUAUUAUUUGUUUAUCUUUUGUGAAGUCAGGAUUCAUACACGCCGGCACCGGCAGGUCCAGCACCCCGUCUUGGACUGGUGCUCCGACGUGAUCCUAAUCAAAGAUGUGCAGAAGAUUCAGCGAGGGAUAGCUGCGUUUUGUUGACAAGUAUCCCCUCCUCUCGUUUGUGCACCACCCGAGUUAUAUCAAGAGAGUGACGGGACUGUCACCCUUUACGUGGCAGGUUUGGACAAGCAACUAAGCGUGCUUGACCCUGAUUACUCUCUUAAAAUAAAUGUCUCAAUUUUAUACUAGAUUUAGUACAAAUUUAUAUUAAAUUUGAGACAGUUAUUUUAAAACAAAGGGAGUAUUUGACGUUUCUGUGGUGAUGUAGCCAAGACCGUUAUUACUUGUCAACCUAAAGCUUCAAGAACACAUGACCCGGGAAUGGGAGUACGGGACCUCCGGCAACGACCACGGUUCCUUACCCCCGAGGGCAUCCCGAUCACCAUUCUGCGCGUGGCGCAACGACUCUGCCACUCCAGUAAACACAUAUAUUUUUUUAAAUAUGACAAUUAAAAAAUAAAUAUCAGCACGUGUUCAAAAUAAAUAAAUAUCAGCAGCGAAUAUCUAUAUGUAAGGUGUGUAACCUGAAUUUUUGAUUGAUUUCAUCAAUAAAGUAGCUACAUACAUCGCAUUGAUGAAACGACGGGAGGGAAUCAUCCCUCCUUUUCUAAAAUAGGAAAAUACUAUUUAAGAAGAAUAGAAAUUGGACGAAUACUUAUUUGGAGUAUGAAUACUGUAGAUUUUUAUACAUACAUUUCAAGUAUGGAUGUCUAAAAAAAUAUUCCAACAUCCGCAUCUUAAUGAAUGAACAUUAAGCUCAUCACCAUUUACCCCGGCAGGCCUGUCAUGGCGGACCGACGGGUCAGAGACCGCUCGUAAACAAUCUGAUUGAAGAUAAAUUUAAAUAUGGUACAUAUAUUUCUUGAUAAAUCGGUUACACUAAAACUCAUGGAAAUACGCAUGGGCUUGGAAAAGGGUUCCCCGAAUAUUGGAUUGCCGUUGUUAAACUAGGUUGUAUACUUUAUAAAAUCGAGGAAGUAUCUUAAACUGUAUGUAAAGCAGCUAUCUCCAUAGCUGUAAACCGUCAUGCUCAAUUGCACGCCAUCAUUCCAGCUCACAUCGUUAGAUUUGUUCUCGAAAGAGUUCUCGAGAUCUAAUGCACCGUUCACCUCCACCUUAACAUCGCAAUGGUCUAUUUAGAGCAGCUAGCUAUCUCCAUAGCUGUAAGCCAUUAUGGUCAACUGCACGCCAUCAUUCCAGCUUACACCGAUAGAUUUGUCCUCGAACGAGUUCUUGAGAACCGACGCACCGUUCACCUCCACCUUAACGUUGCAAUGGUCAUGUAUUCUACUUCACAAGUGAAUUGGGCAACUAGUGCUGUAAUAUUGCCUUCCAACUCACAACACAACCACCGAUAAUGUUGGGGAACGUCGCAUGGGAAACAAAAAAUUUCUACGCGCACGAAGACCUAUCAUGGUGAUGUCCAUCUACGAGAGGGGAUGUGUGAUCUACGUACCCUUGUAGACCGUACAGCAGAAGCGUUAGUGAACGCGGUUGAUGUAGUGGAACGUCCUCACGUCCCUCGAUCCGCCCCGUGAACCGUCCCGCGAUCAGUACCACGAUCUAGUGCCGAACGGACGGCACCUCCGCGUUCAGCACACGUACAGCUCGACGAUGAUCUCGGCCUUCUUGAUCCAGCAAGAGAGACGAAGAGGUAGAAGAGUUCUCCGGCAGCGUGACGGCGCUCCGGAGGUUGGUGAUGACCUUGUCUCAGCAGGGCUCCGCCCCGAGCUCCGCAGAAACGCAAUCUAGAGGAAGAACCGUGGAGGUAUGUGGUCGGGCUGCCGUGGAAAGUCGUCUCAAAUCAGCCCUAAAACCUCCGUAUAUAUAGGUGGGAGAGGGGGGACCUUGCCUUGGGGGUCGGCCGAGCCAAAGGGGGGAAGGACUCCCCCCAAACCAAGUCCUACUUGGUUUGGUGGGUGGAGUCCUUCUUUCCUUUCCCACCUCCUCCUUUUUUUCUCCUUUUCUCUUUGAUUUUUCUUCCAAUGCGCAUAGGGCCCUUUUGGGCUGUCCCACCAGCCCACUAAGGGCUGGUGCGCCACCCUCAAGGCCUAUGGGCUUCCCCGGGGUGGGUCCCCCCCCCCGAUGAACUCCCGGAACCCAUUCGUCAUUCCCGGUACAUUCCCGGUACGGUAAUCCCGUCUUAUCAAUCAUGUUGUUAGACAACAAUGAACCUGCAAGUUAUGAAGAAGCAAUGGUGGGCCCAGAUUCCAACAAAUGGCUAGAAGCCAUGAAAUCCGAGAUAGGAUCCAUGUAUGAGAACAAAGUGUGGACUUUGGAGAUACUACCUGAGGGCCGCAAGGCUAUUCAGAACAAAUGGAUCUUUAAGAAGAAGACGGACGCUGACGGUAAUGUGACCGUUUAUAAAGCUCGACUUGUGGCAAAGGGUUUUUCACAAGUUCCAGGAGUUGACUACGAUGAGACUUUCUCACCCGUAGCGAUGCUUAAGUCCGUCAGAAUCAUGUUAGCAAUGGCUGCAUUUUUCGAUUAUGAAAUCUGGCAGAUGGAUGUCAAAACGGCGUUCCUUAACGGUUUCCUUAAGGAAGAGAUGUAUAUGAUGCAACCCGAAGGUUUUGUCGAUCCUAAAAAUGCUGACAAGGUGUGCAAGCUCCAGCGAUCCAUUUAUGGACUGGUGCAAGCAUCUCGGAGUUGGAACAAACGCUUUGAUGAGGUGAUCAAAGCAUUUGGGUUUAUACAAGUGGUUGGAGAAUCUUGUAUUUACAAGAAAGUGAGUGGGAGCUCUGUGGCGUUUCUAAUAUUAUAUGUGGAUGGCAUAUUACUGAUUGGAAACAACGUAGAGCUUUUGGAAAGCAUAAAAGGUUACUUGAAUAAAAGUUUCUCUAUGAAGGACCUGGGAGAAGCUGCUUACAUUCUAGGCAUUAAGAUCUAUAGGGAUAGAUCAAAACGCCUGAUAGGACUUUCACAAAGCACAUACCUUGAUAAAGUUUUGAAGAGGUUCAAAAUGGAAUAGUCCAAGAAAGGGUUCUUGCCAGUGUUACAAGGUACGAGAUUGAGUAAGACUCAGUGCCCAGCAACUGAUGAAGAUAGAGAGCAUAUGCGCUCCGUCCCCUAUGCUUCAGCCAUAGGCUCUAUCAUGUAUGCGAUGCUGUGCACUAGACCAGAUGUUAGCCUGGCCAUAAGUAUGGCAGGCAGGUUCCAGAGUAAUCCAGGAGUGGAUCACUGGACAGCGGUCAAGAAUAUCCUGAAGUACCUGAAAAGGACUAAGGAGAUGUUUCUCGUGUAUGCAGGUGACGAAGAGCUCGCCGUAAAAGGUUACGUCGAUGCAAGCUUUGACACAGAUCCGGACGACUCUAAGUCGCAAACAGGAUACGUAUUUAUUCUUAAUGGGGGUGCAGUAAGCUGGUGCAGUUCCAAGCAAAGCGUCGUAGCAGAUUCUACAUGUGAAGCGGAGUACAUGGCUGCCUCGGAGGCGGCUAAGGAGGGUGUCUGGAUGAAGCAGUUCAUGACGGAUCUUGGAGUGGUGCCAAGUGCACUGGAUCCAAUAACCUUGUUCUGUGAUAACACUGGUGCCAUUGCCUUAGCAAAGGAACCAAGGUUUCACAAGAAGACCAGACACAUCAAACGAUGCUUCAACCUCAUCCGCUACUACGUCGAGGAGGAGGACGUAAAUAUAUGCAAGGUGCACACGGAUCUGAAUGUAGCAGACCCGCUGACUAAACCUCUUCCACGACCAAAACAUGAUCGACACCAGAACUGUAUGGGUGUUAGAUUUAUUACAAUAUAAUUCACAUGGUGAUGUGAGGGCUAGAUUAUUGACUCUAGUGCAAGUGGGAGACUGUUGGAAUUAUGCCCUAGAGGCAAUAAUAAAUGUAUAGUUAUUAUUAUAAUUCCUGUAUCAAGAUAAUAGUUUAUUAUCCAUGCUAUAAUUGUAUUGAAUGAAGACUCAUUUACAUGUGUGGAUACAUAGACAAAACACCGUCCCUAGCAUGCCUCUAGUUGGCUAGCCAGUUGAUCGAUGAUAGUCAGUGUCUUCUGAUUAUGAACAAGGUGUUGUUGCUUGAUAACUGGAUCACGUCAUUGGGAGAAUCAUGUGAUGGACUAGACCCAAACUAAUAGACGUAGCAUGUUGAUCGUGUCAUUUUGUUGCUACUGUUUUAUGCGUGUCAAGUAUUUAUUCCUAUGACCAUGAGAUCAUAUAACUCACUGACACCGGAGGAAUGCUUUGUGUGUAUCAAACGUCGCAACGUAACUGGGUGACUAUAAAGAUGCUCUACAGGUAUCUCCGAAGGUGUUAGUUGAGUUAGUAUGGAUCAAGACUGGGAUUUGUCACUCCGUGUGACGGAGAGGUAUCUCGGGGCCCACUCGGUAAUACAACAUCACACACAAGCCUUGCAAGCAAUGUAACUUAGUGUAAGUUGCGGGAUCUUGUAUUACGGAACGAGUAAAGAGACUUGCCGGUAAACGAGAUUGAAAUAGGUAUGCGGAUACUGACGAUCGAAUCUCGGGCAAGUAACAUACCGAAGGACAAAGGGAAUGACAUACGGGAUUAUACAAAUCCUUGGCACUGAGGUUCAAACGAUAAGAUCUUCGUAGAAUAUGUGGGAUCCAAUAUGGGCAUCCAGGUCCCGCUAUUGGAUAUUGACCGAGGAGUCUCUCGGGUCAUGUCUACAUAGUUCUCGAACCCGCAGGGUCUGCACACUUAAGGUUCGACGUUGUUUUAUGCGUAUUUGAGUUAUAUGGUUGGUUACCGAAUGUUAUUCGGAGUCCCGGAUGAGAUCACGGACGUCACGAGGGUUUCCGGAAUGGUCCGAAAACGAAGAUUGAUAUAUAGGAUGACCUCAUUUGAUUACCGGAAGGUUUUCGGAGUUACCGGGAAUGUACCGGGAAUGACGAAUGGGUUCCGGGAGUUCACCGGGGGGGGGGGGCGAACCCACCACGGGGAAGCCCAUAGGCUUUGGGGAGACACACCAGCCCUUAGUGGGCUGGUGGGACAGCCCCAAGGGGGCCUAUGCGCCAAGAGAAGGAAAUCAAAGGAAAAGAAAAAAAAGAGGGAAGAAGUGGGAAGGGAGGGGGACUCCUCCCACCAAACCAAGUCCAGCUCGGUUUGGGGNCCAAGGCAAGGUCCCCCUCCCUCCUCCUAUAUAUAUGGGGCUUUUAGGGUAGAUUUGAGACGACUUUCUCACGGCUGCCCGACCACAUACCUCCAUAGUUUUUCCUCUAGAUCGCGUUUCUGCGGAGCUCGGGCGGAGCCCUGCUGAGACGAGAUCAUCACCAACCUCCGGAGCGCCGUCACGCUGCCGGAGAACUCUUCUACCUCUCCGUCUCUCUUGCUGGAUCAAGAAGGCCGAGAUCAUCGUCGAGCUGUACGUGUGCUGAACGCGGAGGUGCCGUCCGUUCGGUACUAGAUCGUGGGACUGAUCGCGGGAUUGUUCGCGGGGCGGAUCGAGGGACGUGAGGACGUUCCACUACAUCAACCGCGUUCUCUAACGCUUCUGCUGUAUGAUCUACAAGGGUACGUAGAUCACUCAUCCCCUCUCGUAGAUGGACAUCACCAUGAUAGGUCUUCGUGCGCGUAGGAAAUUUUUUGUUUCCCAUGCGACGUUCCCCAACACCAUAUAACUCAAAUACGCAUAAAACAACGUCAAACCUUAAGUGUGCAGACCCUGCGGAUUCGAGAACUAUGUAGACAUGACCCGAGAGACUCCUCGGUCAAUAUCCUAUAGCGGGACCUGGAUGCCAAUAUUGGAUCCUACAUAUUCUACGAAGAUCUUAUCGUUUGAACCUCAGUGCGAAGGAUUCAUAUAAUCCCGUAUGUCAUUCCCUUUGUCCUUCGGUAUGUUACUUGCCCGAGAUUCAAUCGUCAGUAUCCGCAUACCUAUUUCAAUCUCGUUUACCGGCAAGUCUCUUUACUCAUUCCGUAAUACAAGAUCCCGCAACUUACAUUAAGUCACAUUGCUUGCAAGGCUUGUGUGUGAUGUUGUAUUACCGAGUGGGUCCCGAGAUACCUCUCCGUCACACGGAGUGACAAAUCCCAGUCUCGAUCCAUACUAACUCAACUAACACCUUCGGAGAUACCUGUAGAGCAUCUUUAUAGUCACCCAGUUACGUUGCGACGUUUGAUACACAUAAAGCAUUCCUCCGGUGUCAGUGAGUUAUAUGAUCUCAUGGUUAUAGGAACAAAUACUUGAUACGCAGAAAACAGUAGCAACAAAAUGACACGAUCAACAUGCUACGUCUAUUAGUUUGGGUUUAGUCCAUCACAUGAUUCUCCUAAUGAUGUGAUCCCGUUAUCAAGUAACAACACUUGCCUAUGGCCAGGAAACCUUGGCCAUCUUUGAUCAACGAGCUAGUCAACUAGAGGCUUACUAGGGACAGUGUUUUGUCUAUGUAUCCACACAAAUAUUAUGUUUCCAAUCAAUACAAUUAUAGCAUGGAUAAUAAACGAUUAUCAUGAACAAAGAAAUAUAAUAAUAACUAAUUAUUAUUGCCUCUAGGGCAUAUUUCCAACAGAUAAUAAACACAUAAUUGUAUGGUGUCUGCUUUUAUCCAAAUCACUAGAAGCAAAAUCUUAAUCCAUGUACCGAACGAGUCAUCAAAGAUAGAAAGGAACGUUGAACAUCGUAUUUGCAAUAUUUCCAGUAUUAUAGAUGUAGAAACCAGCAUUGUUAAUCAAGGUUUUUCUUUAAAGUGUAUUUCUCCCUUCAAAAUACCAUCCAUCUAAUUUGUUAAAGUAUGGAACUCUCGCCCAGAGCCGCGGAACUCAUGACUCUAUUAGAAAGUAGAAUGACCAACUUUUACAUGAAUUUUCAAGUGGAUGAGAUCAGUCGAAUGGUCUCUGUUCGAGAUGGGAUAGUAUGUGUUUAUGGACUGAACGAGAUUCAAAGCAGGAGAAAUGAUGGAAUUUGCCAGCGGUGCAAAAGGAAUCAUUUUUAAUCUUGAGAAUGAGAGUAGGUAUUGUUAUCUUUGGUAGUAAUACCACUAUUAAAGGACAUAUUGUCAAACACACUAGAUCUAGUGUGGAUGUACCUACGGUUGAGAAACUAGAGAACCAGAAACACAAGCUUUCUAGGAAAGAUACUUCAAAACGAAUAACAUUUCUUCGAAGCAAGAUUGCAGGAUCAGCCUAACUGAGUAAACAUUGAGACGAGUUUCUUGUCUAGAAAUCUGUGCCAUCAAGAAAAAUUCUUGAAGGUUCUUCUACCCUCCACAAAAUGUACCGGGACACCAAAGCUCGUGCGCAAAUUGUCUUCAAAAUCAAACCAAGCCUGAGCGUUGAGGUCCGAAAGUGUCAUGAUUGAAAACCCGAAACACAAUGGGUCGGUAUGGUGCCUAUAGCUGCCGGAGUGUCCGCGAGAGGGAAAGGGGUGGUUGACGCGACCGGGGCGUGGUCAGCACCAGGGGGUCAGUGGUCGCCGCCGGUGAGGGGCUGAUUACGCAGAUGCUAGCAUGGGGCUAGGGGCUAGUACAGCUCGCGCCGAGUGUACUUACAUGUUUGUCAUGUAGUUCAAAUAUCAUAUUGAAGUAAAUUAUAAAUUUUGGCAUUCUACUUACUGUGUAAGUUCAACACACGAUUUUACCAUACAUACAUAGGGAGGUACAUUUCUUAUUCAUUGAUUUUUUUACAAGAGUUAUAAAUAGAUACUCAUUGCAUAUUUUAUUUGGAGUACGGACGUCAGAAAAAAAUCCUACAUCCGCAGUCUAAUUAAUGAACAUCAUGUUCAUUGCCCUUUGCCCUGGCAGGCCCGACGCAAAGGCACCGGAGGGUCGGAGAGAGCGCCGUCCACGAUCUGGUCGAAGAUAAACUUGUAAGCCGCUUCGGUCAAGUGCACCCCAUCCCAGCUCACGCUCUUGGACGGGUCCACGCACGACUUCCCCCCCAGGACCGGAUCGCCACACCGGAUGUUCUUGUCGAAGUUGUAUUGGCCGCCGCCGUACCCGCAGCACACGCGCAGAGGAUCCCCAAAACCGAACUUUUUGGCUUCGCUCAUCAGCUUGUACAUGGCGGCGUACAGGUCGACGUAGGUGAAGGCGGCCUCUGGGAGAGCGACCCUAAGCCUCGCCACGACCUCCUUGAGCCGGGCGUUGAAGAACCGGGGGCCGGCGUUGAGCGCGAUGGAGCAGCCGGCGUCAUCCUUCUCUCCGGCAAGGUCCGGUCGGUAGACCAGGCCGUAGGGGAGGCACCCGAACGUCCCCGUGUUGUGCACCCAGAAGUACCUCCCGCCGAGGUUGUACACCGUCUGGAUCGCCGACUCGAGCCUCUCCAUCAGAUCGGGGACGUAGGCUUCCACUUGCUCCGUGGUCAUGUUGUCUAGGUAGCCCAUGGCGAGGUCGUUGGCGCCGAUUUUGAAGGUGUAAAGCGCCUUGGAGACCAGGUGCUCGGGGUUCGGCAGGAUCUCCCGGUAGACUCCGCCUACGUUGUUGUAGAUGUGCGAUAACUAUGUCACAUCUAAAUGUGUCCUAAACACACCCUUGCUAAAAAUACAUCCAGGAGCUGCAUUUAAGUUUGAUUUUCACCUAUGUUGUUGUAGACGAAGCGGCUCCUGUUGAUGAACUGCUGGAAUUGCCAGAGCUGCACGUCCAGGGAAAUGGGGCUGUACCCGGAGGUCCACAGGCUCCCGUUCACCCGUCUGAUGGUUCCGGCGGCGCUCGCGAAAUUGGCUCCCUGCGUGAAGUUGCUCCCUAGUGAAUCCAGGUACGCAUUCAGGUAACGUAGCCCCAGGUUUUGAGCUGCGAUACGUCGUACGUGUUAGGAAAAAUAAAAAAUCUCUAGUUUUGAGUUGUUUGUGCAGGAAAGAAAAAACUCUAAAUCCAUCCUAGUUUUGAGUUGUAGAUAAAUGUCAUGAGUACCCAUGAAGUCGAUGACGAGGCGGCCGUCGCUCUGCCGCCCGGCCGGCAUGCCGAAGAAGGUCUGGCCGUAGGGCGGCUGCACCGCCGGGAAGAGGGCCGGGAAGGCUCCGGUGUCCGAGGAGGAGUCGCCGAAGUUGAAGAUGGCCGGGAAGCCGCACGGGGAAUCUUCGGAGCGCACCAUUUCUAGUACCACCAGCAACACCACGAACGUGAUCAGUUUGUUGGUGGCCAUGGUGGUGCGACGGCGAGCUGAAAUCAUUUCCGACCUCUCGACCGUGUGCCGUGACGGUGAAGCUGCUUGAAGUGGAUUUAUACACGCCGGCACCGAGGUCGUCACAGUCGAGCACCCGUGUUGGACUGGCGGUCUCCGACGUGAUCCUAAAGAGAUGGAAUAGCUACGUUUUGUUGACAACUAGUAUUAAGCGGCUGAUUUCCAUGCACCACCCUCCAUAGACCAACGGGUCAUCACCGUUUGCGUGGCACCUUAGGACAAGCAACAAGGCGUGCUUGACCCUUGAUUACUCUCUAGCACUACAGUAUCUUGACGUUUAGUUCCAUGGUGACGUGGCCAAGAUGCAUUCAUUUCUGCGAGAAAUAAUUAUGGACUGAUGAAAUAUCUUCUGUACAAUAUUUGAGUAGCGACACGUGUCGGAGUGGGAACAAGUGAAGGCGAUGGAUUCGGGGGCGGCGAUCAACUCGAUGCUGCAGACUGAAGAACGAUCAGGAUGCAUGAAGUCCUUUUGCGUUUGUCUUUCAAACUAUGCUCUCGUUUCGCAUGCGGAUUAUGCUUUAUUGUUUAAAUUCGAACUCAUUUGCCGAAAUCGCUGUCAAAUUCCAACUAUGUUCUAUUGCGUGGUUUUUCGGUUUGCGGGUCGCCGCGGUGGCACCCGAGCACACACCACAUUGACAACCCGUAUAAUAGCAUUUUUUUGCGAAUAUGCUUUAUACGGCUCCGUUUUGGGGGGUCCACCUCUGUCCGCACCCGCGCCGCCCGCAAGAUCCAUUUUUCACGAACUGUAAACGAUUUUUGCGGGUCGAAAUUAUACGGGGUCUGCUAGAAAUGCCCUUAUGAUCAUGUUGGAGCACCAGCCCAAAACGGAUGAUGGACUCCGACGACUUGACGGUGCCGGCGUGUAUGAAUCCUGACGGCCAGUGCCAUUCUCAAAAGGACAAAAGAAGAAAAAAGGACCAGUCCAGUAGUAAUGCAUGUGGUACUUCAUGUUCUGGAUGGAUGCUGGACUUGACUUGCCGGCCGGCCUGUAUAAACCACAAAUCAUUUUCCCUGCAGCUUCACCGUCACGGGCACCGGACGAGCGGCGGGAAAUGGCUUGAGCUCAUGGUUGAACUACCAUGGCGACCAAUCUCAUGUCCGUCGUGUUGCUAAUGGUGAUAAAGCUCUCUGCUGGGGCGCGCUCUGACGAAUCCCCGUGCAGCUUCCCGGCAAUCUUCAAUCUCGGUGACUCCAACUCGGACAACGGAGCUUUCCCGACCCUCUUUCCGGCUGUGCAGCCGCCCUACGGCCAGACCUUCUUGGGCAAUGGGCAUGCCGGCCGGGCGGCAAAGCGACGGCUGCCUCACCAUCGACUUCCUGGGUACACAUCUAUCUACAACAUCUCAUAGGGAUCGUAUGCAUCGUGCUGCUGCAGAGGUGAUAACCGAUGAUUUUAUUUCCUAACACACGUAACGUACGUAUUGCAGCUCAAGCAUGUUACCUGAGUGCAAUUUACUCAAUAUAACAUGUUUGUCAUGUAGUUCACCAUAGAUAUAUUUCUUAUUCAUAGAUUUUCUACACGAUAUUAUCUCAUUGCAGAUUUUAUUUGGAUUACGGAUACUAGUGCAGAUUUUAUUUGGAGUACGGAUGUCUGGAAAAAUAAUCCUACAUUCAGAAUCUAAUUAAUGAACAUCAUGCGCAUUGCCCUUUGCCCUGGCAGGCCCCACGCAAAGGCACCGGAGGGUCGGAGAGAGCGCCGUCCACGAUCUGGUCGAAGAUGAAUUUGUAAGCCGCCUCUGUCAAGUGCACCCCAUCCCAGCUCACGCUCUUCGAUGGGUCCUCGCAAGACUUCCCCUCUAGGACCGGAUCACCGCACCGGAUGUUCUUGUCGAAGUUGUACUGGCCGCCGCCGUACCCGCAACACACACGCAGAGGAUCCCCAAAACCGAACUUUUUGGCUUCGCUCAUCAACUUGUACGUGGCGGCGUACACGUCGACGUAGGUGAAGGCGGCCUCGGGGAGAGCCACCCUGAGCCUCGCCACGGUCUCCUUGAGCCGCGCAUUGAAGAACUGGGGGCCGGCGUUGAGCGCGACAGAGCAGCCGGCGUCGUCCUUCUCCGCGGCGAGGUCAGGGCGGUAGACCAGGGCGUAGGGGAGGCACCCGAGCGUCCCCGUGUUGUGCACCCAGAAGUACCUCCCGCCAUGGUUGUACACCGUCUGGAUCGCCGACGCGAGCCUCUCCAUUAGAUCGGGGACGUAGGCCUCCACUUGGGCCGUGGUCAUGUUUUCUAGGUAGCCCAUGGCGAGGUCGUUGGCGCCGAUGUCGAAGGUGUAAAGCGCCUUGGAGACCAGGUGAUCUGGUUUGGGCAAGAUCGCUCGGUAGAUUCCACCUGCGUCGAUAUCGAGGAACCUCCGGUAAGAAAUUGCUAAAAGACAUCUAGAUGUGAGAUAACUAUUGCACAUCUAAGUCCUAUGUGAUUGACCUUACGUCGAGAUUCGUGUGAGUAUCUUUUUUACUUUUUACUUUUUUUUAUGCUUGAUUUAGCAUUUUAGAUGUGCGAUAAUUAUGUCACAUCUAGAUGUGUCCUAGACACACCCUUGCUACAAAAUAUAUAUCGAGGAGCUGGAUUUAAGUUUGAUUUUCACCUAUGUUGUUGUAGACGAAGCGGCUCCUGUUGAUGAACUGCUGGAAUUGCCAGAUCUGCACGUCCAAGGAAAUGGGGCUGUAUCCGGAGGUCCACAAGCUCCCGUUCACUCGUCUGAUAGUUCCAGCGGCGCUCGCGAAAUUGGCUCCCUGCGUGAAGUUGCUCCCUAGCGAAUCCAGAUACGCAUUCAGGUAACGCAGCCCCAGGCUUUGAGCUGCGGCACAUACGUGUCAGGGAAACAAUAUAGAAAAUCUCCAGUUUUGAGAUGUUGUAGGUAGAUGUGUGUACCCAUGAAGUCGAUGGUGAGGCGGCCGUCGCUCUGCCUCCCGGCUGGCAUGCCGAAGAAGGUCUGGCCGUAGGGCGGCUGCACCGCCGGGAAGAGGGCCGGGAAGGCUCCGGUGUCCGAGUAGGAGUCGCCGAAGUUGAAGAUCGCCGGGAAGUCGCACGGAGAUUCAUCGGAGCGCACCCUCUCUAGUACCACCAGCAACACGACGAACGUGAUGAGUUUGCUGGUCGCCAUGGUGGUGCGGCGGCGAGCUCUCGGCCGGUGUCCCUGACGGUGAAGCGGCUGGGAGAGGAUUUAUAAUACACGCCGGCACCAGCAGGUCGUCAGAGUCCAGCACCCGUGUUGGACUGGCGGUUGGAAUAGCUACGUUUUGUUGAUAAGUAUCCUCCCCGUGUGAUGUUGAUGCACCACCCUCUAGAGAAUGACGGGUGAUCACCGUUUGCGUGGCACCUUAGGACAAGCAACUACGAGGCGUGCUUGACCCUUGAUCACUCUCUAGUGCUACAGUAUCUUGACGUUCGGUUCCAUGGUGAUGUGGCCAAUAUGCAUCCAUUUUUACGACAAAUAAUUCUGAACGGAUGAAAUAUCAUGUACAGUAUUUGACGUUAUCAUGAUGAUGAUGUGGCCAAAACCGUUAUUACUUCUGUCAGAGAACUUGCGCAGAACAAGGAAAAACGUGUGUGGGAGGGUCAGAGACACGUAUCUGAACGGUGACGUGGCCCGCCUAGUGUCCGUCAGCAGCAACGCGGUGUUUCGAGUGGAGCAUGUCGUCGGUGGUCUAGCUCGUGAGCGACCCGAUCAAGUAGGAGGAUUUCAAGUUCAAGAUCCGUGUGUUUACUGUUAGAGACUCACUACUCGCCCCGAUCUCUCGUUUGAUUUACUCAUGGAUACAGGUUAAAAUGUUGUUGUGUCACUAGUGGCUGGUGGCCCUUGUUUUAUGGUUGGCCCGCACAGUGGACGGUGGCUAAGAGCAUCCCUAAGAAACUCCGUAUAAUGCUCCGAUCUGUAAAAUAACUAUCGAAAUAUGGAUCGGGGAAGAAAUUGCUAUCAGACCAGACCCCGCAAACGCGUCCGAUCUGUAAAUUUUUUGUCGGGGCGACAAAAAUUCGUCCUCAACCUUCAGAUUCACGGGGUGGGAGGCCGAUCCAAGCUCGUUCCUUAUCCGCAACGAGAUUUGGCACGAGAGAAAUUUCCGCACGGCCGUUCCCCGCUCCCCCUCCUCGACAACCAUUUCCCCGCCCACCGCGCGUUCUGGACCUUCUUCCCCGCCAUUCUUAGCCGGCGUGGAAGCCUCCCACCCGACGGAUCUCGUAAACGUGGAGGUCGCGCACGUGCAAUCAUGUCCGGCGGAUCUCGUUGCCGGCCAUGUCGCCCCCGACGUUGCCUAAGCCACCAAUGCGCCUGCCCACAAGUGGCAAGGCAACGUUGUCAUGCAGGGCGGCAUUCCGGUUGGCCCCGCCGGAAGGGAAGGCGCGCUGGGCGCCACCGCUGCUGCGUGAACUGCUUGGCCGCCUGCGCGGAAGAUGGGCAAGGUUUCGGGCGUGAAGCGAAAGAAUGUUCAUACGAAAAAACCGUCGUACACUCACUCCGUCCUGGUGAGACGUUCCCCGACGGUGCCUUUCUACGGCGCUGCUUCCACCGCAGGCGAGGUGUUCGAUGAAAGGACCGGAAGGUAUGCAUCUUCGCUCGCUUAUUUUUGCUUUGAUUUUUCGCCAUUGUGGUAGGUCAUGAUGUGCUGUCACUCAAUGUAGAGGAGGAUGCUUGCGUAUUAUGACGGCGAUGGUUUCUCGUUUGAAGUCGAAACCAAUAUCGCCGAUGAUUUCGGUGCUGGAGUAGGGACAAAUGCAAGCGAUGGAUUCAAGGGAGUCGAUGGAUUCAGAGGCGGCGAUGACCUCGAUGGUGCGGAGUGAAGAGCGACCCGGAUGCAUGAGGUCCUUUUGCGUUUGUCUUUUAAACUAUGCUUUCAUUUCACGCGCGAACUAUGUUUUAUUGUUAAAAUUUGAACUCAUUUGCCGGAACCGCUGUCAAAUUUGAACUAUGGUUUAUUGGAAGGUUUUCCGGUUUGCGGGUCGACGCGGCGGCGUCCGAGCAGAUCCCGCAUUGACGAUCCGUAUAAUAGCAUCUUCUGCGAAUAUCCUUUUUUAUGACCGUUUUGGGGAAUCUGCCUCUGUCUGCGUCUGUGCAGGUCCGUAAAAGCCGUUUUUCGCGAAGUGUGAACGACUUUUGCGGGUUCGGCUUUAUACGCGUUUUGCUAGAGAUGCUCUACCACCUCCCCCUUUUUAACCCGACUUAUUCCCCAGCCGUUGCCACAUAGAGCUUUCCAAGAUCCCGAGUUGCUUGAACAUUCCUUAUCGUGUCGAAAUCGCCAUGGCAGUUGUUGUAGUAGUAACUAUUUUUUUUAGAAAAGGAGGAUUACCUCCGGCCUGUGCAUCAGCACGAUGCAUACAACCCCUUUAUUUAGCAAGCAAACAAAUAUCGGUCCAACAUUGCAGUGGUAGCUAUGGUCGAGGUCGACUUGAACAAGAUCAAAGGAGAAGCCGUCCUCGAUGUAGUAGUCACAGCCGUUGGGAACUUGCUCGAGGAUGCUGUCUAAAUAAAUAGGAAGGGGGGUACAAAGUAUAAGCACAAACUUUAGUGUGGUACCAAGUAUAACACAUACUACACUUUAUAAGGAGAAGGAAGAAUCAAAAUAUAUUAUACUUCCAGCAUGUUUUUCAUCUGUGCGCAAUUACAAAUUAAGAAUAAACUUAUAGCCUCACAACUUGGCUACGCGGAAAUACGCAUAGUUACUUAGUCAAACCAUAAACUAAGGAUGAGAACUAGGGUUGGAUCGUGGGAUUCUGAGAAAGAAAGUGAGAAGGGUGUGGUCGAGGGGUGGUUUUGGACUUCCAGGCCUGUUGAGCUGUGAUUUUCUUAUUUUUGCAUCAUGUGCAUGUUACAACGCUACACGUUACAACAUUAUAGCAAGGCAUAGCGUCCUAAUUAUGUGAUUAGCAUCGUAGCGGAUGAAUUUGUUAAAAUGUAGCAUCUUCUUUUCUAAUACGCUUUAACCAAAAUUGCGCGCUAUUUUUUCGUUCGACGUGUCAUAAUUUUUAUUAGCAUUCUUUCAAACCCUUAGGAAACAAUUCUUUGAUUUUGCUGUGAUGGAGUCAAGCAAACAAAUAUCUCGCGAAUUGCGGCGCUGAUGGAGGUGCAAGUGGCAGCCGCGGAGCUCGCCGCUGGCCGUUGGGGCGAGCGGCGGCGGUGGCGGCCAGAUGUUUAGGGUUUGCAUUCGAAGCGAUUUUGCAGAUGGUAUUGCGAGAAUGCCUGGUUGCCAUGAUCUGAUCAAAGAUUAUCUUGUUUUUUCUAACGGAACAUUUUGGUGCCCUGUAUCAAAUUUUCGAUCUGAAACUGAAAGAUCGACCGUACAUGCUUUUCUGCUUCAUUCGCUGUCAUAUAUGGCCAUCUCUAUUAUUGCUCGGUAACUUUGCAUUUCGCUGGAAGCAAUCUGCAGAAGGCUGGUGGGGAAAGGACCGUGGCGGCGGAGAGCUGCGACCGAGUCCGAGGCCAAGGCCGCGGCAUCGAAGAUCACGGUCAACUUAGAACCCAAGUUGCUGGAGUGCUCCGGCUGCUGCAGCCCAUUGGCUCCACCCAUUUUCCAGGUACCCAACAGGAGUACAGGACCUUGUAUUCCUUUGCUGAAUGCUUUCUGCAUUUUACUAGAUUCAGUUAUACCCUGCAGUUUAGGUAUGCUGGAUUAUUGACCAUUUGUAUAGUUUCUGAUACCAUCUGCAUGUUGAUGUAUAGUUUCUCCUACUUCACUUUCAGCAAAUCUUGCGACCGUCAAUUAGUAUGCUGCUUCUAGACUUCUGAUUCCUUUUCUUCUGAAUUCNNNNNNNNNNNNNNNNNNNNNNNNNNNNNNNNNNNNNNNNNNNNNNNNNNNNNNNNNNNNNNNNNNNNNNNNNNNNNNNNNNNNNNNNNNNNNNNNNNNNUAUAUGAUAAAUAGUACUUUUAUAGCUAACUACUGUACAAGCUAGCUAUAAGAUGGACUAUAGGAUGGCUUAUAGCCAGCAGUUGGCUAUACUAUUAACCAAGCUCUAAAGCCUUGUCCCGAGAAUAAUGCUGGACUUUAGCACCUCCCUAUGCCUAACCUCGGACGUCCUCAUUAACACAAGCAGCACUCCUUACAAUCUGCACACAAAUAAACAAAAUGGUAAAACUAGUCAACUAAACCUUCAAGCCCCUUAUCAAAACAAUGCAAUGCAUACCCAACCACUCUUUCUAUGGAGUCCCUAAAAGUACAAAAAAAAACUACAACAAGCACAUUCCAUCGAAACAGCCAUGGGACGGCCACCCCUGGUCCAACAGGAAAGAAACAAAGGUACUACUGGAGUGUUGUGUAACCUCAGAUUUUGCGAUUGUUAUCAUGAAGAUAUUUGUCAGACGAUGUCGACAAUAUUUGUGCAACUCAUCAUAGGCACGAGUCAACUCCAGAAGCAAAAAAGUAACAAGCACCGUGGCAAUAUUUUGUUUUUGUACGUAAGAAGGUAGGCCGAUGUCUACCUUGUGUGUUCCAAAAUCCAAAUCAAACCAAAGUUUAAGAAUCANNNNNNNNNNNNNNNNNNNNNNNNNNNNNNNNNNNNNNNNNNNNNNNNNNNNNNNNNNNNNNNNNNNNNNNNNNNNNNNNNNNNNNNNNNNNNNNNNNNNAUAAACGGGUCGUGCCAUGCCGGCCCGCGUGCCCAGCCCUCAGGCCCAGGCACGGCCCGUUUAAAUCGUGUCGGGCCGGGUCCGUGCUGUGCCGUCGUGGCGGGCUGGCAGGCCGGCCUGUUUAGCCCGGCCCGUUUGGCCAGACUUAGGAGUGAACACUUGUGGCGCACACAUCGACCGUAAUUCUGGGCCUCAACAUUUUUUUUCCUAUGGAAGGAUCAAAUAUAUUACUCUAUUCGUUUUAAAGUAAGUGUCUUAAUUUUAUAUUAAUUCUAGUACAAAACUAUAAUAAAAUUAAGACAUUUAUUUCAGAACAAAAAAUAUAAAAGUUUACUAAAAAUAUAAUAUCACCAAUCACUGCUGCGGUCGAGCCAUUUUCACGUUGUUGUUGCCACUCUUUUACCUCAGUCGACUAGAUCUCAUCGAUUACAACCAAAAAGACUACAUGCAUGUGCCCCGAAGGAUCAACGCCCUUGAGCUACAGCCGUUGUUGUUGAACUCUUGCAUAAAUUUGAAAUCAACUGACAUCAAAUUUCGUCAUAUAAUGAGAAAAUCAAGGCUCACCCCCCAAGGCGUAAAUUUCAUUAUGAUAAGAUAUCAAAUCAAAUUCACAAUAUGAAAAUACCACUAGCAUCACUGAAUUGUACAUUGUCAAAGAAUUUAGAAAUAUUUUUUUAAUAAAUUUGUACCUUUACUCUUCAUAUUUUCUAUACCCUUUCAUUUAUUACCCAUUUGCUAGGUUUCUAUGUUUCACAUUCACCGACAAAAGCGUGUGACAACGACAGCGCCACCACGCCAUGUUGGGGUAACGUAGCAUAAAUUCAAAAAAAUUCCUACGCAUAUUCAAAUCUUCUUAUGGAGAGACCAGCAACGAGAGAGGGGUAAGAGCAUCUUCGUACCUUUGAAGAUCGCUAAGCGGAAGCGUUGCUAGAACGCGGUUGAUGGAGUCGUACUCGCAGCGAUUCCGAUUUAGUGCCGAACUACGGCACCUCCGUGUUCAACACACGUGCAGCCCGGUGACGUCUCCCGCACCUUGAUCCAGCAAGGAGGAGGGAGAGGUUGGGGAAGAACUCCAGCAACACGACGGCGUGAUGUCGAUGGAGAGACGAGGUCUCCCGGCAGGGCUUCGCCAAGCACCGACAGAGAGGAGGAGGAAGAAGAGCAGGGCUGCGCCGAGGGAGAGGGAAAAGUCUAAUCUCCAAUGGCCAAAAGUGCCCACUAUAUAUAGGAGAAGGGGAGAGGGGGUGCGGCAACCCCUCCAGAUGGGAGGUGCGGCGGCCAGAGGGGGAGGAGGGGGUGGCGCACCCACUGGUGGGCCUUAGGCCCACCUGGCUUAGGGUUUGCCCCCCCUUUUCUCUCCCUUGCGCAAUGGGCUGAGUGGGGAGGCGCACCAGCCCACCUAGGGGCUGGUUCCCACCCCCACUUGGCCCACCUUACCUCCCGGGGUCGUUAUCCCCCUUCGGUGGUCCCGGUGGUCCCGGUACGUUACCGGUGAUGCCCGAAACACUUCCGGUAUCCGAAACCAUCCGUCCUAUAUAUCAAUCUUUACCUCCGGACCAUUCCGGAGCUCCUCGUGACGUCCGGGAUCUCAUCCGGGAUUCCGAACAACUUUCGGUAACCUCGUAUAACAAUUCCCUAUAACCCUAGCGUCAUCGAACCUUAAGUGUGUAGACCCUACGGGUUCGGGAGACAGGCAGACAUGACCGAGACACCUCUCUGGCCAAUAACCAUCAGCGGGGUCUGGAUACCCAUUGUGGCUCCCACUUGCUCCACGAUGAUCUCAUCGGAUGAACCACGAUGUCAAGGAUUCAAUCAAUCCCGUAUACGAUUCCCUUUGUUUGUCGGUAUAGAACUUGCCCGAGAUUCGAUCGUCGGUAUACCUAUACCUUGUUCAAUCUCGUUAUCGGUAAGUCUCUUUACUCGUUCCGUAGCACGUCAUCGUGUGACUAACUCCUUAGACACAUUGAGCUCAUGAUGAUGUUCUACCGAGUGGGCCCAGAGAUACCUCUCCGUCACACGGAGUGACAAAUCCCGAUCUCGAUUCGUACCAACCCAACAGACACUUUCGGAGGUACCCGUAGUGCACCUUUAUAGUCACCCAGUUACGUUGUGACGUUUGAUAGACCCAAAGCACUCCUACGGUAUCCGGGAGUUGCACAAUCUCACGGUCGAAGGAAAAGAUACUUGACAUUAGAAAAGCAUUAGCAUACGAACAAUACGAUCUAGUGCUAGGCUUAGGAUUGGGUCUUGUCCAUCACAUCAUUCUUCCAAUGAUGUGAUCCCGUUAUCAAUGACAUCUAAUGCCCAUGAUCAGGAAACCAUGAUCAUCUAUUGACUAACGAGCUAGCCAACUAGAGGCUUGCUAGGGACACAUUGUGAUCUAUUUAUUCACACAUGUAUUACUGUUUCCUGUUAAUACAAUUAUAGCAUGAACAAUAGACGAUUAUCAUGAACAAGGAAAUAUGAUAAUAACCAUAUUAUUAUUGCCUCUAGGGCAUAUUUCCAACAGUCUCCCACUUACACUAGAGUCAAUAAUCUAGUUACAUUGUGAUGUAUCGAACACCCAUAGCAUUAUGGUGUUGAUCAUGUUUUGCUCGUGGAAGAGGUUUAGUCAACGGGUCUGCAAUAUUCAGAUCCGUGUGUACUUUACAAAUAUCUAUCACUCCACUCUGGACAUGGUCCUGGAUGGAGUUGUAGCGACGUUUGAUGUGCUUCGUCUUCCGGUGAAACCUGGGCUCCUUGGCAAUGGCAAUGGCUCGAGUGUUAUCACAGAAGAGUGUCAUAGGACCCGACGCGCUUGGAACUACUCCAAGGUCGGUGAUGAGCUCCUUCAUCCAAAUUCCUUCAUGAGCCGCUUCUGAAGCAGCUAUGUACUCCGCUUCACAUGUAGAUGCUGCCACGACUUCUUGCUUGCUGCUGCACCAGCUCACUGCCCCACCAUUCAACACAUAUACGUAUCCGGUCUGUGACUUAGAGUCAUCCGAAUCUGUGUCGAAGCUAGCGUCGACGUAAUCCUUUACGACGAGCUCUUCGUCACCUCCAUAAACGAGAAACAUUUCCUUAGUCCUUUUCAGGUAUUUAAGGACAUUCUUGACCGUUGUCCAGUGUUCCAUACCUGGAUCACUUUGGUACCUCCCUACCAAACUUAUGGCAAGGUUUAUAUCAGGUCUGGUACACAACAUGGCAUACAUUAGAGAGCCCACGGCUGAAGCGUAGGGGACAGAACUCAUCUUCUCUCUAUCUGCUGCCUUGAUCGGCGACUGAGUCUUACUCAAUCUCAUACCUUGCAAAACUGGCAAGAACCCUUUCUUUGAGUUUUCCAUAUUGAACUUCUUCAAUAUCUUGUCAAGGUAUGUACUUUGCGAAAGACCUAUGAGGCGUCUCGAUCUAUCUCUAUAGAUCUUGAUGCCUAACAUGUAUGCAGCUUCUCCAAGGUCCUUCAUUGAAAAAACUCUUGUUCAAAUAGGCCUUUAUGCUCUCCAACAUCUCUUAAUUAUUUCCCAUCAAUAAUAUGUCAUCCACAUAUAGUAUGAGGAAAGCUACAGAGCUCCCACUCACUUUCUUGUACAGACAGGCUUCUCCGUAAACCUGUAUGAACCCAAACGCUUUAAUCACCUCAUUAAAGCGAAUGUUCCAACUCCGAGAUGCUUGCACCAGCCCAUAGAUGGAGCGCUGGAGCUUGCACACUUUGUUAGCACCCUUAGGGUUGACAAAACCUUCUGGUUGCAUCAUAUACAACUCUUCCUUAAGGUUCCCGUUAAGGAACGCUGUUUUGACGUCCAUUUGCCAAAUUUCAUAAUCAUAAAAGGCGGCAAUUGCUAACAUGAUUCGGACUGAUUUCAGCUUCGCUACGAGAGAGAAAGUCUCUUCAUAGUCAACUCCUUGAAUUUGUCGAAAACCCUUUGCGACAAGUCGAGCUUUGUAAACGGUUACAUUACCGUUUGUAUCAGUCUUCUUCUUGAAGAUCCAUUUAUUUUCUAUGGCUCGCCGGUCAUCGGGCAAGUCCACCAAAGUCCAUACUUUCUUCUCAUACAUGGAUCCUAUCUCGGAUUUCAUAGCCUCAAGCCAUUUGUUGGAAUCCGGGCCCGCCAUCGCUUCUUCAUAGUUCGAAGGUUCACCGUUGUCUAACAACAUGUUUUCCAUCACAGGGUUGCCGUACCACUCUGGUGCAGAGCGUGCCCUUGUGGACCUUCGCGGUUCAGUAGUAACUUGAUCCGAAGCUUCAUGAUCAUCAUCAUUAACUUCCUCUUCAGUCGGUGUAGGCGCCACAGGAACAACUUCCCGCGCUGCGCUACUAUCCUGUUCGAGAGGGGGUGUAAUUACCUCAUCAAGUUCUACCUUCCUCCCACUUACUUCUUUCGAGAGAAACUCUUUCUCUAGAAAGGAUCCGUUCUUGGCAACAAAGGUUUUACCUUCGGAUCUAAGAUAGAAGGUAUACCCAAUAGUUUCCUUAGGGUAUUCUAUGAAUAUGCAUUUAUCCGCUUUGGGUUCGAGCUUUUCUGGUUGAAGUUUCUUCACAUAAGCAUCGCAGCCCCAAACUUUAAGAAACGACAACUUAGAUUUCUUGCCAAACCAUAGUUCAUACGGUGUCGUCUCAACGGAUUUAGACGGUGCCCUAUUUAAAGUGAAUGUUGCAGUUUCUAAUGCGUAUCCCCAAAAUGAUAGCGGUAAGUCGGUGAGAGACAUCAUAGAUCGUACCAUAUCUAAUAAAGUGCGAUUACGAUGUUCAGACACUCCGUUGCGCUGCGGUGUGCCAGGCGGUGUCAGUUGUGAAACGAUUCCACACUUCCUUAGGCGUGUGCCAAACUCGUGACUCAAAUAUUCUCCUCCACGAUGAGAUCGUAGACAUUUAAUUUUUCUGUCACGUUGAUUCUCAACCUCACUCUGAAAUUCCUUGAACCUUUCAAACGUCUCAGAUUUGUGCUUCAUCAAGUAGAUAUACCCAUACCUACUCAAAUCAUCGGUGAGAGUGAGAACAUAACGAUAACCACCGCGAGCUUCAACGUUCAUUGGACCACACACAUCAGUAUGUAUUAUUUCCAAUAAGUCGUUUGCUCUCUCCAUUAUUCCUGAGAAUGGAGUCUUAGUCAUCUUGCCCAUGAGGCACGGUUCGCAUGUGUCAAAUGAUUCAAAGUCAAGAGACUCUAAUAGUCCAUCAGUAUGGAGCUUCUUCAUGCGCUUAACGCCGAUAUGACCAAGGCGGCAGUGCCACAAGUAUGUGGGACUAUCAUUAUCAACUUUGCAUCUUUUGGUACUCACACUAUGAAUAUGUGUAACAUCACGAUCGAGAUUCAUCAAGAAUAAACCAUUCACCAGCGGAGCAUGACCAUAAAACAUAUCACUCAUAUAAAUAGAACAACCAUUAUUCUCUGACUUAAAUGAGUAGCCGUCUCGCAUUAAGCAAGACCCUGAUACAAUGUUCAUGCUUAAAGCUGGUACUAAAUAACAAUUAUUAAGGUUUAAAACUAAUCCCGACGGUAGAUGUAGAGGUAGCGUGCCGACGGCGAUCACAUCGACCUUUGAACCAUUCCCGACGCGCACCGUCACCUUGUCAUUGGCCAGUCUCCGCUUAUUCCGCAGUUCCUGCUUUGAGUUGCAAAUGUGAGCAACAACACCGGUAUCAAAUACCCACGAGCUACUACGAGCGCUGGUAAGGUACACAUCAAUAACAUGUAUAUCACAUAUACCUUUAACGUUGCCGGCCUUCUUGUCCGCUAAGUAUUUGGUGCAGUUCCGCUUCCAGUGACCCUUUCCCUUGCAAUAGAAGCACUCAGUCUCAGGCUUGGGUCCGUUCUUUUUCUUCUUCCCGGCAUCUGGCUUACCGGGCGCGGCAACAGCUUUGCCAUCUUUCUUGAAGUUCUUCUUACCCUUGCCUUUCUUGAAACUAGUGGUCUUGUUGACCAUCAACACUUGAUGCUCUUUCUUGAUUUCUACUUCUGCAGACUUGAGCAUCGAGUACAACUCAGGAAUGGUCUUCUCCAUCCCUUGCAUGUUGUAGUUAAGCACAAAGCCUUUGUAGCUUGGUGGGACAGACUGGAGGAUUCUGUCAAUUAUAGCAUCAUUCGGAAGUUCGACUCCAAGUGAAGUUAGACGACCGUGUAACCCAGACAUUUUGAGUAUGUGCUCACUGACAGAACUGUUCUCCUCCAUCUUACAGCUAAAGAACUUGUCGGAGACUUCAUAUCUCUCGACACGGGCAUGAGCUUGAAAAACUAGCUUCAGCUCCUGGAACAUCUCAUAUGCCCCGUGUUGCUCAAAACGUCUUUGGAGCCCCGUUUCUAAACUGUAUAACAUGCCACACCUAACCAGAGUGUAGUCAUCACUCCGCGUUUGCCAGACGUUCAGAAUGUCCUGGGCUGCUGCGGGAGCGGGAGGGUCACCUAGCGGCACAUCAAGGACAUAAGCCUUUUUAGCUGCUUCAAGGAUGAGCUUCAAGUUGCGAACCCAGUCCGCAUAGUUGCUACCAUCAUCUUUCAGCUUGUUUUUCUCUAGGAAUGCGUUGAAAUUGAGGUUGACGUUGGACAUCUACAAUAUUUAUAAAGACAACUUUUAGACUAAGUUCAUGACAAUUAAGUUCAUUUAGUCAAAUUAAGUAUGAACUCCCACUUAAAUCGACAUCCCUCUAGUCAUCUAAGUGAUACAUGAUCCAUGUUGACUAACCCGUGUCCGAUCAUCACGUGAGACGGACUAGUCACCAUGGUGAGCAACUCCAUGCUGAUCGUAUUCAACCAUACGACUCAUGUUCGACCUUUCGGUCUCUUGUAUUUGAGGUCAUGUCUGUACAUGCUAAGCUCGUCGAGUCAACCUAGGUGUUUCGCGUGUGUAAAUCUGGCUUACACCCGUUGUAUGCGAACGUUAGAAUCUAUCACACCCGAUCAUCACGUGGUGCUUCGAGACAACGAACCUUCGCAACGGUGCACACUUAGGGGAAUACGUUCUAAAUUUUUUAAGAGGGAUCAUCUUAUUAUGCUACCGUCGUUCUAAGCAAUAAGAUGUAAAACAUGAUAAACAUUACAAUGCAAUCAUAUAGUGACAUGAUAUGACCAUUAUCAUCUUUGCUCUUUCGAUCUCCAUCUUCAGGCAUCGCAUGAUCAUCAUCGUCACCGGCGUGACACCAUGAUCUCCAUCAUCGUGUCUCCGUGAAGUCGUCACGCCAACUACUACUAUCACUACUACUAUAGCUAACCGUUAGCAAUGAAGUAAAAGUAGUAAGCACAUGGCGUCGCAUCUCAUACAAUAAAUUAAGACAACUCCUAUGGCUCCUGCCGGUUUUCAUACUCAUCGACAUGCAAGUCGUGAAACCUAUUACAAUAACAUGAUCAUCCCAUACAUCAUACAUGCAACAUCACAACUUUGGCCAUAUCACAUCACAUGUCAAACCCUGCAAAAAUAAGUUAGACGUCCUUUAAUAGUUGUUGCAAGUUUUACGUGGCUGAUUUGGGUUUCUAGCAAGAACGCCUUCUUACCUACGUGACAGCCACAACGAUGAUAUGCCAAAGCUAUUUACCCUUCAUAAGGACCCUUUUCAUCAAAUCCAAUCCGACUAGAGUAGGAGAGACAAACACCCGCUAGCCACCUUUAUGCACGGUGUGCAUGUCUGUCGGUGGAACCAGUCUCACGUAAGCGUACGUGUAAAGUCGGUCCGGGCCGCUUCAUCCCACAAUACCGCCGGAAAAGAAUAAGACUAGUAGAGGCAAGCAAAUUGACAAAUCAUCGCCCACAACUUUUGUGUUCUACUCGUGCAUAGAAUCUACGCAUAGAAAACCUGGCUCGGAUGCCACUGUUGGGGUAACGUAGCAUAAAUUCAAAAAAUUUCCUACGCAUAUUCAGAUCUUCUUAUGGAGAGACCAGCAACGAGAGAGGGGUAAGAGCAUCUUCAUACCUUUGAAGAUCGCUAAGCGGAAGCGUUGCUAGAACGCGGUUGAUGGAGUCGUACUUGCAGCGAUUCCGAUCUAGUGCCGAACUACGGCACCUCCGCGUUCAACACACGUGCAGCCCGGUGACGUCUCCCGCACCUUGAUCCAGCAAGGAGGAGGGAGAGGUUGGGGAAGAACUCUAGCAACACGACGGCGUGGUGUCGAUGGAGAUACGAGGUCUCCCGGCAGGGCUUCGCCAAGCACCGACAGAGAGGAGGAGGAAGAAGAGCAGGGCUGCGCCGAGGGAGAGGGAAAAGUCUAAUCUCCAAUGGCCAAAAGUGCCCACUAUAUAUAGGGGAAGGGGAGAGGGGGUGCCACCCCUAGGGUUCCCACCCUAGGGGGUGCGGCAGCCCCUCCAGAUGGGAGGUGCGGCGGCUAGAGGGGGGAGGAGGGGGUGGCGCACCCACUGGUGGGCCUUAGGCCCACCUGGCUUAGGGUUUGCCCCCCUUUUCUCUCCCUUGCGCAAUGGGCUGAGUGGGGACGCGCACCAGCCCACCUAGGGGCUGGUUCCCACCCCCACUUGGCCCACCUUACCUCCCAGGGUCGUUGCCCCCCUUCGGUGGUCCCCCGGGGCCACCUCCGGUGGUCCCGGUACGUUACCGAUGAUGCCCGAAACACUUCCGGUAUCCGAAACCAUCCGUCCUAUAUAUCAAUAUUUACCUCCGGACCAUUCUGGAGCUCCUCGUGACGUCCGGGAUCUCAUCCGGGACUCCGAACAACUUUCGGUAACCUCGUAUAACAAUUCCCUAUAACCCUAGCGUCAUCGAACCUUAAGUGUGUAGACCCUACGGGUUCGGGAGACAGGCAGACAUGACCGAGACACCUCUCUGGCCAAUAACCAUCAGCGGGGUCUGGAUACCCAUUGUGGCUCCCACUUGCUCCACGAUGAUCUCAUCGGAUGAACCACGAUGUCAAGGAUUCAAUCAAUCCCGUAUACGAUUCCCUUUGUUUGUCGGUAUAGAACUUGCCUGAGAUUCGAUCAUCGGUAUACCUAUACCUUGUUCAAUCUCGUUACCGGUAAGUCUCUUUACUCGUUCCGUAGCACGUCAUCGUGUGACUAACUCCUUAGACACAUUGAGCUCAUGAUGAUGUUCUACCGAGUGGGCCCAGAGAUACCUCUCCGUCACACGGAGUGACAAAUCCCGAUCUCGAUUCAUACCAACCCAACAGACACUUUCGGAGGUACCCGUAGUGCACCUUUAUAGUCACCCAGUUACGUUGUGACGUUUGAUAGACCCAAAGCACUCCUACGGUAUCCGGGAGUUGCACAAUCUCACGGUCGAAGGAAAAGAUACUUGACAUUAGAAAAGCAUUAGCAUACGAACAAUACGAUCUAGUGCUAGGCUUAGGAUUGGGUCUUGUCCAUCACAUCAUUCUUCCAAUGAUGUGAUCCCGUUAUCAAUGACAUCUAAUGCCCAUGAUCAGGAAACCAUGAUCAUCUAUUGACUAACGAGCUAGCCAACUAGAGGCUUGCUAGGGACACAUUAUGAUCUAUUUAUUCACACAUGUAUUACUGUUUCCUGUUAAUACAAUUAUAGCAUGAACAAUAGACGAUUAUCAUGAACAAGGAAAUAUGAUAAUAACCAUAUUAUUAUUGCCUCUAGGGCAUAUUUCCAACACGCCACCCAUUAGGCCAUCACCACAAAGUAGGGAUGCAAGUGGCGCGGGACAUCCCGCUAAGCGGCCACGUCACCCCACAAAAUGUUGUCGAGUUGUCCGAUCAUUUGGAAAAUUUUAAUCCUGAAUCCGUUGCGACUUUAUUUUGUAAUCGAGUAGAAAAACCUCAAACUACUUUCCGGACGCCUCUGAGACGCCGGAGACAUCACGAAGGGUCUUUCACUCGACCAGUUAAACCCCAACCGAUUCAGGAGCUACUGAUGGGGGUGCCUAUCAGGGGUAGGGUCAUGGACCAGCCAUCCAAGGCCCAUCUGGGGUCCCACACGACUAUUAACAUUUCAGGACUACCGAUGCAACUCAGGUUUCACUCGGACCCAUGAAGUCACCUGACCAAUCUUCCAGUCAGUCGGACAUGCACCAGCACUCCGAGUAGGACAAGCGUGGAUGACGAAGGAGCCGCAACGGCCGAAGGACUUAAACAACACAUCAAGUGUAGUGAUAGCUGCCAGUAACUCUUGUAGUUAAGGGCUGUCGUUACUAGAAACUACCUCCAUGAUGGCAUUAACUCAACCAUGUAAUGACCACGGUGUCAUCAACUCUAGAUGAGUUGGUAAAAUAGUCUACUUAAGUGCUGAAAAGAUUGAACAUUGCAUUAACUUUUGUGCCAACAUAGAAGAGAAGACAAGUUAAAUAGCCUAUUUGGUUUCAUUUCGUCUAAAAAAAGGAACAUAGGUGAGCUGGUUGGUUAGUUGAGUUACCUCAUGAGGGGUCAAGGAUUGAAUCAUGUUACGUGCACCUUUUUAUGUGAAAAAAGAAAGAAAAAAACUCGGACGUACUACAGUUUUCAGCAGAAGGAAAUAAAAAAUCAGUCCUGGGGGAUCAAGCGGGAGAAGCGGAUCGAGCUUUCUCGGACGUCGACGAUUAUUCGGAUUAGGUUUAUAGUAGGGUUUAGUUAAAAAUUGUCAAAACUUUAAUGAAUUUCUACCAUAAUGUAAUGAAUUUCAUCAAGUUUAUAUGAAAAUUCACGGUGUUUGCAUUAAUUUUGUCUGGUUUAACUUAACCGUGUUUCAAAUGUAAGCGAGUAGUGUUGGAUGGCUGACUCAUGUAUUCGUAUAUGCGGAAGGUCCCCCAGACAGAUGCGGAAGAGAAAUUGUGACUAGGCUAUGGAGAUGUCCUAAGAGCAACUCCAACCGUGUGACCCAUCUGCCCAUGUCUUUUUGGUUUUUGCGGACAAAUACGAUGACCCAAUGCAAAGACCCAAUCCCAAAUUAUGUCUGUUUCGUGUCCGUGUUGGCCCAUUUUAGACCCAAAUUUGAAAUACAUUUAGGUUGGAGGCGGACACAGAGCGAACGUUUGUUGCGUCCGCCUCGUCCGUGUGUGUCCGUUGCAUGUCCCUCCUACCCCACCUGUCAUCCACCCACCCAUCUCAUCUUUGUCUUUCUCUUUCUUCCAUCCACCCUACGAGUAUGUGGAUCUCGUGGUCGUGCAGAACAGGUGUUGUCCGACCCCGUUGCUGUCGUGUUCCACGGUAGCACACCCGUCGACAUUGCGCACCUGGAGGCUGUCGGAGUAUAGGAUGACCACCUUGUAGCCCCCACAUGACGCGGCCCACGUGGUGGCGAUGGAGGACCAGAGCAUGGGCGCGCCAUCCUUAGCGGAGCCGUCAACGAUGCGACGCUCGCCCCCGGCCGUGAGCGUGAGCGAUGGCGCGGCUACGACGGUCGUGUUGGCCCGGUUCGUGACACCUGGCCAUGAGCGUGAGCGACAACGCGGCCACAGCGGCCAGGUGUCCCACCAGACGCAGUGGUAGAGGCGAGUCGAUCGUGCGGGUCCUAUGCGUGGAAGCCCAGCUCGAACACCCCCGACGACGAGGGCAUCGACAUCGUCAGCGAGCCCCCCUGCUUCAACAUGUUCGUGGCCGCCACCGCCGCCAUCGCCACACCUAGCGCGCUGUAGAGCUAAGAGGAGACUUGAGUCCGCCAUCGCCGUGGAUCACCCUGGGCGUUAGGUUAUUUCGGUUUGGGUAGUUCGGUUUAUGGGUAAUUUGGAUGCUUAAAAUGGGAACGGAACAUUUUCUUUCAAAAAAAAUACCCGAACCCAUAUUACCGAGAUUUUUUGCUCGCGUAAUUCACGUACCCAAAAUACCCGAAAUGUUUGGAGCACACAUCAUUUUUUGGUAUGAAUAAUUUUGAAGGGCCAUCCCUCCUCCUCCUCCUGGCUCCCUGCUUUUGCCUGCUGGGCAUGACUGCGUGGGCGCAGCGGCGACGCGGGCAGCUGCGAGGCGGGGCGGAGGCGUGCUCACGAGCGCGCCGGGUAUACGGCAAUUCACCGGCGCGGCGGGCGGGUGAGUCGGUAGCUGUGGGGUGGUGGUGCGGGAGCUCGCGAUGUUUGACAAAAUGUCAUGACGGACAUGUUAGGAAAUGCGUCUGUCUCAUUGCACGUACGACCUAAAUAAAAAAAUGGACAUAUACGUCGUCAAUCCAAACAGUCAAAAAAACCGAACGAAACAUGCAUUCGUUUGGAUCGGCUGGUUGGAUUGCUCUAAUCAUGUUACACCAUAGGAAGGAGAGUGUAGCUUAUAGAAGAGAAUACAAAAUAGCAUACGUAUAUACAUACAAAAAGUCUUCCACUGUUACAGAAAGAAAAAAGAAGAACAUGGAGUACUACAUCGUAUCGUUCGAAUAUUUCGUCAUCCGUCUACAUUACAGUGUACAGUAAGCUGAAGAACAUGGAAACAAUGGCUACAGACUAGAGAAAUUAAGCGAGAGGGAGCCUGAUGCUUCCGGCGCUAAACCGAACGGGACAUUGGCCGUCAUGCCGGGACGCGCUUGCAGCGGCACCAGAAGGCGGUGCCGCCGCCCUUGCCCUGCGCGACGGCGAUCUCCUCGUCGACGUAGAACCACAAGAAGAAGGGGUCCUUGGUGCUCGGCUCCCUGCUCAUGUCGCCGCCGCCGAAGGGGAUCUCCAGGGAGGGCAGCGGCCCGAGCUUGACGCGCACCCUCUCGAAGACGAAGGCCAGCAUCUUCUUCUUCCAUGACAGCCGCCCCUCGAAGGUCAAGCUCCCCGCCGGGCCCAGGUACACGCCGUUCUCGAUCCUCUGCCCCUGGUCACCGAAAAUGGCUUCAGAGUUUCAGUUAUAGAACGACCAUCACUCAAGAUUCAGAGUGUCAGUUACAGAGCAUUCCUUCAGAGUUUGUUUCAGAUUCAGUGACAGAAGUUGUGUUCGUCUGUUUCGUCUAGAAGAACCGGAUGCCAUGGCUGAGAUGCGGGAGAGGCAUGAGGAGCUCACUCACCGCGGCGUCGAAGCGCUGGACGGCGGUCACCGGGAAGUAGCUGCCUUUCUCGAGCUUGCUGCCCUGCGACACAUCCAGAACCGGCCGAUCAAUUAACCACCAAAUGCAAACCGCAGAUCUGAAGCUGGAAUUCUGUGGGUGUUGCUCGCCUGGGCGGUGAAGAUGAGCAUCCACGUCCUGCCGGGGGACUCGGCCCCGCCGAGCGUCUCGAAGAAGGUGGAGGUGUCGAGCUUCGCCUUCUUGAUCUUUGCCAGCGCCGCCAGCACCUCCGGGGCCGGCACCUUCCUCGUCUUGGCCGCGUCCUUGAGCACCUUCACGCUCUCCGCCACGGCCUACGCUAAACCAGAGCCAAUAAACCAUCUUGUUCUUGUCAGAGCAUGGCUAAAAUGUCAGCAAAAUUGGGCGCGUGCCGUCGUGCCGAUGCUCGCUGCUCACCGAUAGGUCGGAGGGUUCGACCGGCGGCGGAGGGGGCGACGAGGAGGGCUGCUUCUGGACGUCCGGCGACGCGGCGGCGGCGACGGUCAGGGAGACGCCGCGGGGACGGCGGGGGCUGGAGCGGAGGACGAGCUGCGCGGGGGCGGGCGCUCGACGCGGAAGGCGAGGCGAGGAGGCUGGAGCGAGCGUGGAAGGGCGGAGCAAGGAGGCGGACGAGGCCAUCGUCUUCAUCUUGCUCGGACUGGCAGGCAGGUUGCUGUGUUCUCCGACGAGGUGCUGAGAUGGUAACCACUAGCUUGGAGUGUGUGUGGCUGUGGCGUGUGGACGAACGAGGUCCGUGUGGUGUGACCGUGCGAGUGUGGAGUGGACACUUGGGGAGCACACGUGGACAAGGCCAUUGUACUUUCUUUUUCAUGAUAAUACGUGUCUUACUUAUAAAAUAGAAUCAAGUUACAAGACACGUAAACAUCGUUCUUAUAAGACUGAAAAGAUAGAAAAAUCUUAUGCAAAAUACCAUCGUCUGUCCCUCUUUUUCGACACCAUCAAAGCGGUCAUCAAAAGAAAAGAAGCCAUCUCACCUCUUUACCUCAGCUUGACGCGGCUCUAUAGCUGAUCAACAGCUUUACGGACAUCUAAAGUAGUUUGCCAGCAGCAAAAUCAUUGUCGUUGAAAGAAUCAGACGGGGGCAGCAUGUCCCCGGGCACGCCAUCCAACUCCAGAUCCAACAACCCCGCAUGACGACAACAUCGGAGAGGGAAACCAGAACCGCCAUCCACCAACCACAAAACCAGCACAAGAUGCACCAUCUUCCAGCUGUCACUUGGGUAGACAACCGUCUGCGCGUACUCCUGAACGACAAAACCUCCCUGCUCCACCAUGACGUCGGAGACAAAGCCGCAGCAACGGGGACAAAGCAGAAGGAGAGACACACCUGAUGGAACUCCCCCCCCCCCCCAACACCCAUCCAUGAACCAUAAUGCCACCGAUUUGAAUGAUCGGCAAACGCACGAUGCCAUCAAUUCCGAGACACCGCCAUGAAGGACAUCACCGGUAUGGGAGUGAAGCUAAAGCAGAUUUAUUCGUCGACACGUCGCUUCCACCACCCCAACAACGCAUCACGACCUACAAAUCCAAACCCUAACUACAUAUCGGAGGAACGGGUCCCCCCUCCCUCCUGCCGCCGGAGCAGCAACCGGAGGGAGAGGGACCAACGCCCUAGCCGAUUGAGAUGCGGUGAAAGAAAAUCCCCUUCGUCGCCUGGCUCCUAGAGGCAGCUAGGGUAGGAAACGCGAGCCCGCAAGGCCACUUGUGGCAGCCCGAUGCCGACGUUCCAUAAGGUUCCCCUUUAUUUCCGUUUCUGUCGUGUGAUUAGUUUUAUUUGUUGCAUCAUCAUGUAGUUUGCAUCAUGGCAUCAUGCAUGACAUCAUGUGAACUGUGUUUUGUCGGUGUUGCUGUUGCUCCGUGUUGUUGGGUGUUAAUGCUUGUGAGUGCUUUGUGAGUGUGGCGUUGUUCGUUGGCGUGAUGAGAGUGGGUGCAACAGAGCCGCUUCAAACCCCUGUUACACCGUGGACCUAAAGCCUUCUCUUUCCUCUCUUAUUCUUUUGUGGCUGCGAUUGAUUUCAGUUUUAACCCCUAUUUAAAAAAAAGGUUCGUCUUCUUUAAAAAAAAAUCCUUUUAUUAAAUGUAGAGGCAACCCCCUUGGGUUUUCUUUAUUUUAUUUUCUUUUAUUUUGUUUUAUUUUAAAACUAUAGUUUCAUUUUAUUUGUAAAAGAGCUUUAUUUUAUUCUUUAAAUAAAAGAGGUUUUAUUUUAUUCUCUAAAAAGGUUUUAUUUUUAUUCGUUAAACGAAACUAUUUCUUAUAGUUGGGGUUAUUUUUUUUUAAAAAAAGGAGUAAAAGGCAUUUUUUAUUUUGUUAAAACAUUUUUUUGUGGUUGUUCUCUGUUUUUAUAAAAAAAGAAAACCAAAAGAGGGAGAGAGGAGGACCCCAGGCCCAAGGCCCAGCCGACCAAGGCCCAAGGCCUCCCCUCCAACCCUAGCGCCUCCUCUGCCCGAUCCCCUCGUCGUUCCCCCCGUGCGUUCAGCCUCCCCUCGUCCCUCUCCUCUCCUCCCGAUUCCCCCUCUGCCCNCGCCCGAGCCGCCUGUGCUCCUGCCCCUGCCGUCGGAGCCGCCAUGCCAUGGCCUCUCCCGUGUCCGCCCCCGCAGGAGCCCGACCCGCCGCUCGUCGGCCUCGUUCUGAGCACGCAGCCCCCGCCGGCUGCCUACUCUUGCUGGAGCGCCGCCCUGCCAUGGCCGACCUCCUCUUCCUCGUUGCGCCUCGCUGCACCGUUCCCCGCACUGCCCCCGUGCCGUCCUCGUCGCCCUGGCCAUGGCCCUCCUCGGCCCGAGGUCAUCCGCCGGUGCCCGACCUCCUCCUCCGGGUGCUCUCCCUCGCCGCGCCGCCGUGGCCUCGCCGUCCCAGCGCCCUUGGUCCCGCGCCGCCCCGCCGCCAUGCUGCUCUGCUGCUGCGCUGUGCCGGUUGGCUGUACUGUAUGUUUGCUGCCGAAGCGCUGCUUUCCGUUGCCGCUGCUACUUGCCUGCUGGCCUGUCGCUUUGUGAUGGUGAUGUGGCCGUGUGUUGCUGUCGGUGUGGCUGUGUUGCUGGCGCUGCUGCCUGCCAUUGCUUGCCUAUCACCAUGCUGGCUGCUGUUGCCGCGUGCUGCUGCUAGCAGAUGCUGGCUGUCGAUGCAUGUCGUUGCUGUUAGGUGUAGUUGCCCGAUGUCGCUUGCUUGCCUUGCUGCGUGCCGUUUUGCUAUUGCUCUCGCUUGUUGUAGAUGCUGUAGGUUGCUGCUAGAUGAUCGUGCCGGUUGCUGUGUGUUGCAUUGCCAUGCUAGAUAGCUGCUAGCGUUGCCUAGUGCUUGUUGUUGUUGCUUUGAUGCUUGCCGUUUUGCUGCUGCGGGUAGAUGCUGUAGCUGCUGUGUAGCCUGCCGAGCCGGUUGCUAGCUGUCGUGACAUGCUUGUUGUUGCCUGCUGCCGAGAGUUGUAGCUGCUGUUAGUGCUUGCUGUAGAUGCUUUGCAGUUGCUAGCUGUUCGCUGCUAGGCUUGCUGAUUGUUGUGUCGAUGCCUGCUGCCUAGUUGCUUGAUGCUGCUAGAUGUUGCCUUGCUAGCCGAUGAUGUAGCCUGUUGCUGCCAGAGUGUUGCUGCAAGCUGCUAGUCGCCGUUGUAGAUUGUUGUUGCUUGCCUUGCCGUAGCUUGUGUUAGUUGCUGCCGCCGGUGUUGCGUUUUGCUGUCGCCUUUCGGGGUUGCUACUGCAACAAAAGACCUUCCAACGGCGCCAGAAACAAGCGUGUUGACGGGAGACUAUUCUUGUCUUGAUACUCCUCAGCAACGGCGCCAGCAAUCCUUCUGCUACGGCUACGCCUUUAGGGACUUCCUUGGCAAAUAUGCAAAGGAUUCCCCCGUGGCCUUGGAGCCUUGCGUUGGUGUUCCCUCGAAGCAGAAAGGGUGAUGUAGCACAACGGCGACAAGUAUUUCUCUCAGUUUUGAGAACCAAGGUAUCGAUCCAGAGAAAGGAUUGCGUCAAGUCACAAGUACGUGCACAAACACAAAGAGCUUGCACCCAACGCUAUGAAGGGGUUGUCAAUCCCUUAUAGAUUGUUUGCAAAAUGAGAACUGAAAGCAACAAAGAAAACAAAGCAAAGUAAAAGUGAAAGUGGAGACGAUAGUUGUGAAUAGACCCGGGGGCUGUAGUGUUCACUAGUGGCUUCUCUCAUGAAAGCAAGUAGACGGUGGGUGAACGAAUUACUAUGGAGCAAUUGAUAGAACCGCGAAAGUCGUGACAUUAUCUAAGGCAAUGAUUAUAUCUAUAGGCAUCACGUCCAAAACAAGUAGACCGAUAUUUUCUACAUCUACUACUAUUACUCCACACGUCGACCGCUAUCCAGCAUGCAUCUAGUGUAUUAAGUCCAAAAGAACAGAGUAACGCCUUAAGCAAGAUGACAUGAUGUAGAUGGACAAUCUCAUAUCUACGAUAAAAGCCCAUCUUGUUACCCUUAAUGGCAACAACAUGAUGCGUGCCUUGCUGCCCCUUCUGUCACCGGGAAAGGUCACCACACGGUAUGAACCCAAAACCAAGCACUUCUCCCAUUGCAAUAAUCAUAGAUCUAGUUGGCCAAACAAAACCCAAGACUCGGAGAGACUUACAAGGAUAUCAAAUCAUGCAUAUAAGAAAUCAGCAAAGACUCAAAUAUAAUUCAUAGAUAAUGUGAUCACAAAUCCACAAUUCAUCGGAUCUCGACAAACACACCGCCAAAGAGGAUUACAUCGGAUAGAUCUCCAUGAAGAUCAUGGAGAACUUUGUAUUGAAGAUCCAAGAGAGAGAAGAAGCCAUCUAGCUACUAACUACGGACCCGUAUGUCUGAAGUGGACUACUCACGAGUCGUUGGAGAGGCGAUGAUGUUGAUGUAGAAGCCCUCCAACUCCAAAGUCCCCUCCGACAGGGCACCGGAAGGGUCUUCAGAUGAGAUCUCGCGGAAACGGAAGCUUGCGGCGGCGGAAAAGUGUUUUCGUGGAUGCCCUGAUUUUUUCUGGAUUUUUAGGGAAUUUAUAGGCCAAAGAGCUAGGGCAGGGAGCGCCAGGGAGGCCACAAGCAUGGUUGCCGCGGGCCCCCCCGGCUGCCGCAACAGGGAUUGUGGGCUCCCUGUGGGCCCCCUGCCUUGGCCCUGAAGCCUCCCGAUCUUCUUCCGUUCUGGAAAAUUUUAUUUCGGGGAUUUUAUUCCGUUUGGACUCCGUUCCAAAAUCAGAUCUGAAAAGAGUCCAAAACACAGAAAAAACAGGAACUCGCACUUGGCACUGAAUUAAUAAGUUAGUCCCAAAAAAAGAUAUAAAAGGUAAACAAAACAUCCAAAGUUGACAAGAUAACAACGUGAAACCAUCAAAAAUUAUAGAUACGUUUGAGACGUAUCAGGGACCGUCGCCGAAGUUCGCAAGCACCCUCCUCGCAACCGUGGACCCGACAAGAUCGCGUGUACAACUACAUCCUCGACGACCGCCGGAACGUGUUCCACUACCGUCACUGAAGACCCGUCUCCCGACGCCUAGUGCACGACUACCGACGAGAAGACGGUGUACCAACGCCAAGCGAACGACUACCGUCGACGAGACCUGAGUACCACGACGACAACGACUUCCACGACGUCCGCUACGAACCGAUCCGCUCCGAUAUGCACGCUUCGAAGGUAUAACGUUGGGACGUGUCGUGUAUCGAACACAUAUGUUGUAUGAGAUGUAACCGCAUGUUUGCGCCUAUAGUUAUUGUUCGUUGCACGUGUUCUUCUUUUGUUGUGCCCCCGACACAUGGGAACCCGAUAAACGGGAUCACCCCAUCAAUAUUUUGUUUGUCCCGCACACGCUUCCUAUACGUUGGCACGAUAUCUCGACGAGUUAUCGGGAUAGGAACGUUGCCGUGGCUUCGUUUCCGUCUUGCCGCCAUGGUUCCCUCUCGCUUGUCAUGGCGGCACAUGUUUCUUUCUCUUCUUGCCCGUGUUGUUGUAACUCGCAUGCAUGACGCAUUCAUGGCAUAAUUAUAUUGUGUUGCAUGUCUCUUGUGCCGUAGCUCCGUUCUAAGUCUCGCGUGCUAUCGACUAGGAUGACUUGUAGAAUCACUCGCUUCACCCCUUGCCAUGUUAACAACAAUUUAAUAUUGCCGUGUAAAUUAACGGGAGUGAACUAAAUAAUUAAUGUGGAGUUUCGUCGGUAUGCAACUCGUUGCAUAUCGAGCUUCACUUAAUGUGUAGUGUUUGCGUGAGGUGAAUUGUCAUGCCAUCCCUUGCAUCAUUGAACUGAUCAUGCAUCAUGUUGUGCAUCGUGUGGUGAAUAUUUGUGUUGAUGUUUGUUUCCGGUUUUCUCCGUCUUGAUAGAGUUCCGCAAGCGAGUCGGAAUGUGAGGACCCGUUCGACUACGUUGGUUCGCCGACUUCAUAGAGUCAUUCUUCUUCCAAGCAGGAUCUCAGGUAAGAUGAACAUUUCCACAGAUACCAUUACAAUCAUUGCCAUGCUAGUUUGAUCGCUUCUAUCGAUUAUGUCUCGUUGCCUACCAUAUGUUAAAUAUCAGCCUCUCAACAAUGCCAUGAUAACCUUCAACCUGUUCGACCUAGCAAACCACUGAUUGACUAUGUUACCGCUUGCUUAACCAUGUUGUUAGCGUUGCUAGUUGCAGGUGCAGUUGCUUUCAUGUGAUAACAUGGGUUCCUUGUCAUAUCACCAUAUUUAAAUGCUAUUUAAUUUAACGCACCUAUAUACUUGGUAAAAGGUGGAAGGCUCGGCCUUUCUAGCCUGGUGUUUUGUUCCACCUUUGUCCCCUUAGUUUCCGCUACCGGUGUUAUGUUCCAAAAUUGAGUGCUCCUAACACGAUCGGGGUUGUUAUGGAGACCCCUUGAUAAUUCGUUUUAGAUUAAAGUUGGUCUGGCAAGGCCCAACUUUGAUACUACAUUUGCCUAAUAACUAAUGAACUGCAUAGGGAGUAAUUAACCCGAGGAAAUUUAAUCAACCCCCGGCGAGUGCUCCUCAUGAGUGUUGGUCCAAAAUAGAGCAGCUUAUUAACGCUACCCGAGACAACUCGGAGUUUGGCGUGGUAACCAUCGCUCAUCCGUCGUGUCCUGAAAACGAGAUACGCGUCUCCUAUCGGGAUCGUCGACACGUCGGGCGGCCUUGCUGGAUUAGUUUCACCUUUGACAAAAUAUCUUGUGCAUCGGGAUUCCGGUGAUGCUUUGGGUAAUCUCAGAGUUAAGGUUUUCCCCUAGGGAAUCCGACGAGAUCGCGAGCUUCGUGAUUGAGGAUUUCUAUGCGGCUUGUGGUAAUUUGUAAUUCGUGACUGUCUCUUUCGUGAGUUCCUUCUCCGAUCGAGGACACGUGGGAUUAUGUCUGACGUAGGUAGGUGUUCAGAAUCAUUCAUUUGAUCAUCAGUAGUUCACGUCCGUUAUGCGUAGAUCACCCCCCUCUUUAUUCUUGUACUCGUAAGUUGGCCACCAUACAAUUAUGCUUAGCCGCUGCUGCAACCUCACCACUUAACCAUGCCUCACCUAAUAAGCUUUGCUAGUCUUGAUACCUUUGGAAAUGAGAUUGUUGAGUCCCCUGUGGCUCACAGAUUACUACAACACUAGUUGCAGGUACAUGUAAAGGUUACUCGACGCGAGCGCGUUGAUUGUUCAUUUGGAGUUGCUUCUUCUUCUUCUUCAUCAUCGAUCCAGGAUGGGUUCCAGGCCGACAGCCUGGGAUAGUAAGGAUGGACGUCGUUCUUCUUUUAUCGUUUGUUUUUGUUCGUAGUCGGACCCUGCUCUUCUUCAUGAUGUUGAUGUAUUGUAUGUAUGUGACUCUGAUGUAGCUUGUGACGAGUGUAAGCCAAUUCUAUAUAUAUAUCUCUUCUUUUCAGUACAUGUACUUGUAACGAUAUCCAUUCUUGCGACUCGACGAGAUGCACUUCUAUACCUGACGAGGCUCUCGUGCCAAAUUGAGGAUAGGGUCGCAUCUUGGAUGUGACACCAGUGUACUUCCACGGCUUCAAAACCUUCUCUCUAUAAUGAAUGUAUACUUUUUUUGUAUUACUCCCUUCGAUCCAUAUUAUACUUGAUUUACUUCUUUCCUAUAAAUUAUCCGAAUUCGUGGCCCUCACUUUCAUAUGAUACCAAAUCAAGGAGAGGAGCAAGUGGUAUUCGAAACGCCUAAUGAGUACUCAAGGUGCGGAGACCUUAACCCCAUCCGCAUCAACCUAGACCCAUCCUUGUCCCCUGCUUCAUCCCUUGUUCUCCAUUCUCUCUACCCGAAUCUCACCCCAGCUUGACAGCUGCCGCCUCGCCCCUCAACUCGACCAUCGUAGUGCAUCUUCCACAGUCAUAUGAAUCUUCUUUUUGACUGGGCUUCAACCGCUUUUCACUAAAAACUCAAUGGAAGUACAUCAGUCUUAGACAAAGGGGGAACCCACUACACCUACUCGUUGUCGAAACACAUGAUAUGGGGGAAAACGUAAUAACACCAAAAUACCUUACAUGAAUGAAAGAAUCCUAUUUAAAUCGACAAGAACUACAUGGACAUGUCGGGUCUGUUCGACAUGGACCCGCGAGGACCAAGGUCAUGUUGGCCGCUCCCGGUCCAAACAGUGAGAACAGAUCGCACCAAGCAAAAGGUUUGUAGCUCCUCCAACACGUUCAUGUUGUGCAUGUGCCCGCGCUUGCCCAGUUCGCCCCGAAGACCCACCCGGGGCGGAGGGGGCAAGUAAAAGCCAAAUAAAACCAAAGUAGAGUCAAACAAAAACCAUAUGAAGGGAUAUUAUUUUUGUAUUUCCUUUAAAGUAUUUUAUCGAAAAGAGAAGACAAACAUCCAAGAAAUACUACGAGAAUUUUUGUUGUUGUUUUUAAUUUUCUUAAAGAAGAAAAAUGCAAAGGAAGAACAAAGAUUUUUUUAUUUAUUUUCAAAGUUCAACCAAGAGGCAAUAAUAUACUCAACCAAAGAGAAAUUAAAAGGAAUAAAGAAAGAUUUUUAUUUUUAUUUUUUGAAAGCAGAGAGAAGAUCCAAAAAGAACCGCAUAAAGAACAAAGAGAAACAAUAAAAUAGUUUGGUAUAUUAUUUUCUUUGGAAAUAAAAGAACAAAAGGAUCAUAAGAACCAAUAGAAAGAAGAAAAAAAAUAAACAAACAAAGAAGAACGAGAUGUACUUUUGGAUUUUAUUUUUAUUUUUGAAGGAACAAACAAAUAUAUUAAGAACAACAGGAGUGAAUGUACAAAGAUACAACAUGAACGGACAAGUACUAUAAAAAGUAUAUGGUAACAUAGUCCCCUAAAUUGGCUAUAUUCCCAUCCUGGGUAGGCCAAAUUCACGGUUUUAACCCUUUUGCUAACUUUAGCCUGAUCUGGCCCGUUUGCGGGAAAAAAAAAUUAGAUCUGGCCUUUUUUCCUACCGCCACCCGCUGUAAUGAUAGGCAUGCACACCCUACCGCCACUAGGGGUCGGGUCAAUGCAGACGGUGCCGUUUGACCGCGCUGACCCGAUGACACUAUCUGCAUUGACCCGACCCCUACUGUCACAGAGAGUGGCGAUAGGGUGUGGAUGCCUACCGCCACAGCGGAUAGCGGUAGAAAAAAAAGGACCAGAUCCAAAAAAAAAAUCAUGAAUGAGGUCAGAUCGGGCUAAACUAUGUCAAAAAGAAAAACAGUGAAAUCGGCCUCCUGGGUAAUGUGGUACCCAAUCUAGCAUAGUCCAGUACUGCUCUACACCCUGCUCGGAUUGGAACUAUAUUUCCGCCACUACAUCUGCCUGGUUAUCAGGUUAUUUAUGCAAACCAUCACAGCUGGUGGUAGGAUAAUGAUUUUGUAUCAAAUUGUGUCAGGACACAAAAAAACCAUUGAAAUUGCGCCUAACCUGUAAGACGAAGCACUGGUGUUCUAAUUUGGUCGCGAAAACAACCAAACCGGCAAGUAGGACCCACCUAUCAGGCUGACAUGGCAUGCGUUGACGGACAUUGUUAGAUGGUCACACAUGGUCAUCUCGUACAACAUUUUUAGGUCUACCCCCCCUCCCCCCCCCACCCCCCAAUUCUCCUGAUUCUGUUUCAUUCUUGCGCUCCCCAUGGCCAUUCCAGCAUGCGACGACGACCAUGGACUUCACGGCGACAACGUGAGUGUCUAUGUGAACUCAAACACGUCAACUAAAUAGUAAGGAACUCUAUUUAAGCCAAAAAAUCAGUUUGAACUAAGGAGUGCCAUCAAAAAUUCAGUAAUUCAGCACAUGCAAUUGGCAACAACAUACCUUAACAGCACAUGCAAGAAACCUCCUGCCAGUAUCCAUGUAUUCAAACGCAACAAAAUUAAAAAAGUUGUAGACACACACAUCUCAAGUAUGUAGGGCAGUUUCUGAAUGCGUUAAAUCUAGGCACACAUUUCUCGCGAUGCUAUUUGUCUAUGAUUUAUGAUGAAAUGUACGAGUUGUAGCUUAGAAUACUCACAUGAUCCACUGAAUAAUAUGAUUCUUUCGAAUAAGUGAGAAACAAAACGAUUUAGUUAGCCUUUUUCUUUCAUCAAGUUUUGAUCUCUCACACCACAUGUGCCACAUGGUAAGAAUUAAGAUAGCCCUUCAUAUAUUUAGCCACAAAUCUGAUUGGCAAACUUUUUGUACAAUGUUUAAUGUAGUUUUGCCAAAAAAAACUGUUCUUUUUUUUUUGCAGGAAGAUGAAACCCAGUUGUAGCUUCAAAAUGUUAAUAGGAUGCGUCGAAUAAUGUAGGAACCCAAACAAUUUAUGUAGGCACUUCAACAAUCAAUGGCGAAUCUAUGAGGUGGGCGUUUCUUUUCCAAUGGUAAAUGUUCAAAUCCAUGUUAGUGCAUUGUAAUUAUCAAAAAGAAAAAUCGGUGACUGCCUUUGGCUUUCAUAUGUUCAAUUCAAUACAAGAAAAGAAACACUCUAUUUGUUUUCUAUUUUGGGGAGCAUUUUCCAUCUUGACUUGGAGAGGAGAAAUCAAGCACAUGUGUAUACAGCAAGGCUGCCUGCCUCGCGGGAGGCCGGCGAGAUCCGGCAGCUUUCCUCCUCCCCUAUGCUCCUCCGAUCGCCGCAUAUAAUCCUGCUGUGUACCCCUCUUUGUAAUAAAAUGUUCCAUUGCUUGUAGAAAAGUGAAUGGAUCAAACUGGGGUGAGAAUCGACCACAGUUACAACAUGGAGAAAUUAAUGAAGGCAUAUGUUACACCUCCUUCCCACAGUGGAGGGAGGGAUGGCAUACUUGUUUUCAGGUAUAGAUAUUGUCCUUCUCUGACCUAAGCCGCGACCAAGCCGUAUCACACUGCAACAUGUAGAAAAAGCCGCGACCAAACCAUAUCAGCGCAAAGAAAAGCUACAGCUGCAUGAACCAACUAUAAAUCACAAGACAAGCAUGCUCUCCGUCACGCCAGUCACGCAAGAUGACUUCUCUGGCAUUCGGGCUUCCGAUGGGUCAGGCUUGUGUAUCCGGAUGCCGCUCAAGAUAUAACCACCAAAUGCAUUCAUCUGCAUGUGUGGGUGGGUGCGCGAUGGAAGGACCUGCAUUCAGAGAAAAGAAAGGAAGAUUGAAAAAAGAAAAGGAAUCACAACUUUUUACAUGCGGAAGUAGUAAGCACUAAUCACAUAUCCUUUGUUGUAUUUCAAGCCUAAAUGACUAAUAGGCCUCAGGUGAUAGCAGACCGACCUUGUGUGUCAAACCAACAUGCAAUAAAAAUCUGUGCAUUCGAUUAUUAGUAUUGAGUAUGUUCCUCACAUCAUAAUGCUCAUCAGUUUAUUAGUAUUUAAGUAGAACGGCUCCCAAAAUUGCACAGUUAACAGCCACAUUUUCGAAGUUUAGGCUUCAGAUAGGUUUCUUAUAUUCCUUAUUACUGGCACGACACAUUAAUCAGGCUUAUAAAAGACAAGCAAGGUAAUAACUCAAACAAAACUCUGAAGUAUAAUUAUUUCCGGUGUAACAUCAUCAUUGCUAAUGUACUGACCUGAUACUCUCGGAGCCAGGGUUCAGUAAUCUGUAACCCAAUUGCCAUUUUCGACACUUGCAAACUAUGCAUGCAUGUCGCAAGAGGCUGCAUGUAGAUCCCAGAAAACAAAAGAUAAGUAACAGCAAAACCACACUUUGCAAAAGGAGCAAACAGAAAUAAGGAUGAAACAACACAGUCAAUUUAACACGUAAGUUGAUGGUUUUAGGCAAGCAACAGGAUAAUAAUUUUUAAAUAAAAUUCAACCUAGAAAGGUAAGCUCUCUGCAGAAAUGCCGUAAGCUACAUUUAAGUAAGAACUGUCAUGCUUGUGUGUCAACUGUAAAGGAUUAUGAUUUACCUGAAGAUAUUGGUGAUAGAUAGCAAAUGGGGCCGAGUAAGACAGGAGUGGAAGCAAAUCGGCAACCACACUUUCUACCUCAUGGCCCGGAGCAGCAACAAUCAAACUGUGUUGACAUAAAAUCAGUAUAUCAAUGCAAAUAUUUAGCCGCAUACUGCAGUUGUCUUCUACUGAUGGAGUAUAUUUCGCGUUACCUGCUAAACCCAUGUUUUCCCCAAUACUUCAUCCUCUCUGGUGAGGGUGCUUUUCCUGCUCUCGGCGCUUUGGGAGCUAUUGAAUUGCCAUUACUUCCUUUGCAAUCUGCAGAUCAAUAUAGCAUCAACAGUUGGAACACUGCGUUUUUGUGGAAAGUUCUUCAUAUUAGCUUGAUCGCUGCUUACCCAACAUAGAAAUGUCACCUUGAUUAAGGUGCUCAUCCGUUGCAGGCUCAGGGACCUCUAUAUCAAUUGGCUGCGCUGUUGUUGACUGCGCAUUCCCAUCUGAUACUGCUGUAUCAACUGGUUUUGCCGGGGACAACUGAAGAGCCUCAUCUGGUACAGCAGCAGUUUCGACCACAUCGCCUUGAAUGCUACCACUGAGGACUGAAGGAGCAUCGCCAGAACUUUGCAAGGAGCAAAGGUCACCAGAACUUUGCAAGGAGAAGAGGUCACCAAGUGGUGCCUGGAAAAUCCUGAAUGGAGUGUUUAUGAAAUUAUAAUUUCAACUCUUGAGCAUUAUAUGAAUUAUAUAUUGAAGUAUUGGACACUUGCUACUUCAAUUAUAAUUUCAACUGCUUCAUACAGUUCCAUUACAUAGGGAUAAAGUACUAGAUGUCAAUUCAGACAUAAUAGAAAAUGGUAAAAUGGUACUGCAUAUAUUAUAUGAAAUCGUAGAUAAUGUAAUUGCCAACAUUCUUAGUAUGCUCUUAUGGCCAGUUAAGGAUACACUGUAGUGUUACAGAUUAAUGUAUGGCACUAUGCUCCUGGUUGUAUUCCGAAGGUUCUCUAACAAAGGAGUAUCUCCUUAAAUGAGAACCCUCUGUAAAUGAGAAGCCAUGUAGUGCCAAAAAGUAGAUUUACCUGCUGGCCAUGUCGCUGCUCAAAUUAUACAUUCUUAUUAUAUCUAUGGAGCUGGGCGCUGAUCCAAGAUAUGUGCUGCAAACAUAUCCCGUGCCUAUAAUAGAAAUAACAGAGACAAUCAAUAAUGAGUGUAACUAACAUAUGCAUCAAAAUGGCAAUGCACAAACACAAGAAUCAGGUUUACUUUACACAUUUACAAAUAUUUACAAACACCUCGAGCUGGCAGUGGCAGAUCAGUCUAUAGCUUUUAUAUUCGUAGAGGUAUAUUGCAGUUUGGUGGAAACAAGCACGACUUGUGAGAAUUAGUGAUUACAUGCCAUAACAUUUUCUAUUGCACAUAUACCAAGUAAAAGAUUGAUAUGUAACAGCUUUCCACUGAAAUCAGGGUGAUUUUUCAACAAACAGCUAGGUUAAAAUAGUGUCUUUUGACAAAACAUAUUAAAUGGAGCACAAUCUCAAUCAAACUAAAUUCCAUUCGAUUGGUUAACACCAAAUAAUAUCCAGUGUCACAAGAGAAAGCAUAAUUCACCUCCUAAGCGUUCAGCUACAGCUCCAACAAUUAAACCCCCCACCAUAUCAACGGCAAGCACAUCUGAAUAUGCACCAACAUUUGCCAUAGACAACAAGAGGGAGAGCGCAUCAACUCGCAUAAACCUGGGGAACACAGAAAAGACAGCAUUAACUAAGUGCUAUAGCUAUGCACUUCUGUUGUUUCUAGACAACAAGAUCAAGAAAUUUACUAUGAUGAUGAUAAGGACAAAAAUAGAUUAGCUCUAGCAAGUAAUGAAAGGGAAAUAAUAAUUACCCUAUUCGAGCUGGGUACUUCUUGAAAUAUGUCUCACAAAUGCUGUAGCAUAAAAGGGAACAACAAUAUUAGAUAAUUUUGCACUAGGUCUAAUGAGCGAAAUAAAAAAGGCAAUUAUCUUUUCAAGUGCCAAGCACUUUGCAAAUAUGAGUUACAACAGAAUUAUUUCAAAAUUACACCAACUUUCCAGAUAGCUAAGUUGAAUCCAGUUCACUCGGUAAUCUUUCAAACCAAAAGCUGGAAAACUGACAUGUUCUAUUAAGAGAAAACAAAACUUACCCAGCCCCACCCAACAAACCUAAAAAAUUAAUUUGCACUGCGAAUUUUAUAAUGUGACAAGUUAUUUCUUGUUGUGAACACCCUAUACCACCACUUUCUAAUUAAACAGAGGAUACACGAAUAUUCAAAAGAACAGCACGAAUAUUACCCAGCCCCAUCCACUAGAAAGAGCAAAUCCGAAGAUUAUCUUUGUAUUCAAAACGAACAACUACAUAUGUGAUUGUCAUACUGUACAGCACCACAAGUUUGAUAGUAUACACUUUCAAAAGAUAUGUGACAUUUGUCCUGCUGCAAAAAGGGCAGCACAGGAUAUACCUUCUGGCAGAGGGGCGUCGCAAAAGCACUUUAGGUGCAUAUUUCUUUUGUUUCUUCAGUUUGUAUUUCUCCUGCAACCAAAACGGUUGAACUAAAUCAUCCCUCAGCAUCCUCCAGAACAGCAAGGAAUCAAACUAGACAGUAACAGGUAGUCUGAUGCUAACCUGUGAGAACACGGUCUUAUUUCCAAAUGUGGAGCUAUUCGCUAUCAAAGCCUCCACAAUCGCGUCGCCGCUCGCGCCCUCCCUAUUAAAACACGGAUCAGACAAAUACGCAUCCUACUCAACCAGGACACAGUGGAUCACGGUCGAACCCUCACCGCUUCAUCGCCUCGAUGUCCUCGCUCGACAGCGUCUGCGCCGUGUUAUUGUCAACCAGGGACCUAUUGUCCCUGGUCUCGUCCUGCGCCUGGCCGUCGGCGCCGCCGUCUCGCUGCUUAUCAUCUGUAUAUACCAAUGCCAGCCACUGUUAUUGCUAAGAUAAAAUUAGCAGAAUUUUGUUUUACAGAGCACAUUAAUGGGCCGGAGGAAAGAACAUUCUCAUGCUUGCUUGCCUUGAGACGGCGCGUCGGUGGCGGCGCAGGGGACGAGGCCGGAGGGCCCGACGCGGAAGAGGGAGCCGAAGGGGCGGCCGAGCAGCGGCUGCAGCGAGCAGCUCUUGUCCCCUAUCUUCACCGUCCUGCGCCACCGCACAACGGAGAGAUGUUUGUUAGCCCGGCCGCGCCAGCUAGGGUUUCGGAGCAGGAAGGUAAAGAGGGGAGGGGAGGGGAGGGUACGGACGCGGCGGGGGUGAGGCGGAAGAAGGCGAGGCGGUCGCCGUCGUUGAUGUCGAGGAGCACGCUGCAGCCCUCCCACGCCUCCCGCGCUAUCACCGGCGUCGGCGUCUGCGGCGGCGGCGGCGGCGGCGGCGCCAUUGGAGUCGCCGAGUUGGGGAGUUGGGGAGGGAGACAGAAGCAGAGGAGGGUUUAACCAGACCUGGCCAACGGGCCCUUAAACCGGCUGAAGGGUGCGCAAGUUGGGCCAGCCCAGGCGCGCGGGAACAGGUGACUCGCUUUUUGCUCUGUUGUUUAUAUUUUUUUGCUUUUUUUCUCUCGUUUAAAAUUGAAAUAUUUAUAAUAAAUAAAUGAAAAAACUCACUCUACAUAUUUUUUUUAAAAUGUUGACCAAGCAUUUGAAAAAUGUUACAUGAGUAUAGAUAAAAUAUUUAUCAUGUAUACGAAAAAUGUAUACAAAUAAAAUAAAAUGUGUGUGAAACAGCUUGAUCAUGUAUUUAAAAAAUGUUAAUCAAGCUUUAUUUUUGAACAAGUGUUUGAAAAAUGUUUAUUAAGUGAAAAUGUUAAAUGUGUAUAGAAAAAAUAUUGACCACGUAUUAACAUGAUGAAAAAAACAUUGAUAAUGUAUAUAAAAAUGUAAUAAAAUGUUGAACAAUAUUUGAAAAUGUUAAUCAAGGAUUUGAAAAUUGUUAAAAAUAUAUAGAAAAAAUAUUGACCAUGUACAAAAAAUGAUGAUUUUGUUAUCAUGUAUUAAAACAUUGCACAAAUCAUACAACAAAGUUGGUCCAAUGACUAUGGACUUGGAUGUGACACUGCUAAAUCUCAUCUAGAUGAGCUUUAGCAAACCCAAUGAAAAAAUCCAUAUGAUUUUGAUUUACUGUCCAUCCAUGGGAGUAGGGUGUCAAAACAUCGUCCUCGUGACAGAACCAUCUAUAUGCUCUAUUACUAGAUGUGCUACACAUUGUGGUAGCUUGUCUGACAUGCCUACAUGGCGCUUCGUGCAAGGAUGACGCUCCUGCUAGUGGCUCUCGCUGGGGCCGUCACCCCCCUGAUGACACCCAUGUAGGAGAUGUCGCGAGCCAUCUCGGAUGGCACGGGGGCGUUCCCUUAUGUUAACCCUCUCUAAUGGCACUAAGGAGGCGUUCUUGUGCAGGAUGGACAAAGUUAUGACUAUGUCUUAGAUAUGACAUCGCUAAUAAUCUCAUCUAGAUGAGACUUAGCAAAUCCGAUUUGGUUUUGCUAGAAAAAGCAAAUCCGGUUGGGUAAACCUAUGUGUCAAAAAAUCCAGAUUGCUUCGAUUCAUUUUCUUCACUGUUCAUGCGUGUAUUAUUAAAUGUGCUACACACUGUGUUAGCUUUGUGUGUAGAAAUCUACUCCCUCCGUCCCAUAAUAUAAAACAUUUUGACACUAUCAUAUAUUCCUACUACUCAUUUUCUUCACUGUUCAUGCGAGUACUUAGAGCAUCUCCAACAGGCGCGCAAAAAGCCCCGCGCGCGCUAAAAACGCCAGCUUACCGCGCGCGGGACUGAAAUGCGCGCUCCAGCGGCGGCGGGAAAACCACGCGCGCGAAAAGGCGGCAGCCCGCGCGCCAUUUUUGCGGCGCCGCGUCCCGCGCGCGCCAUAAAAGGCACCGCGCUGCCCUGCCUCUCGCGCCGCGUUCUCUCUUCUCUCCUCCUCUGCCGCUCGCGCCGCCGCCGCGUUCUCCCUGCCUCUCACGCCGCGCUCUCUCUCCCUUCUCGCGUCGCCGCCGCCGCCGACGAGCCACCAUGCCGCCGCGCCGCCGGUCUGCGUCGGGCUAUCGCGGCGUUCGCCAGCGCCCCAACGGCGGGUUCUACGCCGAGAUACGCUCCGGCGAUCUCCGACUGAGCCUCGACACGUACGACACGGCGCACGAGGCCGCCCGCGCGUUCGACGCGGCGGCGUGGCACCUAGGCAGGCCGCGACUGCAGAUGAACUUCCCCGACGUCCGCACGCUCCAGCAGGCAUUAGACCUGGCCCGCCGCCUCGUCUUAACUCUGCACAAGACCGUGCGGAGCACGCUGCGAUGCAGCGCCGCCUCCUCGUCGCCCAGGAGGACGAGCGGGUCAUGGCGGAGUGGCGCCGGCGCCACCCGGAAGACGUCGCCUACGAGCAGGAGUACUGGGAACGGCGUCGCGAGGAGGACACGCGCCGGCGCCACGAGGAGCGGUUGGAUAGACGUCGUCGGAAGGCUUUGGCGUGUGCGCAGGCCGACCUCGUCAAUGCAGGCGGGAGUUCCUUCUUCACUGAAGAAGAUGAACGAUGGUUUGACAUUUGGCUGUCAACCUCCGACGACACCGACGACGAUGGUGGUGCAGAUGACUGGAGCGACUAGGAUUAUUUUUUUUUAUCGAACUAUCUAGCACCGAACUAUCUAUCUAUGUUUUCGAACUACCUGUCUAGUUGCUAUCUAUGUAAAAUAACUUUGUAUCUUUUUUAUUUAAAUGCAAUUUAUUUAUUAAAAAAAAUUGUGCGCUCUGCUGGAGCGGAGCGCGCGCGCUGCAAACCAGCGCGGCUGCUGGAGCCAGCGCUGCGCGACGCGUAAAACCAGUCGUCCAACGCGCUGCAAACUUGUUUUUUAGGCGCGGCGCGAAGCGCGCCUGUUGGAGAUGCUCUUAUGAUAUGACAGUGUGCAUUGAGGGUGGGUGGCCUAAUUAAGGUCUCCCGGCCACUAAUAAUAAACAAACAAAAACGAAGAGCCCGUUGCAUGAUCCGUGGAUCAUGCAUGCAUGAUGCCCAAACGCAUGGCUAGAUCGUGCUUCUUCUUCUCCUUCAUCACAUUAUCAUGGAAGCUGAGUAUCCAGCUGCGGUUUAAUGCCAAGAUCGUCUAUCCACAAAGUCAAACAGAUCGCCAGGAGAGAAGCCACCAGCACGUGGUUCAGGCUCAGGCAAAUGCAAGGUUGCAGGUCGAUCGUGCACCGGCGAGACAUGAGAUGCCCGAUCCCUCCACCCGCGCGCAGAUCCGCAUCUUGCUUCGCUUUCGUGCUCGAUCGUGCAGCGCCGUGCUUGCCGUGCCCCUUUAUCAUCCCCCCGCCGGCGUUGCCGCACACUCACCCGACUGUGAACUCGCGCCGUGGCUGAGCAGUGGCAGCCACGCCGAGCGAGGUAGCUAGCUGACCUGCCUGCAUGGCGCUUCGUGCAAGGACGACGCUCCUGCUGGCGGCUCUCGCCGGCGCCGCCGCGGCCCUCCUGCUGCCGGGCGCCGUCGAGGCCCACGUGCUGCUCUCGCUCGACGACUUCGGCGCCGUCGGGGACGGCAUUGCCAACGACACCCACGUACGUACGCCAUGUCGCGAGCCAUGUCGGGCGGCGGCACCGGCACGGGGGCGUUCCCUUGAGGCUUGACCCUCUCUUUUGUUUCUUCAUCAGGCAUUGGUCGACGCGUGGAAGGCGGCGUGCGCCACCGGCGGACACACCUACCUCAACGUCCCCGUCGGCAAGUCCUACCAGAUCUGGCCCGUCACGCUCGCCGGCCCCUGCCGCGACGAGAUCAACCUCCUGGUAUUCUUCUUCUUCUUCCUCCCUCCUCCUACUCCUCUACCACAUCAGUCACAGACUCACAGCUAUUAAUUACUCCAACCUAAUAGUAAUGUGUGCGUCGUCAGAUUUCGGGGAACAUCAUCGCGCCGGAGAGCCCGGAAGAGUGGUCGGACGGCGACCAGGGCAGGUGGCUCCACUUCCGGGGCGUGGGCGACCUGUCGCUGAGCGGCGGCGGCAUCGUCGACGGGCGGGGCCAGCAAUGGUGGGCGGGGACCUGCGAGGACGAGAACUGCACCUCGCACCGCCAGCACGAGGUCGCACCCAUGGCGCUCCACUUCGAGGACUGCCGGGACGUCAGCGUGAAGGGCAUCACGGUGCAGAACGCCCAGCGGCAGCACCUGGCCUUCACCCGCUGCCACGGCGUCGAGGCCAGCUACCUCAGGGUGACCUCGCCGGAGCACAGCCCCGCCACCGUCGGCGUCCUCGUCGCCGGCUCCACCGACGUGCACAUCAAGCACGAUCUCUUCUCCGUAGGUACGUACGUUGCAUUGGUUGUCAACCAAAAUUUCUUCUGGCAGGCGAAAUUUUGCUGGCGUUUCUAACUGUUUGCCUGUCGUUUUUAUAUUAGGUGGUGACUGCGUGUCGAUCGUGGGCGACUCCUCGGAUAUCAAGCUGAAAGCCAUCUCGUGCGGACCUGGCCUCGGCAUAAGGUAAUUAACGUGCAAUCUUAACGAAUAAUACUUUGUCCGAUCCAUAUUACCUGUCGUUGAAAUGGAUGUAUAUAGACGAAACCUUCGUCAAAUCUUAAUCUGAAUGUUUCAUCUUCUUCUCCAUGGUCAGCAUUGGGGGCUUGAGCCAGAACCAAAGUGAUCACAGGAUACACAAGAUCAAGACGGACACUAUGUUCAUCGCCAACACCAAGAACGGCCUAAGCAUCUACGAGGUAAUAGCACCAUUUCCUUUCAUAAAAGAUGUUAUGUGAGGUGUGAGUGACAUCGUUUUCUUUUUCAUCAUCGUCAUCUUUCGUGCUGUGGUUUUGGCUUUCAUUAAUUCAUUCAGAACGGCCGCGGCUUCGUGCGCAAGGUGAAGUUCGAGCACGUCAUGAUGAGGAACGUGGCCAACCCCAUCAGCAUCGACCAGAACCGCUCCGCCUCCAACCGGGGAACUCGCCGUGGAACCCCGGUACGAUCAGCUCGCCGGCCGGUCGCCUUGUCUGAGUCCGACGAUGCAUUUCACGAUAUAAUUAACACCGUGCACGAUCUCUGAAUUUGUGUUGGGAUUGCCGUGCAGAACGGGAGCGCGGCGGCGGUGGAUAGGAUCAAGUACAUCGACAUCGCCGGCACGUCGGCGACGGAGCGGGCGGUGACGUUCGCGUGCAGCGACGCCAUGCCGUGCAGGCGCCUGUAUCUGGACGGGGUGAGCCUGAAGGCGGCCGGCGGGGGGAGCACGUCCGCCUACUGCUACCAGGCGUUCGGGAAGCACGCCGGGGACGUCCUCCCGGAGUCGUGCCUCGGCAAGGAGGACUUCGUCCAGCUGCAGGCCCCGGCCGCCGGCACGGGGGACGGAGAAGAUGAUGAUUGGUGAAGCUGCCUCCAAGAAUUGUGCCGCGCGUGGAACUGUAUGAGAUCUUGUAAUGUGAUCCAACGAGCUUUGUUCGUAAGUCUAGAGUUAUUGGCCAUGCACGACAAAUCAGUGCCGCUGUAUCACCAGAUAUGACAAUAACAAAUUAAAUAAAAAGUUAUUCUAUCAAGAAAAAGGCACGAAUUUUAUAUACAACUAGUAGAAUGUCCUUGCGUUGUCAUGAGCUUAUAAUUUUUUUCCAACUACACCUAUGAAUAUAUGUAUCAAAUUUCACAUGUAUAGAUGUUUCUAAAUAAUUGCCCAUGGACAUACUUAGUCUAGUGGUUCAAAAUCAAUUGUGUCUAAUAUAUAUCGUUAGCAUUUUUAUGUACAUCAAGUGAAAUUGUCGUAUUUUUGGGUAAGUGUCUCCUCCUUCACAUCAAGAACAAUUGUUGUUUUCUCGGGGUAUGUCGCUCUCUCCCUCCUCCUCAUGCCGCUUCUUUGUCUUCUUCUUCAAAGCUAACCAUCAUUAAUAAUGGAGCAUCCGACUCAAAUCGUCACAUCUUCCACACCCACACUUUAAAUUUUGAUUAUGUUUGACGACAUGGAUAAAUGGUGUUUAAUCAUAACACAUUACUUCUAUGUACAUGAAUUAAAGACAACUGACAUCUAAGACAGAAAUGAACAAGCAAAAAAAUUAGUACACAUAGAUACAUCUCUUUCUCUCUCCUUCCCUACCUCUCUCUCUCUUUGUGUAAGUUAAUCUUUCAAAUAAUGGUAUAUGAUCAAUUUCGCUUACUUGUGUUAAGAGCUUAGCCAAGUAGAAAUCUUAAACCCUUGUCUUCAUUCCAAUUUUAGAGUAACGAUCACAUCUUGAAUAACAAAAUUUUCAUGGAACAUAUGAUUCAAAACGCACAACAAGAACUAUCCAAGAGGUAAAUCGAGUUUGCCCACACAAGUUACAAAGAUGCUGCCUAUGGUAGAAAAAAUCGAAUGAUGGUAUCAAAAGGAACUCGCUUGCGGCGUGGGAUUUAGUCUGUCGACCUAAGGAUAGGGGCGGUUUGGGUGUGAUAAACCUUAAGGUGCAGAACCAAGGUUUGCUGCUCAAACAAUUGCACAAAUUUUACAACAAGGCCGAGAUGUCAUGUGUGCACCUAAUCUGAUGUGUACUAACAAGAUUCCCCAUGCUUUUGAUCGGUGUGGGUCCUAUUGGUGGUGAGACCUUCUGUAUCUAUUUAAUGUUUUUAGGGAAGUGUCACGAAAUAGGUUUUUGUCCCGUUUUAUAGAUACCAUGUUAGAAAAGUAACUUAUCUUUAUUGAAGGUCCAAGGGACAUAUAUAUUACACAAGGCUUGAGUUGCAAAAAAAGUAAACAUAGACUAAGAGUAAGUACAAUAGAGUUGAGUCAGCUGGCUAUAAGAAAUAAAGUAGUAUAUUUUUUGCUUAGUUGAAGGAGAGAGAAGGUAAGCGGACUCUUAUGCCUACUAACAAGAGGCGAGGAGAAACAAAUCGAUCGAAUUCGCCACGAAUCAGUCGGGAUCUUGCUCCAUCUCCAGCUCCGGCCGUCGUCGUUCGUCGUCGAUUCCUUCGCCGUUGCUGCUUCUCCGGCCUCCCCGACCUCGGUAUCGAGCUCUACAUGAGUGCGCGCACCUAUUCCCUCUGUCCCCGCUUCCGAUUACGGCCUAGAGCCUUCGAUAGCCGAUGCCAUGGUCACCACCUCGCCGUCGCUGCUGGCCGGUCCGGCCCGGGCUUUUGCCUCGCCGGUGCGGUCCCUGAAAAGAGGACCGCCAACCUGCUCAGUCCGAUCCGGACCGGACCGCCGGCGGCCGGUCCAAACGUCGGUUCGGACCGGGACCGGACCGGACCGGACCGUGUCCACCCCUAGCAGCAAAGAUGAGCUAGAACAGGUGUCGGCGCUACCUAGUGUGAUGGUCUUUGGUUUGUAGGAACUCUGUGAGGUCCUGGGCCUCCCAGUCGGGUCCCAGGGCCUGGCGUAAGAAUUCCCACAUGGCCCUUGCCGCCAUGCAAGUAAAAAAUAAUGUGGGUCGUUGACUCCGGGAUCACGCAUAAGAGGCCCAUGUCAUCACCCGACAUAUGCGCACCUCUAUCCCCGAGGGAAGGCAAUUGCGGAGUAACUGCCACACAAAGAUUUUGAUCUUGAGAGGAAGAGGGGCCUUCCACAAUGGCUUGAGCCAAUGUAUGAUAGGGGCUCGAUAGAGGGCUUGAUGUGCCGAACUCACCAUAAAAUCCAUAGCAGCAAAGUUGGAUGCCCUGUUUCCGGGUCCAUGAUGUCCAUGUGGUAACUUGCGCUGAUGUCCAGUUGAACAAACUUGAGACAGCCAUUGAUGAAGGCAAUGCCUCGGCAAUCCAUUGCACGGCCUAAACGAUCACCGCGGAUGAUCUGUUCCAUCGGCAGCGGCAACGGUUAUUCCUCUGAGAGUUGGCUUCUCACGCAGCACAUCGCAGAGCAGGAUGCCUCGCCAGAGAUCGACCCAGCCCAUGGUGCCUUAUUUACCACCGAUUUCGAUGACGCUGGAAGUACUAUGGUAGUACAGUAGAAAAGAUCCGUGUUAGUGGGGAUGACGCAAUCGAAGCACCAUGGAGGUCCAGCUGGAUGUCUCGGAGAGCUCGAACUUGUGGAAGCUGCAGAGAGGACAAGGAACCAGCGCAGCGAUGGUGUAGUGGUGGAGACCACGGGGAAGAAGACCAACCUCAGUGUCUUCGAAGCUGAGCACUCGCAAACCGGGGGUCAGCAUGGUAGAUGAGAUAGUCGCAAUCCAUCCGGCCGCGUCGAGAAACGGCUGUCUGGGACACGAUCGGAGAUUGUCGACCCGGAAGAGGAUCAGGUCGCCGGCGAUGCAGAGGAGACAGGGGGUGCCGACGUGCACGGCCUCCGGGCAGUGCACCCACAGCUUGGAUGGUUGAGGCUGGUGGUUGGGGGGCAAAGGACGCCUUGAUGCUCAGGACCUCUCGUUGGACCGGUCGCCGGCGAAGCCUUCCGCGGCAGCGAGGAACCACGCAGGGUGGCCGGCCUUGGUUGACGUACGGAUUGUGCAGGGCAAGGGGGCGGAUCUAACAAUGCUCCAUCGAGGAAGGUCCGUCUGCUGAUGGCGGCUGGGACGAGGGAGGGGAAAGGGCAAUCUAUAUUUCUAUCGGCUUUGUUAAAAAUCAGUCGACUGUCGUCAAGUCUUAAUCGAUACUUUAAUCCGUUGAUUUUGCAUUGAGAUUCGUGUAGAUAUUAUUUUUUCAGUUUUUUUCUUCUUGCAUAUUACACUACUUGACCAAAGUCUCAGUCGACUGAGACCUAGACAAACUUUCUAUAUCUAGUAGUUUUUUUUAGAAAAACUCGCCAAGCUUUAUUCCAGAGAAAGUUCGGUCAUGGGGAUUAUCCAACCAUAAGUGUCGACCUAGCCUACAUUACAAGAGAACUUAGCAAGUUUAUGAACCUCAUGCUUAAAAUUUCUACAUUCAUGAGUAAAAAAACACGUCUGAAAAAUACUACUACGCCCUACUAUUUCAUGAAUAAUGGUCCCAUGGGGUCCUCCCGUUCCCUUGGUAAUAUCAUUGACGACUUCUUAACAGUCGAAGCGACUAAAAAACUUUGUAUGUUAAGGUCUUUUACAAGAGCUAGAGCCUCUCUCCAAGCCAGUGUCUCAAGCACCACCGAAUCCGUUACUCCCUGGACCACCACCACAGACGACCCAAGAAAAGAACCCUGAUUGUCUCGACAGACUGCUGCAACUGUUCUUUUUUUUUCCUGUCUAGCAACUGCUCCAUCUACAUUGAUUUUCAAGCAGAUCUGAGGCGGAGGUAACCAUCUAGCUAAGAUCACCAGCUCGGGACCUCCUAUCCAAGACCCGCCGGUUUUAGCACCCAUAUUGGUGGUCCAUACAGAUCCCCCUACGUGAUCACAAAAGCUCGAUGGAGGCAUCGAUUGUCGAUCAUAUCCACGACGAUGUGCCCCUCACAUCAUGACCUUGAGUAGGAGCUCGUUCUGGUUGGGGAAGGGACGUGCGGUGUUGCCUACGAGAUGAUCAUGACUGGCAAUGGAAGGGCCAUGGAGCUUGACCAACGACAAUGGCUCACAACAAAGCAUAAAGUGAUGUAGCAUUGGGAUGAAACGUAGCUCCGGCGUGCGCGCUCGAGCGGCUAUGGUCAUUUAUCACGAGCGGACAUGGAAAGGUGAAAAAAGAAGGAGGAAGAGGAAGAAGAUACGUCAAAAGAAAAACAGACAUCUUGAGAAGACAAGGCUACAUAAAUGAUCGACACACGACUUAUAGAUCCGUAACACGUAUUCUGUUGCGAUCUUACAACACGACCAAUGUUGCGAAACACGUGUGCGGCGUGAAGUGUGUUGUGCACCGCACAAUCAGAUGGAAACAUUUUCCCAAGAAAAAAAAUAUAUCAAUUUCUAUUUUGGGUGAGUAUAAUUCUCCCUCUUGACUUUUUUUUUAAUAACAAAUUCUCCCUCUUGACUUGGGAGAGGAGAAAGCAAACAUGAGCACGUGCGUAUACACCCCCACGCCGCCUGCCCCGCGGUGGGAGGCCACCGAGAUCCGGCACCUCCCCACCCCCCUUCCCCUUCCUCCCCGCACCGGCCGGCCGCCGCGAUGCUCCUCCGGUCGCCGCCGCGGCGCCUCCACCUGCUCCGGCCGCGCCACCUGCGCGUCCUCUCCAACGCGGCCGCGGCGCUCGCGGCCCCGCCCCCCGCCCCGACCGAGUGGACGGAGGCGCCCGUCGCGUCGGUGCGGGCGGCCACGGCCGACGCCUCCCUCUUCCACGUCUCCCUCGACCUCUCCGCCCACGGGCCCCUCCUCGCCUCCCACGUCGCCGCCGGCCAGUUCCUCCCCUUCCGCCUCCCAUCCGCGCCCUACCCCAUCUUCCUCGCCAUCUCCUCCCCUCCCCCGGCCUCCUCCGCCGCGUCCCCGCCCAGAUCGUUCGACUUCCUCGUCAAGCGCCUCCCCGGCACCCCCUCCGCGCGCCUCUGCGACCUCCGCCCCGGCGACCUCGUCCCCGUUGGGGGCAGCGUCGUCGGCCAAGGGUUCGAGGUCCGCAGGAUCGCCCACGCCCGCGACGUCCUCGUCUUCGCCACCGGAUCCGGGAUCAGGUGGGUGCCUCACUAACUAACUGCCCCUCUGCUUCUGCUCUGUACAUUUAUUCGUUGGCUUCUACCGAUCAACGGAAUCUGACAAGCCCGCGUCAAUUAUAUUGCGAGAUACACCCCAAUUGUUCUAGAUUGCAAUUCUUAAUAUGAUGAUUGGGAUGCUUGGUAACCGCAGAAUCUGUUUUAGACUGCCACAUUUCCCAUGCCGUGUACUCUGUAGUUGAUUGGUGAUGACCUCUCCUGGAAUUUCCUGGCACUUUGACUGGAUGAGCAUACAUGGAUAGUUUUACCUAAUUUGUUGAGUUGGGAUGUUGGUACAUCUAGAAUUCUGCUCUCCACAUUUUUCCCAAGCUAUCCUUGGUCCGAUUCCAUUAUCACUGAUAAUGGAACAAAUAGCAGCAUCCAGUGCAAAAGCUAAGCUAAACUAGAGGUUUAAAGGCCGCUCUAUAGCUGGCCCGAAAAGUGUAAACAGCUGCAUCACACUUCCUAUAUACAGACAGCACUUAGAGCUGCUGCCCAUGAAUCGACACAUGAUCCCAAAACCAACUUCAAACGAGAACAAAACAGACCAGUCCAAAUCAACACUAAAUCACUAAAGUAUUCGUUCACCGAUAUCAGCAUGAGGUUCUUCAUCUCCAUUGGUGAUGCGCAGCGUCACGGGUCCAGCCUUCUGCUCUCUACAUAUGUUGCAUCCAUGUCAACACACCAAUCCACCCUCAGAUUAAGCAACAUUAUUGCCAUGUCAAAUGUAUCAGUGAUGUUGAAAGUGCAUUUUGAGAAGAUAUAUUUCAUUGUUGUAUGUAAGUCUGCUCACAUCAUCAUCAUUUUUAUAUUUCUGUGUCGCAGUCCAAUCCGGUCACUCAUUGAGUCAGGUUUUGGCGAAAGUGAGAAGAUUGAUGUAAGCCUCUUUUACGGGGUUAGAAACCUUCAAAGGAUGGCUUAUCAGGUAGAUGUUAGUCUAAAGUUACAUUUUACAAGUACAAUCUUCUUUAUGUAACGGCUGGAGACUUGCUCUUACAGGAAAGGUUCAGUGACUGGGAAUCGAGAGGAAUACAAAUUAUACCUGUUCUCUCUAGACCAGAUGAUCAAUGGACUGGUCAGCGAGGCUAUGUUCAGGUACCGUUACCAUUUUUCCUUUUUGGCUGUUCUUAGCUCACCAGGUUCCCUUGUAUUCUUAUUUAUUUUGCAUUUUCAGAAUGCCUUUUCAAGGGAAAAGAAGGUUAUAAAUCCAUCAUCGACGGGAGCGAUUUUGUGUGGACAUAAACAGAUGACUGAGGUAUAUAUUCUCAUUUCUAACUUUUGUAGCUAAUGAUACAAGUCAAACUGAUCUUCGUUCAAUUGUCUCAAUGCUUUCUGUGCGUUAGAUGUUGCAUGUGUUCUGUUAUUUAGACAUCCGUACAUCAUAAACAUACCCUUCUGGCAACUUUGUGGUCAGUUUAAACUUUCUCAAGAUGAACCUACUUAUAAAAUAUAGACACCAGUGUGCCAUUGCCUUUUGUGGGCCAUAUCCUUACUGCUCUGGAUUUGUUGUUAAUAAUACUCUUAUCUUUGAGGCCACAUUCAUAGGCUAACAGAGUACCAGUACAAAUUUUCUGCCCAGACGUAGCAAUUGACCGUACAAAUAGAGUAAGAAUUAAAGACAGCUUUGAAACUGAAGCCUGUAUUAUUGCCGACUGUUGCCAUUGAAGAGUAGUACUCCAUUUCUCUACUUCUGAAAUUGGUGGCUUGUUUCUAUACUCAUAGGCUCAUCUUCGUCUAUGUUAAAUAUUUGCAGGAAAUUACUAGAGCUCUUAUUGCUGAUGGUAUGUCCAAAGAUAAAAUCUUAACAAACUUCUGAGUUCCACUGGAGCACGUUUCUUGCCCUUUUGGCUGUUGUACACUUACCACCACAAUCUGGUGGCUGUUCUUUACAGCAAAUGCGAUGCGACUUAGAUCGUGAAAAAGAUACUGGUACGUACUAACAAAUAAGGGCAACACAUUUUCCUUCGCGCCGCGAGUUGCCUAUCAACCAUUGGAUGUUGAUAUCCUGAUAUAUUAAUCUCAAGCAAGAAGAAAAUGAUUGGUGGUACCCUCAGACAGUAUUCCCCUGGAAGGUGCUGAUGCACUCGAAAAGCCCCCUUCCAGAAUAGUAAAAGGGGGCGCAAAAGGGGACAUAGGUUGUAAGUUGGUAAAAUCAUCUUUUAGUUUGUAUGCCUUUGGAUAUAAUCGGCUGCAAGUGUUUCUGCCGCGAAAUUUUGGUAUGCUUGAAGGUUGUAAUAUUUUUUGAAUUGCCUGGAUGCAUGUGGAGCCUGUUCUCCCAACUGACUGUGUGUAACUGCUUUCUCGACUGACAACAAAAAAAAAAUACAUGAAAGAGGGGUUUGUUCUUAGACCCAACUGAAGUUAUCCGUCUGCUAUAUCUUGGAUGUGAUCAAAGAUAGUUGUGCAGUUGUGUUCCUGUCAUGUUUGUUUAUGUUGAUACUAUGUUGAGCAGCCAAGGCCCAACAUAUGCACCCUUUCAAGGCUUUUGUGCAGACCAACUCUACACAUUCUGCUGAGUGGAAUUUAGAUCAAAUAGUCCUGCAGCAUUCCAGGUGGUCUAAACUCCCCUUGAAGGUCAGGGCAAUUGCAUUGCAGGAGUACACAAGUUUGGUCACGUUCACUUGGUUUAGACCGUUUUUCGAACUUUAUGUGCGGUUUUUGGUGUGUGUUUAUGUGUUGGUUUUUCUGUUGGUUUUCUAUACUAUGUGUUUCUUAACCAGUUUAUUCUUUCUUUUUUUAAUUUUUAAAAAAUACAUGCUAAUUUUUUAUUCUGUUUUUCUAAUUUUUACAAAAUACUCCCUCCGUCCCAAAAUUCUUGUCUUAGCUUUGUUUAGAAAUGAAUGUAUCUAAAUACUAAAACUUGACUAGAUACAUUCAUAUCUAAACAAAUCUAAGACAAGAAUUUUGGGAUGGAGGGAGUACAUGACUAUUUUUUCAAUACAUGUUGUAAAUUUUUCAUAUACAUAUGGACUAUUAUUUUGAUACAUGUUGAACAGCUUUUAAUUACAUGAUGAAUAUUUUUAACAUAUUUAAUACUCCCUCUGUAAACUAAUACAAGAUCGUUUAGUCACUCAGGUAGUGAUUAAAAGAUGUUAUAUUACUUUAUGGAGGGCAUGCAUGUCACUCGUUGAACAAAUUUUUGACUGAUAUGCAACUUAUUUUGGACUACACGUACAGUUUUGGAUAUUACAAGAAAAUGUUUGACUGUAUAAUUGUUUUUCUAAAUAUCACGUAUAUUUUUCAAAUAUUACAAGAAAAUGUUUUUUGAAUUACAUGAACAUUGUGUGAAUUCUAUAAACUGUUUCGUAAAAUCCAUGAACAUUUUCAAAUUUAACAAAGAUUUAUUGAAAGCCAUCAAUGUUUAAAAACAAUGCUUAAAUAAAUUUUUUACACCAUGAAUUAAAAAAAGUUAAUGAAAGUCGAAAUGUAUGUUUUUGCAAUGUUUUAGAAAAUAUAAACAAAGUAAGAAAAAACGUAACUAAUGAAGAAGCAGAGAAGGGGAGCUCCUACCUGCGCCUUUUGCGGCAGGGAGUCCCUCGGUCGCACAGGGAGGUCGCCCGACUGAGCUGGCCCAGUUCCUUUUUUUUAUUUCUUUUUUUCCUUUUGUGCUUAUUUCCUUUUUUUUUUAAUUUCUUGGUACAUUUUUCUUUCUUUUUUCGGUUUAUCAUUUGUUUAUGAAAACGAAUUAAAGUUGAAUUUCCCAAUCAUUUUCUAAAAACAUGAACAUUUUCAAAACUAAGAACAAAUUUUAAAUUUUUUGAACAAUUUUUUAAAUAUUGUUCAAAUGUUUUUAAAUUAUAUUUUUUUUGAAAAUUAUGAACAUUGUUUGAAAAUCCGGAAUAUUUUCUAAAAAACGUUUCUCGAAUUUUAGGAACUUUUUUUGAAAAAAACUGAACAUUUUUGUUUCGGCUCUACAGGUCGCAUACGAUCUCGGAUUAAGACGAUUUUUAUAUCAAAAUCAACCGUUUCAACGAGACGAAGAUUUAUCAUGUUGGUAUCUUUUUCAUUUAAGAUCAACUUAAUCACAUUUUACGCCCCUGACACUCUUCGGCCUCCUGGAGGCCGACGGCCCCUCUUGGCCAACCCCAGGCUGACAUGUGGCUCUUCCCGACACCCGCAGGCCGACAGGCCCCCAUCGGCCACCCAGAGGCCUACAGGUCCCCCGUCGCCUGUCGGCCACCCACAGGCCGACCGGGUGGUACUUUUGACAUUUUUAGAAACGUUACCAUUCAUUUCGAAUUUAUUAUAAAUUUGGUGCUAGUUUUGAAAAAAAAAGCAAUCACAUUCCUAUAAGGUGUGCCAAAAACAAAAUCAGUGCUCCAAAAUGCCUUUUAAAAGUCGCAUUUUUAGAGCAACUAGAUUUUUUUUUUGCCAUGCCAUCUCGGAAUGUGAUUCCAUGGAGUUUUUUUUGCAAGCACUUAAAACUUUUGUAAAUGUUUGUUACAAAAAAAAUCAUAUUUUUCUAAUUUGUUUUGAUUUUAGUGUUCACUCGAACUCAUUUGAGCUUGGGUUGAGAAACUUUGCAUCCCGAUGGCGCAUGCAAUGGCUUUACCUCUCUUCCCACCUUCUUGUAGAAUGCAAGGGCCUUUGUGAGGUCAUGCUCGUAGAGCACGGCGUUGAUUUCCCCCUCCCGCCGACGGCACUGCAACUUCUCUUCCUCCUCCCGCGCAUUGCGCGCGAGAAUGGCAACCUCGAUGGCGUCCGCCUUCGUCGGGGGGAGGAAGUCCUCCGGCCCGAUGACGCCACCACCGCGCCGCUAAAGCUUCCUACUCCCUUUUUACCGCACCGAGUGGGGGGAGCUCAUUCGGCUCCCUUUUCAUUGGGGUGAGCGACGAGCGGGAGCUCGACGCCCCAAAGGAGCUGCCUGUGCCAGAGAAGAGCCGCCCGCGCACGGUUGUAUUCCUCCGUCUCGUGAUGGAGGAGCGACGGCGGCGGCUGAAGCACGUGAUUCUUGUACUGCAGGGCGGAGUGCUUCUGAGCCGCGUCGGCUUUGACGCAACACCUCCGAUCAGGGUCGUCGUCGCCGCGCCAACCGGAGCUCCACAUCUCGCGGAUCGGUGAGCUAGGCUGCGGAUUUUGGCCACCGACGGUGAGAAAUGGAGGUAAGAAAUGGGGAAUCGCGACGACAGAGGGAUNUUUUAUUGGCCGGCCCGAGUAUACGAGUUCUGGUCUGACCAAGAAAUUGGGCCAAACCGGUAUACUCGUCGGAAUUUUAUGGGCGCGAGCUUUUAUGGGGUCUAUUACAAUUGCUUUUAGAGCUCACAUCUGAAAAUUGACAUCUGAGCACCCACAUUGUGUUUGUUUUUUUGAAGUGUAACAAAAAUAGAUUUUACGGCUUGAUUUUUUUUAAAUUUUUGUGUCCAAUCAGGUAUAGCAAAUUAACAAUGCAGUAUAAGGGGCCAAAAUUUUAGCAAUACACGUGCCUGCAUGUGAAGGAUAAAAAAGACAAAAUAUAUGCAAAUUAGGAGUUUUUAUUUGUUGUUUUGGGGCGAAAAUUCAUUUUUGUACGCAGCACGUAAUACACCGAAUUAUUGAAUGAAAUUUCACAAGUACUUAGACCACAUGCCUACAUAUUCAUAUAGUAAUAUCUUUCUUUUUUCAGAGAUUUUCUAAGCACCUUUCUUGCGGUGGAGUUGGCUAUGGCCUAGGACUCGUGCUCGAGGGGACCAUACUGGGCCCAAGGCGGGUCAUGGACGCCGUCUCUGGUAGGCGAGCUUGGGCUUGGUCUGGAUGAUGUUCGUGGGCGCAGAGGUUUUCCUCCUUGUGAGCAGAGUGGGCAGUGGUGGGGGCAUGGACGAUUUUAGGAGGGACGAGGGAGGCGAAAUCCUCCUAACAAAUUGAUUCUUUUACUAUAAUUAUGGUUGUUGCAGUAAAAAAAAUCUUACUUCAUAUGAACUUUGCCUACUUCAUGAACACACUUGCCCCCUAUGCAUAAAUGCUGGCUCCAUCCCUUGAUGGGGGUCGUGACAUGGCUAUAUACACUGAUGGAUGGAUCGGCGUCGAUGAACACAAAGAUGGCGUCCUGUGAGCUCUCUUGUGCCAAGGCCACCAAGCUAUAUGUCUAGGGCUUGCUCGACCACGGCCCUUGGCAGUCACUGGAUCAUGUCCUCCUCUGGUUGACCAUGAUAGGUUGGGCACAAAUGAGUGGGCGUUUUCUACCGUGGAGGUGCUGACCCAGACUUGGUGGCUGAUGCCUGGCUAGGAGUGGAUGGAGGUGUCUCUGCUCUUCUUACCAUGGUUGGUGCGCUGUGAAGUGGGCGAUUGACGUUGUUUCAAGCUUUGGACAACGAGGCAGCGACCCCGGCCGGAUGGUGGUUCGCAUGGUUCAUACACUAUGGUCGAUCUGGCAUGCUCGGCGGAAGGCACUACAUGAACAGAUUUUCCACGGCUCAAUUGCUACAUAUAAUUUUGUGAUGAGUUGCAUCGGAGAACUUAGCGAAUGCAAGCCGAAGAGCCAUCAUACAUUAUCUACAGAGCCCCCUAGGUGUCCAAUGCUUUUGUUCAAAUAUUUAUUCUUAAUUAUCGAGCUAACCCUUCGAUGCGGUAAAGGCCUGCAGUUGGACAACCGGUUCUUGGUACAAGUCGCGUAUCGGUCAAGACGUACUUCGGACACAUUUCCAUAUCAUCAUGUCACAAGAGAUUAUAACAGUUAUUAUCUUCCGGAGCACAAUUUAGUAUUGCGAUAAUCACAAGCACAAACAUAAUGUUGUAAGUGUAAGAACUCAUAGACAUGCCAGUUUUUAGUACUAGUGUUUACUCCUCUAAUGUUAACUAUCUGGUUUAAAAACUGGAAUCAAGUCAUAUAGCAAGAACUUGUGAGAGCCUUUGUCGUAGUCCAUAUCCUCUCGUGGUUCAAUAACCCACGGCCACUCCUUCGGGAAAAGGUCGGCAGGGAACCUUUCUGCCAUCCGAACCCGAUCUUAAAGCGGCAUCAACGAGGUUCUAUAGCUUGACCAAGUUGAUCACGUCGCCAUUCUUCGUGGCAUGCUCCACCGUCACCUAAUCGUUCGUAAACACAAUAUUAGUACCGCCGUACUCGAAGGACCCCGGGCUACUCGUAAAUGAUUGGCGCCGUGGUGGAGUGGUAGAGGUCCAUGAGAACCUGCAGAUUUUCGGUUUUCCCCAUGCAUGGUGCGCAUGAUCUUUACUUGUCUCCUCAUGGAGAGAUCACAUUGUCUUACUAUUUAGGGCACUCUGAAUGCUUGUCUCCCAGGACAAUUUCAUAGGAAAAAAGUUGAGGUGUCAUAGUAACUAAAGUGGAUAUAGAGGGGAGCUGCAAGUUAGUGGAGAUGCAACUCUUAGCUCAUUCCCGUAUGCAUAGUAAUUAAGGCUCUGAUCUGCUGUGGCUUCUCUCCCUGCGUUUCUCUGCAUCCUUUCUCCUUCAAAUUAGACCACAGUGUUGAGAUGCAAACAUGAUCACUGAACUUACUAAAUGCAACACAUUUAGAUACAUGACCUAAGAGGUAAUACAUUGGAAUGGUACACCACCUAAGGUAUCGCGUUAAGAUGCAACGUAUUGGGAGCGCACUUAGGCGCGCAUAACCAAUAGCCAUUACCACCGUGCAUGCACGACUCCAAUGCAAAUCUCAAAGUGUCAGAUCAAGACUCGAUUGGGGCUACUACACGGUCAAGGUGUCGUUUUUCUAGCUUUAAUGCGGGUUGGUGGAGGUGAUGGCAUGUGACCCCGCGUCGUCCCUAGGUCGGCUCGGGGAAUCCAUACCAGUGUUUUAAAUUGCCGGCUAUUAUCAGCUAUAGCUGCCGCUAUUGCUGUUUCUGCAGUGUUCAGCUAUUUUGCUUUCCUUUACAAUCUUACCGCUAUAGCCUCAAAUAACCCAGCUAUAGCCCCAAAUAGCUCAACGAAAAAGCCAGGAGCUAAAUCCAAUAGCCGGCAAUUUAAAACCUUGAUCCAUACCUGCUUCGCCAUCGUCCCCCUUCAGCAUGGCUCCCCCUCCCGCUGCUCGUGGCUGCCUCAGCACGACGGCCUCUCGAGGUGUCAGAUUUGGCCGCGGUGGGCUCGGCCCGAUCUGGCCCGACGGCUCCGGUCGGCGAUGAGGUGGGUGGUCCUACGUGGUGAUGACACCGUUGCCGUGUAUGAGGUUCUUGGGCUAGUGGAUUCACAGGCUGGGGGCGCGGGGGUUCCCCGUCUUCGUUUAGCAGCAUGAGGGUGUGGAGGUACGGUUGCAUCGGGCGAUAGCCAAUGGCUCAGCGGCUGCGGAUGUCGUUCUCCUCCUAGGGGCCGUCAUGGAGCUCUCCGGCCUCUUUCGCCCUUGGGCCAGUUUUUUGGGUGAAAACCUAGGUCCUGCGGUGCAGGGCCGGACAAUGGUGUCGAUCCACGUCGCUUUCCCUCUUGAGGACGUUAUCUUGAAAUCGUCAUUUCUUGCAUGCUUUCCCGGGGCUAGACUUGCACGGCAUCACAUCAAGUGGUCGAUGAUGCAAGAGGUACUGGAUGGAGGGGGUCCAGAGGUGGAGCGGUGUUACUUCCUCCGCAUUGACGACAUCGCAUCUCGGCGGCGUGGCGCUCUGGAGUUUCGGCGUCCGUUGCAUGUAGACGGAUUAGCGCAGGAGGAUAUCGCUGUCUCGCGUCGUGGUGAUGUCGACGGUAGAUCUGACAAGGUCGAUGCGUCAGUAACUGCCCUGAAGAUUGAUCGGCGGAAGACGGUGGCAGCCGCCUAUGAGAGUGUGCCGAACCGGUGUGUGACCCAGACUCGACAAUGUGGCUUGGUUAGGCCCUCCGGUAUUAGAUGUUAGGCUUUGCUGCGAGUUCUAUUUGGUAUUCGACUCGGACUAUCAUCACCUCUUCAUCAAAUGGAUAGGAGUAGCGACAUAUGUUGCCAAAAUGAUGACUUCAGACUUACUGAUGUAUUACUUUAUAAGAUUUUUGUGAAUAAUAAAUAAAUUGACUGCAUGUAUCGCUCACAUGCCGAGGCCGGGGUCUUCCUCCUUUUCUAAAUAAAUGUGGGUUGGUAGAGAAACCAAAGCUAAGCAACCAGGAGCAUGCCAAAUGAUGAAUUUACUCCGACCUCCAUGAGGUUGAAUUCUACCAUGAGCGUUACAGAAAAAGAAGAGUUGCAAUGUGAUAAUGGACAACUUUAUCUAUGAGAACCGUAAAAGAGGAAUUUUAGGGGCAUGAGUACGUAAAACAUUUCGGUCAUAUGUGUAUAUGCGGGGAACAUUCUAGUUAUGGUUCUAUCGAAUAGGGAGAUCUUCGUUUUCCGAUAAACUUGCACNAGAUAAACAAAAACACGAUCUAAAAAGAUCUAUUGAAAACCAGCACCGAUCGAAUCCAAACAUAUCAAGCAUUACUUGAUAGCAACAAGCAUAUGCUACCAAGAAUUCCAAAUGAGGCGAUCGAGUGAUGACAGAUGAAGAGUUGAACUUGCAUACAAAUCCAAUCAUAGUGUACGUCUCCUCUCUUUUUUAGAUCAACCAAGCAAAUUAAGUCUUGAUAUAUCUCCCCUAAUAAUAAAGCGCCGAUCGCUUCUGUCAUACGUCGUCGGUAGUUUUGCACAAAACCCCCUCCAUUUCUGGGUAUUCAACCCGCAGUCCCUAUAUGGAUCUGGAAAAAAACGUUUCCUCUCUCACUCGGUCUCCCUCUUCCCUGCUGCGAGGCUGCCGCCAUGGGAGCCCGAGCUCAAAGCUCCGCCGUCGGCCACCUCGCGCCCGUCUAUUGCCAGAUCCGAACUGGAGCCGCUCGGAUCUGUUGACCCCAACCCGGAUCCACCUCGCCCCGGCCUUCUCCGGCCUCGCCUCGCGAGGGUCUGCGCUCGGGAGUCGUGUGCGGUGAGGGAGAGGAGAGGGACGUCGCGCGCGAGUCCGCGUCGUGGGCAGCUCCUGCUCCUGGUGGCGCCGUCGCGGGCUCACGGUGCCCGCCCUGCGCUGCCGUGAGCCGGAUCUUUGGCGGCAGCUGGUGUUGCGACGUGCUCACGGGAGGCGGCGGGGUCGGUGAUGGAGUUGGAGCCGACGCGGGCGGCAUGUCGGCGUCGUUGGGGUCGCGGAGGAGGGGGAGGCUGAGGGACGGCUCCUGCUCCGGCGGCUUCGGCCCGCGGCGGAGCAGGCGGCGGAGCGGCUUGGUCUCCGUCGAGGAAGAGGAGGAAGACGACGCCGACGCCGACGCCUGCUGCUUCCGCAUCCGCAGCAGGUCCCUCCACCUCCUGGCCGGAGCCUCUUAGCUUCGCUACGAGCUGUGCAUGCCAACACCACUUCGUACCCACUAGCCGUAGCAGAAGUGCAGAACAGCGAGCAGCGCCAUGAGCAACAUGUUCGGCGCUGGCGGCCAUGGAGGUGGCGGAGGGGAGCAGCAUGGGGGAGCCGACGGCACGGUGCUGUGCUACUUCCACCCGAGGGAGCUGCUGGUCGGCGUGUGCGCGCACUGCCUCCGGGAGCGCCUGCUGCUCCUACUCGCCACCAAAAGCAACAACGUUAACGGCCGCGCGCGCCCGCCGGCGGACGGCGCCAGCUACCUGUCGGCGCGGCCCUACUGCCGGGCGCUCCGGCGCAGGACGGGCAGCAUCUCCAGCUCGCUCCCCAAGGUGUUCGCGCUCGGCUCCUUCCUCCAGCGCCUCGACUCCUCCCGCCACCACCAUCACCACCACCACCCCGACGAGGUCGUCCACGACCACGACCUCGCCGGCGAGGACAAGGACACCGACGCCGACGACGCCACCUCCGUCGCCAGCCUCGACGGUACGGACGCAAUGAUUGAUCCGAGGCUGUCUUUCUUUCUUUCCAUGCUCUCGCUCACGGGUCGGCUGGUCUGCAGAUUCCUUCAUCUCGAUCAAGUUCGAGGACAACGGCAAGGCGACGUGGGUGGACAGCCAGAACGGGGCCGGAGCAAAGCCGGUGCGCGAGGCGGCGGCGGCCACGACGAAGACGACGGCGUUGGUGGUGGAGCACGCGGGGCGGCGGGGUGGCGUUACGCGGUGGCGGAAGCAGGUGGUGGGGCGGCUGCAGCUGGCGCGGUGGAAGCGGGCGUCGGGCAAGCAGUUGUCGUCCUCGGCGGCGGCGUACCAGCGGUCGAAGGCGCGUGGCGGCGGCGGCGGCCGGGGCUGGAUCCGGAGCCUGACGCGGCGGCGCACCGCGCACGGCGAGAGGGCGUGGUCGUGAGCGGGCCACGGGCACCUACACCUACACACGUCCACACGUGAUCGGUGAACCUGAGCAUGUACGUACGCACGCACGUGGUGCUCCUGUUUGCUUGUGACUUUGUGCAUACGGCCAGCCACCCACAGAUCCAUCCAUAGCCAUAUCCAUAUCCAAUUAUUCAUUUCAGAUAUACUCCUAUAUACAGUAGCAGAUUAGCAGUGAUAAUCAACUAUAGAUAUAUACGCAGCAAAAAAAGGAAAGAAUCGCAUUCGGCAGAUGUCGUUUCUUUCUUGCAUGAGAGGUGUUUGUUUCUUCCCAAGAUCAUGCUCAUGAGUUUACACAGAGAUUUUUUUUUUCUUUCUGGAUUGUUGUCUGCUUUUCAUCCUGUGAAGGUAUUUCUCUAAACUCUGAAGUCUGGAUUGCCUGUUUAGUGGGAGUGUCAAUUUUCAGCAAAGGUAAUUUUGAUUUGCGCCCACAAAUGCCGUUUUAGCACUUGGUCUGUUUGUGUUUUAUUUGUUGUGAUGUAUUGUCCUGUAUUGAACCCGCGGUCCUUUUAUGAGUUAAAAAACGUUUCGUUUUUAUGUGAACCCCCUCGCAAUCAUCCUCGCCUCCUCACCACCAGCACCGGGCUCUCCGCCACCGCCAGCCUCCCCGCCGUCGCCCCUCGUCGAUGCGCCCUCCUGGCCGCCCGGCCGCGGUCGAGGCGGAGGUGGAGCCGGUGGUGGUGGU